Molecule: long non-coding RNA, 247508 nt
Filed under: Eucalyptus grandis
Lineage: Eukaryota; Viridiplantae; Streptophyta; Magnoliopsida; Myrtales; Myrtaceae
Description: long non-coding RNA (EGRA_LNC005144)
Source: RNAcentral
UCCUGCACCACUUAAGAACGCAUGGAUCUAGCAAAAGCUCGUCAAAGUCUGCAGAAGAAGGAAAUAGACUUGUGGAUGAAGGGCUUACGGUGUCCAGAGAAUCGGCUCCCAGGUAAGCGAUUUUUGACUCUCCGUUUACAACAGCAUCUUCUGGCAAAGCUAGCUGCUUCCUCACUAUUUCGCACACUUUAUCUAGCGUCUCCUUUUUAGCCUGCUCAUAUAUCGAGUUGGUCAUUCACAAGUUUAAAACCUACGUAUGGGCUUCGCUCCGAGCAGCUACAAAAUUGGCAAGACCAAUUCAAGCAUUCCCCCAUGAGCAAGACAAUGAUAGGCUUGAACCUGGUAUGAACAAACUCCUGCUCAUCCCCUUUCCCCAGAAGCAGCAUCUUUCGAGCGACACAAUUAUAAUCACACAGCAAGAUCGUUUGAACCAGGACAAACAUAAUGACCCAGACUUCAGAAAUACGUAAGUUACUUGCAGUCACUUUGCUAUGGUUGUUGUUAUAGUUGACAUGACAUGGUGGACUACUUACCGCACAUGAAACCUGGAAACGGCGUGCUUUCAGAGAUGGGAAACUUCUGCCGCCGACAGGGAGGGAGACGGACCUGACAUUCGAUAUCUUGCAGACAGGUACCUGUUAAAAAUGUCAACAACUAGUUUUCAGAGAUGCGGUCUCAUUCAAAGUGCAGAACCUCAGCCGGGUCAGCCAAGCUCUCUGCCUAAAUUGCAGAGAGUAUUUGGUAAAAUUGCAUCUUGCACCCUAGUUUUCGGGAUAGCGGCAAAUUACCCCUGUCGUUUCGAUAUUUGCAAUUUGUUAACUGACUUUUUGAAUGGGAGGCCAUGUGCCCUCAAACGUUGACUUUGGCAAAAAAUUUCUCACAUAUCUGACAACGUGACUUGCUAUUGAAGGUAAGCUGGACAUUUAUCAUUUACGUGAAAAAAAAAAUAUAGAGACUACCCAAAAAUAUAUUUGAGAGCUAUAUAUUGAUGUACAUUUGGUAUUGAUUUUGGUCAAAAUAUUGCCGAAACUUUGGUCACAUGCUCUCACAUGUACUAUAUUUCUGAAUUUGAUAUUCUACUUUUCAUAUCCGUUUACUUAUAUGAUGAAUUUUCCCUUCGUGGUCAGUCAUGCACUGUCGCGUGGUCGGAGCUCCAAGAAAAAUUUGACCGGAGUCAACACGAGGGGACACAUUGAUACGGACUUCUAACCUUCAGGGGCUAGAUUGCAAAAAUUGGAACCCCCUUUGGCAAUUUGCAACAAACUCAGAAGUUAGAAAAUACGUAGUUUGCCCCCAGAAAAUUUACUGAGUUUCCGGACCACUAGAUCGGUAGCAGGAAGCCAAAACCGAGUAAUGCCGGCCUGAACUCAGUAUCAAUCUCACACAGUUCAUUGUAAGUAUCUGACAAGCUCAUUUGGCAGCGCUGUAUCUUUUCGAUGCAGUUUUAAAUGCACGAAAAACUCAGCAUUUACCACAACUCAAUGGACAUAAAAGCCUCCAGCACCAAAACAAAAGCAGAUUCAUCCUAGUCCGGGAAUACUUAAUGUCAAGCUGAUAACAUCCCUUGAAAAUCUAAAACUGGAGGAAGACAAAAAAGUGCCGCACCCGCAUUUAAUAUCGAUCAUAAAACUAUAUCCAGCGGCCACAGUGAUCGAGCAUCAAAACCCAUCACAAAGAAAACACAAGUCAAGCAAUCUCGAACCGACUGAUACCCAUUUUCAUACCUGCGCUGGCUUCAAAGUGAAUGAGGCGCGAGCAGGUGUUGCAGUGAAGGUGGCCAUUCUGAGCUCCGGUUCAACAGAAGGUGAAGGAAACUGUUAGAAUUUGAAUGUGCGCGGAAGCAUGGUUUUAGUUAUGGAUGAUAGUUUUUGAUUAGUGAGGUGUGCAAGUGUUGGUAUUGAUGAUAGUUUUUGGUUAGUGAGGUGUGCAAGUGUAUGGUAUAGUUUGUAGAGGAUGGACAAGGGACAAUAUAUGAUAAUUGAAGGAUAUAGAACAUGGGAAAAAUAGUUUCAUUAGUUGAACAAAAUAGUUUGAUGGAGGUACAAUAGAGAUCUUGACCUCUCAUGGUGGAGGGUUCACCUCACACACAAGGUGGAGGGUUUACCUCUCACUCUCUAAAAUGAAUGAACUACAAGCCUAUUUAUAGGCAUGAGUCACACCUUAGUAUAACAUUCUAGAUUUCUAUAGAAUGUUGUCCAUGUAGGCUUCAUCUAGGUAAUUCUAGAUUGUAGUUCUUCUAGAGACUUCUACAUUUUCUUAGACACAUAAGCUUGUAGACAAUUCUAGAAUUUUUCUUGAAUCUUCUAGCUCAAAACUAUCUUGAAGUUUCUAGAAUUGGAUCACAAACUCCAACACUCCCCCUUGAUCCAAUUUCGGGAUACUCCGGACUUGUAUCAUAAAUCCUCGAACGUACCUUGAAAUUCUCCUUGUAGUUUGUCCCAUGCCUUUUAUGUCGUCUUCAUUCCACGAUCCUUUGCAUUCUCUUGUCGAAUCACUUGCACCUACCUUGGAAUGUGCAUGUCUUUUUUCGGCGAUGUCCCAUAUGUCUCGGGCCAUCAAAAUUUUCUUAGUUGUAGUUGUUAGCUCGGGCUCUGGCUCUGGCUCUCGUAGGCUCUGGCUCUGGCUUCGGCUUUGGUUCUGGCUCUGGCUCCGGCUUUGGCUCUGUUGGCUCUCGCUCGGGCUCUGGCCUUUGAUUCUGGCUCUGGCUCCGGCUCUGGCUCUGUUGGCUCUCGCUCGGGCUCUGGCCUUUUUAGUUGAGGAUGGUGAGGACAAACGCCCAUAAUCAUCCGAUGUGCCUAUCUCUGGCUUCACGAUCCUUUACACCUGGCUCAGUUACGAACCUGGGUGCAACUGGCUCUGAUACCAUGUUAAAAUAUAUUUCGGAUGUGAGCGUUGCGUGGUUUUAGUUAUGGAUGAUAGUUUUUGAUUAGUGAGGUGUGCAAGUGUUGGUAUUGAUGAUAGUUUUUGGUUAGUGAGGUGUGCAAGUGUAUGGUAUAGUUUGUAGAGGAUGGACAAGGGACAAUAUAUGAUAAUUGAAGGAUAUAGAACAUGGGGAAAAUAGUUUCAUUAGUUGAACAAAAUAGUUUGAUGGAGGUACAAUAGAGAUCUUGACCUCUCAUGGUGGAGGGUUCACCUCACACACAAGGUGGAGGGUUUACCUCUCACUCUCUAAAAUGAAUGAACUACAAGCCUAUUUAUAGGCAUGAGUCACACCUUAGUACAACAUUCUAGAUUUCUAUAGAAUGUUGUCCAUGUAGGCUUCAUCUAGGUAAUUCUAGAUUGUAGUUCUUCUAGAGACUUCUACAUUUUCUUAGACACAUAAGCUUGUAGACAAUUCUAGAAUUUUUCUUGAAUCUUCUAGCUCAAAACUAUCUUGAAGUUUCUAGAAUUGGAUCACAAACUCCAACAGAAACGAAUGAGAGAGAGAGAGAGAUCACAGGGAGAACGCGAGAAGUUGUGAGAGGGAGGCGAUGUGUAUAUAGGGGAGAGGGAGGGAGCGGGAGCUUGUAGGACGGUGUUCGUUUCAAGUUAUCUGAAAAGCAAACAUUUUAAAUGAGCACUUUGCCAACGUUACAAAAAAGAAAUUCAAAGCGGAGCAAAAGAACAUUAGAGAAAUUGGCAAUUUGCCACUUUAGGGACGGUCAAGGAAUUUAGGUAAGUGCACUUUUAAUGGAAAGGCCUAGUUAACUUCUUCCUAAAAUUUCACCAUUUUAUCCUGCCUUUUUCUUUUGACAAUUUUACACUUUCGUCUCUCUUUAAAGAUAAAUUGUAUUACAGUAUUAACGUAACAUGGAGAUGAGUGCCAAAAUGAGAAAUUUAAAGAGCGAGAUAAAAUGGGGUUUUGGGUUUUAUGUAAAUGGAUAGAAAAGCCAGUUUCUUUUUCUUUUUUUUUCCUACGAUAAUCAAAACUAGAAGAAUAGUUUUAACAAAAAAAAAAACUAGAAGAAUAGUGUAUUUCAUACUGCCGUGGCUACACUGUGAUGUGUUGAAAUACAUGUGUACGUGUUUGGCAAUGCAUCUUUAAAAGUGGCCAUGCUAUAGACAGCUAUGAUGAUUAAUAUGUUUGAUCACUGUAGCUAUUAGAACGAAGAAAAGACCUUUUAAUAUGGUCGCAGAGUUUUUACAACAUUUAUAUUUGUGUUAUUAGAACUUUUGCAGGAUACCAUUUUCACCAUAUGAUGAUGAUGAUGAUGAUGAUGAUGAUGAUGAUGAUGAUGAUGAUGAUGAUGAUAGUUGAAUCUGGAAUAGACAUUUUGAGAGGGCUUCAUUUCCAACUGAAAUACCAAAGCAAUACAUGUUUAUACAUGAAAUUGCAGUAAGAAAAUGUACGGCAGUACAAUGCUGAACCCUAGAAAUGCACAAUCUACUACAGCCCAACGAUGCGGGCAACCAUGCGGAUCCAAUUGCAAAGGGCAACGAGAGCGACUGUACAAUCACACAGGAGAGGAAAUCCCACUUGUCUUCCUCAACAUCAUCUCCUGUUGAACACAGUAGCAUCUGUCCCUGUGAGCUUAACUAUUCAGAUGUUGAAAGGAUGUAUUAUGCACCAUGGCUUGGAGAUACAGCAAGAUUGGCAUGAUGCCAGGUGAGGGGUAAAGAUAAAAAAGUUCACAUUACUCGCCAUGCAAGUGAUGGGGGUAAAGAUAAGCGCAUCUCUGCUCUNNNNNNNNNNNNNNNNNNNNNNNNNNNNNNNNNNNNNNNNNNNNNNNNNNNNNNNNNNNNNNNNNNNNNNNNNNNNNNNNNNNNNNNNNNNNNNNNNNNNGGGGGGGGGGGGGGGCAGAGGUGGAAAGAAGAACAGCAUUGAAGAGAAACGGAAAAGCAGACUUGCAACAGAAGGCACGGAAAGCUGUUUGCUUUAAGAUACACGACAACCAUGCAGAUGGCCAAUGUUGUCUUCACCACUUAAAAAAUUCUUUCUCGUGGCCCGUAAUGGAAUUUUGUAUGAUUUGCAUUUAAAUAGGAGAAUAAUGUCGUACUUUAAGAUCAUCUACCGCCUGCAAAGUUGCUAUUAUUUUCGUUGAAAAUUCAAAAGAGGGGGGAGGUAUAGAAAGAGAAACAACGAAUGAAGAGAAAGGGAAAGCACAGGCUCUCAACAGAAGGCACAGGAAAGCAGUUUGCUUUAAGAUGCAUGAUAAACUACUAACGAACGAUUUGACGUGGUCUUUAAUAUAAUGUUAUAAGAUUCUACAUCAAUGAUAAUAGUACUUUGUGCUCCACUACUGCCUGCAAAGUUGCUAUUAUCUUUUUUGAAAACUCAAAAGAAGGGGCAACGUAGAAAGAAAAACCGCACCGAAGAGAAAUGAACGUCACCGACUGUCAACAGUGGGCACAACAAAGAUGCUUGCUUUAAGAUGCAUGAUAAUCAUUUCACGUGGUCUCUGAUGAUAUUUUAUAAGAUUUACAUCUGAGUACCAGAUCGAUAUCGUACUUUAUGCUCCACUACUGGCUGAAAAGUUGCUGUUAUCCUCUUUGAAAACUUCAAAGAAGGGGGGAGAGGCAGAAAGAAAAACAACAUUGAAGAGAAACGAGCAUCACCAACCCUCAACAGAAGGCACAAGAAAGCUGCCUGCUUUAAGAUGCAUGAUAAACUACUAAUAAACAAUCAUUUCACGUGGUCUCUGGUUAAAUUUUAUAAGAUUUACAUCCAAAUACAGAAUCAAUAUCGUACUUUAUGCUCUACUAUUCCCUUGAAAGUUGCUAUCAUCUUCUUUGAACGCUCAAAAGAAGGGGAGAGGCAGAAAGGGAAACAACAUUGAAGGGAAACGAACAUCGCAAACUCUCAACAGAAGGCACGAGAAAGCUGUUUGCUUUAAGAUGCGUGACAACCAUGCAUAUGGUCAUUGUUGAAUUCCUACUUAAAACCAAUUAUUUCUCUUAGCCUCUGAUGAGAAUUUACAACCAUUACAGCCAGAUGGAGAAUGAUAUUUUACUUUAUGCUUCAUUACUAUAAUAUAUGUACAUAUCUAUUCAACACAACCAAAAGAAUCAUGUUUCUCACACAUAAAUAGGACAAGUUUUUGGAGUGUCUGAAAUUUUUACAUUCAAAAUGUUAUUGUUUUGCAUCGAAAUAUUGUGACUUGACGCUGGAGAAUUGAAAUUCAAUUGUAAACCUAUCGUAUGAAUUCAAAUUCAAUCCCAAACAUUUUAAUUCAAACAAUGUUGUUUUAAACCUUAGAGUGAAAAUGUAAUCAACUCCUCCUAGUCAAGUCUCGCCUAAAUGGCAGUCCAAUCAUUUGUCAUUGUACGUGUCCCGACUAGUGAUUUGACAUGGACAAAUUUACUCGAAACGGUGCCAUUGUUGCUCAACUCCACAAGCUGUCAACCUUGCCUAGAACUGCCCUCUCUCAAGUUGAUUUCUAUCAACAGUCACAGCUCAGCUAGAGCUGGCACCUCCAAAUGUGGAGGCUCGGCAGUCGGUCACCAUGCCCAUCGGGCUCCUUGGCCCCUCCAUGGAAGAUGAUUGUACAAUCCUGAAAUUUUGAGCGAUGUUUGUUUUCCCUCCCUGACCCUUCCAUGCCAUGCAAGAUGAUUGUAUAACCCUUAAUUUUUUUUGUGACGUAGAAUUUUUUGUUUAAUUUUUAAAUAAUUCUUUUCUUUUCUUUUUUUCUUCCUUCUUCUUCCUCCUCUAGAUGGUCAUGGGACCUCGGUGACUAGCCAGAGACGAGUUGACAAGGCCAACCUUGCCCAACCAUCGCAAGGCUCCCUCGAGACUGGUGAGGCCACCCUUGUCGGCCCUCCUCUCUAGCCGGUCACCGGCUAUCAUCGAGGCUUGACGAGAAGAGGGAGAAUAAGAAAGGAAACAAAAAAAAAAAAUGACCUUCAUUAGAAACUGUUCCUGAGGGCAAAUAAGUAAAUUCCUUCUACUUUCUGUUUUCGUUCUAAAUCUAUUUUCUGACUAUUGAUCUAUUUCGGAAAAAAAAAUUAACUAACAUUAUCAAAUAAUUUUUUUUUUCUGUUUUGGAGAAAGAAAUAACAGAAAAAUAGAGAAAUAAAAUGAUCACCAAAUAGGACCUAACUUUAUAAGUGAAUUUGUAAUUCUUCCCACUCAACCUAUGCCUAUUAUAAGUUUUCUUUUCUUUUAAUAAUUCUUCCUCUCUUCUGUCUCCUCUCUUCAUCGGUAUAAAAUGGGUAAUCAGGGAUGGGUGGCUUGUGUAGUGGAAGAGAAACCUAUUCCCAAUGGUCGACACAGCGAAUUUGGAUCCAAAUUCAAAUACACCAGGGGAAGUCAACUGACCUCUUUCACCAUUACCUCACCACGUUGAGUGUUGAUUUUAACUCCGUAAAAUCCUCUUGUUGAUUUUAACUCCAUAAAAUCCUCUGACACGUCUGCCCCUCGGGACCUUCCAGAUUAUAAAAGCAAGAGCAAAAGUCAUGCUAUUAUUUCCAAUCUUUACCGACACAGAAACGGAUUCGUGCAUAGUUAAUAUGAAAAAACAGCUACCCUAUACAUUGGCAUUUAGUUGAUAAAAAAGGUUGAUCAAUUUAUGGAUGACAUGCAGCGACUUGAAUUCCAUCCACACAUAGAUAACGUGCAGCCAAGGCUAUGUCAAAGCCCCAAUACAUUUAUUAGAUACUAUGCCAUCUCAUUCCACCAAGAGAAGAGGUAUGCAUUUUCGACUCCAGCAGAUGAGAUAUCCUUUGGGAUGGUAGUCUCGGAAGAUGAAUCUUGCUUCUGGUCUCCAUAAUUUGGCAGCAAUGAUGGUGAUUCCACUGGACCGGUUAGGACUACUUUUAUCUUCCUCUCCUCUAUGUAUUUACCACUUUCUUUAUCAAAUUUAAAAUUUAAAAGAAAACUUCUCAGGUUACUUGACCCAAAAGAUUAUGGAACACAAAGCAGCAAAAUCUACCAUGUCAGCAGUAAUGUCCUCUUCAACUGUAUCAAAACCUUGUCUCGACGCUGCAAGACAGGUGGAGCUACCUGCUGUGCUUACAUGGUAACGGCAUCAAACAGAAGAUAGGAUGAAGGGCCUACCCUAAUUCUUUCGAAGUAUCAGGACAUAGCUUCUGAGGCCUAUUGUGGUUUUCCUCUGUCUCAAUGUAUAUUAGGCUACUAUGGUAGGCAUUCAAAAUCUUAUUCAAAGAUGAUCCUUACUGCAAUGCGACUGACAUUGCCUUAAGCAGUUCAUGUCCUAGUAAUAAUACAGUCUUACAGACAUGUCGUGGCAAAGAAAUUGCAAAAUAAUCGUUCAGCUGAUUCAAGUACUGUGGGCAUGUCCAUCCUCACAAGUAUGUCAGUGGCUUUUUAGUAAGUAUGUGAACAUGAUGUUUCACUGACUUGAGCAGAACAAUUUCGAAUCAGAUUAUCCAUUUGGUUGAUGAUGCCUACAUUUGGCCGCACACAGAAUUUCUUCUGAGACGUAGCCUUAGCCUGGAAUGUUUUGGAUAUCCAAUAUAGAUCUCAUAAUGUUUCUCCACAAUAGAGAGUUCUUAAUGCGCUGAUGUACUACUCUGAAAAUUAAAUUACAUCAAGAGAAUACAAGAUUGAAAGGAUAUUGUCCACCCGCCAUAGCCUAAAAAAUAAAACUUGAUCACGGUGAAAGAAAAGGUCCAAAGAAUAUUCACCUUGAAAGCAACAUACCGAUCAGUCUUAUUGCCUAGCGGAAUGAGCAUGAGCUUUGUUUGCUCAACUCAAUUGCAUAAACACGGAGAAGAGGCUUCAGAUGAAAGAAUUUAAAGAGAAAGGGGGCCUGACAUGAGGACAGGAUGUGAUGAAAUGGACCAUCUUACAUUUUCUUUGAUAUAAUGCAGUAAUGCAAUCUCGUCUUGUUCAUUCAUUUUCUCUACUAAUCAUUCUCUCGGUCAUUUGGUUACAACAACCAUUCACCUACUUAAUCUCCAGAAAGAAAUUUACCGCAGAAGUCAUUCUAAGAGUUUGUGGUGUGNNNNNNNNNNNNNNNNNNNNNNNNNNNNNNNNNNNNNNNNNNNNNNNNNNNNNNNNNNNNNNNNNNNNNNNNNNNNNNNNNNNNNNNNNNNNNNNNNNNNNNNNNNNNNNNNNNNNNNNNNNNNNNNNNNNNNNNNNNNNNNNNNNNNNNNNNNNNNNNNNNNNNNNNNNNNNNNNNNNNNNNNNNNNNNNNNNNNNNNNNNNNNNNNNNNNNNNNNNNNNNNNNNNNNNNNNNNNNNNNNNNNNNNNNNNNNNNNNNNNNNNNNNNNNNNNNNNNNNNNNNNNNNNNNNNNNNNNNNNNNNNNNNNNNNNNNNNNNNNNNNNNNNNNNNNNNNNNNNNNNNNNNNNNNNNNNNNNNNNNNNNNNNNNNNNNNNNNNNNNNNNNNNNNNNNNNNNNNNNNNNNNNNNNNNNNNNNNNNNNNNNNNNNNNNNNNNNNNNNNNNNNNNNNNNNNNNNNNNNNNNNNNNNNNNNNNNNNNNNNNNNNNNNNNNNNNNNNNNNNNNNNNNNNNNNNNNNNNNNNNNNNNNNNNNNNNNNNNNNNNNNNNNNNNNNNNNNNNNNNNNNNNNNNNNNNNNNNNNNNNNNNNNNNNNNNNNNNNNNNNNNNNNNNNNNNNNNNNNNNNNNNNNNNNNNNNNNNNNNNNNNNNNNNNNNNNNNNNNNNNNNNNNNNNNNNNNNNNNNNNNNNNNNNNNNNNNNNNNNNNNNNNNNNNNNNNNNNNNNNNNNNNNNNNNNNNNNNNNNNNNNNNNNNNNNNNNNNNNNNNNNNNNNNNNNNNNNNNNNNNNNNNNNNNNNNNNNNNNNNNNNNNNNNNNNNNNNNNNNNNNNNNNNNNNNNNNNNNNNNNNNNNNNNNNNNNNNNNNNNNNNNNNNNNNNNNNNNNNNNNNNNNNNNNNNNNNNNNNNNNNNNNNNNNNNNNNNNNNNNNNNNNNNNNNNNNNNNNNNNNNNNNNNNNNNNNNNNNNNNNNNNNNNNNNNNNNNNNNNNNNNNNNNNNNNNNNNNNNNNNNNNNNNNNNNNNNNNNNNNNNNNNNNNNNNNNNNNNNNNNNNNNNNNNNNNNNNNNNNNNNNNNNNNNNNNNNNNNNNNNNNNNNNNNNNNNNNNNNNNNNNNNNNNNNNNNNNNNNNNNNNNNNNNNNNNNNNNNNNNNNNNNNNNNNNNNNNNNNNNNNNNNNNNNNNNNNNNNNNNNNNNNNNNNNNNNNNNNNNNNNNNNNNNNNNNNNNNNNNNNNNNNNNNNNNNNNNNNNNNNNNNNNNNNNNNNNNNNNNNNNNNNNNNNNNNNNNNNNNNNNNNNNNNNNNNNNNNNNNNNNNNNNNNNNNNNNNNNNNNNNNNNNNNNNNNNNNNNNNNNNNNNNNNNNNNNNNNNNNNNNNNNNNNNNNNNNNNNNNNNNNNNNNNNNNNNNNNNNNNNNNNNNNNNNNNNNNNNNNNNNNNNNNNNNNNNNNNNNNNNNNNNNNNNNNNNNNNNNNNNNNNNNNNNNNNNNNNNNNNNNNNNNNNNNNNNNNNNNNNNNNNNNNNNNNNNNNNNNNNNNNNNNNNNNNNNNNNNNNNNNNNNNNNNNNNNNNNNNNNNNNNNNNNNNNNNNNNNNNNNNNNNNNNNNNNNNNNNNNNNNNNNNNNNNNNNNNNNNNNNNNNNNNNNNNNNNNNNNNNNNNNNNNNNNNNNNNNNNNNNNNNNNNNNNNNNNNNNNNNNNNNNNNNNNNNNNNNNNNNNNNNNNNNNNNNNNNNNNNNNNNNNNNNNNNNNNNNNNNNNNNNNNNNNNNNNNNNNNNNNNNNNNNNNNNNNNNNNNNNNNNNNNNNNNNNNNNNNNNNNNNNNNNNNNNNNNNNNNNNNNNNNNNNNNNNNNNNNNNNNNNNNNNNNNNNNNNNNNNNNNNNNNNNNNNNNNNNNNNNNNNNNNNNNNNNNNNNNNNNNNNNNNNNNNNNNNNNNNNNNNNNNNNNNNNNNNNNNNNNNNNNNNNNNNNNNNNNNNNNNNNNNNNNNNNNNNNNNNNNNNNNNNNNNNNNNNNNNNNNNNNNNNNNNNNNNNNNNNNNNNNNNNNNNNNNNNNNNNNNNNNNNNNNNNNNNNNNNNNNNNNNNNNNNNNNNNNNNNNNNNNNNNNNNNNNNNNNNNNNNNNNNNNNNNNNNNNNNNNNNNNNNNNNNNNNNNNNNNNNNNNNNNNNNNNNNNNNNNNNNNNNNNNNNNNNNNNNNNNNNNNNNNNNNNNNNNNNNNNNNNNNNNNNNNNNNNNNNNNNNNNNNNNNNNNNNNNNNNNNNNNNNNNNNNNNNNNNNNNNNNNNNNNNNNNNNNNNNNNNNNNNNNNNNNNNNNNNNNNNNNNNNNNNNNNNNNNNNNNNNNNNNNNNNNNNNNNNNNNNNNNNNNNNNNNNNNNNNNNNNNNNNNNNNNNNNNNNNNNNNNNNNNNNNNNNNNNNNNNNNNNNNNNNNNNNNNNNNNNNNNNNNNNNNNNNNNNNNNNNNNNNNNNNNNNNNNNNNNNNNNNNNNNNNNNNNNNNNNNNNNNNNNNNNNNNNNNNNNNNNNNNNNNNNNNNNNNNNNNNNNNNNNNNNNNNNNNNNNNNNNNNNNNNNNNNNNNNNNNNNNNNNNNNNNNNNNNNNNNNNNNNNNNNNNNNNNNNNNNNNNNNNNNNNNNNNNNNNNNNNNNNNNNNNNNNNNNNNNNNNNNNNNNNNNNNNNNNNNNNNNNNNNNNNNNNNNNNNNNNNNNNNNNNNNNNNNNNNNNNNNNNNNNNNNNNNNNNNNNNNNNNNNNNNNNNNNNNNNNNNNNNNNNNNNNNNNNNNNNNNNNNNNNNNNNNNNNNNNNNNNNNNNNNNNNNNNNNNNNNNNNNNNNNNNNNNNNNNNNNNNNNNNNNNNNNNNNNNNNNNNNNNNNNNNNNNNNNNNNNNNNNNNNNNNNNNNNNNNNNNNNNNNNNNNNNNNNNNNNNNNNNNNNNNNNNNNNNNNNNNNNNNNNNNNNNNNNNNNNNNNNNNNNNNNNNNNNNNNNNNNNNNNNNNNNNNNNNNNNNNNNNNNNNNNNNNNNNNNNNNNNNNNNNNNNNNNNNNNNNNNNNNNNNNNNNNNNNNNNNNNNNNNNNNNNNNNNNNNNNNNNNNNNNNNNNNNNNNNNNNNNNNNNNNNNNNNNNNNNNNNNNNNNNNNNNNNNNNNNNNNNNNNNNNNNNNNNNNNNNNNNNNNNNNNNNNNNNNNNNNNNNNNNNNNNNNNNNNNNNNNNNNNNNNNNNNNNNNNNNNNNNNNNNNNNNNNNNNNNAAAACCUCUGACACAUCCAGCCCUUCAGGAUGCUGGCAUCAAAAGACAAUCCUUCUGGAUUAUAAGAGUGAGAACAGAAGUCAUAUUCUAUCAUGAGUAAUAGAAAUGGAUACAUGUACAGUUAAUAUGAGAAAAAAGCUAUCCUAUACACUCGCAUUUAGUUGCUAAAGAGGUUGAUCAAUUAUAGAUGAUGUGUAGCAACUUGAUUUCCAUUUACAUAAAUAACAUGCGGCCCAGCCAAUGCUGUGGCAAAGCCCCGAUCCAUGUAUUAGAUACAAAGCCAUCUCAACCCAGAAAGACAAUAAAGUGACAUAUUGAUGUUUUCUGGCAGUCAUACCCUGAGAAAAGGUGAUGCAUUUUCGACUCCAGCAGGUGAGAUAUCCUUUGGGAUGGUAGUCUCGGAAGAUGAAUCUUGCUUCCGGUCUCUGUAAUCUGGCAGCCCUGAAGGUGAUUCCACUGGACUGGUUAGGACUGCUUUUAUCAUCCUCUCACUUAUGUAUUUACCGCUUUCUUUAUGCAAUUGAAAAUUCAAUAGAAAAUUUCUUGAGUCGCUUGACCUGAAAGAUUAUGAAACAUAUAGCAGAAAAACCUACCAUGUCAGCAAUAGUGUCCUCUUCACCUGUAUCAAAAACUUGUCUCUGCACAGCAGGACAGGUGGAGCUACCUGCCGUGCUUACAUGGUAACUGCAUCAAACAGAAGAUGGGAUGAAGGCCUACUCCAAUUCUUGUUGCCUAGCGGAAUCAGGCAUGAGCUUUGUUUACUUAACUCAACUGCAUAAACACAGAGAAGAGGCCUAAGAUAAAAGAACUUAAUGGGGCAUGACAUGAGAGCAGGAUGUGAUGAAAUGGACCAUCAUACAUUUUCUUUGAAGAUAUAAUGCAGCAAUGAAGUCUCAUUUUGUGCGUUAGUUUUCUCUACUGAACAUUCUCAGUCAUUUGGUUACAGCACUCACCUACUUUUAUCUCUAGAAAGAAAUUCACUCACAUGGCACUAUAAGAGUUUGUGGUGUGAAGAUAGAAACUAUGCAAAAAGAAAGAACCUGACCAAAUAUUCGAAAACAGCACAAGGAAAAGAACUUGAAAAACAGGGCGACCAAUGACCGAUUCAUACUCGCCAUUGAAGCUCAUGCUUUUAGAUAUUUUUUUUACCAUUAUUUAUGAUGUUGAACCACAAUUCUCAAGCAAAUUAUUGUAGAAUAGAGGANNNNNNNNNNNNNNNNNNNNNNNNNNNNNNNNNNNNNNNNNNNNNNNNNNNNNNNNNNNNNNNNNNNNNNNNNNNNNNNNNNNNNNNNNNNNNNNNNNNNNNNNNNNNNNNNNNNNNNNNNNNNNNNNNNNNNNNNNNNNNNNNNNNNNNNNNNNNNNNNNNNNNNNNNNNNNNNNNNNNNNNNNNNNNNNNNNNNNNNNNNNNNNNNNNNNNNNNNNNNNNNNNNNNNNNNNNNNNNNNNNNNNNNNNNNNNNNNNNNNNNNNNNNNNNNNNNNNNNNNNNNNNNNNNNNNNNNNNNNNNNNNNNNNNNNNNNNNNNNNNNNNNNNNNNNNNNNNNNNNNNNNNNNNNNNNNNNNNNNNNNNNNNNNNNNNNNNNNNNNNNNNNNNNNNNNNNNNNNNNNNNNNNNNNNNNNNNNNNNNNNNNNNNNNNNNNNNNNNNNNNNNNNNNNNNNNNNNNNNNNNNNNNNNNNNNNNNNNNNNNNNNNNNNNNNNNNNNNNNNNNNNNNNNNNNNNNNNNNNNNNNNNNNNNNNNNNNNNNNNNNNNNNNNNNNNNNNNNNNNNNNNNNNNNNNNNNNNNNNNNNNNNNNNNNNNNNNNNNNNNNNNNNNNNNNNNNNNNNNNNNCCAAUGGGCUAAGUUACUGAGAAUAUAAAAAUAAAAUUUAGUUGUUUCUGAUGUCAUAUGGAAAGUCUUAUCUAAAACUGGCAUAUGAUAAGAAAUAUGUCUCUUAUUCAGCUAAGACAAUUAGACAUAUCUUAGCUGCAACAUGACAGCACCAAGUCAUAUCUUGCUCUUUCUGAUAAGAAAUAUGUCUCUUAUUCAGCAAUAAGACAAUUAGACAUAUCUCAGCUGCAACAUGACAGCACCAAAAGUCAUAUCUUGCUCUUUUUGAAUGGACAAGUGAGCAACUCUUUGCCUUAAACGACUCCACCACAUGAACACAUUCGUGAUGGCAACCAAAAUGAGCUUUUGCUCAUGUUCAAAGCCUAAGCAUGCAAGAAAAUUAAAGAGCUCCGACUCUUGAAGAGCAAUGGACUUCUUCUGCAAACCUCAGAUUGCUGACAAAUCGAGGAUUAGCCUUAAAAAACUGUUCCUCUCAUAAACAUAAGUACAAUCACAACAUCUCAAUUCACAAGGCAGUGCAUGUAUUAAUAUACACAUCAUGGAUAUUCCAAAGAACUUACAAGAGAAGAUAACUCCUAGUAACUGCUGGGUACAAUGGAAAUGAACAUUCAAAGCCCAGGAUUAUUCCUGGGAAAAAUGGAAAAGUGGGGAACAACAGACUUUUACAUCACAUGAAGUAAGAACGACAUAAUGAGUGAAUUUAACCGUCCCAUAGAAUUCUAUUAGCAAUGGCAGUGUCCACUGAUUCCAGUUCUUCCACUACUUCAGUCCUGGAAGGCUGCUUGUUAGGAGUCAUUCGGAGGCAUUGUAAAGCAAGUUGUGCUAACUGGAAUCCAGAAUCCAUAUAUGUAGGGUAUAGGGACGGUAUAAAUUUGGUUCCCAAUUGCAGCAGGUUGCAAUAUCAUGAGCGACCAGUUUCCUCUAAAAUAACCAGUAUUUCUUUUUUGGUUUCUGAGGAAGGGGAACAUCUGCAGAAAAUGAAAAGUCAUGUAGGCAAUGCAACUGUGGAUUCCAUGCCAAAUGAUUUAAGUAGCUAAAAGGGAAACACACCUUGUGUUUCAUAGAGGGGAUUAUAGUGAACUCAUAUCCAGAAACUCAACCAAAGCUCUGCAUCAAUUGAAAGUAAGGUUAACAAAAGGAAAAACUUAAAAAGAAAAUGGAGUUUCAAAAGACCAGUUGCUCAUUGAACAAAAGCAAAAGUAGAUCAAUUGCAAAUGUUUACAUCUAGGUUCUAAAUCAAUCAAUAUAUUUAACCCUACCCAAGUAGCUGUUCCAAGCAAGCAAAAUAACAAAUAUUUAAUUUCAGAGACCAAAAACAAGCAAAGCAUCACAAAGGAGGGUCUAUGUGUAUAUGUAUGCAAGCAACGCUCUUUUUUCCAAGACAACCAAGGAGUAAAAUAUACCCAUUUGGAAUUUUAACAAACCAAACCCAAGAACUUCACAUUUAUCACAUUGCACCUACUGACGAUUUGAACCAACAAAACAACUAUGAAGAAGAAGACAAGCAAGCAAUACCCUCGACAGAGGGAACUUAUAAAUCCAAUUGCCAAACAAUAAUUAGGCUGCAAAUAUAAGUAUCAUCUAGGGGCUUUUUCCCUCCUUCAUGCUCUCCAACAACAACCAAAUAAGCAUUGAACAUCGGUGACUCACUGGAAUAGAUAAAUUCAUCAUUCUUCAAAAUCCUACAUUCCAACAGCUGCUCACUGCCAUCAUACGGCAUUACCUAACAUAUAUCCGACCAUCAAUCACGACAUGGACUAAUCUACUCAAAACAAGCUCAAUCACGCAGAGUAUUACAAUCAGAAGCACAGAACAGAACAAUCCGUGAUGAUGGAAAUAAUGAAAUCCCAAGCAGCAUUGAGCUGCUGUCAUUCAGUUCAAUUGAGCAAGCUAAACUUGGGAAAAAAAGGGUAAUAAAUCGAUAGCCACUGCAGUUUUCACAUAGAUUAGCUAGUCAAACCGAAUCACGUCCUACCCAAUCAAAGGCAACUAAAUUGCCGAUCGGGUUGAGCUGGACAUCAAUGGUAGAGAUUAGUAGUGAAAGCAAAGGUACCUUGCUGGUGGUGGCGCGGAGAGAGAGGAAGCUGUCGCAAUAGACCGUGCGCUUCAGCUUCUGCUUCAGGUGCUUCUUGAAGGUGACAUUCCAGCAAGCAUGGUCUCAAGCACAUAGUUCAUUUCAUCAAACACCAAAAUUGCACAUGAUCACCAAACACUAGACAGGCAAAACUUAGAUGGUUCACACUCACACAAAGCAUAAUUCAGCACACUAAUUACAAACACAAUCCAAGAGCAGUUCAGGAUUGAAAAAGAAAACCAGAGCACAUCUGUCCAUUCCUAGAACUUGCAUUACCAGCUCAAAAUGCAAGCAUUGAGUCCAUCACAAAGGAGUCAUACUGGAUUCCUGAAAGCUCUGACGUAUUCAUCUGUGGGAUUCUGCUGAGUCUGGAUGUUCUGUGGAAGGGCAACAAGGAUGUCGAUGCCAGAUUUCUGUCCCUCAAUAUUCUGUUUGAUGUGAAGUUCGUUUUCCUAAUCAAAACUCCAGAGUUAAAGCAUAAGCUGGUAGACUUGGGUGCAAUUUCUCCCUCUCUGCCCAGCCUUGAUUGAGGAUGAGGACCCCAAUACCAAUGUGUGUGCAGAAGCUCCUUCCGAUGCUCAUAGAGUUCAACUUGACUAAAAUUUCUGAGAUUCUACAACCAAAGACAGUCAGCCACUGCUUCAGAUUCUCACUUGGUGAUCUGUCCUGUGCAAAUGUGAAUGAUGGUGAGCUGCGCGUGGCUCUGGCAUCGGCUCUGGAAAUGGAUCCCAAGUUGCUUUCUCAGCUGAAAGUAGUAUGGCAUAUUGGAAACCUUUUGGAGUUUGUGCAUGAGAAAAAUAUGGAAGAUUUUCUCAAAUUGAUGCUUGGCUUGUGCAAAGCUCUUCUUUUUUGAUCACUAGGUUCUAUGAAAGGUUCCACAUACAUGGAAGAGCCAAUACUACUUGAUGAAAGUUCUUCUAAGGCAGUGAGUAACAUAUGAUACAUAACUGACUUUGGUGGCAGUGCCAGUGUUUUCCGGGAAUUUAGUGGUUCUCAUGACAGAAACAGUGCCAAUAUUGCUUCUAAAUGCACAGCUCUAUUACUGAAGGCAGCUCCAAGGGAAGGUGCUCUCUUUUUCUUACCAAUCUCCUGUAAGCCAGUGCGAUUCUCGAGUCUCAGCAAAAGGGUGCUCCUUCUCUACUGGUACCAACGAAUGCUGCAUUCUCUCAGUUACUCCUGUAGGCGAUGUUUACUGCACGGAAUGACUUUUGUCAGUGUGCCUGUCAAAGAUUGCUAUGAUUGAAGGCAUCAUUGCUGAGAUAAAAUAUUCUGGUGCUGCUGCUUUAGCCAGUGCUGCCACAUUGGUAAUCUCAGAAUUGCGGUGGCUACCUCAUUUAUGACUUCUCCAUAACAUCUGCAAGUCCCACUAAGAAGCACACCUUUCCCGAAAAAUAAACUGAACUUAAGCAUGGCAAUACAGAGUGUCUGUCUAAUUCAAAAUCGCAACAAUGAGUUGAUUGUGCUUUCAAGUCCCAGGAUGAGAACCAUAGUUGUAUGACCUUCCAACACACAUUCCAUCUAUUUGUUUACAGCAUAGCGAAUUUAUCUCCCAUGCAAAGUGAGGUUAUCAAUUUCAAAAUAUGUGUGAAGCAGCAAAUCAACAACGAUCUCUAAUAAUUUGUUACAUAUCAAGUAAAAAUGAUGCAAUUGACAUGCAUAUAUCUCUAGGAGAAACCAUCCUAAGAAAAUGUAGCUAAAAAAGCCAAACCAAACUAGGAAAAGAACACAAUACUUGUACAUAAUUAAGAGCCCUCUGGCUGUUCGAAGGCAUCAUAAUUUAAAUACCUUCAUCAGAUUUUCAGAAAAGAAUCCGCUAAAAGGUCAUUAAAAAGUGCAUGCAAAACUUCUCUGUUCAUAUCUGUGAAAGAAUUUGAUUGCCAAAAAAGGAAAACAUUGGUACUUACCUCAAUUUGUUUAAGGUUUGAACACAAGGGAACAAUUUGUGGUCGCGCAUCAAAAAGCUUCCAAGUGCAAUGUGCACUUAUUCAUCUUCUUCAUCGUCUUCUUCAUCAGAUUCGUCUUCUUCAUCGUCUUCUUCCACAGAUUCGUCUUCUUCAUCAGAUUCGUCUUCUUCAUCGUCUUCUUCCACAGAUUCGUCUUCUUCAUCGUCUUCUCCCACAAAUUUGAUUGACUGCUCCGAGCAAAGCUGAGAAAUUUCCUGCACUGCUAAUUUCCCACAACGUAAUAUUGUAACCUCUCGCACACUCUUCAAGCUUGAUAGAUCAGGCAACUUCUGUAAAGAUCCACAAUCUUUAAUCUUCAAUAUAUUCAAAGAUUGGGGUAGUUUGCCUUGAAUCUCAACCAGAUUAUGACAAUGUACUACUGAAAGAUAUGUUAUUCCGUCCAAAUUGCUAAGAUCAGGGAUCUGCAUCUGUUUAAAGCCAGAAAGCAGCAACCGAUGUCCACCACUAUAUUCAAACUCCUGAUUGCGAAAUUUUAUAAAAACAUUUGCCUUACCCACUAAGCUGAACAGAUCAGGGAACUCCAGAAACAAAUCUAAUUUAUCUAAUUUAUCGCAUCCUCUUAUUGUGAACCCCCCUUGCAGUCUCUUCAAGCUUGACAGCUCAGGCAACUUCUGUAAAGACUUACAGCAUUGAAUAUCCAAAUGUUCCAAAGAUUGGGGUAGUUCGCCUUGAAUCUCAACCAGAUUAUGACAAGAUUCUACUCUAAGAAGUGUUAUUCCAUCCAUCUUGCUUAGAUCAGGGAUCUGCAUCUGUUUAAUGCCAGAAAGCUGCAACCGAUUUCCACUUAAAUAUUCAAAAUCCUGAUUGCCAAUAUGCACAUACACAUAAACAUGUGUCUUACCCAUUAUGCUGAACGGAUCGGGGAACUCCUGUAACGAAUCGCAGGAACAAAUUUUAAGUUCAUCCAAAAACCGUGGUAGUUCGCCUUGAAUCUCAACCAGAUUACCACAAGUGAUUACUUCAAUAUGCCUCAGCUUGUUUAACUUGCUUAGAUCAGGUAGCAUCACCAGCUGUACGACGUCCCAAAGGCGGAAAUAUCGUAGGUUCUCCAAACAACCAAGGCCUUCAAUCUUUGCAACUGCAGAGCAGCAAAUGUCGAGAUCCGAUAGUUUCCUCAAAUUCGAUAGAUCCAUCGAGCCAAGUGAGUCGCAACCAGAGAGACGUAAGACGGAUAAACUUGAGGGAAGCCUCGGGGGGAGAGGCGGAUGAGGAGGGAGGCUGAGGUCUGUCGAUGAGGCGGUCCCCCCGAAAAAGCGCAAUAGCAGAGAUUCCAAUUUGCUUAAGUUCCCAAUCCACCGUGGUAUCCGUUUUUCCAGGAGCCCAUCAGAUUUCCCAUCACAGUUAGGUGGGCCAAAGCCUAGAUGCAAUACCUUUAAGUUAGCGAGAUUUGAGAGAUCCGGAAACGUGUCCACCCUCAACUCCUCCACUACUAAUUCGAUGAGACUUUCAGGAAACCUUGGUAGGGCGUGUACUCCCGGCCAUCCCAAUAUCUCCUCAAAUGGACCCCCGUAUAAGCAAUAGCCACUUAUUGCGUGGGCAUGUGUGACAUGAUUAUAACGGUCGGCGAUUUCCAUUCCCUUGACCUUCCCCAUCUUCUUCUUACAAGCAUCAUUGUUCGUUCUGUUUUCGAAACCAUUCUGCAUCUUCAUUACUUUCAAAUUCUUCAACAUUCCAAUGGAAUCGGGUACUUCUUCGAUGCUCGUGUGACUUAUGUCCAACUUAGUUAGCAAAUCCAAAUUUCCAACCGUCUCCGGAAGCCUCUGAAGAUUCCAACAAUUGCUUACAUCUAAGAAAAUUAAGCGUUUCAACUGACAAAUUGAUCCAUCAAUUUCGAUUAAUGAUUCACAGCCUGAUAGGAUCAAACGUUCUAAAUUUGAAUGAGCUGAGAAGUUGGGGAUUCUCUUCAAGUGUCGACAAUGGGCCAGAUUCAGAACUUUCAAAUUCUUCAACAUUCCAAUGGAAUUGGGUACUUCUUUGAUGCUCGUGUGACUUAUGUCCAACUCAGUUAGCAAAUCCCAAUUUCCAACCGUCUCCGGAAGCCUCUGAAGAUUCCAACAAUUGCUUACAUCUAAGAAAAUUAAGCGUUUCAACUGACAAAUUGAUCCAUCAAUUUCGAUUAAUGAUUCACAGCCUGAUAGGAUCAAACGUUCUAAAUUUGAAUGAACUGAGAAGUUGGGGGUUCUCUUCAAGCGUCGGCAAUGGGCCAGAUUCAGAACUUUCAAAUUCUUAAUCACCUGUGAAAGAAAAAUCAUGCAAAGUUUACUUUCGAAUUUAAUGAGAUGGAAGAAUAAGUGUUCUCUAGCAUAUAACAUACCUUCAUGUGGCUCCACCCCUUCCAAUCAUGUGUAAUUUCACUCUCAAAUAGAUCAAGGAUAGUCAAAUUCUCUACGGAGAAAUUUGCAAUCUCAAAUGUUGGGUGAAUAUUAUGCCAAGAAAGCCAGCGUAAUUCUGGAAGGAGAUUUGAAUCCAAAACAUCAGUUGGAAGAAGCAUCUUUUCUACACAAAAAGUUUGCUCCGAGUCAUCAACUUCAAGGAACCUUAGCCUUGAUAGGCUCUUAAAGUCCUUGUAGGUAAAACGGUUCUGAUGGUCCAAGCGGAGGCGAAGAGCUUCAACUUUUUUCUUCGUCUGCCCAAGGGAAAAUUUUUAAAAACAAGAAAGUUGAAGGGAAACACAUUUAGCCAAAUUCACUAUUUUAAAGGACUGAGUUGAGUACUACCGUUCCAUUAAUCUUAAAAAAGCAAAAAUGUCCAUAAGUAACUUGGAAAUUAAUGCACAGGGGAUUUUACCUUAGGGCUCUUCAGCAAAUCCAACGCUUUCUCACGAUCCCACACCCUACUUUGUUUAUUUAUAUUGGUUUCUUGACAAACUAUUUGUCUUCCAAGGUCUCUAAGUUGGUCGUGCAUCCACACUUUAUUAUCCUCUUUAAUCUUUACCAAAGACAUGUUCUCCAAAACAUCCAUGGCAUAUUCCGAAUGGAAUUCAGAUUCCCAAAAAUGAACUACAAUGUCUUUAUCAUAUCCAAUUAAGAGACAAGCUAUAUCAAGGAACUUUUGCUUUUCCUUUUCUUCUAAUUCAUCAUAACUUAUUUUCAAUCUACUCUGGACAUCCUUAUGAGGAUCACUUUCCCACUUACGUAAUUCGAAAUCCCACUUUUUCUUUUCAGUAGUGCAAGAUAAAAGUGAACCCAUGAGCUCAAGAGCUAGUGGAAGACCUCCAGCAAUUUUUAUCGCCCUCUCAGAUUGGUCGAUAUACUCGUCUAAAGGAUGAUCUCUUCUAAAGGCAUGUUUGCUAAAGAGUUGAAGAGAUUGAUCAUGAUCCAUGCCCGAAAGCUCAUAACAGCUGUCCACUUUAAGAACAUCAAGAACUUCUUUGUUUCUAGUAGUAAUAAUAAUUCUGCUCCCUUUACCAAACCAAUCACACUCACCAACAAGUGCAUCGCUAUGAUUCUUUUCAUGUACAUCAUCGAGAAGGAGGAGGACUCUUUUAUUAGACAACCAGGCUUUGAUGGUAUUAAUCCCAUCAUCAAUGUUUCUUAUAUAUGUGCAUUUGUCUUUGAGAAUGCUGGAGAUGAGCUGAUUCUGCAAGGAUUCAAUGCCCUCGCGUUCUGACAUUUCACGGAUGUUGGACAGAAAGCAACAAUCCUCAAAAUUUUCUAAAAGCUGAUUGUAGAUGAUUUUGGCAGUUGUCGUCUUCCCGAUGCCACCCAUCCCAUAGAUUCCUAUAAUCCGUGUUUCACUUGUGCGAGGACCUAUCAAUUCCGUGAUUGCAUCAACAUGGUUGUCGACAUUGACCAAGCAAUUUGAUACUACCAAAUAAGCCUUUUUCAACUCAUUGAAAACCUUCUGCAUGAUUGUUUUUGCAAACUGACCUUCUUGCCUAUUAUUCGUUGAAAGUCAAAAGGCAAUGAGUUAGAAAAUUGAGUUAAGCCAAACUAUGCUCUAACAAGACCAAAUUGAAAACUACAGACCUAUUCUAAAUGCGUUCCUCAACGAUUUAUACCAUUUUGAUAAACUAGCACUGGAACUUAGGGUAAAUGAAUGACCUGAACUAACGGAAAAAUGUUGCUUGCUGGGAAUGAAAUGGGACAAAAAUUGACAUGGUGAUAUUAUUUAGCCUGAUUUUGCUGCAUAAUUUCAAUUGCAUACAAUUCAAUUUCAACAAGACUAACACAAAUUUAGAAAAGAAACCAAUUUAAAUGCAUCGAGUUUAACGAUACAAGGCACAUGAGAUGGAAUGCUAAAAGUAGUCACCUGUUGGGCAUGCUUUGCAGGUCCCAUCCAUUUAUAUCCGCGACUGUAGUGAGAGCAUCCUUCCACUCCGCAAUAGUCUUUUCGUCAUAUCGCCUCUUUCUUUUGUGUGAAACAAAAGCUUUUUUAAAACUCCCGGUUUGGCGUCGAACAUCCGAAGGUGUCACAUCAUAAAAUAUGGGCAUGAUCUUUUGUCCUUCAUUUUUCUGGCACUUGACCAUUUGAACUAGCUCUCUGAGACACCAUACGCUAGAGGCAUAACCUUUUGAAAAGAUAGGUAUUAAGAUCUUCGACUGAUUGAUUGCUUCAGGAAGUUCUGGGGCAAACUCUUCCCCGACACGGAGCGCGUCAUCGUCCCUAAAUGUGCGGAUUCCUGCAUCUAUAAGAUAAUUGUAAAGGAAGUCGGUAAAACCUGAUCGUGUGUCAGGCCCUCUGAAACUCAAGAAUACUUCAUAGUCAUGUCCGGAAGAUGUUGCCGUUUCCUCAACUUGUGGUGUAGUGCAAGUAUGAGCAGCCCUCUCUACGGUACCAUUCUGUGGAGCUGAAUCAUUAUCUGCACUGCCCUCCACAGCGGUCUGACCUGCUCUUUUCUUCAGGAAUCCUUUGAACAGGAUGGCAGAGAGAGAUAUGGCAGCAACUGUCACCAUACAGGGCAACCGCAAGUGCUCAAGCAUUUUGUGAGUUAGCAAAGAGAAGGUUUUUAGUUAGAAAUACAGGGGAAUGGUGGAACAGCAGAGAUGAGAGGCGGCACUUAAAGAUCAGGAUGGAGUAACGAGGAACGGCUAGAAAUCGCCAGAGAAAGAGUAGAGACUGAGGCGAGGGCGGCCACUGAUGCUGCGACGGAACAUCGACGAGGCAGACGAGGAGAAGGAUCGAGAGAANNNNNNNNNNNNNNNNNNNNNNNNNNNNNNNNNNNNNNNNNNNNNNNNNNNNNNNNNNNNNNNNNNNNNNNNNNNNNNNNNNNNNNNNNNNNNNNNNNNNAUCACCCAUUCUGUAUGCGGUAAUUCCGCUCGGGGUAUAACAUUCAACUGCAAUUUCAUAAAAGGUUCUGAAGGAUUAUUCUCUACACAUCAGAAAAGGUCACCAUCUUUCAUCUGGCAUUUCCUAAACAUUGUUCACACUGCGCUAGCUUUGAGGAAGAAAAAAAAAAUAGUAGCAACAACGUUUCACGUGCUAUGAUGCAUAACAAGUUGGUCUCCAAGACCAACCCAUCACAUCCGCUUUGAUGUAAGUUGUCUCUUCUCAUAUCUUAGGAACGAAAAUUGUCCCUUUCUAAGGUUGAUUCUAGAGAUUUGGCCCUCCACUUUCCUUUUUGAGUUCAUAUUUGAUCACAUCCUUUUAUUUGAUGAGCAAAACUAAAAUACGAAUCCUACACUUCGGUGACCGUUUGAAUUCUUGCCCAAGGCUUUCAUAUUACAAAAAAAAAUAAAAAAUCAAUGUAUUUAAAAAAUACUUCAGCUGUGCUUGCAAACAAGUGUAAGCUGAAGUAUUAAAGUGGUGGAAUGUCAUUGGAAGGUUAAACCAACGAACAGACCAUGGCUAGCAGAGUAUCCUUCCAAAUGUCACUUCUAGAAAUAUAGACAUAGCACAAUGUAGAGUUUUCUUCUUAAAAAAAUUUGGCUCGAAUCUCAUGAACUUAAAUAAUUCCCAAAGGGUCUUACAUCUCAACAAACAACAUGAUUGCAUUUACAUUGGACACAGCACAGUGCAAAGUUUCCGGCCGGCCACCCCGGAGGAGUUGCCCUCCUCCGGGACCUUUCAUUGGAGGUUUACCAACCUAGUAUGCUAGGAGAAGGCAGUGACCUCCCUCCAGGCGGGAUCCCAGCACUAGAAGUGCUAUGGCCGGAGAGCCCAAUGGGGACUCUAUCCUGUUUUCCUCCCCUCACUUCCCUGUAAAUGGGUUGUGGGAGGAAGCACCCUAGGAUGUCCUAUUAAGGGUGGAGCACUUUAAGGACCUGCUUAGGUCCUCACUUCUAGAAAUAUAGACAUAGCACAAUGCAUAGUUUUCUUGUAAAAAAAAUUUGGCUCGAAUCUCACGAACUUAAAUAAUUCCCAAAGGGUCUUACAUCUCAACAAACAACAUGAUUGCAUUUACAUUGGACACUGCACAGUGCAAAGUUUUUUUUUUUUUUUUGGUUAGUGCAAAGUUUUUAUUCCCCUUAAAAUAAAAUUAAGAAAAAAGACAAAAAGACAAAAGUUCGAAUCUUUUUGAAUCUCUAUAAUAUAAAUAAUUUCUUCCUAAUGUCACUUCCAGAAAUAUGGACAUCUAGUCUCUCUAGAUUAGAUCAAAACAUUAUCCAACGCAAUUCAUUUGAUGAAUGGUUGUAGUUUGAAAUCUUACAAAGUUCUAAAAUUCCGCUGGCCAAAAAGGAGUUUUGAUAUAUGCGUUGUAAGUUUGAAUAAUCAAAUAAUAAAUUUCAAAUAUAGCUGGUAAGUGAAAAUUACAUAUGACUUUAUAUAUAUAUAUAUAAUAGACCAAGUAACGAUUGCAGCCAUAAGGACGUACUUAAGCUGAACUUGCACCGAGAGCAACCAUGUCUACUGAAGAGAAAAUAGCCGACCCUGAGGCGGCGAAGCCGGCUGAAGCGCUGCCGCUGAAAGAGGAGGCCCUGCCUCCACCCACGAGGCCUCCCGACGAGGCGAGCUUGCUCACAGCGGACGUGGCUCUUCAAGGGUUGCUGUUUGCUUCGAUGCUAAUCGCGCUCUUGAGGACCAUUCUAAGUUUGGUUCUGGAGAUUUGGUCCUCUACUAUCCUUUUUGAGUUCAUAUUUAUAUUAUUGAUGCACACCAAUACACACGCUUUUACUUGAUGGGCAAAAUUUAAAAAAUCGAGCAAGUUAAUUGAGUCGAGCCCCGAUACCGCGGCCACAUGCAACCACGGCCGUGCGAGGCCAGCAACCUCCGUCUGUCGCGACUUCUAUUGGACAUAGGUUGUGAGUUCCGUGCGGAGAAAAAAAGAGACCAUAGGAUAGCAAACAAGUCAAAUCGGUGAGGAGUUAAUGUCGCCGGUGGAUUCACACAUGAAGGUGAGGGCUUGUGAUGGCAAUGGGUGGGCGACACGUAAAAAUCCUAAACUAUAUUAACUAUGACACUAAUUAUUCCAAAUUUUUUUUUUCAUCAUAAAAAAUCGAAACUCGUAUCAGAAAUCCAAAAGUACUCUCCAUCCAAGUUGGUCAUUAAAAAUUUAAUGUGCCUGUUUGCGUGGACAACAAUAGACAAAUGAAGCAGACAUGACUCGGGAGAAUUCCACCAAAAAGCCUAAACCUUGCCUGGUGUGACAACGAAACCCAAUUUUUUUACCUGUUACUAAUACUAUAUAUAAACUUGUACCAGUGACUUGCAAAUAUUAUGCAUCACAGUUCCAUUCAAGACGGCCGUUAAAAAUCCAAUGUGACCGCUUGCUUGGACAUCGAUAAGCAAAUGGAGCCAAUGUCGAUAUGAUGUGAUUUUAGUAUGGUCUAAAGUGACUUUAGACCACUUGCCAAAGUUAUAAGUUUUUAAAAAAUUAAAUCUCCGUGGUAACAAGUUGUCUCUCACAAUUUUUAGGGUCCAGGAAGUGGUAUAAUUUGGAGAUGCAGUUUUUUUUAAGGGCUAAUACCCUAAAAAACCCCAAACUGGUACACUCGUGAUAAAUUUACCCUAAACUAUUUUUUUGACCACAAAAAAUCCCAAAUUGGUAUUACUUUUGACAAAUUUACCCCAAACUGGUAUAAUUGUGAUAAAUUUACCCUCUGUUAGUUUUCGUUAAAUUUUAUUGUCAAAUUAUUAAGUUAAAUGACACGUGACAAUUAAUUAAUAUAUCAAUUUGAGAUUUUAUGAUCCAUUUGUCAUAGUUUACAAUUUUUGUGAUUUUUUUGUAGUAUUAAUCCAAUUUAGCGAAUAGUAUAUUUGUCACAAUUUAUCAGUUUGGGGCUUUUUGUGGUUGAAUAAAUUAGUUUGGGGUAAAUUUGUCAUAAAUGUACCACUUUAUGGUUUUUAAUGGUCAGUCGGGGUAAAUUUGUCACAAGUGUACCAAUUUUGGGUUUUUUAUGGUAAAAAAAAUAGUUUUGGGUAAAUUUGUCCUAGAUGUACCAGUUUGAGGUUUUUCAGGGUAUUAACCCUUUUUUUUUAAUAAUAAUUGGGACGAAUUCCUCUCUAUUUAACUUAAAGCGCUCCGAGCUUAAUUUGAAACUAAUAUGCAAAAUAAACGAGCUUCAACUUAUUCUCCAUUUAUUUCGUAAAAAAUGAAUGAUUUGGAAAACAUUUUAUAUCGUUCAUAAAAAUGAAUAAAUUAAAUAUAUUUUCAUUAUCUAUGAAAAUAUUUAGAUAUAAAUUAUUAUCGAUAGUAAAAAAAUUUCAUUAAUUAAUUAUUUCAAGAAAUAUAAACGAUGAUUAUCAUUCAUUUUUCACGAAAUAAACGGAGUGCUAACUUUAACAAAAGUGUAAUGAAAUAUAUUCUUGCUUUGCCUUUCUUUUCCUUUUUCUCUAUGCACUUGAGACCUUACAUUCGUCCACCUUCUUUUUAGCAUUUCACUUAUGUUCUUCUCCUUUUCGGGACAAGAAAGAAUAUGAAGGGAUAUGAUUGUUCACUUUGGAUCUCUUUAUUGGCAUCAAUUAUAUGGUCUAUCGUCAUACCAAUCUGAUAUCUAUCAACGUCUUUUUUUUGGAUAUGGAUUCAUCAACAAUGUUAGCGUGCAAACACUCAGUACAAUUUUGUGCCGAAGGGUAAUACUUUUCCCCAAAAAAAAAAAAAAAACUGGAAUCCCUCACGAUCUUCCUUCUUUGUUCGAUGAAAAAUCAUUUCUGGAAAAUUUCUUUCCUUACUUUCCAGUUUUUGAAUCACGUAAAGCUACUCGAUCCAUAAAAACGUUUACCAUGGGCUAAAAGUAAUAAAUAAGCUUAGAGAAAAAUGACUUGGCAAGAAGAAUUGUUUUCCCUGAUUUUUUUCCUAAUUUCUUUGUAAAUCGUUGUUAUUUUCAUGGAUUAUAGAAUAAACGGUGAUGAUAGUCAUCACAUGUUACUUUUAACUAUAUAAGCCACCCUUAAUGAAUUCACUUAUUACCAAUUAUGAUAAAAUCAAUUUCUUCAACUUGUUUUCAGCACGAUCAAAAUUUUGUGUUUACUUUUUCUGAGAUUGAAUUUCCUAAAACAUUUUCCCUCAAAAAAAAAAAUUCUUAGUGAGAUAAACACAACCUAAGAGUUUGUUUUCACAUGAUGUUAUUCGAUUGAAAGAAAUAGUAAGAUGGAAUUAUCAAUGGAUAUGAGAAUUGGACAUUGAUUUGUUGUCAUAUGAUUAUUGGGGGUUGAAUAAGAGAAUAAUGAAUCGGUGUAGCAUUUUAUAGAAUGAUCUUAGUGAAAUAAUUUUACGAUAAAAUCUCUACGUUUAUGGAAGUCUGAUUGGGAGGCACAGAGUGCCAAAUCAAUGGAUCAUUGAUGUGAUUCCUUCCUGAGCAAGCUGGUUCAUCAUGGACUCUUGGUAGUCAAAGUCUUCGUUGAUUUUGACUUUGCCAUUCUAAUCCUGUGACGUUUCCUUCUCGUUGCACCACUCCAUACGCUGUUCUAUCUUCUUUUUUUUCUCUCUUUCUGAGAGUGGUAGCUAAUGCGAUUUUAAAUCUAAUGAUAGUAUUUUGACGCAAGGCAAAAUUAUAUGUAUACUACAUUUUUAUUCUUUCCAUUCAAUUAAAUUAGAUUUUAUCAACUUUUCUAUUGAUUGAUGACACGAUUGGCUAGAUUAUUUAAAGAUAAAAUAUCUUCUGAACAUAUGGUAUUUGUUUUGCAAGUAUUUUUCAAAUUUCUAAAUCAAUUCCAUGGCUACUAAACAUUUUGUAUUUCACGAGAGAAAGUAGCCACUUCGCAACUAAAGUUUCAUGAUAUCGACUCGAUAGAAACCAAAAUAGCCAAAGUCAACUUCUUUCAACCAUUCUUUAGCCAACCAAAGUCACUCGUAAAGAGUUGGCCUUUAUAAUAUCAUAAGCUUUUCAAGAUCGGGAUAACGAUCAAUUCCAUGAUGAAUAAACAAAGCAUUACCUCCUCUUCAUUGAUCUCUCUUGAUCUUCUCUCCGAGAAAAAAAAGUCGAACUGUAUAACAGCAAAAUCAAUGCAGCACAUUGCGAAAUCUAAAUCACUUUUAGAAGCCAAAAUUACAAAUGGAGAUCUCCAUGGGUCAAUAAAAGUAGAACACAGGAUAUGUUGACUAAGCUAAGAGCCGGGGGCAGUUCGUAUUCUAAUGAUAUGUCUUUGUAGAGUUUGCUUUCACCCUGAAACAGAACCGCACGGUGUCCAAUGCGUCUUCCUUCUUCCAUUGAAUCAUAUCAUCCGAGAGCACCGUGUCGCCAUAAAUGCCCCCGCCCUUGCCCACAAAUUAACAAGAAUGACGGGGGCACGGGGACCCACUCGUGGCUUUGCUUGAACAUAAUUGUAGUGUCGCCUUCAGGACAGGGGUGUGUCCCAUUCGGGGAAAAAGUAUCAUGUCUAUUUUGAAGAAAACGCCCCGUCUGUUUUUCGUGCUCUCCAAACCUCAAAAAUACAAAGGAAGUUUGGGAAAAUAUGGCAAUUUCAAUGGGGACGCAUGGGCUAAAAAUCCAUGAUUUCGGGGUUGCCCUGCCAAAUGCGGCGUAUGGACUAGAUUACACCUCUCUUCACUUCCUCCCUAUUCUUCGAGCAGGUCUUGCCCGCUCGAGCCGCAGGGCAUGUGAACCUGACUCGUGCACAACUGGAUUAUGUGAAUUCUCUAUACGUUCCAUCUCAUCCAUUGGUACGCAUGACCCUAGAUUGAUUUAGCAUCUUCUUCCUAUUAAGUGGCUCCCGCUUCACCGCACCCGAUAUCAUCAAUCUCCUCAUGUGAGUCAUGUGACCACCGACAGUUGACAAGUUUAUGUUCCAUCCGCCAUGUGAGUUAUGUGAUCACCAACAGUUUAUAGGUCUAUGUUCCAUCCGCCAUAAUCAUGGCCCCUUGUCCUUUUCCCUCUGCUCCUCUCCUUUCUUCCCUAUCAAUUGUGUUUUGUCUUUUUUAUGCUGCCAAAAUACCCAAUGCCCUCUUGGCGAGGAAUUUAUUUAUCCUUUUCUUUAUGGUAUUGAUUUUAAUGAUAAACUGGGAUGAUGGCCUUUCUCUGUUCCUAAAAAAAUCUCUAGAUAUAAAUUUGGGAGUUUAAUAAAUAUACUUUAGGGGAUUCAAUGCUCUCAUGCUUUAUUCAUGUAUAGAUUCUCUGCCCCAGUCUUAAUGAUGAUCUUAGGAGUUUUAGCAUCUCGUUGAAUUACAAAGAUUUAUUCCUCCACACAUUAGAUCUGUGUUUAUCUAACAUAUUAUGGUUGUUUUCAUACAAUGAUGGUAUAGAGGAAGCUGAAUCUAGGCAUGCACCAUCAACUAACAACAUCAUAAUUAUUGAAGAAUGAAUUUUUUGGCGUGUACUCAUCACUGACAUAGACUCGAGAUAUGGUGAUUGGUUGCCACUUUUGUUUGACAUAUCUGUUCAUGUGGAACGAGUUUGUGUUUAACUUUGCAAUUGCUCCAUCAAUCCUCCUUAUGUUCUGGAUUUGGCUUUGUUUUUUAGUAUUCAUGCUCUGUUUUGAUUUGCUUUGUCAUGAAAAUUAUGUACUUCUGCAUCCUUUUGAGUAAUGAAUACAAUUUUCUUUCGAUCGAAAAAAAAAAAAAAACUAAGUCAAGCCCCGACACCACAGCCAUUCAACCAUAGAUUUGUGGCUCUGGCGACCUCUGCCAAUCGCGAGUUCCAUGUACAUAGGUUUAUGAGCUUUGUGCAAAAAGAAAAAUCCCAACGCUGAGUGCGCAAUUCCAUAAAAAACCUAACCUUUAUAUUUACCGUAAUACCAAUUAUCCAAGCUGUAUUUUUAUCAUCAAAAUCCCAAACUUAUAAGGUAACCAAAAAAUACGUUCCAUCAAAGUUUGGUCCAAGAUAAAUGUUGAAAAUCUAAUGUGGCGUCUUGGAUGGCGAUGAACUUAAAAAUCUGAAUAAAGCUUUUGAAAGAAAACUGGACUUAGCAACUUUUAGGGUCCAAGAAGGAAGAUAAUCCACUUGGCGGUCCUUUUUGUAAAAGAAAUGAGCUACAAUUUUAACUUCAAAGGAAAAGUGUGAUGGAAUACAAAUUCUUGCUUUGCUUUUACCCUUUUCCGCUAUGCGCUUGAGACUCACAUUCGUCCACCUUGAUUUUAGCAUUUCACUUUUGGUCUUACUCCUUCUCGGGAGAAGAAAGCAUAUGAUGGAUCUCUCUUUAUUUGGAUUUUUUUUUUACGACUCUCUUUAUUUGGAUGAAGAGACCAAAAUAUUCAACAUGCCCCGGUUUAGAAUUUUUUUAUCUUUCCUUUUAUUUAGUUUCUUUUCUAGGUGAACUUCGUUUAAACUCCACGACAACUCCUUCCACAUCAUUCCUUGACCUUUUCGCACGUUUCUUCCUUUGCUUCAAAUCCUUAAUCUUCCCCUCGUUGGCACUGCUCUCUGCUCACACGCCUCCAAAACCCUAACCCCAUGCCCAUGGCCAUGGUCAUUUCCGGUGAUUGACGAACUGACCUCCUCAAAGUUGCCGGGGAGUGCAUGAUCGAUGUGAACGCUCCAACACCAGCAAGACCUUCAGACUUCGAUGGGUACAGAUGUGGACUAAAUGAACCUAUUGGUAUUUGACAAGGAUGACAUGGAGGAAACACGAUGAGGCAGCCAAGGAGGAAAAAUAAAAUCCCGCAAGAUCCAAAGGUGUGAAACUGUUUGGUUCUAGAAUUCAUGGGCUCUUAAGAGUGCGUUUGGUAACGUUUCUGUUUAAAAAUUGUUUAUGGGAACAGAAAUUAAAAAAAAAAAGUGUUUAUGUUCCAGGGAACAAUUUUUGAACAAAAAAACGCGUUUGGUAAAUCUGUUCCAGAAAUACAAAAAUAAUAGAAACACGUUUGGUAAGUUUGUAUAAUUUUUUUAUUUCUUUUAAUUUUUUAAUAUUUUUAUUUUUAUUUUCUAUUUUCUUUCUUAUUUUUCUUAUUUAUUUUUCCUUUUUUCUUUUUUCUUUUUCCUUUUUCCUUUUUUCUUCUUUUGGCCGGCGGCCUCGCCUAGCCACAGCGAGGCUCGCUGGCCCCUGGCAAGGGGCGGCGUCGUUGGCCGCUGUGUGAGCUCGGCCUCGCCGGGUUUGGGCGAGAUCGAGCUCGCCCAGCCAAGCGUGAGGUCGGCCUCGCCGCGCCGGGCCGACGGUGACCCAGAGCCACACCGUCGUCUCCCUCCACCGCAUCGGCAACCGCGCUCGACGCCUCCUCACCGCCACCGCAUCGGCGACCACCCCUCCGCCUCACGCUCGAUCGACGCAUCUGCAGGUCUCGAGCCUCCGUUCGCCACCGCCGCAUUAGAUCUCACCGCGCCAUGACCCACGACUUUGAGAUCCGCUCGAUCGUCGACCCCGCGCCGGCCCACGACUCGACCGGCCGUCCUCGCCGCUCCGCUCCUAGACGUCCGCCGCUUGAGACCCCACAGCCGAGCCCCGCACCGCAGCCGCCGCCGCCGCCGCCUAGCGACCCGCGACCCAGCUCCGUCACCCGCUCGCAGGUGGAGACGCUUGCAGCGGCUGUCGGUGCCAGAGAGGACGACGGUGGAGAAGCCAGAUGGUCUCGAGACAGAGGCGGCUAUCGGCGCUGGAGAAGACGACGGUGGAGACGCUUGCAGGAGGAGAGGCUCGCAGGAGAACAUGAUUUUGUUUCUUUUUUGUUCUUCAAAUAUGUUUCAGAAAUAAGAAACAAGAAUUUCUCAUUUCUUAUUUCUGUUCCCUUUUUGUUUCUGGGAACAAAAAAACAAAAAAGGAACAGAAACGCACCAAAACGCGUUUCUGUUCCUUUUUUGUUUCCAGGAACAAAAAAACCAGAAAUUUUUGUUUCUGGGAACAGAAACACGGUGCAAACAAACGUGCCCUAAGUCUUUUCAUACGUACAUCCGAAUUUGACAAAAGCAAAAUUUAAAAUUGAAGCAAUUAAUCACGAUUGACUUGAUGAGUCAAAAAAGACUCUUGGGAAGUAUAAAAUUCAUCGAUUCGAGACCAACGGAAGAUCAAAUUUGUUUUCCGAUAGCUUUAGCUUUGAUUAAACUCCACUAAACUUUUGUUUUAGUAAAACAAAACUCCAAAGGUCUCAUUGCAAUUUUUUUUUUCAAAAUCGGACUCCUUCCAUUUAAAUUGAAAUUGAGUGUCCUCCAUUAUAGCUCAGAAGCUCCAGGAAGAAGAGAAAAUAGGUGGGAUCCCAUUGCCUUAACUCAUCUCUUUAUAAUAAAAAAAAGAGAGAGACUUUUCGUAUUAGAUGCAGGCCUUAACUAUCAAAGACCACUCCUUCACCAUAGAAAUAUCAAGGAAAUAAAAAGGAAAGAUCUUUUUCAAUGACUUUUGGGUAGGUCAUUGAACUUAGAAGCCAUAGGAUUGGCUGAACAUGCAGAGAGAGCCAGUUUGCUGCAAAAUUUGGUCAAUAACGAUGAUUCCUUGAAGCAUCGGUCAAGCUUGCCAAAGUUGACAAUUAUUUAUGUUUCUUAACACAAAAAAAAUCACUAGACCAUGUGAUGCAAAAAUUUUGGGAUUAGAAUCGACUUUUGCGCCCCCCCCCCCCCCCCCCCAAAUAAAUGGCAUAUUCAUUCAAAGUCAAGUCAACAAAAGCAUACACCAAAUUUUGGUAAUUGACGAGUGUAUUAAUUUGGAGUUUUAUCAUUUAUUUGUCACAUAUGAUUGGUUUGUGCUUUUUCCUAGUAUUAAUCCUAUUUAACGGAAACUAAUGGAGGGUAAAUUUGUUACAAUGUGCCGAUUUGAAGUUUUUGGUUAUCAAAAAAUUAAUUUGGGAUAAAUUUAUCACGGGUAUAUAAGUUUGGGAUUUUUCGUGGUAUUAACUCUAAAAACAAUAAGAUUUAGAGAAAAACAACUUGGCAAGAAGAAAUCAUUACCCUUAUUUUCUUGCUACGCUUUAAAGUGAGAAGAAUAUACUUUAUCAAUGCUCAAUUUUUCUACAUUCCCAAGCACGAUUAAUCUAAUAUUUUACAAAUAUGAUUUCAUAAUUUCUAUCUUGAUUUCUUUGUAAUCGUUUUAUUUCAAUGGAUUAUAGAAUUAAUGAAGAAGAUAUCAAUUCUAGUUUAUUAGUCAUUCCAUGUUACUUUUAACGAUACAAGCCACAUCUAGUGGAUUCACUUAUUACUAAUUACAAUAAAAUCAGUUUUUUUCAACUUGUUUUCACCAUAAUCAAAUUUUUCCGAUUCCCUUUCUCUGAAAUUGAAUUUCCUAAAAGCAUUUUCCCGCAGCAAAAAUUAGCGAGAUAAAGAAAUCUUCAGGGUUUUUAUUUUUAUUUUUAUUUGAUUUUCUAAUUUCAUAUGACAUUAUAUGAUGGGAGGGAAUUGUAUGAUGAAAUUAUCAACGAAUAUGAGAAUUGGAGAGCAAUUUGUUGCCAUGUAAAUUUUGUGGUUGAAUGGGAGAAAGAUCAGUAAGUGUUGGAUUUUACAGAGUGAUAUGGUGACCUUUUUUUUCUCUUCUUUUUGAUAAAAUCACUACAUUUAUGGAUGUCUGUCUGCAAGGGACAAAGUACCAAAUGAAUGAACCAUUGGUGUGAUUCCUUCUUGAGCAAAAGCUGGUUUAUCAUGGACUGUUGGUAGUCCAAGUCUUUGUGGACUUUGACUUUGCCCUUACUGGUAGACUAUUCUUUUAUUUAUCUAUUUUCUUUGGAGAGUGGUAGGUAAUGCAAUCUUUAAUUUAAUGAUUUUAUUUUGAUGCAAGAUAAAAUUGUAUAUAUACUGCACUUCACAUGAUAACUAAAAAUUCUAUGUUUCACGAUGGAAAAAUAGCCACUUCACAAUUGAAGUUUCACAAUGCUAACUCAACAAUAGCCAAGGUAAGUUGCAUAUACCAAAAUCAGCUUUUGUCGACCAUUUUUUAGUCAAUAAAAGUCACCCGUAAAGCGUUGAUAUGUACGAUAUCAUAAGCUUUUCACGGUCCAAAUUAUGAUCAAUCCAAUGAUGAAUAAACCAAGCAUUGCCUCAUUUCCGUUGAUCUCAUUUGAUGUUUUCUUUGAGAAAAGAUUCAGACAUGGAAAAAAGUUCAGGAGCCCUACUUAUCAAGUGCUGCUAGGCCGGAAAAAAUAAAAAUCCUUGAUCAAAUGGUGGCCGCCAAUCAAUCAACUAUCAAAGUAAUUAACUCAUUGGGGACCUCAACCAUCAUUCAUGGCGAAACUGGCCCGUGAGGAUCCAUGAAAAUCUUGUCAAAAAAGCAAAGUGAUAGUGAAAAGAAAUAAAGCAAUACGGAAAAGAAAAAAAAAUAUGGAUUCUAGUGUGGAAAAGAAGACCCGCCUUUGCUUUAGCAUGUGCAUUUGGUAGUCCAAGUCUUCGUAUGCUUGGGUCAAUCAUUGGUUUGAUUCCUUCUUGGAGUAAAGCUGGUUCAUCAUGGACUGUUGUUAGUCCAAGUCUUCGUAGACUGACUUUGCCCUUCUAAUGCUGUGAUGUUUCAAUCCAAUGAUGAAUAAACCAAGCAUUGCCUCCUCUCUGUUGAUCUCAUUUGAUCUUUCCUUCGAGAAAAGAUUCAGACAUGGAAAAAAGUUCAGGAGCUCUACUUAUCAAGUGCUGCUAGGCCCAAAAAAAUAAAAAUCCUUGAUCAAAUGGUGGCUGCCAAUCAAUCAACUAUCAAAGUAAUUAACUCAUUGGGGACCUCAACCGUCGUUCACGGCGAAACUGGCCCGUGAGGAUCCAUGAAAAUCUUGUCAAAAAAGCAAAGUGAUAGUGAAAAGAUAUAAAGCAAUACGGCAAAGAAAAAGAAUAUGGAUUCUAGUGUGGAAAAGAAGACCCACCAUUGCUUUAGCAUGUGCAUUUGGUAGUACAAGUCUUUGUAUGCUUGGGUCAAUCAUUGGUUUGAUUCCUUCUUGGAGCAAAGCUGGUUCAUCAUGGACUGUUGUUAGUCCAAGUCUUCGUAGAUUGACUUUGCCCUUCUAAUGCCGUGAUGUUUCAGUUCUCUCGCACCUCCCCUAUGCUGUUCCGCCUUAUUUUUUCUCUGUUUUAGAGUGGUAACUAAUGUUAAUGCCAUGGUAAAAUGAGGCACAGGGAGCUUAGAUUUUAGAUUGUUGGCAUCUAUAUCAAUAUCACAUCAAACAAUCUCAUGCAAUUCAUAAUCUAAUGAUUGUAUUUCAGUGCAACGCAAAAACCAAAUAUAUGCAGCACUUUCGUACUUUCCAUUAAGUUAAAUUAGAUGGUAUCAACUUUUUUUUAUCGAUUGAUGACAUAAUUGGCAAGACUAUUUAAAAAUCAAAGUAUUUCUAAAUAGAUAGUGUUUGUUUGCAAGUUUAUUUUAUUUUAUUUUAUUUUAUUUUUCUAAAUCAAUUUUGUGGUAAUUAACAUUCCAUGUUUCACAAUAGAAAACAAAAUCUCGCUAGAUCAGAGGUAUAAAGAUGUUCCAUUCUGAAAUUCAUAAGUUCUUAAAUCUUUUCAGGCAUAAAUCCAAGUGUGAAAAAAACCAACAUUUAAGAUUGAAGUUAUUAAUCGCGAUGACUUGAUGAGUCAAAAAACACUUUUGGAAAGUAUCGAAUUCCCAUUUGAGUAGCAUCUAUUUUCACAAAUCUAUUUAUUCACUUGCUAAAUAUUAAAUCAUGAUUUGAUCAUAUCACUUAAUGAAUCAAUUUUAGUAUACUUAUUUAAAUUACUUGUAAAUAACCUAGAUUUAUUUGUUAAACUUCAAAUGAUGAAGAGCUCAUGCUUAUUGAGCUUCCUCCUUUAGCUCAAAAGCUCAGGGAGAAGAGAAAAUAUGUGGGAUUCCAUUGCCUAAUUCUUACUCUUUUUAAAGGAAGAGAAAGACUUCUCAUACAAAUGUGGGCCAUAAUUAUUGAGACAUUUUUUCCUUUACCCUAGAAUACGUAGGGAGUCAUGGGCCAGUUUUGCUGCAAAAUUGGUUGGCAAGCAUGCUUCCUUGCAGCAUCAUUGCGGCCUGUCAACCGUGACAAAUAUUACGUUUCUGAACACGGAAAAUCACUCGACUAUGUGGUGCAGAAAUUUUGGGAUGAAAAUCUACUUUUGCCCCCAAAUAAUUCAUUCAAAGUCAAGUAAACAAAAGCAGACACGGAACUUCCAAAACAAGUUCGUUUCCCCCAUUCUAAUUAAGGUGAACUCCAGUCGGUCCAGUUUAAUGGGCUGAUCAGGCCCAGGCCCGGAAUAACUCUGAAGCAUAAAGCCUAGUGGAAUUAUCACGCUUGAUCUUCAUCAAAGCACUCCCUAGUGGUCAAUUGAAUUAAGAAAAUAUUACAUUUUAUUUCGGAGGUGAACCAUCCUUUGCAUUUAACCUGUCGUUAGUGUCAAAAAUUGCUUAUCACAAAACGUUUUAGUUGGACAUUAAAUCCAUGCAUUGUGCUGAUUAUUAUAUAAAACAUUACUAAAAUAGAGUACACAAAACCAAUGUGUAAGCACAGUCUUGUGGCGUAUUAAAACUUUGAGCCACCAACAAGCGUGGUAAAUAAGCUCAUGAACAUGAUGUGACCUAUUAGAUCUCAUUUGGAAUUUAACUCAAUUAGCAUUUCCACAUUCACAAUUGAACUCGAAAGCCUCUAUGAUGAUUGGGAAAAGUUUAGUGAAGCCUUUCUAAUGACUAUAAUGAUUAUAAAAAAAAAAAUAUUGACUCCCCCUGAAUUCAAGUAUGAAAGUUUUCUAUUUCAAAUAAUGUUUCGGAGGUGUGGCUCUUUGAUCUCUCAGUUAAUGCUUGUGGAUUAUCUAUUACAAAGGGGGAAAAAAGAGGCAAAAAUAAAAGAACUUAUGGACAACACGAGACUAUUCCAUGUUAAAAUUUGAGAAUUGGAAAAAAUUUGCCACGCUUCUAUUAAUUUGAAAUUAAAUGAUUUGGGUUGCUAUUUCAGAUUUACCUUGACAUUAGAUGAUGUCAAACCAAGUCCAUUUGCAGCUAGAAACAUUUUUUUAGUAUAAUUAAGAAUUGAAAUGGCUCCUCUUCAACUUCUGUGAAUCCAACUUAAGAGCCAUGCUUUACUGGAAAAACAAAUUGGACAUGCAUUUACCGAUGUAGAGUAUUAAUUUUCUUCACGCCACAAUUUUGUGUUGGUUAUUGUCAUAGAGGUGAUGCCAUAAGUGCUAAGAUACUUUCACACACAUUGUAACAGCUACUUUGAUGUAUAUAGUAUUAUGAAGUUAUCGUUCUCUUGCGUGAAGAAAGGAAAAAUGAUGCUUAGCUCUUUGUUGGUUGAUCUCCAACUUGAAAAGUUUGCUUUUUACAUGGAAAUGAACAAAUAUUGGACAGGGAAGAAAAAAGGGGAAAAACUCAAGUCUAAGUGCAUAUGGCACCAAAAGGAAAUCUGAUUUUGAUAAGACUAGAUAUGAAUCGUAGUUCAGAUUCAAGUUGAUUCAGUGAGGGCGACUGCAAAAGUCACCGAAUGGAUCAGUCUUUUCCUUUAGUUUUUGUCCUAUUUAAUAAAAUAAAAAAGUGUGGGAGGAUGUUGCAGAUGUCCAUGAUGGACACGACUUCUUGUAACACUAGAAAACCACUAGAAGACACUCAGGACCAAAGCAUGUUGUGAAAGAAGCACAUUGGGGCAUUGACCAAUUUCAAAUAUAGUAAGACAAAGCAAUAAAUUAUAAGAUAUCUAAAAAUCACCACAUAAUAUAUUGACAAAAUAAGGCACUUGGAAUUUAUAUAAUUUGACCCAACCUCACUAGGUAAGUUAAUUAGCAAAUCAAGCCAUUGAAACAUAUAAACCAAACCAAACCAAAACAAAGAAGAUCUGAACAAGGUUAUUUGCAGAAAUAUAUCACUAGUCAACAUGCAAAGUGCACAAAAAAGGAAGAUUUACAUAAACCUCUUUGUAAGUCAUAUGUUUAACAGGAUAAGAAGCACUUCUUAUCAGACAAAAAAAGUACUCAACAGGGCAGAUGUCCAUUUUUUUUUUCUUCCGCAGAAAUUUGCCAAGUUUGAUCAAGCAACUCCUUAAUGUGCUGAGUUUCCAAAUCUCCCGUGGUGAAGAAUGCCUAUUUGUUUCAAUUUCCUCCACAUUGAUACAUCAGAAACAUCAGGAUAGAGUUGCCAGAGAAGAUACGCAAAUUGUCUAGUGAUUCUGGUCAACCAGAUUACCACAAUGAUCUAAAUGAAAAUCCAUUAGUUUCUUCAAGCCACUCAGUCGGCCAAUCUGUCCAGUCGGUUGAGUUCGUUCAGCUCCAAAUUCCAGAUUUAGUCUGGUGGCAUCUUUAUCCACUUGUAGUUUCUCAAAGACUAGCGUUCAAGGCUUAUGAUGGUAACCAAUCGAGUGAGGAAGCUCCAAGAUCCCAGUUCCUUACAGAGAAAGCCUCAACAGGGAAGUCGGGUAACUGAUUGAAGGUUUUGUAGUCAGUGAGGAACGAUGGCAAGCACAGAGAAUUUCUAGACUCUUCAAUCCUUGACAUUCAAGCAUAUGAUUCAUUGAUGUCCCAUCAAUCAAGGGUUCUCUCAAACAUUCCAUUUUACUAGGCUCCUAGGGAGAUGGUGGAGAUCAAUCUUUCUAAAUUCACAUGUAUCUGAAAUCUAGCAUCUAACAUAACCAUUUUGACAUCGAAAGGUCCACCUGAUCUGACUGAAUUGAGGUCAUAUAGCAAUCUCUUCCAAGGCAGUAAGCCCAUGUCAGACUUUCCCCUUCCAUCUUGGUAGUUUGUAGAUGUACGUUCCCGAUAAGUUAGAGACUGUUGAUGUCUGUCCAUCUUGGUAGUUCUUACAAUAUUUUCUGUUCGUGUGAAGUCCUCCGAGAUGCACUAACCGAGACAUACUCCUUUGAUCAUUUUAUUCAAAUCAAUUCACUGUUCCCGCUGCUCCAUGGUUUAUAGCAGCAUCGUCAUAUGGACCACCCAUCUCCAGUGAUCUUACUUGUGCUUAGACUCCUCUGGAAGAAAUAUUUGAACAGAACAGCAGAAGCAACGAUGGUAGCAACUGUCACCACACACAGGACAACCUCAAGUGCAUCAAUCGUUUCACGCCAGCACAAGUGGUCCACCUUGGCAGAAACAACAAUUGUUGAGCUGCUGCCCCACGUGUCGGAUUCUGAAUGGUCUUUACCCUAAGCCUACGUGGAGGGUAAGACUCACCCAAUAUUUCCUCUGGAUCGGAAUCCGAAGUGACGAUCUGGAAUUAAAAUGGGAGGAGGAGAGUCGGAGAGGGAUGGUGGGAUAUUCGAAGUCGUAUCGGAGUCAGUGUCGGAAACUGGAGGAAGCAGAGGAGGGUUCUUUACGUCUUUUCGUAUUUUUGUUUUAAUUUCUUUUCACGCUUUUUCCUUUUUAUCUUUCGGAAUUUGGUUUUUUCCUUUCGGUUGCUCUUUUCCUUUUUCGCUACAUGCGAGUGGCCCGAACAUUUUCCGCCAGUAAGAGGGGAAAGGGGGAGGGGUCAAAAUUGUAUUUUCGUUUCCCCUGCUGCAGAGUUGAAGGCAACAGCGUCAGUUCCCGCGCGAGAUGGGACUUGCGGCUCGAGGAUUAGAGGCGGUCCGACCUGCCCUUGCUGCCUGACGCAACCAAUUCUUAACGUUGCAGUCUCAUGUACACUGUGGAAGAUUAAGUUCGAACCAAAACUAAGUUUACGUACGUAUACAGGCCUAUUAUUGCUGUCUUGCCAGCGUGCUAGAAGCCAGGAAAUAUCUCCAUAUGAGGUAGCGAUAUAUACAACCUCGGCCAGGAUUCGCUCACAAUGUGAUUCAAAUUAUUCAAUUCAUGGAAAAUAGUGUGACCUACCUAAUGUUAACGGUGCCAUGACAACAUUUAUGUUUCUUUAUUUCUUUUUUUUUGUUCCCCGGAACAUGUUUAGAACAGAAAUCUAUUUGGUAACGCAAUUUCAUUUUUCUAUUUCUAGAAUAUAUUUAUAUUUCAGAAAUAAAUUUGGAGCGGAAAUCAGAAGUUAAAAUUUUUAGCUUUUCUAUUUCUGAAACAUAAAUGAGAAAUCAAAAUUUUUCGGGAGAAUUACCAAAAAAGUCCUAAACCUAUUGCAAUUGUGUCAAUUCAGUCCUAAACCUUUUACUUUUGUUCCAGUUCAGUCCUUCCGGCCAAAAUUAGCCGGCCGGCGCUGACGUGGCAGCCGGCCGGUGCCGGCGAGCUUUUUUUAAUAAUUUUUUAUUUUGCAAAAACAAUAUUAAUUUUUUUCUUUUUUUCCCUUUUUUUUCCUCCUCCCGCCGGAUCGCCUCAGUCCGGCGACCGGCCAGGCUGGCCGGUCGUCGGAGCCCAAGGAAGGAGGAGGGAGGAGGAAAAAAAAAGGAAAAAAAGAAAAAAAUUAAUAAAAAAUUUUAAAAAAUCAAAUAUUAUUAAAAAAAACUCGCCGGCACCGGCCGGCUGCCACGUCAGCGCCGGCCAACUAAUUUUGGCCGGAAUGACUGAACUGGAACAAAAGUAAAAAGUUUAGAACUGAAUUGGCCAAAAAAAAAAGUUUAGGACUGAAUUGGCACAAUUGCAAUAGGUUUAGGACUUUUUUGGUAAUUCUCCCAAAUUUUUCUCAUCAUUCACUCUCAUCACCACCUGUCGCCCACUUGCCGCUCGUGGGAUGCUAGACGCCCACCGCCGGUUGCCGACCGCCCGCCAUCAGCCCUGACCACUAGCCACCGACCGCCAGCCACCAAACUCUAGCCACCUGUCGCCAACUGCCGGUCGCUGGAUGCCGAACGUCCACCGGUUGUUGGCUGCUCAUUGCCAAUCAUUGGAUGUUGGAGGCUCACCACCAACCACCGGAUGUCCGCUACCAACUGUCUGCCGCUCGACACCGGCCGUUGAAUGUUGGCCGCUUGCCACCCAUCGCCGACCUCUUGUCGUCGGACUCCGGACAUCGGACAUUGGAUGUCGAACUUUGGACGUUGGACGCUAGUUGCUGGUCGUCGGACUCUAGACUUCAGCCACUCGCCACCGAUCGUCGAACUCUAGCGCUGGACGCCGGACUCCAGACUCCGACUACCCACCGUCAGUCACCGGACGCCAAAUGCCGAUCGUUGGACGUCAGACUCCGACCACUGGAUGCCGAUCGUUAUUGCUUUGAGAAAUAAAAAUUUUAUUCUAUUAUCAAACGAAUUUUUAUUUCAGAAAUAGAAAUUUUAAAUUGUUAUCAGACGCGUUUUUUUGCUCAAAAACCCGUCCAUAGAAUAAAAAUUGAGAAAUCAAUUUAUGGCCAUAAAUUGAUUUCUAUUCCAGAAAUUUUGUUAUACGCACCCUAAGUCACCGCAUUUGGGGGUGGGCUACAAUUUUUUCACUUUCAUUGUUCUUUCUUUUUCAAAUUGUUUCACGUGAAUGAGUCGUGUAUGAAUUUGAUAAAAGCGCGAGAGGUGUAUAAAUUUAUUUCGUGCUUAUUAACACCUAAGUUUGACGAGUGACCGAUCUAUCAACACUGGCCAUAAAUGAAGAGAUUAGGGGAUUGUUCUCUGCAAAAAGUUAUUGUCACACCCUUCACGCUCUUGAAUCGCACCUUGUUCUUCACUUCCGUUGUUGUUUUGUGUACUAACUUCUCUGUAUUUUGGAAUAAGACGAAUUUUUAGAUUAAGCUUGAAUCUGAAAAUAUUUGACUAGAGAAGUUUGCCAUCAUAAUGAAGUAUUUGCAAUUUCAUAUACCUCCACUAAUAUAAAUAGACAAAUGAAUUAUAUCAAUUUUAAUUUGAGCGUAUAGUAACCAACUAAUUGAACUGUAGAGCACCCAUUUGCCCAACAGAAUGUCUCCUUCUCUUUGGCUAAAAUACAACAUAAGGCAUCCCCACGCAAUCUUUCUAAAUGUUCCGAUUUUAGCAAAACUUACUUCAGUGCUCUGAUGCACACGACGUAAAUCACCAAAUGUGACAUUGAAAAAGCCUGCCAACAAAAUAAGAUCUGAAGGGCAAAUCAGGAAAGAUCGUAAAGAAUCUAGAAUGGAACAUAUCGCAUUUGAGGGUGAUGGUUGUUCUGACAUGCUUGAUUGCUGUUUUGACAUGCUUCAUUGCUGCAAAGUGAGGCGAUACUCAAGCUUUUCAAGUUCAAGAGAUUGGAAAUGCUAUCAUCAGCUCGUCGCUCGGUAUGAAUAUGUAGACAGAGAAGAAUUUCUAGGAGUCUCGGCACUUGGUGUAUCUCAACACAUGUCGGUUUCAAAAUCUUCCAAGAUGAACAUCUCCAGAUAUCAUAGGAAUUUCUGAUUAGAAAAUUUUCACUAAGCUCUGCAUCUAUUCUUCUAGCUAUUCCUGCUUCCAUACUGCACUAGUUAUUGUUCUCAUGAUAGAGAACCUCAUCUUCAAUACUUUCAAAUACUUCAUGUUCCCGACCAACCAGGCAGCUUCUCUAUGUCCAUGUUCAAUUUAUCGAACUUAGCAAGUGAUUCCAAAUUCCAGAUUGAGUCUAGUAGUGUCUUUAUUGACUUGCAAUUCCUGGAAGACUAGUGUUCAAGGCUUACAAGGGAUCCACUUGAGUUGGGAAGCUCCACGAUCCCAGCUCCUCACAGAGAAAGCCUCGAUAGGGAAGUUAGGUGACAGAUUGAAAGUUUUAUAGUCAAUGAGGAACAAUGGGAAGCACAGAGGACCUGCAAGCUCUUCAAUUCUUGACAUUCAGGCAUAUGCUUUAUUGAUGUUAUACAGCAAUCCCUUUUUAAGGGAGUUAAUUCCAUGUCAGACUUUCCCCUUCCAUCUUGGUAAUUCGUAGAUGUAUAUUCCCUUUUAAGAUAGAGAUUAUCGAUGUUUGUCCAUUAAAACCAACAUGUGAAAUUGCGAAUCGAACAAAGUCAACGUCUAGCAAGCUAGUCGCAUAUCUUUCUCCCAAAUAUCAUGUACUUUUAUUCAUGUGAAGUCCACCAUCAGGUACUAACUGAGUUAUCCAAAGUUAGAUUCAUCUACUAGUAAGAAUACUUUGAGGGACCUUGUUUAGCUUUAUUAUACUUGUUUCAUCGUUUGAUUCCGUCAUUUCUCGGUUCACGCUGUUCCAUGGUUUAUAGCAGCAUCGUUAUUUGGUUUGCCCUCUCUAGUGAUCUUGCUGCUCUUAAUCUUCCCUGCUCCAUGGUCUAUAGUAGCAACUGUCGCCACACACAAUGCAACCACAAGUGGUGAAUCGUUUUGCACCAGUACAAGCGGUCCACCUCAGCAGAAACAACAAUUGUUGAGCUGCACGAGGAUUGGGGGUCGUCUGACUUGGCCUCCCCGCCCGAGUCGCAAUGGGUCAGGAUUUUUUCUUUUUUUUCCUUUGAUAAAUUAUAAAGUGUGGGAAGAGAGGACCAAUACAGUUAUCCAUUCUUGUUGUUACAUAAAGCGUUAUGUACAUUACAAAAUAUCUCCAUUAAGCCAUAACCACUCGAUUCAUCGACAAGUGUGCGAAUCUAUCACCAUAACUAAUAUGCCAAAAGCCUAAAAAUCUUUCUACAUAAUGUUGUGAAUAUCUAAAAUAUUGAGUGGUGAAAAGUCCACUCAUAACAUGAUUCGAACUCAUGAAUUAAUAGAAGAUGGCGUGAUCCCUUCAUCAUUGGGCUACUUUUUUUUUUUUCACUUUCAAAGUGAGCCUGAUCCAAAAAUGAGUGAUCUAUAAAUCUAUUUUGUGCUUAUAAAAUUUGAUUUAAGUCGAAUGAGGUGUUGAUGUGUUAAGGUUACCAAUAAAAGAAGAGGUUUGAUGACUGGUUUCUAUAAAAUUGAUUGAUUUAAUCUUCAUAGUUUUAUUGAGUUUCACUUAUUAUUUAGGGUUAAUACCUUGAAAAACCCCAAACUGGUACACUUGUGACAAAUUUAUCCCAAACUAUUUUUUUGACCGCAAAAAACUUCAAACUGGUAUAUCUUUGACAAAUUUACCCAAACUGGUACACUUGUGACAAAUUUACUCUCUGUUAGUUUUUGUUAAAUUUUAUUUUCAAAUUAUUAAGUUAAAUGAUACGUGACAAUUGACCGGUAUACUAAUUUAGGAUUUUACGCUCCGUUUGUUACCGUUUACAAUUUCUGUGAUUUUUUUUGUAGUAUUUAUCCAAUUUAGCAUAGGGUAUAUUUGUCACAAAUUUACCAUUUUGGGGGUUUUUUGCAGUCGAAUAAAUUAGUUUUGGGUAAAUUUAUCAUAAAUGUACCAGUUUAGGGUUUUUUAUAGUCAGUCGGGGUAAAUUUGUCACAAGUAUACUAGUUUGGGGUUUUUCAUGGUCAAAAAAAUAGUUUUGGGUAAAUUUGUUACAAGUGUAUCAGUUUGGGGUUUUUUAGGGUAUUAACCUUAUUAUUUAACUUCCAUCAUUUUGUUUUGUGCACUAACUUUUCUGUGCUUUUUAUAAACAUUUGACUGUGAAUAUAAAUCCGUGAGAGCCACCAAACAUCACGCAUGCCAUGCAUCAGGGUUCUUAUAUUAUUUUGUUUGCGUGAGCUAAUUGCGAUUUAAGGGGAAAAAAAAAUGUUCCACGCUCUUUGAUAAUUUGAAAAUGACAUUUUGUGACUUUUGUUGUAUAAGGUUAUAGACUAUUUUUACUUCGAACACAGGUGAUGAAAAAGUCCAAUGACUUUUGUUCUCAAAGAUUAUGGACCUUUUUACUUGUUUAAAUCUUUUACAUGUAAAGUAUCAACUCAUACAUCCAAUAAGCAAUUAUGAAAUGACGAUGGCAUCAUUCUAUAAGAUAGUGAUCAGUCUGAUCAUAUUCACACUAAAUAUUUUGUAAAUUCUAAAUAAAACAUAUACGUUCAUCUACAAAUAAAAACUAUCAAAUCCACUUCCAUAUAAAUUUUAAAGAAUAGAAUCGAUCUGUCAUGAUAAGUCACGUUCUGGAAUUCUCUCUCAACCCGAGAAAUAUGGGCUCCACAAAUAAGCAUAAUUCACUUGUCUCGCAUGUUGAAUAAUAUUCUUUUCAAGUUUGAAUAUUAUUGGCAAAGAAAAAGUUUGAAUAAUUCGAGUUAUUGGAUUGAUUCGAGCUUGGAAUCGGAAAAAUUUUACUCAAGCAGCUUGUGAUCAAAGGAAGCGCCAAAAGAGGAAGAGACAGAGAACGGAAAUUUGUCCAGGAGCACGCCUUAUUUUAGCCAAACUUCCUUCAUUGCCCUCACGGAAACGACGAAAUCACCGGACGUGACACCGAAAAUGCCCACCGACAGAGCAAGAGCCCGAGGUCGAAUCAGGAAAAUUCGCAAAUCCGUCGUCCUCUCCUUCCUUUCCCCCCCACCCAAAAACAAAAGCUCGCCGUAGCUUUCGAUCGCCAUCCGCCGCGAACAUCGGUACGGAGUCCACGAACGCUGCGACGACCAGGAUUCGAGGUUUGAAUUCGAGCAAUGCGCACGAAGAACGCAAUCGAUCUCUCCACCUCGCCGGGCGAUCGCGCCAUUUUGAUUGCCUGAGAUUGGAAUGAUGUUGUUGCGCGGAAGAAUGUGGAGUUGAGGGUGAUGGUUGUUCUGAAGUGCUUCAUUGCCGCGAGUGAAGGCGAGAGGUAAUUGCAAUUCGUGUUCAUGUAAUCAGUUACGGCUCUGAUCCUCCCACUUGAUUGGGAUUGGGAGUCUAGUAUCGAGCAUGUCGGUUUUGAGGUUGGACAGUGAGGUUUGUAGUGUGAAUUUGGCGGAUUAGGCACUUCAGGGUUGGGGGGGAUCGUCGACCGUGUUGUGGAGCUGUAGUGCCUGAUUUAAUGGGGCAUACUAUUACUGAAUUAUUUGGUUGGAUUAGCUAAGCUCUUGGAUUGCCGAGUUUGGAUCAAUACUACAACUGGAAUAUGGUCUGAUUGAAUUUCCAUAUAUUUGUUCGAUUCAAAUAUUUCAUCCCGCUGUUUCUACUUUGGGGAUAAAAUUUGUUGAGUGUCUCACAGUAGUGAUUGACUAUGGCUAUUCGGCCUUUCUCCAGUCGAGUAAUGGACUGUAGCUUGUAGGUUUUAGCAACUAGCUUUAUGGGAAAGAGGAGCCUUAUGCUUUUCACUUAUUCGCCUUUCGUUGCAUUUGAACAUAUAGUUCUUUAAGUUCACGAACAAGGAUGGCAGAAAUAUACUGAAAUAUUAUUUUGAGUUGAUGUUUCCUUGUGAAGUGUUCCUCUUACUUGAUUGUCGAAAUAGCUUGCUAGAGACAUAAGAAACUUGCUCCUUUGCUUGUCAUUAAAUGAGUUUUUGACCACAUUUUCAAUGUGAAAUUUUCUCAACUGGUAAAUGCAGAACUCAGAGUGAGGUCCAAGGCUUGUAAAGCUGUUUACAAUCGCACUCUUGCCAUGAUAUCGGCGGAGUAUGCAUCUGCUGUAAGUGUUCUUUAUAAGGAUUUUUACAUUUACCUAGAGCUUGUUGUUGUUAUUACUCUUCAGGUUUCACCAUUUAAAUACAAUAAUAUUGUAACUAGAUGCACAGCUUUUUAUUUUGCAUGUUUAAUGUCAGAUUUGACAGAACUUAGUAGUCGGACUUGUCCUAGAUGUGAUGGAAAGACCAAGGUAAUUUAAGAUGGUUUAAUAUGACAUUGUUGCUAAGAUUGCCUGAACAAUGGAUCCUCAGUACAGUAUUAAAUAGUCAAUUUUGUGGGCAUAUGCCGCCUCCUCUUAUUAGCUUCUAAACUGGUAGUUAAUGCCUUUUGAUAUGAAAGCUGGGGUUCAAAUUCAUUGGAUAUGAUAGUGGGCAUUCAGCACUGCUUACACGCAAAUCAUUUGGUUGCAGUGGCUUAAAAAUCUGCAAUGCUUGCGAUGCCUAUAUGUUUAAAUUGCAUCUAAUUGUUUAUAUCUAUUUCUAAACAUACAUAUAUGUUACCUGUAGGCAUACGUUGGGGUGGCCAAGGAUCUUAAUGCUGUGAUUAUAGCUUUUAGAGGUGCACAAGAACAUAGGUAUGCAUGUUAACUUUAGCAACUCUUCCCCUUACAAAUGACUUGCAAAGGUUUUGAUGAAAAUUUAGGCUAAGAAGAGCAGCCUCCUGUGAGUGCGUACACAAGACCCAUGGGUCGACUGUCCAUAAGAAGGGAAAAGGGUGAAUCAUUUCCACCAAGAUGCAAAAGUUACCUUCUUGUAAUUUUAGAUUGGUUCAUGAGAAGAUCACAUACUUCACUAAUUUUGUUCUGUGAAAAAUUCUAUCACCUUUCUUUGUCAUUUGAGCUUUUCAGGUAGUGAUUACUUCUAUUUAUGUCUACAGCAUACAGAAUUGGGUUGAAGAUCUCUACUGGAUAGUGGAAACAGCUUGACGUACUACCCUGGCAUGCAUGGUGCCCUGGAUAGCUCUAAAGAUGAUUAUGCCUCUUGCAAGCUGUGGAUUCUUCUCAUUUGGAUUGAGUUACAGUCUUACUCUAUUGAUUUCUGCUUGGGUUAAUCAUGGAUUUUACUAUUCUUAUCUUGAUAUGACAAUUCAACCUGGUAUUUUGGAUGCUGUUAUAAGAACCAAGGAUUUAUAAGAGGACAUCAAUGUCACGGUGACAGAGCAUUUUAUGGGAGGGGCUAUGGCAUCUUUUUGCGGAAUUGAUCUUGUGGUAAGAUAGUUAAAAACUGCUAUGGUCUGGAAUUGUGAAUUUUAUCGUUUUUUUCCUAUUGCGUUCUUCCAAUAUUCAGAUGAUAAUCUGUUAAGAGUCAUCUAGAAUUCUCUGUCAAAUCUGUGUUGAAGAGUCUAGACUCUUUAUGUGGAUCUUGAACUUUCUAUUGCUCUCAUAUUUAUAUUCACAAUUCAUCAUAGACAGCAUCUUGUUUUCUUUCAGUUUUGGUAAGUCAAACCAUAGACAAAACACAAGCAGAAUGGGGUGCAAAUAGCCAUUUACGCUAACCACCAAUUGUUUAAGUAUCUAGCAAUGUAAAUUAAGUCUUACCCAUAAAGCUAUGGAGCUUCAAGUUGGUUGAAUACCUAAAUAUAGUGGAUAAGGUUACUUCCAACUAAUCAUUACAAGGUUUACUUGCUGGAAAAUUUAUGGAGUUGUCGAUAUGUUUAUGGUCUGGACAUAUAACUUUUUAAAGCACUUGAAGCUCAAGUUUUAUGUCAUGUAAUCUUGAAGUGCUAAUGCAUUUUAAGAUAGAUUAUAUAUCAAUCCUAAAUGUGUGUUUGGUGUACUGUUUCUAUCUAAGUCUCUCUCUAAUCAAAAGAAGCAGCUCCUCUUUAGUAGGACUACAAGGCCAGAUAUGUUGUAGGCUGGAGCCAAUGUUAAGAUGUCUAAAUUAUGCCUUUUCCCUCAGCUUUAUUGGACGGAGUGUUCCAGGGUACAUUUGGAGGCACCUGUUGCUCAACUGGUACCAGAAAUGGUGCCCAAUCCAAAAUCAUGUCCCAUUGAUUCUCUUCUCCAUGACAAGUGGUGAUUUUUUAGAGUUAAACUUUAUCUUGAAGUCUGAUUACACUCAUGUUCACUUGGCCUAUGAUAGGAUCAUAGGUUGCAUGGACUUUAGACUAUACCCUUUCUCAAAAUAUUAGUAGCAAGUAUAACAUCUUGUCCUAAAACUUUUAAAUGAUUUAAAAUUUUAUUUUUGUUUACUGGUUUCUUGCUGAAAAUUUUGUCGAGCCAAUUGUGACGUCCUGCCCAUUCGUUGCGAUCCUUUUUAAGAUUGAGUUUCUCCUUCGCUACUUGUGACAGUAAGUUUUGUAGUUCAAGAGGCAUUUUCACCAUGAACCAGGAAUUUUUUGUUUAUGUUAUUAGCAGGAUGUGACUCACCCCACCAACAUUCAAGUGCUUCUUGUGGAAGCAAUUAAAUGCGCUUCUGUUGUAAAUUCAUGUCCAAUCCCACUAUUCCAUAUUAUUAAACACCUUUUUGUGGUGCUGAGGGUGGGUUUGGUUUUGUUGUGUGUGGGGUUUGGUGUUGGGAAACUUAUGGAUGGGAUCUUGAUGGAGUUAACACUAGACCUUCGACCCUUAUGGAGACAAAGGGCUGUCUAUUGUUCACCUUUGUAUAUGAAAUGCAAUUUAUGGUUAUUGAUGCAUAGUGCUUUUUUCCCAUCUUGGAAGGGCUAUUGAUGUAUUGACAUUCAAGUUAUUUGGCUGUCUAAUUAUGUGUGCUGAAACUGUCUUUUCCAGAUCAGCAUUCGCCUGAUUUACUUUACCGAAACACUUUAUUUCCUGGUUAAUCAUGAAGCACAGGAUAUUCAGGUUUUAACAUUUGGACAACUCUGUAUUGCCAAUGCAGUGUUUGCAUCUUACUACAGUGACUGCAUACCAAAAACAUUACGUACUCCUCCUGGACAAGAUUUUUUGUCUUAUUUGCCUCCGUACUAUUUUUGGUUCCCACAGAAGACGUACCAUCAAUUCCCUAGAGAGGUAUGGUGUUGAUCUUGACAGAAUAUCAAAUAAAUUAUGGGAAAUUGUUAGGCUGCGCAUGAUAAAAUUUUUGUUUCUUAAUUUCUCUAUUUCUCUGUUCCCGAAACAGGUUUAGAACAGAAAUCUGUUUGGUAACGCAAUUUGAUUUCUUUAUUUCUUAAACAGAUUUUUAUUCCAGAAAUAGAUUUGAAGAAGAAAUCAGAAACUAAAAUUUUAGCUUCUCAGUUUCUGAAAUAGAAAUUGAUAAAUUAGGGUGCGUUUGUUUGCGUUUCUGUUUAAAAAUUGUUCCAGGGAACAGAAAUAGAAAAAAAGUGUUUCUGUUCCGGGGAACAAUUUUUGAACAAAAAAACGCGUUUGGUAAAUUUGUUCCGGGAAUUAAAAAAUAAACAGAAACACGUUUGGUAAAUUUGUAUUAUUUGUAUUAUUUCUUUUAUUUUUUUAAUAUUUUUAAUAUUUUUAUUCUUUUUUUUUUCUUUUUUUCUUUUUUCUUCUUUUGGCCGGUCGCUGACCUCGGCCAUGGCCGGCGACUGGCCGACAAGGGCCGGCGGCCUCGCCGGAUCUGGGCGAGAUCGAGCUCGCCCAGCUCAGCGCGAGGUCGGCCUCGCCUUGGCUAGGCGAGCUCGAGCUCGCCCAGAUUCAGCGAGGUCGCCUGGCGGUGGCCCGGCGAGGCCGAGCCUCACCGGCCGCUGGGCGAGGUCGGCGCGAGGUCGGCCUCGCAGGGGGCCGGCGAGCCUCGACGUGGCUGGGCGAGGCCGACCCUCGCCAGGGGCCGGCGAGCCUCGCCGUGGCUGGGCGAGGCCGCCGUGCCCUCGUUGGCCGGUCGCCGGCCAUGGCCGAGGCCGGCGACCGGCGAAAGAAAAAAGAAAGAAAAUAAGAAGAAAAAGAAGAAGAAAUACAAAAGUGUUUCUAAGAUUUGUUUCAGAAAUAAGAAAUACAAAAUUUGUGUUUCUUAUUUAUGUUUCUUUUUUGUUCCUAGGAACAAAAGAACAAAAAAACAGAAAAAGUGUUUAAAAACAAAAAAAAGAAACAUAAACAAACAGACCUUAAUUUCUGGCCAGAAAUCAAUUUCUAUUUCAGAAAUUUUGUCAUGCGCACCCUUAAUGACUGAAUUUGAGGUUUGCUUCGCAUUUCUUUCAACUUGUCUAACAAGUGAAGUAUCAUAUAUUCCGGCAUUGUAUGUACUCUCUUUUUUCAGCUUAUAAAUUAUGACUGUCUUGUUUGUUUUUCUUCUUAACAAAGCAGGGUAGUUUGUAGGACUCAUUACGUUAUAAAUUUUUUUUUAGUAACUCUCGUUCUUGCAAAAGCCAUCAUGAGUUUUUCAUUUCGAUUCCAAAGUUUAAGACACAUAAUAAUGUUUAUUAUACUCUCUCUCUCUCUCUCUCUCUCUCUCUCUUACACACACACACACACACUAUGUAUGUCUACUAAUGCGUAUAAUUAUUAGUGACUAGCUCAAAGACAGCCACGGUUGAACAUAUUAAUGUGACAUGAAAAUGAUUUGAUUCCACCUGCUUCUCUAAUAACGAAUCAUACUCGUAACAGUUUUCAUGUAAUCGGAAUCUUCCCUUUAUUGUAGGUAUGGCUAUAUAACAUAGGAUUCGGUAGUUAUCAGGUUGAGAAAGUUUGUGAUACCUCAGGAGAAGAUGCAUCAUGCAGCAAGUGAUGAGCUAGUUUCAGUCGAAGCUACUUGUUCAAACAAUUAUUUUGUGGAUUUAUCAUGCAAGAUGCAAUAAGUCGUGAUGGACCAGCUUGUUCUAGAGAAUGUCUGUUCUUUGUUACUAGGAAUAUUUGUGGACAACUGAUCAGGGUAUUUUCCUGCAGAUUGGUAACCGGUAACAGCAUUGUGGACCAUUUAGUCUUUCUAUAGUGUGCAAUUAGUGGCUAAGACAUGAGAAUCGUGCAAAAUCGUCAUGGACACUAUUGACGGAAUGUGGAAGCGAAGAUGUCAAAGGUAGAUGUGUGAAUGUUGCAACUCUGACACUUGCAUGGUUAGGCAAUUAACCGGUUUUUAUAAGGUGAAACAAAGACUACGUUCACAGACCACUUCUCAAUCUAUGACACGUUACCUUCUCCUACAGGCACAUUGGCACAUAAGAUUUCUUGGCAGAACUAAGUACUUCAACUAUUUCCUCGUAGGGAAUUGUGCAGAUGAACUGUUAAAUCAAACCAUCUCGGAGACAGAUGAUGACUUUUGUCUUACAUCAUUUCCACUGGCAACCUUCGCAAAAUUUUUACUUUUAGGAGGUAAACAAUUUAUAUCAUCUUGGCUUUGAUAUGUAACAAUGAUCAUAUCAGCAUUUGGAACAAGAAUUGUAAGCUUUUACCUUCUUUUUCUAAUAUGCAGGAAUUAACAUUAGUGGAAACCUGAAAAGUAAAAAACUUGGGGGGAAACUUCUGCCACUGAUAAGAAGGGAAACAGAACUUUUGUCUUGCUGACAGGUACCUGUUCAAAACGUCAAAAGUGAGCAUUACCAAAGUGCUAAGUAAGCUCAUGGUGCUACACAAGUCAGGUCUAAAGUACAAUGCCAAAUGUUUACUAAUGUUUCAAAGAUCCAAUCUAGUUCAAAAGCAGAUACUCAACCAGGUCAGCCAAGCAACAUCUUCUUCAACAUGUACAAGCAAUUGUUCAAACUUUUCUUCACUAGAGUGCUUGAAGUUUUGCCCAUAAUACUGCGACAUCCUUCUCCUCAGUAACCUCUAUUAAGACCUCAUCCGUCAAAUUUAAUUCAUUUAAUAGAAUUAUGCUAUUUGCUUUUUUCAUUAGCUCUACCCUUUCAAAGGCUUUCAUGAUAAUAGGCAACUCAUCUUCGCCUUCCAGUACCUUGGCCAAAUCUUAUGUUAUCAAUAAAGCUCGCAUCUUGAUGCUUCAUAACACAAAAUUGUUACUCCCAUUAAAUUUCUCAAUUUCAGUUUUCUUCUCAUGAUUGCAAUAACAGAAUUUUCAGAUAAUAAUCAGACAAACAAAAUCUCCAAAUUAUAAUCAAGAAAUUCAACCCCAAGCUCUGAUACCAAUUGUUGGGAUAUAAUACGUGAAAACGACGGGAUCUUGCAAUUUAAGUCAAUGCGAAAUCGCCAGAGAAGUAAACAAGAAAUAAUAAGGAUACCAGAAAAUUUACGUGGUUCGAUUCAAGUAACGGUACCUACGUCCACGGGGAGAACUAGUAACAAAUAAUCCACUAUAAUCGGAGUAUCAGAGUUUACAAUCACUCAAUGAUUCAAGUGUUUUCCACAUUUAGAUUUAACCCCAAGUUCAAAGUGUUUAUAAAUAAAUAACUCACUUGGACAUAAACUCAUGGCAUAAAAUUACCACGUAACAAAACGCAGCUCUAUGUACGGCUUCGCGAGGCUGCAAAGACUUUGGCUUCAGAUAAACUCGCAGAUCGCGGCUUUCUUCUAAGCUUCGGAAGACGUACGUUCAGCGGCUCCUUCUUCUCGACUUGUACAUGCAGCAGCCAAGGAAAGAAAACCUCAUGUGAUGUCCGUUUAAAAUAUAUAUAUACGUGUGUGCCCAAGGUCAAAAGUUUGACCUUGGGCCCCACCACUUUAACUCCUUCACGUGCGGGGCUUCUUCCUUCGGCGGCAUCUUCCUUCUCUACGUGGGGGUGCAGCAGCUUACGAAAAAACGAAAGAAGACCCAAUUCUUUCUGCUUUUAUAUAUUUAUAUAUUUCCUCUUUUGUAGAUUUUGAAGAGUCCAGCGAAUUUCUUCUACUUGAAAAAUCUUUAUCAAUAAAAUUUGAUAUAAUAAAUCGUCAUCCGAAUUCAUACUCAAGACAUUGAUUUAACAGUAUCCGUGGUUGACAAAAGGAAGAUGUCUUUUUUUGCUGUGGGUUGAGGGUGGAGAGGAGACAGUUGCAGCUUAAGUUAAAAAGGGGAGUUUCUCCCUCGAAUCUAGAAAACGACAAUUCGUUUCUUAUUAUAGGUGGGGUUUUCCUUUCAUUUUUUCCAACCCAACCUUAGUUCAAUGAAAAAACAUACUUUAGAAUUAACAUAUGCAUACGUCCAAGCAAAAUUCAAUAUUGAAAAGACUGAAUUAUUCCUACUCAAAAACUUUAUUUAAGUCUCUCACUUCAUGUUUGAAUAAUAUAAUUUUCAGUUAGUUUUGAGUACUUUUGAUGGUGAGACUUUAGGAAUUGUGGAUGGACUUUUUUUUUUAGAGAAAAUGACAAUUCUUUUAUACAAAGGAACACAAGGUUAAUCGACCUCAUAAAUCAAGAUUCAUUUGGUCGUGAAACAUGAGAUUGUUUGUACUAAUCCGAUUGAAAAUUAAACUUACCUAAUUUUCCAAAUUCACAUAUAAAUCCUUUCAUGAACCAUUAAAUCAAAAUUAACCAAGAGUAGGUAUGUCAAAAAGCGAAAUAUCACCAAAAGAUGAAUUAUAAUAAUAUUAGCAAACAAAUAAUCAAAAUAUUACCAAAUAAUCCCACAAAUGCUUUACUUCCCAAAUGGAAUUUAAAAUUCUCUCAACUUGCCAUAAUUUUCUUUUCUUAGGCUAAAUAAUAAGCAUCUCCAAACAUAUAUCCUCUCCAUGGCUAAAUAAUAAGGAUCUCCGAACAUAUAUCCUCUCUAUAUAUAUUACCCUAUCUUUCUUUCAUCUCGAGAGUGUCGUUUGCAAAAGUUUUUAUGAUUGUUCCGCACCGUAAGUGAUGAUGGACGCCGCCACAGGGGAACAUGACCGUAUUCCCUUCUUCCUCCUCGUCGGAGCCCUGCACGCUGCCGCCGCUGCCGCGAGAGCUCGCAGGCUCCGCCGCAUUCCCAAGCCUCUGGUUCAUGUCAGCUCGGUUGGAUUCGUCCCUCUGAAUGACCACCGAGUCGCUGAAUGCGCUUGGAUUCGUGCGCAAGCAUGUCGAGAUCGCAGCUCCUCCUCCUCUUUUGCUGCUCAGUCCCUCGGUUUUCGCAGGUAGCGUGCUUGUUGUCGUCCGUUAGGCUUUUCUUUUUUCGGUGCUGAGGAAUCUCGGCGUGGAUUGUAUAUGCCAGACUGAUCGGUUCUUGGUCAGUAGGGGGCCUUCUUUAGGUUGAGUUUGAUGUCUAAAUAUGGGGCGGCAGGUGGAGAAUUUGAUGAUUGACGAGGAAGUCUGGAUAACUAAUUCGAGUGAUGUGUACCUGGUGGAGCAGUCGAGUUGAAGCAGAGGGAUGAUUAUGCUGUCAGGAUUGUGCUUGUUGAUUGAGACACCGUAUUUUUUUAAUCAUGUUCGUCGUGUUUGCUUUGUAUAUUUGAUAUUGGAGAUGAUUAUGUAAUAGAAUGAAUUGCGUCGUUGUUUCUUCUAGUCUAGCACUUCAUGUUCUUCAAUGUCGGUUCUGGGUUGAAUUAGUUUGUUGAUACAAAACGGAGCUGCAUUUCUCUUGGCGGUAUAAGGUUUUGAGGGAUAAGUACACUAAUAGUGUCAUAAGUUGUGUACGAUACUCACUUUGGUGCCAAAAGUUUCCGUCGGAUCACUUAAAUGCCAAAUUGAAGAAAAAACAAUCACUUUGGUGCCACCGGCGAGAAAUUCCGGCCAAAAUGAUUACGUGGCUUUUAUAUUUAAAAAAAAAAUCAACAUGGCUUAAGAUUGUCCACGAUGGAUAGCAUAAAACGACACCAUUUUCCUUUUUUCAUAAGAAACGACGUCGUUUCUUGUCAUCCACUGUGGAUUCACAUAAGAAACGACACCGCGUUGCUCCAUAACAAAAAACGAUGUUGCUGAAGAGGAAGUAAAAUAGGGUUCGUAUACAAUUCUCCUCGACGCCGGCCGUAGCUCGCUCACCCACCGUCGUUCACCCACCGUCGUUUGCUCGCCUGCCAUCGCUCGCUCGCCGUCGCUCAGCCACCGCUAUAGUUGCGCCGUUGUUCACGAUCAUUCAGGUUUGUCAUGUUCUCUACGUGGAUCAAUUUUGCGAAAAAUUUAAGGUUCCGAUGGGCAAGUUAGGGCACGGUAGGCAAACUGAGGGCUCGGCUUAGGAGGAAAGUAGUGGGGAAAGUGGUGGGGAUGUCACUUUUAUGGGGACGGAAUAGAAAAAUUAAUUCUUCCAUCGUUCGUUCGCUUUCUGUUGUGGGGACCGAAUAGAAAAAUAAGGUGCAGAGAAGCUUAACUCGGAGGAAAACAGUGGUGGGACCGAAUUUGUUUGUUUAAUUAAUUGGACUGCUUUUGUGGGGGACCGAAUGUGAAUGUGAUUGAAUUGAAAAAUGGGUGGUGGGGACCUCACUUUGUUUAUUUAAUUCAAUUUCUUUUGUUUCUAUAAAUGCACCGAAUUGGGAAGAUUUUAGUCGCAUUGUUCCUUGACAACAAAACGACAAGGACCUACAUGUGAAGUUAUCGAUUCUGUCAUGUGGUUCCAACAAAACGAUAAUGAUUAUUUUUUUUCAUUGGGUGUAGCAUUGACAUGGACGUGAAUCAGAUAGGCGUCAUUGUUUGCUAUGGUGGAGAGUUUGUUAUUGGCACUGAAGAUUGGGAAUAUAGUGGUAGAAAUGAUGGUACUAUUUAUGUCAAUGUUUAGAAGCCAUCAUAUAUUGAUUUUCUGAGGGAUUUUGUGUAUUUUUUACGAUGUAAAGUGCAAAAAUUACAUUACUGUGUUCCUAGAAAGGAAUUGAAGGAUGGGUAUUAAGGAUAUCAUUUACCAUUAUCUUCACAGUGAAGAAGUUAAGGUAUUUGUUGAGUAUUAUAGUGAGGAUGAGGAUAAGGAUGGGGAUGGGGAUGAGCAGACCACCACUGAAGGAGGAGAAGUGAGGGAUCAUGUUCAAGCGAGUAAUUAGGUCGGGGAUGAGUUUAGGUUAGAUGAAGCACAAAAUGAGAGGGAGAUAAGUCAUAUUGAUAGAGAUGAACAAAGAGGGAGAUGUCCUGAAAUCUUGGGUGAAGAUUUGAGUGAAGAUGUGGGCGAUGAAGACUUCAUUGGAUUAGAAUGAGAAAUUGUUUUAUCUAGUGAAUCGGAAGAUGAAUGUUUGGCUUUAGUAAAUUUCCCAAGUGACGAAGAUGAUGAUGAACUCCAUAGUCAAGACAAAAACAAAAGGAAUUUCUGAGAAAAAAACUUACAGCUUCAGCAAAAAGGCCCGAGCUAGUAAAUAGGGAUGGAGAUCCAGUUGAGGGUAAUAGAAGUGAAGAUGAAGAAAGCUGUGUCGAUGAAGUUGUUGGUUCGAAAAAUGAGCUUGACAAUAAUGAUGAAGAAUCUGCUCCUCGAAAAAAAAGUAAGUACCAUUGCUAUGAUCCGACUGCUAAUAAAUCUGUUUUGUUGGUGGGCAUGAGAUUUGACGAUGCCAAACAAUUCAAGGAAGCUAUUGUGAAGAACACAAUUGGUGAACAGAGGAGCGUUAAAUUUAUUAGAAACACGAAGGAAUUUGUGAGAGCUAAGUGCUCACAACCUAAUUGUUCGUGGAAGCUCUAUGCCGCACUUAGUAAGAAUAGGUCAUUCCAGAUUAGGUCCUUUUAGGAGGAGCAUACUUGUCCAAUUAUCUUUAACAAUAAAAGGGUAACAAGUGUGUGGUUAUCAAAGCAUUUUUUCAAUACUAUCAAAGCAAUGCCCGAGAUCAAGAGUCUUUAAUUUCAACAGUUAGUUAAGGAGCAAGUAGGGGUUAAUGUAUCGAGGAAUCAAUGUAAGAGAGCUAAGAUGAGAGUGAUGAAGAUAUUGAUGUGUGGGUAUAAGGAAGAAUAUGCGCAUGUAUGGGAUUAUGCUAGUGAAUGCAUAUUUCAAAACCCAUCUAGUAGAGUAUAUGUAGAGGUUGUGGAGAGGCCACUCCCUGAUCUUGGGCCUAGAUUUGAUAGAUUUUAUAUCUGUUUUGAUGCAUGCAAACGGAGCUUCUUGACUGGUUGUAGAAGAGAUAUAGGAUUGGAUGGAUACUUUCUAAAGGGUUUAUGCAAUGUAGAGUUAUUGGUUGCUGUGGGGAGAGAUGCCAAUAAUCAAAUGUUCCCGAUAGCUUGGGCGGUGGUAAAGAUAGAGAACAAGGAUAUUUGGUCCUAGUUCCCAAAAAAUUUAAUGGCUGACCUUGAGAUAACCGAUGGGGAAUGAUGGAUAUUCAUGAGUGACCAAUAGAAGGUAAUUUCAUUAUCAAUUAAUUCACUCCAUUUUAAUAUUAAUCACUUACAUAUUUUUCUUAACUUAUAUUUAUUGGUUUGAAUUUUUGUAGGGACUUAUUCCUGCAUUGGCUGAAUUGAUGCCAUAUGUUGAGCAUAGAAUGUGCGCGAUGCACAUAUAUGCAAACUGGUCAAUGAACUUCAAAAGAGAUAGGAUGCAGAAGCAGUUUUGACAGAUAGCAAAGAGUACGAAUAUGGCUGAUUUCAUAUUAGUCAAACAAGGAUUGUUGCAGCUGACAAAGAAAGGUUUUGAUGCACUCUUCCAAACAGAAGCUAAGCACUGGUGUCGAGCCUUCUUUAGCGAAGAGUUCAAAUGCGAUAUCAUUGAUAACAAGCUUUCAAUGGUAGAAUUUUAGAGGCCAAGUGCAAAUAAAUCAUCAGCAUGCUUGAUGAUAUUCGAGUUAUGAUUAUGACUAGAUAGCAUAAGUAACAAGAUGAGGCUACAAAAUGGAGUAGAGACUGUACCCCUAGGAUUGUGAAGAGAUUUGAUGCAAAUAUUGCUGCUAGUAGGUUCUACCAUUUAGUUUGGAAUGGAGAUAAUGGAUAUGAGAUUAUUCAAAAUCAGGAUAAGUAUGUUGUCAACCUAGAUAGAAGAAAGUGUUCAUGCCGAGCCUGGCAACUAAAUGGAAUUCCCUGUGCCCAUGCCAUUUGUGCUAUUCAGAUGAAGCAAAAAAAACCCAGAUGAUUACCUACAUGAUUGGUACAAAAAAAGUUCAUACCUUGCUUCAUACCAAUUCAUGAUGCAGCCUAUCAGAAGCAGCAAAUUUUGUGAGUCAACAAAUCAUGAAAGCCCUCUACCUUUAUCGCUAAAGAAGCAAAUAGGAAGACAAAAAAAGAGACGAAGAAUGCAGCAAGAAGAGACAUAAAGUCAAAGGAUGAGUAGGACUGGAUCAAAGAUGAAAUGCUCCUAUUGCCGCAAGGAAUGGCACAAUAAGAAAGGUUGUGAGCUGAAAAAGCAGCAUCAACAGCAAGAUGUAAUAGCUGAUUCAGUGCCAGGGACAGGACCUACUAAGAGUUUCUUGUUAGGCAUAUUGAAGGGAGGACAGAAGGCCCUGCUGUAAUGCCUACUGAAGGGAAAACAGAAAGCCAUGCUGUAAGGUAAGUAUCAUCUUUGUCUUAGUAACUUUACAGUUCUUAUUCGAUAGAGUUUGAUGAUUGACCAUGUGUACUGGCUUCUCUUGUGCUUUUCCUCUAUCAUGCACUUGUAAUUUGAGAAGUUUUCUCCAUUUGUUUCCACCGUGAAAAUGAGUAAAUGUCUAAUUAUUCGUUGUAGUUGGUCAUAAUCUUAAUACAGUACAUUGUUGUAAGGCCUACUAAAGGGCCAGAAAAAGGCCCUGUUGUAGGCUCAAGUGUAGGGACAAGGACUGGAAUAGGCAGGACAGCAACAACAACAACUGAGUCCACUGUUGAGCAAACAAGAAAAAAAUAUCUUGUAAGUUUUACAUCGUUGUGUUUGGUCUUUUAUGAGCUAAAAUUUACAUUUGUUAUGUGUUUCUCAGGUGAGAAGACGAGCAACUGCACAAGUUACAAAGAUUGCUACAAGGAUUGUUGUUGUUGAAAAUGAUGCACCACAGCGAACAAGAGGGGCUCUUGGAAAAAGAUUAAAGCAAUAUGGUUAUGGGAUUUACACAAAUGAACGUACUAGAAUGACUAUUUUGAAUGUAAGAUUUAUAAGUUUUAUGCAUUUAAUUUGUUGUACUUCAAUUCAUUUGGUUGACAAUAACAAUAUCACUAUGUUCUUAUAGCCUGGGAGAACUUCGGAGGUACUUCUCUCUCAAAGUGGGCCAACUCAAGAAUUAAGGGCGCAGCCAAAGAAGAGUGCUCCAAAGAAGAAGAUGACAGCGGAUAUAGCUGCGAAAUAGCCAUCCAAAAAGAACCCAACACCAGUUCCAUCUCAACCAACAAUUGGGAGCGGUAGUAAUGAUAUGGACCAACACAUGACACGUGCUAGAACAAAAAUAGCCGCCAUAAAAAACAAGGAAAAAGAAAAUGAGGUGACAGAAAGCCCAGUUAAAGAACCUGCACAUCCAGUUCGAAAGAGUGCUCGGAUUAUGAAUCAAUUCAAAGCUCCAAGAGGAAAAAGAGAUCAUGGUGUUGUCAAUAUUUACUAAUGGGAGGGUGCUGGACAUGGUCUCUUUUUAUGUGAUGCUGGACAUGGUAUCUUUUCAUGUUUUCUUUUUUUAGGAGUGUGCUGGAUAUUAUAUCAUUGAUGGUAGUUGCUGCAUGCAUAUUGCUAUUGUUUUUUUUUUUUUUUAAGAGAGUGCUGAACUUUCGAUGAUUGUGGAGUGAAGUUAGACAUGCUUUUCUUUUCUUUUGUAAACAAUAAAUUACUGUUAAUGGCAACUACAGGAAUGAUUAUUCAUUUUCUCUUGUGUUGGUUUCGGUUAGAAUGCUAGCAAGUCAGUUAUGCUGUAUAUUUUAUUUUUGAUGUUACUGUAAUGUUGUUGUUGCUGCAAUGUUACUGUUGUUGAUUGAAAUUGUGGAUUAUAAUGAAUUUGUGGGGUUCUGAGUAUAUGUGUUGCUACAAGAAUACUUUGGGUGCUGGUACAUCUUGUUACAUCAACACCUAUAUGGGCUGGUGCAAGAAGACCAAUAACUCAACUAGUGCAAGAACAAGGUGCAUUUGGAAUGUGACGUUUGGCACUAACAUGGUCUUUUUUAAAAAACUUGUACAACAUAAGUAAUCACUUUGUAAUCGUGAUUGGCACUUAAAUGAUCACUUUUAUAAAACUUGGCACUCAAGCGAUCACUAUUUACAACUUAUGGCACUGAAAUGGUCAAUCGUGAAUUUGCCACCAUCUUUUAAUUUCGGCUAGUUUGCAAUUGCAACAAACCAGCAAACUAGAAAACUAGCAAACCAGCAAACCAUUACCAAAUAAAAAAUGUAGCAAACCAUUACCAAAUAAAAAAUGCAGCAAAUCAUUACAAAAUAAAAAAUGGUUAAUAUCCUAAAAAACCCAAAACCAGUACACUUGUGAUAAAUUUACCCCAAACUAUUUUUUAAGUUAAAUUAAAUGUGACAGUUGACUAAUAUAUCGAUUUAGGAUUUUAGGCAUUGUUUGUCACAGUUUACAAUUUUUGUGAUUUUUUUAUAGUAUUAAUCUAAUUUAACGGAAUGUAUAUUUGUCACAAAUUUAUCAGUUUGAGGUUUUUUGUAGUCGAAUAAAUUAGUUUAGGAUAAAAUUAUCGUAAAUGUACCAGUUUAUGGUUUUUUAUAGUCAGUUAGGGUAAAUUUGUCACAAGUGUACCAGUUUUAGGGUUUUUUAUGGUAAAAAAAAUAGUUUUUGAUAAAUUUGUCAUAGGUAUACCAGUUUUGGGUUUUUUUUUAGGGUAUUAACCCAAUAAAUAAAUGCAGUAACCAUUACUAAAAGCUUUCAAUGCAGCAAACCAUUACCAAAUAAAAAAUGCAGCAAACCAUUACCAAAUAAAAAAAAUGCAGCAAACCAUUAUCAAAAUUUUUCAAUGCAGCAAACUAUAACCAAAUAAAAAAUGUAGCAAAUCAUUAUAUUUGAAGCAAAAAUUAAUCAAAACAAAUAUUGACAAUACACAACUAAACAAAAAAACUUUUAAGUGCUCACAACUAAUACAUUUCAAGUCCAAUCUUGCAUUUCUACCGAUAUAUUACAGCAACAAAAUAUUUUGCUCCAUACAAAAAUUGCAGCAAACCAAAAAACACAUUUUAUUUAUAAAUAAUUCAAUACAAGUGCAUAUUCCAUGUCUUCGACUAUGGUAGACAUACAAACUUCUUCUCAUUACUCACUUUACCUUUGAAUAAACUACCCAAGAGAAAAAGAACACAAUCAACGCUUGAUAAAAGUUUCUUCCAAUUUUUAGCCUUGAAAUCCCCCUCUUCAAAUGGUCCACCAAAUAUGUUAAACCCUUCAUUUGAGCUUGCAUUGAGUCGACAUCCUCCAACUCAUCCAUUAACAUAGGUGGAAGUUGAUUUUGGCUUUCAAGUAACUCCAAUAUCAUGUAUGUCGCUCGAUCAAAGAAUUUCCUAUCAACUCAUUUGAAGUAUUGGCACUUCGAGCCUUUUCUAUAUCUGCCGCACCCAUGGAAUCUUCUCCUGGGAUUCAAUCGAGUCCAAGAUGUUCUUCUCGAACUUGGUAACCCACAAUAACAGUAACACUCACCAUCUAAUUCGCCUUUUUUUAUAGGAAUGUGAGCCGCUGUUAAAGCUUUUGUCAUCCAUUUGCAAGAGCGAGUUGAUAACUUCAGGAGAAAAUUGAAGUAUGCACUCAAAAUGGUCAAAUUGGGGAUUUAGAGUUUUCAACUUCCGAUUCUAGUAGAAAUUGGGGAUUUAGGGUUUCUUAUGUGGGGGAAAAUGAUAAAAAGCAUCGUUUUGUUCUUUGUAUGCUGAUUGUAUUCUCUAGCGAUCCACGUCGGCAUCAAAAAUUAAUAAAAAACUGCCAUGUCAGAUUUCCGGUCAACCAAAUCGGCGAUGGCACCAAAGUGAUCGUUUUUCAAAAUUUUUGGCACUUAAGUGAUCCGACGGAAACUUUUGGCACCAAAGUAAGCGCCGUACACAACUUAUGGCACAAUUAGUGUACUUCUCCCAAGGUUUUGAUGUGAUUGUCGUUGGAAUUUACAGGGCCGUCUCGUGGCAAUAGAUUGCCUGCUUCCCCUUGUUUGAUAAUUUCUAGUUUACCGUAUUCUUCUGAAGCAAGUGCUGAAAUGGAGGAACCCAUAGGAUUUUUUGCUUUUUUCCAUCUAAUGUGUCUUGACACAUCGUGGAGUUCUUUUUCUGAUAUUUGGUUCUUGUAAUAUUAUGCAGAGACCGUGAAGGAGAUGUAUGAUAAAAUUCUUGAGUCCGCUAAUAUGAAAAGAACAAUGGCUCCAAACGCAUGGACGUGGUCGAUGAUUGAAAAUUGCAAGAACAGAGAGGAUAUCAGAGCUUCUCUUUGAUGUCUUGCAGAACCUACGUAGAUUUGUCUGUUGACUUCUUGCUCCAUUUGAGAAUUAAAGUUUUAGUUUGUGAGCAGUUGACAAACCAACUUGUUUUUUUCUUUCAUUGGGCAGAUUGUCAAAUCUUCAAAUUCAUGAGAAUUUUAACUGCAACCUUUGUCGGAUAGUCACAAAAGCAUGAGUGCAUGCAAGGGCUCUUGAUUUUGGGGAGCUUUAUCUACACAAGUUGUGUGCCAAGUUCAAAAAUUUUAUAUCUUGCUAAUAUAUUCACCCGAUUCUUCUUCUUCAUUCGAUUGUUGCUAUGUACCCUAUCAUUAGCACAAUCAUUUUGUUGUUAUGUUGUUUGCUCUCACAUGAUCUUUUUACCUAAAGUCUGUCAUGCUCGGAGAACAUAUUCAGUUGCUUAUGAAAACUUUUGACUAUCGCGCUGGUACCGGUAGCUAGUUAUGCUUUUUUGUUUUUUUUCCUUGAUGCAUCAAUUAUGUAAACCGGAAUUUUGUCCUACACGGUUGCUACACGUCUAUUAAGUGUGGGUAUUGAAAUAACAUGACACAUUCUUGCUAAUAGUUUUUCACGUUUGAAUGUGUAAAAGCACAUUCAAUUUAAAGUACAUAGGACAUUGUUAAAAAUGUAUUAACUUGUCUUGUGUGAGUAACAUGUUAACUUGCUCGACAUGCUUCAAUGUGUUUAAGUGGUAAAAAGGUCAAUUUAUUUUACAUGUACAAACUUGUUAACUCAUUGAUGACUCAGACAAUUUUAAGCUCAAUCCAACUUAGUAUGUGUCAAACACUUAUUCUGUAAACAGGUCUUUUCGCACAUUGCUGGCUCUGUAGGACUCUGAUUUAUUGAAUGACACCUCCACUUCAAGUUAUUGAAUUCAUUGUUGAAGCUUGGCAAAGAGCAUUCACUUUUUGCGGACUUGUUUUUAUGAACAUCAAGCUUCAGUAGUUGUCAGUUCAACCUGUUUCUAGUAAUUAAGCUCUUCAUAAUUUUCAAGCAAAAUAAAUCAAAUCAAUCUGCAGUUCCAAAGUGUAGUUCAUGUUAGGAGAUUGCAGCAAUUAAUUGUCACUGGGAGUACAUGAUUUAAUCAGAACCUAUAUCUGUAAAUCCUUAUUUAGGCUAAGAAAUUAAUUCGCAUGGUGCACUUAGUACUUGAUGAUAGAAACUAAGGGUUGACAAAAUUGUAGGUAAGAAGGCCUCGUGGGAGCAUAAUGUCUAUGGAUUGACCCCUACGAUUGGCUAUGCAAACCAUCUUUUGGUAAUGAUGAAGUGUAUCUAAAUCAAAAAAAUUCUUUUUUCCAUUUGUUUUAUUUACACAAUUCUUCCGCUAAGUUGGGGUAUUGCAAUGCAGCAAUAUGCUAAAGAGCACAAAGAUGCCACUCUCAGAAGAAGAAUAACUUGCCAUUGCAACCCAGCACAGCUGAUAGUGUUUUCAGGUUCACUUCCGUGCUGUUUUCCUGAGAAUGAUGUCAUUAUCAUGUAGGAAGCCAUUAUUGCACUUAAUUGUGUGAAAUGUACUACAUAGUUAUCAAGCAAUUUAUCCAAUUUAUAAGUGUCUUUUAUAUAUGAUUUAAUCAACUUGUUUUUAUUUUGAAUCAUUUUGUCUGCACUGCUACUCUCGAUCUAAUAGUUUGCUCAUGUUACUUGACAUCCUUUAUUUCCAUGGAAAAAUUUUGCAGCAUUUGUGAUGAUACAGACAAUUGGGGGUUGCUCACAAAGUAUUCAAAGAGAUUUGUCAAAAAGGGAGUGAAUCUGCAUAAAGCUGCAUUUGACAUCUGGAUGGAGUUUGCUGCAAAAGUAGGUGAGAAACACUCGCUCUGUCUCCCUUCACUGCUCUCAAGCCCUUGCCCCUCAACAAUCUUAUUUUCCAUUUCUCCCCACAAAUAGUUCUCUCAUCUAGGUCCCGCCACUUACUACAAAAGAUGGGAUGUGCUAGAAUAUUUUCUUACUGUACAAUGAUUUCUUUCUCUCCUUAAGCAAAAGGGUAGAAAUAAGAAUUGAAAAGAAUUUUCACUGCGCCAUGUCUUUCAAUGUCUUUGUUUCUUUAAUUGUUCUGAGAUUAUGCUUCUUUAUCCUAUUUAGUGGUUUGACGAAAAUUACCCUUUUCAGGAGACAUUGAAUCUCUAUGGAAAACUGAGAAGUUAAGAUGUGAGUCCAUGAAGCAGCAUACCAUGGGCAGUGGGUUCUCAUGUGCGAAGGUAGUUUACAAACACAAACUGUUGAAAUCACAAAUAUCAGACCCCGAAAGCACUAGGUCUUCUUGCAUUAGAAAAUCUGAUAAUGGGAAAAUAUUACUAUUGCGAUACAGAUCAGUACAAAGUUCUUGGUAAACCAGGUGAGAGGUCUAUGGCCAAAAAAAGCGGGAGUUAAUGCUUGAAUAAACCAAAUUUUGGCUCACAUCCUAGGACAUGAAGCACCUAUGGGCAUGAGAAUGCUCAUUGUCAUCACACGAAGGAGAUAUAACUACUUUUUUCGGUAUUUGGAAGCAUUUAUUGUGGCUUUUAGCACUCUGGUUUAAGAUUAAAAUUUAACCGACUGUCAUUUACUUGUUUUGUGGCAAACUAAAUGGUUUUAUAUUCAAUUUUUUGUGCAGGGAUAUUUACUUGAAGGCAAACCUGAGGAGGCUGCUACAGUCAUUCGCGUCUUGAAUCAGGUGCUCCUCACUUCUCAGAGCAUCUAUAGCUAUUAUUAAUAUGCUCAUCAUCACCAUCUGGCAUGAUUGCAAUCCUAAAUUACCUCAGCCUCUGAACUAGUCAUUCAAUUUUCCAUAUACUGUCAAGGAAUGAAGCAAUUAGUGGAAGAUAUACGGAAUUGUCCCCCGAAAUGUGCUCAGAAAAAUUACCAUGACAUAUCCUCUCUCGAGGGGGACUGGGUGAUUUGGGUUUCGUAUUUGGUGCCUACUAUACUAUUGAAAUAACACGAGUUAGUUCCAUGGAUCCUAAUAGAGUUUGAAAGAUCAUCUCAGACUCCUCCUGAAUUGAAUAAAGUUGGAAAGACACCAAUGUAGGCUCUGUUUGUUCAGAUGUCGCUUCUUAGGUGUCGCAAUGUGAAUGCCUUGGAUUGAUGCCAGAGUAAACCUGAUGCUAAGAGGUCCAGCAUCAUGGUUGAACUUCAAAAGCUUGUCAGUGAGUGGCUUUUCGAGGUCAUCAAAAGGAAGAAAGAAGAUGACCGCAAGGUACUUCCUUUGACUAAAUAUCCAUCACUUUGGGUAGAAGUAGAAAUAUUGCCUGUUUGGAGUUAUAUAUUGCUCUGGUAAUGUUUGAAGAUGACCCGUUGCUGGAUGUAUAUAUGCUGCUUUGAACUAUCUCAAAAUUUUUAAAACCUCUCAUUCUUUUCGCUCAUGUAGGCAUUGGCUGCUUCUCUCAAAUCCGAUAUCCCAGCCAUGGUUAGUUCCUUAUUAAACACGGGCUUGCAGGUGAAAGCGAAUAACCACCGAAGGCACCCUUUGUUAAAGUAUGACAGAAUUGGAGAUUGAAUGCACUAGCUGCAGAUCUGUCUCCUAUGUGGACCGCUAAGGUUGCCAUGUAAGUUUAAACCGAUUCCGCUGAGAAGCAAGACAAGCGCGGUACUCACGUCUCGAGCAACAAGCAUCUGAAGUUCUCUUGUAAAGGUCCCUGAACCAUGAAAAGAUCUGCUCCUUCUUGAUUUGAAUGCUGUCACUUCUGUACUUUCGGAUAAUGAUUUUUUUCUUUCCCAAAAAUAUCUGAAUGUAUUAGAGACGAUAGGUGCAUCAUCAGCAAUUGAAUUCUGAGAACAACCUCGGAUGACUAGUUUUUGCUGAGAGGACUCUUCUGGCUCACAAAUUUUAGAUUGGACCAAAUGGGCAGUUAAGAGAGACAAUUGAUAAGGUGGUCCUUUCAAUUUCAAUCUGAUUUGGCAGCGUUUUGUUAUAUUUCUGACAGAAUUUCGCUGUCCAAAAUUAAGAGAGUGAAUUUUAUGCCGACUCAUUCGAUCUUGGCAUACAGCGACCACCAUUGUUUCCUGAUUUAAUCGGAUUGAACUGUCCAAUCGUGGUGCCAGAGUGCAUAACAUAAAUUACAUGCCUUUUUACAUCAUGAAAGAUAACGAAGAACCUGAAUUACCAGAUUUGGCUUUGGUACCCACAUGCGUAGGUGCGUGCGUGCGUGCGUGCAUUUUGUGCAUAUAAGGUGUAAAAGAGGUGACAAACGCAAUCCUCUAGAAUUAAAACAUGUGCAUUAAUCGUGCGCAAGUUUUAGCAAUGAAUUGACAUAAUUGUAAUAGGUGUGACUUUUUUGAUAAUUUUUCCGUAUUCACACUAAAAAAUUUAGGAUUAUAAUCAGAUUGUAUAGGAUUGAAUUUGAAUUUAUACAAUAAGCUUAUGACUGAAUUUACGAUUCUCCCAACUCAAAUAAUUCUCCCCCUCUUCUAUCUCCUCUCCUCAUUUGUAUAAAAUGGGCAAUGAGGGUUGGCUUAGGUAGUGGAAGGGAAACCAUCCUCCCAAUGACCAUCCUGGAGAAAGUCCACCCAAAUUCAAAUCGCAGGGGAAGAAAACAAACCUCUUCUCACUUUGAAUCACCACACUGAGUGUUGAUUUUAGCUCCUUAAAAUCUUCCUACACAUCCAACCCCUCGGGAUCCUAGCAUCAAGAGACAAUCCUUCCGGAUUAUAAGAGUGAGAGUAGAAGUCACAUCCUAUGAUUUCCAAUCUUUCGCAAGACAUGCAAAUAGAUUUGCGUAUGGUUAAUAUGAGAAAAGAGCUAUCCUAUACACUCGCAUUUAGUUGAUAAAAAGGUUGAUCAAUUUGUAGAUGACAUGCAGCGACUUAAUUUCCAUUCACAUAUAAAUAACAUGUAGCCCAUCCUAGGUUGUGUCAAAGCCCCAAUACAUGUAUUAGAUACUAUGCCAUCUCAAUCCGAAAAAGCAAAAGGGACAUAUUGAUGUUUUCCAAUCAUCACACCUUGAGAAAAGACGACACAUUUUUUACUCUAGCAGGUGAGACAUCCUUCCGACGGUAGUCUCGGAAGAUGAAUCUUGCUUCCGAUCUCCAUAAUCUAGCAACAAUGAUGGUGAUUCCACUGGACUAGUGAGGACUACUUUUAUCUUCCUCUCCUUUAUGUACUUAUCACUUCCUUUAUCAAACAAAAAAUCUAAAAGAAAUUUCUCGAGUUACUUAACCCGAAACAUUAUGGAACAUAUAUUAGUAAAACUUGUCAUGUCAACAGUGAUGUCCUCUUCAUCUGUAUCAGGAACUUGUCUCUGCACCGCAGGACAGGUGGAGCUACUUGUGGUGCUUAACAUGGUAACUGCAUCAAAUAGAAGAUAGGAUGAAAAGCUACUCCAAUUUUUUUGAAAUAUCAGGACAUAGCUUCUGAGGCCUAUCACAGUUUCCCUUUAUCUAAGGUAUAUUAGACUACUAUGGCGGGCAUUCAGAAUCUUAUUCAAAGAUGAUCCUUGCUGUAAUGCGACUGACUCCACCUUAAGCAGUUCGUACCCCAGCAACAAUAUAGUCCAAUUGACAUGUCAUGGCAAAGAAAUUGCAGAAGAAUCUUUUAGCCGAUUCAAGUACCGUGGGCAUGUCCCUCCUCACAAGUAUGUUAGGGGCUCUAAUAAGUAUGUGACAUGAUAUUCCAUGGACUUGAGCUACACGAUUUCGAAUCAGAUGCUCCAUUGGGCUUGAUGAUGCCUACAUUCGGCCACACACAGUAUUUCUUCAAAGACGUAGACUUAACCCAGAAUGCUUUGGAUCUCUAGUAUAGAGUUCAUAUUGUCUCUCCCCAAUAGAGAGCUUUAAAUGCACUGGUGUCCUACUCUGAAAAUUAAAUUACAUCCACAAAUACAAGAUUGAAAGGAAAUUGUUCACCCGCCAUAACCUGAAAAGAGUAAAGCAUGAUCAUGGUGAAAGAAAAGGUCCAAAAAAUCUUCCCCUUGAAAGCAACAUAUCGAUCAGUCUUGUUGCCUAACAGAAUCGAGCAUGAGCUUUGUUUACCCAACUCAACUACAUAGACACGAAGAAGAGGCUUCAGAUAUAAGAACUUAACAGGGUACGUCACGAUAGCAGGAUGUGAUGAAAUGUAACAUUGUACAUUUUCUUUGAAGAUAUAAUGUAGUAAUGCAAUCUCGAUGGAUAUUCCAAAGAACUUACAAGAGAAGACAACUCCUAGUAACUACGGGGUACAAUGGAAAUGAACAUUCAAAGCCUGAGAUUAAUCCUGGGAAAAAUGGAAAAGUAUGGAACAACAAACUUUGAUUUACAUCACAUGAAGCAAGGACAACGUGAUAAGUGAAUUCAAGCAUCCCAUGGAAUUCUAUUGGCACCGGCAGCUUCUACUGAUUCCAGUUCUGCCACAACUAUAGUCCUGGAAGGCCACUCGUUAGGAGUCAUUUGGAGGCAUUGUAAAGCAAGCUGUGCUAUUUGGAAUGCAGAAUCUAUAUAUGUAAGGUAUAGGGAUGGUAUAAAUUUGGUUCCCAUUUCCUGCAGGCUGCAAACAUCGUGAGCCACCGGCUUCUUCCAAGAUAUCCAGUGUUUCUUUUUUGGGUAAUUGGAGCAUCUGCAGAAAUGAAAAGUUAUGUAGGCAAUACAACUGUAGAUUCCAUGCCAAAGGAUUUAAGUAGCUAAAAGGAAAACACACCUCGUAUUUCAUAGAGGGGAUUAUAGUGAACCUCACACCAGAAACUCAACCAAAACUCUGCAUCAAUUGAAAGUAAGGUUAACAAAAGGAAAAACUCAAAAAAUAUGGAGUUUCAAAAGACCAGUUGCACAUUGAACAAAAGCAACAGUAGAUCAAUUGCAAAUGUUUACACCUAGGUUUAAAAUCAAUCAAAUAUAUAUUGAGCUGUACCCAAGCAGCUGUCCUAAGCAAGCAAAAGAACAGAUAUUUAAUUUCCCAGAUGAACAACAAGCAAAGCAUCACAAAGGAGGGUCUAUGCGUAUAUGUAUGCAAGAAACACUCUUUUUUCCAAGACAAAUGAGAAGUAAAAUAUCAACUUCACAUUCAUCACAUUGCACUGACUGAUCAUUUGACCCAACAAAACAACUAUGAAGAAGACUAGCAAGCAAUACCCAAGACAGAGGGAACUUAUAAAUCCGAUGGCCCAACAAUAAUCAAGCUAUCAGUAUCAAGAGGUUUUAGACCUCCUUCAGGCUCUCCAACAUCAACCAAAUAAGCAUUGAACAUCAAUGACUCACCGGAACAAUUAACUUCAUCAUUCUUCAAAAUUAUGCAUUUUGACAGCUGCUCGCUGCCAUCAUAGGGCAUUACCUAUCAUAUAUCCGACCAUCAAUCACAGCAUGGACUAAUCUACUCCAAACAAGCUCAAUCACGGAGAGUAUUACAACCAAAAGCACAGAACAUAACAAUCCAUGAUGAUAGAAAAAAUGAAACCCUAGGCAGCAUCGAGCUGCUGCCAUUAAGUUUGAUCAAGCAAGCCAAAUAUGGGGGAAAACGGUAAUAAAUCAAUAGCCACUGCAAUUUUGACACAGAUUAGCCAAUCAAACCAAAUCAUGUCCAAGCCCAAUCAAAGGCAACUAAAUUGCCCACCAGGUUGAGCUGGACAUCACUAGAAGAGAUUAGUAGUGAAAGCAAAGGUACCUUGCUGGUGGAGGUGCAGAGUGAGAGGAAGCCGUCGCAAUAGACCUUGCGCUUCAGCUUCUGCUUCAGGUGCUUCUUGAAGGUGACAUUCCAGCACACACAGACUCAAGCACAUAACUCAUUUCAUCAAACACCAAAAUUGCACAUGAUCACCAAACACUGGACAGGCAAAACUUAGAUGGUUCACACUUACACGAAGCAUAAUUCGCACACUAAUUACAAACACAAUCCAAAAGCAGUUCAGGAUUGAAAAAGAAAACAAGAGCACAACACCGAUCCGCUCCUAGAACCUGUAUUGCCGGCUCAAAAUGCAGGCGUUGAGUCCAUCACAGAGCUGAAAGCUCUGAUGUAUUCAUCCGUGGGAUUCUGCUGAGUCCGGAUGUUCUGUAUAAGGGCAACAAGGAUGGUGAUGCCAGAUUUCUGUCCCUCAAGAUUCCGUUUGAUGCGAUGUUCAUUUUCCUAAUCAAAACUCCAGAGUUAGAGCUUAAGCUGGCAGACUUGAAAUCCAUAUCCUAGGUGCAAUUUCUCCCUCUUAACCCAACCUUGAUUGAGGAUGAGGACCACAAUACCAAUGUGUGCGCAGAAGCUCUCCCUGAUGCUCAUAGAGUUCAACUUGACUAAAAUUUCUGAGAUUCUACACCCAAAGACAGUCAGCCAUUGCUUCAGAUUUUCACUUGGUGAUCUGUCCUGUGCAAAUGUGAAUGAUGUUGAGCUACGGGUGGCUCUGGCAUCGACUCCAGAUAUGGAUCCCAAGUUGCUUUCUCAGCUGAAAGUAGCACAGCGGAUUGGAAAUCUUUUGGAGUUUGUACAUGGGAAGAAUUUGGAAGAUUUUCUCAAAUUGAUGCUUGGCUUGUGCAAAGCUCUUCUUUUAUGAUCACCAGGUUCCACGAAAGUUUUCACGUACAUGGAAGAGCCAACACUACCUGAUGAAAGUUCUUCUGAGGCAGCAAGUAGCAUAUGACACAUAGCUGACUCUGGUGGCAGUGCCAGUGUUUUCCUGGAAUUGAGUGGGUCUCAUGACAGAAACAAUGCUGAUAAUGCUUAUGAAUGCACAGUUCUAGUACUGAAGGCGGCCCCAAGGGAAGGUGCUCUCUUUUCCUUACCAAUCUUUUGUAAGUGAGUGCAAUUCUCAAGUCUCGGCAAGACAGCCUCCUUCUCUACUGGUACAGCAAAUGCUGCAUUCUAUCAGUUACAACUGUAGGCGAUGUUUGCUGCAUAGAAUGAUCUUUGUCAGUGUGCCCGUCAAAGAUUGCUAUGAUUGAAGGCAUCAUUGCUGAGAUAAAAUAUUCUGGUGCUGCUGUUCAGCCAGUGCUGCCACACUGGUAAUCUCCGAAUUCCAGUGGCUCCCUCAUUUAUGACUUCUCCAUAACAUUUGCAAAUCCCACUAAGAAGCACACCUUUCCUGAAAAAUAAACUGAACUUAAGCAUGGCAAUACAGAGUGUCUAUCUACUUCAAAGUCACAACAAUGAGUUGAUUGUGCUGUAAAGUCCUAGAAUGAGAACCAUAGUUGUAUGACCUUCCAACACACAUUCCAUCUAUUUGUUUACAGCAUAGCAAAUUUAUCUCCCAUGCAAAGUGAGGUUAUCAAUUUCAAAAUAUGUGUGAAGCAGCAAAUCAACGACGAUCUCUAAUAAGUUGUUACAUAUCAAAUAAAAAUGAUGCAAUCGACAUGCAUAUGUCACGGACCGAGAGAAGGCCGAUCCGUGAGGUUCCCCGAGGACGACCCCGACUCGUCCAUGGAAGACCUCCUACUCCAACUCGGGUUCCCAUCAAAGCUUCUCCCUGAAGCUUCCAAGGGAGGACGACACCGUCAUUUUGCCUGACUCUAGAAGCUUCCGUUAUUUAUGUCGGUAGACGGUAGUUAAAUAUUUAUGUCAGUAGUUGAGGCGGUGCGAUCUCGCCCGUCAGAUAAAAAGUAGAUCAACGGAUGUAAACCGAGGCCCUCAACUAUAAAAAGGGGUGCCCUCCUUCAUUUGUAAUCACCCAACAUUUCAGCAAUACAAAGUUCAUUUCCUUCCAGAGCUCCUCUCUCUUACUUUCUCUCUCAACGAUUCGGGUAAGCGAGCGGGUUAGCGUUCGAUCGAGCAACGCUUGGCCCGGGUAGUCCAAAAUCGCCCGAGUCGCCGCGCGGUCAUGAUCCCAAUUGAUCGGCCCGUGACAAGUGGUAUCAGAGAAAAAUAGAGAUUCGUUUGAGAGACCAAGGAGCGCCAACUGUUCGAAGGAAUGUCGAGCCAAGAAGCUGUCAUGGUUGGAGAGACCGUGCAAGUCCAAGAGGACCGCGGUCGUGGAAAGAAAAGAGACGCCUCGAGGGACGUCAUAGCUGUGUUCGAUGAGAAGAUCGCGAAUGUCCGGAGCGCUGUGCACGAACUCAUGGAAGGUCUUGACGACGUGCGAGACCGGAUCAUGGAGGUUGACAGUUCACUCUGUGAAGACUUCACUUCAUGCAUCAAUGAAGCUACCGCGCCAUUACACGACAAGGACGAAACCCUUGAAGCAUCGAUCGAUGUGUUGAAGGAGCGUGUCCAAGUGGUCGAGGAAGAAGCUCCGCGUAGGGACGAGGUCGAAGCCAUGAAGGCCGAGAUCCAAGAGCUCAAGACCGAGCUUGCCCUGUGCAAACUAAGCAUCACCAAUGGUGCUGUGCCGAACCAAGCGGUGCCCAAAAUUGAGGCGCCAAAGCCGAAAGAAUUCAAAGGCGAACGAUCCGCCAAGGAGGUGGACAACUUUGUUUGGAGCAUGGAACAAUACUUCGGUGCCGUCAACAUGAACGACGAGAUGACCAAGGUACGAACCGCGUCAAUGUUCCUGUCUGAUACGGCAAUGCUUUGGUGGCGCAAUAGGUGUGACGAGGUUAGACGAGGCGCUGAUCCCGUGUGCACAUGGGACGACUUCGUACGAGAGUUCCGGGACUACUUUUUCCCCCAGUUCGCUCAACAAGAGGCCCGUAGCAAGCUCCAUCCCUCGAGCAAAGAGGCACGAUCCGAGAGUACGUGAAGGAGUUCACCAAGCUCAAACUCUAGAUUCGCAACCUGAGCGAAGAGGAGGCUCUCGGAGCGUUCAUGGAUGGAUUAAAGCCAUGGACACUUCUCGAGCUCAAGAGACGGGACGUGAGUAGCCUGGCGCGUGCGCUGAGCGUGGCCGAGUCGCUCGUCGACCUCACCAAGACCGAACCAAGGAGUCGACAAAGAGAUUGGAGGACUGAUCGACCUUGCGAGGAUGAAGCUGGAAGAAACACUCCCCGGGCUGCGCAUGAUCAAGGCGGUCGAGCCAAAGCAUGGGGAGAAGGGUCUUCAAAGCCAGCCUUCCAAAAGGGUAGACCACCGACAGACUACGCGAGCAGGUUUGAUCAACCCCCGCCUUCUCCUUGUUUCAUUUGCCAAGGUCCGCACUGGACCCAAAAGUGCCCAAAGAAGGGUCGAAUCAACGCCCUCCUUGCCAUCGAGGAAGAAAAGGAGGAGUCCAAAGAAGACCGACGACAAAUCCGACUUGGAGCCGUGAAGAUGAUCAACUCCGUCCAAGCUCGGUCCCCAACCAAAGGAAAAGAAGCUGCGUCGGACAUAGAAAUGUUCUUCGUGCAAGUCAACGUGUGCGGCCGAACGCUACACGCCUUGGUCGACACGGGUGCGUCGAACAUGUUCAUGUCAAAGGAAGUGGCAAAGGCCUUGAACCUUCGCGUGGAGCCGACCGAGAACACCUUCAAGCCAAUCAAUUCGGAAGGCGUCCAUGGCGUAGGAUCGACUUCGAAUGUGGACGUCAAAAUUGGCGAUUGGAGGGGCAAAAUGGAUUUCGAGGUAAUCCCGCUUGACGAUUACGAUCUCAUUCUUGGUAUGCAAUUUUUCAAUAGUGUGAGAUCCAUGAUCGACAUGAGGACCAAAUGCCUCGUGAUUCUCGAUCCGGAUUACCCGACGACGGUCCCAAUGAUCAAAGGGAUGGUCGACACCAAGACCAUCGCGUCGAUCCAACACCUCAACAAGAGCUUGAAGGCCGUCAUGCGCAUCAACAAGUUUCCAAGGUGAAGCCGAAGGUCAAGUUGGAUCCUACUCCAACAAAUGCCAUGCCAAUCCAAGCGCUCUUCCCCGAGGUUGAGUACGCACCGCAUGCUCCGUCCAAGCCAAAGGCCGAGUCACGUGCCAAAUCCGACUUCAUCAAUGAAGGUUGCGGUCCGUCAUAUGAGAGCGUCCGCACCAAAUGAAACAAGAACAAGAGAGCCCGUGCCAAAGCCCGUGCUCGUGCCAAGAAGGCCAACCUCCGAGCUGUGAGCGACGAGGGCGUCGCUCGAAUGAGUGGGGGAGAAUGUCACGGACCGAGAGAAGGCCGAUCCGUGAGGUUCCCCGAGGACGACCCCGACUCGUCCAUGGAAGACCUCCUACUCCAACUCGGGUUCCCAUCAAAGCUUCUCCCUGAAGUUUCCAAGGGAGGACGACAUCGUCAUUUUGCCUGACUCUAGAAGUUUCUGUUAUUUAUGUCGGUAGACGGUAGUUAAAUAUUUAUGUUGGUAGUUGAGGUGGUGCGAUCUCGCCCCUCAGAUAAAAAGUAGAUCAACGGAUGUAAACCGAGGCCCUCAACUAUAAAAAGGGGUGCCCUCCUUCAUUUGUAAUCACCCAACAUUUCAGCAAUACAAAGUUCAUUUCCUUACAGAGCUCCUCUCUCUUACUUUCUCUCUCAACGAUCCGGGUAAGCGAGCGGGUUAGCGUUCGAUCGAGCAAGGCUUGGCCCGGGUAGUCCAAAAUCGCCCGAGUCGCCGCGCGGUCACGAUCACAAUCCCAAUCGAUCGGCCCGUGACACAUACCUCUAGGAGAAACCAUCCUAAGAAAAUGUAGCAAAAAAAGGCAAACGAAACUUGGAAAAGAACACAAAUACUUGUACAUAAUUAAGAGCCCUCUGGCUGUUCGGAGGCAUCAUAAUUUAAAUACCUUCAUUAGAUUUUCAGGCAAGAAUCCGCUAAAAGGUCAUUAAAAAGUGCAUGCAAAACUUCUCUGUUCAUAUCUAUGAAAGAAUUUGAUUGCCAAAAAAGGAAAACAUUGGUACUUACCUCAAUUUGUUUAAGGUUUGAACACAAGGGAACAAUUUGUGGUCGUGCAUCAAAAAGCUUCCAAGUGCAACGUGCACUUAUUCAUCUUCUUGCCCAUUAUCCUCUUACAUAUCUUAGUAUUCUUGUUACAUAUCUCAGUAUUCUUGCCCAUCGUCCUCUUACAUAUCUUUGUAUUCUUGCCCAAACCAGUAAUUUGUCUUCUUCAUCAUCUUAUCCCACAAAUUUGAUUGACUUCUCCGAGCAAAGCCGAGAAAUUUCCUCCGCUGCUAAUUUCCCACAACGUCUUAUUGUAACCUCUUGCAGUCCCUUCAAGCUUGAUAGAUCAGACAACUUCUGUAAAGAUCCACACCAUUGAAUCCACAAUGUUUUCAAAGAUUGAGGUAGUUCGCCUUGAAUCUCAACCAGAUUACCGCAGGAUUCAAUGUUCAAGUAUUCCAAAGAUUGGGGUAGUUCAAUCUCAACCAGAUUACGACAAUAUUCUACUGAAAGAUAUCUUAUUCCAUCCAUAUUGCUUAGAUCAGGGAUCUGUAUAUUCAAACCUUUGAUUGUGACCCAUCGCAGUCUCUUCAAGCUUGACAGCUCAGGCAACUUCUGUAAAGAUCCACACCAUUUAAUCCGCAAUGUUUCCAAAGAUUGGGGUAGUUCGUUUUGAAUCUCAACCAAAGAUCCACAGCUGUCAAUAUCCAAUGUUUCCAAAGAUUGGGGUAGUUCGCCUUGAAUCUCAACUAGAUUACCGCAUGAUUCAAUAUACAAUGUUUUCAAAGAUUGGGGUAGUUUGCCUUGAAUCUCAACCAGAUUAUGACAAGAUUCUACUCUAAGAAGUGUUAUUCCAUCCAUAUUGCUUAGAUUAGGGAUCUGCAUCUGUUUAAUGCCAGAAAGCUGCAACCGAUUUCCACUUAAAUAUUCAAAAACCUGAUUGCCACUAUGCACAUACACAUAAACAUGUGUCUUACCCAUUAUGCUGAACGGAUCGGGGAACUUUUGUAACGAAUCACGGGAACCAAUUUUAAGUUCAUCCAAAAAUCGUGGUAGUUCGCCUUGAAUCUCAACCAGAUUACAACACCCCGAUACUGUAAUACGCCUUAGCUUGUUUAACUUGCUUAGAUCAGGUAGCAUCGCCAGCUGUACGACGUCCCGAAGGCGGAAAUCUCGUAGGUUCUCCAAACAACCAAGGCCUUCAAUCUUUGCAACUGCAGAGCAGCAAAUGUCGAGAUCCGAUAGUUUCCUCAAAUUCGAUAGAUCCAUCGAGCCAAGUGAGUCGCAACCAGAGAGACGUAAGACGGAUAAACUUGAGGGAAGCCUCAGGAGGAGAGGCGGAUGAGGAGGGAGGCUGAGGUCUAUCGAUGAGGCGGUCCCCCCGAAAAAGCACAGUAGCAGAGAUUCCAAUUUGCUUAAGUUCCCAAUCCACCAUGGUAUCCGUUUUUCCAGGAGCCCAUAAGAUUUCCCAUCACAGUUAGGUGGGCCAAAGCCCAGAUGCAAUACCUUUAAGUUAGCGAGAUUUGAGAGAUCUGGAAACGUGUCCACCCUCAACUCCUCCACUACUAAUUCGAUGAGACUUUCAGGAAACCUUGGUAGGGCGUGUACUCCCGGCCAUCCCAAUAUCUUUUCCCAUGAACGCCCGUAUAAGCAAUAGCCACUUAUUGCGUGGGCAUGCGUGACAUGAUUAUAACGGUCGGCGAUUUCCAUUCCCUUGACCUUCCCCAUCUUCUUACAAGCAUCAUUGUUCGUUCUGUUUUCGAAACCAUUCUGCAUCUUCAUUACUUUCAAAUUCUUCGACAUUCCAAUGGAAUCGGGUACUUCUUCGAUGCUCGUAUGACUUAUGUCCAAAGUUAGCAAAUCCAAAUUUCUAACCAUCUUUGGAAGCCUCUGAAGAUUCCAACAAUUGCUUACAUCUAAGAAAAUUAAGCGUUUCAACUGACAAAUUGAUUCAUCAAUUUCGAUUAAUGAUUCACAGCCUGAUAAGAUCAAAUGUUCUAAAUUUAAAUGAGCAAAGAAGUUGGGGGUUCUCUCCAAGCAUUGGCAAUGGGCCAGAUUCAGAACUUUCAAAUUCUUAAUCCCCUGUGAAAGAAAAAUCAUGCACAGAUUACUUUCAAAUUUAAUGAGAUAGAAGAACAAGUAUCGUCUAGCAUAUGACAUACCUUCAUGUGGCUCCACCCUUUCCAAUCAUGAGUAAUUUCACUCCGAGAUAGAUCAAGGAUAGUCAAAUUCUCUACGGAGAAAUUUGCAAUCUCAAAUGUUGGGUGAAUAUUAUGCCAAGAAAGCCAGCGUACUUCUGGAAGGAGAUUUGAAUCCAAAACAUCAGUUGGAAGAACACUUGAUGGCCCUUUGUGCUGAAGAAGCAUCUUUUCUACACAAAAAGUUUGCUCCGAGUCAUCAACUUCAAGGAACCUUAGCCUUGAUAGGCUCUUAAAGUCAUUGUAGGUAAAACCAUGCUGAUGGUCCAAGCGGAGGCGAAGAGCUUCAACUUUUUUCUUCGUCUGCCCAAAGGAAAUUUUUUAAAAACAAGAGAGUUGAAGGGAAACACAUUUAGCCAAAUUCACUAUUUUAAGGGACUGAGUUGAGUACUACCGUUCCAUUAAUCUUAAAAAAGCAAAAAUGUCCAUAAGUAACUUGGAAAUUAAUGCACAGGGGAUUUUACCUUAGGGCUCUUCAACAAAUCCAACGCUUUCUCACGAUCCCACACCCUACUUUGUUUAUUUAUAUUGGUUUCUUGACAAACUAUUUGUCUUCCAAGGUCUCUAAGUUGGUCGUGCAUCCACACCUUAUUAUCCUCUUUAAUCUUUACCAAAGACAUGUUCUCCAAAACAUCCAUGGCAUAUUCCGGAUGGAAUUCAAAUUCCCAAAAAUGAACUACAAUGUCUUUAUCAUAUCCAAUUAAAAGACAAGCUAUAUCAAGGAACUUUUGCUUUUCCUUUUCUUCUAAUUCAUCAUAACUUAUUUUCAAUCUACUCUGGACAUCCUUAUGAGGAUCACUUUCCCACUUACGUAAUUCGAAAUCCCACUUUUUCUUUUCAGUAGUGCAAGAUAAAAGUGAACCCAUGAGCUCAAGAGCUAGUGGAAGACCUCCAGCAAUUUUUAUCGCCCUCUCGGAUUGGUCGAUAUACUCGUCCAAAGGAUGAUCUCUUCUAAAGGCAUGUUUGCUAAAGAGUUGAAGAGAUUGAUCGUGAUCCAUGCCCGAAAGCUCAUAACAACUGUCCACUUUAAGAACAUCAAGAACUUCUUUGUUUCUAGUAGUAAUAAUAAUUAUGCUCCCUUUACCAAACCAAUCACGCUCACCAACAAGUGCAUCGCUAUGAUUCUUUUCAUGUACAUCAUCGAGAAGGAGGAGGACUCUUUUGUUAGACAACCUGGCUUUGAUGGUAUUAAUCCCAUCAUCAAUGUUUCUUAUAUCGGUGCAUUUGUCUUUGAGGAUGUCGGAGAUGAGCUGAUUCUGCAAAGAUUCAAUGCCCUUGCGUUCUGACAUUUCACGAAUGCUGGACAGAAAGCAACAACCCUCAAAUUUUUCUAAAAGCUGAUUGUAGAUGAUUUUGGCAAUUGUCGUCUUUCCGAUGCCACCCAUCCCAUGAAUUCCUAUAAUCCGUGUUUCACUUGUCUGAGCACCUAUUUGUUCCAUGAUUUUACCCACAUGGUCGUCCAUAUUGACCAAGUUGUUUGAUACCACCAAAUAAGCCUUUUUCAACUCAUUGAAAACCUUCUGCGUGAUUGUUUUUGCAAGUUGACCUUCUUGCCUAUUGUUUGUUGAAAGUCAAAAGGCAAUGAGUUAGAAAAUUGAGUUAAGCCAAACUAUGCUCUGACAAGACCAAAUUCAAAACUACAGACCUAUUCUAAAUGCGUUCCUCAACGAUUUAUACCGUUUUGAUAAACUAGCACUAGAACUUAGGGUAAAUGAAUGACCUGAACUAACGAAAAAUGUUUCUUGUUGGGAAUGAAAUGGGACAAAAAUUGGCAUUGUGAUAUUAUUUAGCGUGAUUUUGCUGCAUAAUUUCAAUUGCAUACAAUUCAAUUUCAACAAGACUAACACAAAUCUAGAAAAGAAACCAAUUAAAAUGCAUCGAGUUUAAAGAUAUAAGGCACAUGAGAUGGAAUCCUAAAAGCAGUCACCUGUUGGGCAUGCUUUGCAGGUCCCAUCCAUUUACAUCCGCGACUGUAGUGAGAGCAUUCUUCCACUCUGCUAUAGUCUUUUCAUCAUAUCGCCCCUUUGUUUUGUGUGAAACAAGAGCUUUUUUAAAACUCCCGAUUUGGUGUCGAACCUCCGAAGGUGUCACAUCAUAAAAAAUGGGCAUGAUCUUUUGUCCUUCAUUUGUCUGGUGCUUGACCAUCUGAACUAGCUCCUUGAGACACCAUAUGCUAGAGGCAUAAUCUUUUGAAAAAAUAGGUAUUGAGAUCCUUGAGUGAUUGAUUGCUUCAAGAAGUUCUGGGGCAAACUCUUCUCCAAUGUGGAGGUCUUUGUCGUCCUUAAAUGUGCGGAUUCCCACAUUUGUAAGGCUAGUGUAGAGGUAGUCGGUAAAACCUGAUCGUGUAUCUAGCCCUCUGAAACUCAAGAAUACCUCAUAGUCAUGUCCGGAUGAUGUUGCAGUUUCCUCAACUUGUGGUGUAGUGCAAGUACGAGCAGCCCUCUCUACGAUACCAUUCUCUGUAGCUGAAUCAUUAUCUGUACUGCCCUCCACAGCGGUCUAACCUGCUCUUUUCUUCAGGAAUCCUUUGAACAGGAUGGCAGAGAGAGAUAUGGCAGCAAUUGUCACCAUACAGGGCAACCGCAAGUGCUCAAGCAUUUUGUGAGUUAGCAAAGAGAAUGUUUUUAGUUAGAAAUACAGGGGAUGGUGGAACAACAGAGAUGAGAGGCAGCACUUAAAGGUCAGGAUGGAGUAACGAGCAACGGCGAGCCCGCGAUGGCGAGAGACCGCCAGAGAAAGAGUAGAGAGUGAGGCGAGGGCGGCCACUGAUGCUGCGACGGAUCGGCAACGAGGCUGCAACUGCAAGUGAGGAAGGGCCGAAGGCGAGGCGGAGGAGGAGGAGAAGGAUCGAGAGGAAGAGGAGAGGAAGGGGGUCGUGUGGCGAGGAGGAGGAGAAGUAUCGAGAGGAAAAGGAGAGGAAGGGGGUUGUGCGGGUGCGGCGAGCGGCGAGAGGAGGAGGAGAAGGGGGCGCUAGCUAGGGUUUUGGAAACUCAAAAAGAAUAAAAUAAAGAGGCUGAUGGGGGUGAAGUGACAGCCUGUCACGUGGGUGGGGGAGGGGAAAGGCAAGCUGGUUCAUGAUGGACCAUUGGUAGUCCAAGUCUUCGUAGACUUUGACUUGGGUCAAUCAUUUGUUUCAGUCUUCUUGCACCACCCACAAGCUGUUUUGUCUGAUUUUUUUUCUCUUUCUAAGAGUGGUAGCUCAUGCUAAUACCACGUUAAGACGAGGCACAUGGAGCUUAGGUUUUGGAUUGUUGGCGUCCUUAUCAAAAUCACAUCAACCCAUCUCACGCAAUUCUUAAUCUAGUGAAUGUAUUUUGAUGCAAAAUUAUAUGUAUGCAACACAUUCCAUUUCUAUUUAGUUAAAUUAGAUGAUUCCAACUUUUUCAUUGAUUGAUGACAUGAUUGACUAAAUUUUUAAGAAAAAAGUUUUUUUUGGACAUAUAGUGUUUCAUUGCAAGUAUUUUUCUAUUUUUUGAAUUGAUUUUGUGAUAACUAAACAUUCCAUGUUUCAUAAUAGAAAACAAAAUCUCUCUAGAACUGGAGGUGUAAAAUUGUUCCAUUUUGUAAUUCAAUGUUCAUAAGUCUUUUCAAGCAUAAAUCCGAGUUAAAUCCGAGUGUGACAAAAAAAAAUUAAGAUUGAAGUUAUUAAAUCACAUGACUCAAUGAGUUAAAAGGAAGAAUCUUGGGAAGAAUCAAAUUUCUUGAAUUGAGAUUGAUGGAAGAUCGAAUAUGUUCUCUGAUAGCUUUAGCUUUCAUUAUCACUCCACUGAAAUUUUGUUUUAGUAAAACCAAAAUCUCGUCCCAAUUUUUUUUUUUUUUUUGAAAUUAGACACCAUCCAUUUGAAUCAAAAUUGAGCUUCCUCCAUUAGCUCAAAAGCUCGGGAAGAAGAGAAAAUAUGUGGGAUCCCAUUGCCUAAUUCUUAGUCUUUUUGAAGGAAAAAAAAGACUUCUCAUACAAAUGUGGGCCUUAAUUAUUGAGACAUUUUUUCCUUUACCCUAGAAUAUGCAGAGAGUCAUGGGCCAGUUUUGCUGCAGAAUUGAUCGACAAGGAUGCUUCCUUGCAGCAUCAUUGUGGCCUGUCAACCGUGACAAAUAUUACGUUUCUUAACGCGGAAAAUCACUAAACUAUGUGGUGCAGAAAUUUUGGGAUGAGAAUCUACUUUUACCCCAAAAUAAUUCAUUUGAAGUCAAGUCAACAAAAGCAGACACGGAACUUCCAAAACAAGUUCGUUUCCCCCAUCCUAAAUAAGGUGAACUCCGAUCGGUCUAGUUUAAUGGGUUGAUUAGGCCCAGGCCCGGAAUAGCUUUGAAGCAUAAAGCCUAGUGGAAUUAUUGGGCUUGAUCUUCGUCAAAGCACUCCCUAGUGAUCAAUUGAAUUAAGAAAAGAUCACAUUUUAUUUCGGAGGUGAACCAUCCUUCGCAUUUAACCUGUCGUUAGUGUCAAAAAUUGCUUGUCACAAAACGUUGUAGUUGGACAUUAAAUCCAUGCAUUGUGCUGAUUAUUAUACAAAACAUUACUAAAAUAGAGUACACAAAACCAAUGUGUAAGCACAGUCUUGUGUCGUAUUAAAACUUUGAGCCACCAACAAGUGUGAUAAAUAAGCUCACGAACAUGAUGUGACCUAUUAGCUCUCAUUUGGAAUUUAACUCAUUUAGCAUUUCCACAUUCACGAUUGAACUUGAAAGCCUCUAUGAGGAUUGGGAAAAGUUUAGUGAAGCCUCUUGACUAUAAUGAUUAAAAAAAAAAUAUUGACUCCCCCUGAAUUCAAGUAUGAAAAUUUUCUAUUUUAGAUAAUGUUUUCGGAGGUAUGACUCUUCGCUCUCUCAGUUAAUGCAUGUGGAUUAUCUAGCGGAAAAAAGAGGCAAAAAUGAAAGAACUUAUGGACAACGUGAGACUAUUCCAUGUUAAAAUUUGAAAAUCAGAAAAAAAAAAUAGCCACACUUCUAUUAAUUUGAAAUUAAAUGAUUUGGGUUGCUAUUUCAGAUUUACCUCGACAUUAGAUGAUGUCAAACCAAGUCCAUUUGCAGCUAGAAACAUUUUUUUAGUAUAAUUAAGAAUCGGAAUGCCUCCUCUUCAACUUCUAUGAAUCCAACUUAAGAGCCAUGCUUUACUUGAAAAACAAAUUGGAGAUGCGUUUACGUUGUAGAGUAUUCAUUUUCUUCACGUCGCAAUUUUGUGUUGGUUAUUGUCAUAAAGGUGAUGCUAUAAGUGCUAAUAUACUUUCACACACAUUGUAAUAGCUACUUUGACGUAUACGGUAUGAUGAAAUUAUCGUUCUCUUGCAUGAAUAAAGCAAAAAUGAUGCUUAGCUCUUCGUUGGUUGAUCUCCAACUUGAAGAGUUUGCUUUUACAUGGAAAUGAACAAAUAUUGGACAGGGAAGAAAAAAGGGGAAAAACUCAGGUCUAAGCGCAUAUGGCACCAAAAGGAAAUCCGAUUUCGAUAAGACUGGAUAUGAAUUGUAGUUCAGAUUCAAGUUGAUUCAGGGAGGGCGACCGCAAAAGUCACCGAAUGGGUCAAUCUUUUCCUUCAGUUUGUCCUAUUUAAUAAAAUAAAAAAGCGUGGGAAGAUGUUGCAGAUGUCUAGGACGGACACGACUUCUUGUAACACUAGAAAACCACUAGAAGAUACCCGGGACCAAAGCAUGUCGUGAAAGAAGCACAUUGGGGCAUUGACCAAUUUCAUAUAGUAAGACAAAGCAACAAAUUAUAAGGUAUCUAAAAAUCACCACAUAAUAUAUCGACAAAAUAUGGCAUUUGGAAUUUAUAUAAUUUGACCCGACCUCACUAGGUAAGUUAAUUAGCAAAUCAAGCCAUUGAAACAUAUAAACCAAACCAAAACAAAGAAGAUCUGAACAAGGUUAUUUGCAGAAAUAUAUCACUAGUCAACAUGCAAAAGUGCACAAAAAAAGAAGAUUUACAUAAACCUCUUUGUAAGUCAUAUGUUUAACAGGAUAGGAAGCACUUCUUAUCAGAUAAAAAAAGUACUCAACAGGGCAGCUGUCCAUUUUUUUUUUCUUUCGCAGAAAUUUGCCAAGUUUGAUCAAGCAACUCCAUAAUGUGCUGAGUUUCCAAAUCUCCCGUGGUGAAGAAUGCCUAUUUGUUUCAAUUUCCUCCACAUUGAUACAUCAGAAACAUCAGGAUAGAGUUGCCAGAGAAGAUACGCAAAUUGUCCAGUGAUUCUGGUCAACCAGAUUACCACAAUGAUCUAAAUGAAAAUCCAUUAGUUUCUUCAAGCCACUCAGUCGGCCAAUUUGUCCAGUCGGUUGAGUUUGUUCAGCUCCAAAUUCCAGAUUUAGUCAGGUGGCAUCUUUAUCCACUUGCAGUUUCUCAAAGACUAGCGUUCAAGGCUUAUGAUGGUAACCAAUCGACUCGGGAAGCUCCAAGAUCCCAGCUCCUUACAGAGAAAGCCUCAACAGGGAAGUCGGGUAACUGAUCGAAGGUUUUGUAGUCGGUGAGGAACGAUGGCAAGCACAGAGAAUUUCUAGACUCUUCAAUCCUUGACAUUCAAGCAUAUGUUUCAUUGAUGUCCCAUCAAUCAAGGGUUCUCUCAAACAUUCCAUUUUACUAGGCUCCUAGGGAGAUGGUGGAGAUCAAUCUUUCCAAAUUCACAUGUACCUGAGGUCUAGCAUCUAACAGAACCAUUUUGACAUCGAAAGGUCCACCUGAUCUGACUGAAUUGAGGUCAUAAAGCAAUCCCUUUUAAGGCAAGUCCAUGUCAGACUUUCCCCUUCCAUCUUGGUAGUUUGUAGAUGUACAUUUCCGAUAAGUUAGGGACUUGUUUGUCCAUCUUGGUAGUUCUUACAAUACUCUGUUCGUGUGAAGUCCUCUGAGAUGCACUAAUCGAGAUAUACUCCUUUCAUCAUUUUAUUCAAAUCAUUUCACUGUUCCCGCUGCUCCAUGGUUUAUAGCAGCAUCGUCAUAUGGACUACCCAUCUCCACUGAUCUUACUUGUGCUUAGACUCCUCUGGAAGAAAUAUUUGAACAGAACAGCAGAAACAACGAUGGUAGCAACUGUCACCACACACAGGACAACCUCAAGUGCGUCAAUCGUUUUGCGCCAGCACAAGUGGUCCACCUUGGCAGAAACAACAAUUGUUGUGCUGCUGCUAUUGCUCCUCCUCCUCGGAGGCAUGGGACGACGCCUGCUGGUUCCAGCUUGGUCGUCACUGCUCGUUCGAAAGAGAGGCCGAAUCGGAAUCCGAAGUGACGAUCCGAAAUAAAAAUGGGAGGAGGAGAGAGUUGGAGGGGGAUGGUGGGAUAUUCGACCUGGCCUUGCUGCCUGACGCAACCAAUUCUUAACGUUGCAGUCUCACGUACACUGGAAGAUUAAGUUUGAACCAAAACUACUCAGUUCACGUACGUAUACAGGCCUGUCAUUGCUGUCUUACCAGCGUGCUAGAAGCCUGGAAAUACCUUCAUAUGAGGUAGCAAUAUAUGCAGGAUACAACCUCGCCAAGGAUUCGCUCACAAUGUGAUUCAAAUUAUUCAAUUCAUGGAAAAUAGUGUGACCCACCUAUUGUUAAGUCACCGCAUUUGGGGGUGGCCUACAAUUUUUUCACGUUCAUUGUUCUUUCUUUUUCAAAUUGUUUCACAUGAAUGAGUCGUGUAUGAAUUUGAUAAAAGCACGAGACGUGUAUAAAUCUAUUUUGUGCUUAUUAGCACCUAAGUUUGACGAGUGACUGAUUUAUUAACACUGGCCAUAAAUGAAGAGAUUUAGGGAUUUUUCUUUGCAAAAAAGUUAUUGUUACACCAUUUACGCUCUUGAAUCACACCUUGUUCUUCACUUUCUGUUGUUGUUUUGUGUUCUAACUUCUCUGUAUUUUGGAAUAACAUGAAUUUUCAGAUUAAGCUUGAAUCUGAAAAUAUUUGACUGGAGAAGUUUGCCAUCAUAAUGAAGUAAUUGCAAUUUCAUAUACCUCCACUAAUAUAAAUAAACAUUAUACCAACUAAUUGAACUGUAGAGCACCCAUUUGUCCAACAAAAUGUCUCAUUCUCUUUGGCUAAAAUACAACAGAAGGCAUCCCCACGAAAUCUUUCUAAAUGUUCCGAUUAUAGCAAAACUUACUUCAAUGCUCUAAUGCACACAACGUAAAUCACCGAAUGUGACAUUGAAAAUGCCCAUUGACAAAAUAAGAUCCCAAGGGCAAAUCGGAAAGAUCGUAAAGAAUCUGGAAUGGAACAGAUCGCGUUUGAGGGUGAUGGUUGUUCUGACAUGCUUGAUUGCUGCAAAGUGAGGCGAUACUCAAGCUUUUCAAGUUCAAGAGAUUGGAAAUGCUAUCAUCAGCUCGUCGCUCGGUAUGAAUAUGUAGACAGAGAAGAAUUUCUAGGAGUCUUGGCACUUGGGGGUAUCUCAACACAUGUCGGUUUCAAAAUCUUCCAAGAUGAACAUCUCCAGAUAUCAUAGGAAUUUUUUAUUAGCAAAUUUUCACUAAGCUUUGCAUCUAUUUUUCUCGCCUUUUAUGCUUCCAUUUUGCACUAGUUAUCAUUCUGAUGACAGAGAACCUCAUCUUCAAUACUUUCAAAUACUUCAUGUUCUCGAUUUCAAAAAAAAAAAAAAAAAAUACUUCAUGUUCUCGACCAAACCAGGCAGCUUCUCUAUGUCCAUGUUCAAUUUAUCGAACUCAACAAAUGAUUCCAAAUUCCAGAUUGAGUCCAGUAGUGUCUUUAUUGACUUGCAGUUCUUGAAAGACUAGUGUUCGAGGCUUACGAUGGAUCCACUUGAGUUGGGAAGCUCCACGAUCCCAGCUCCUCACAGAGAAAGCCUCGAUAGGGAAGUUAGGUGACAGAUUGAAGGUUUUAUAGUCAAUGAGGAACGAUGGGAAGCACAGAGGACCUGCAAGCUCUUCAAUUCUUGACAUUCAGGCAUAUGCUUUAUUGAAGUUAUACAACAAUCCCUUUUUAAGGCAGUUAAGUCCAUGUCAAACUUUACCCUUCCAUCUUGGUAAUUCGUAGAUGUAUAUUCCCUUUUAAGAUAGAGAUUAUCGAUGUUUGUCCAUAAAAACCAGCAUGCAAAAUUGCAAAUCGAUCAAAGUCAACGUGGCUAGCAAGCUAGUCACCAUAUCUUUCUCCCAAAAAUCAUGUACUUUUAUUCGUGUGAAGUCCUCCAUCAGGUACUAACCGAGUUAUCCAGAGUUAGAUUCAUCUACUAGUAAGAAUACUUUGAGGGACCUUGUUUAGAUUUCUUAUACUUGUUUCAUUGUUUGAUUCCAUCAUUUCUCCGUUCACGCUGCUCCAUGUUUUAUAGCAGCAUUGUUAUUUGGUUUGCCCUCUCCAGUGAUCUUACUUGUUGCUCUCAGUCUUCUCUGCUCCAUGGUCUAUAUUAGCAACUGUCGCCACACACAGUGCAACCUCAAGUGGUGAAUCAUUUCGCACCAGUACAAGUGGUCCACCUCAGUAGAAACAACUGUUGAGGUGCACGAGGAUUGGGGGUGGUCUGACUUGGCCUCCCCGCCCGAGUUGCAAUGGGUUAGGAUUUUUAUUUUAUUUUAAUAAAUUAAAAAGUGUGGGAAGAGAUGACCUACGGUUUUCCAUUCUUGUUGUUACAUAAAGUGUUAUGUACGUUACAAAAUAUCUCCAUUGAGCCAUAACCACUCGAUCUAUCGACAAGUGUGCGAGACUAUCACCAUAACUAAUAUGCCAAAAGCCUGAAAAUCAUUCCACGUAACGUGGUGAAUACCUAAAAUAUUGACAAGUGAAAAGUUUACUCAUGACAUGAUUCGAACUCAUGAAUUAAUAAAAGAUGGCAUGAUCCCUUCAUCAUUGGGUUAUCGUGCUUGGGGUUGGAUUGCGAUUGCGACUUUUUCAUGUUCAAAUAUAUAUAUUUUUUGUGCUUAUAAAAUUUGACUUAAGUCAAAUGAGGAGUUAAUGUGUUUAUGUUACCAAUAAAAGAAGAGGUUUGAUGACUGGUUUCUAUAAAAUUGAUUAAUUUACUCUUCAUAAUUUUCUCUUGAGGUUCACUUAUUAUUUAACUUCGACCUUUUUGUUCUGUGUACUAACUUUUAUGUGCUUUUAUAAACAUUUGACUGUGAAUAUAAAUAUGUGAGAGCCACCAAACAUCGAGCAUGCCACGCAUCGGGGUUCGUAUAUUAUUUUGUUUGUGUGAGUUAAUUGCGAUUUAAGGAAAACAAAUCUUCCACAUUAUUUGAUAAUUUGAAAAUGACAUUUUGUGACUUUUGUUGCGUGAGGUUACAAACUCUUUUUACUUUGAACACAGCCGAUGAAAAAGUCUAAUGACUUUUGUUCUCAAAGAUUAUGGACCUUUUUACUUGUUUAAAUCUUUUACAUGUAAAGUAUUCAAUCCCAAUGAUUGUAUAACUCAUAUAUUAAAUAAGCAAUUAUGAGAUGACGAUGGCAUCAUUUUAUAAGAUAGUGAUUGGUAUGAUCGUAUUCGCACUAAAUAUUUUGUAAAUUCUAAAUAAAACAACCCAGCUCAAACUAUUGCAUAUACGUUCAUCUAAAAAUAAAAUUAAAAACUAUCGAAUCCACUUCCAUAUAAAUUUUAAAGAAAAGAAUUCAUCCGUCCUAAUAAGUCACAUACUCAAACUCUUUUUCAACUUGAGAGAAGUGGGCUCCACAAUCCACAAUUAAGCUCAACUCACUUGUCUUGGAUGUUGAAUAAUAUUCUUUUCAAGUUCGAAUAUUAUUGGCAAAGAAAAAGUUUGAAUAAUUCGAGUUAUUGGAUUGAUUCGAGCGGAAAAAUUUUACUCAAGAAGCUUGUGAUCAGAGGAAGCGCCAAAAGAGGAAGAGACAGGGAGAACGGAAAUUUGUCCAGGAGGACGCCUCAUUUUAGCCAAAAUUCCUUUAUUGCCCUCACGGAAACGACGAAAUCACCGGACGUGACACCGAAUUUGCCCGUCGACAGAGCGAGAGCCCGAGGUCAAAUCAGGAAAAUUCGCAAAUCCGUCGUCCUCUCCUUCUCUUCCCCCCACCCAAAAAUAAAAGCUCGCCGUAGCUUUCGAUCGCCAUCCGCCGCGAAAAUCGCUACGGAGUCCACGAACGCUGCGAAGACCACGAUUCGAAGGUUGAAUUCGAGCAAUGCGGACGAAGACCGCAAUCGAUCUCUCCACCUCGCCGGGCGAUCGCGCCAUUUUGAUUGCGUGAGAUUGGAAUGAUGUUGUUGCUCGGCAGAAUGUGGAGUUGAGGGUGAUGGUUGUUCUGAAGUGCUUCAUUGCCGCGGGUGGAGGCCAGAGGUAAUUGCAAUUCAUGUUCAUGUAAUCAGUUACUGCUCUGAUCCUCCCACUUGAUUGGGAUUGAGAGUCUAGUAUCGACCAUGUCGGUUUUGAGGUUGGACAGUGAGGUUUGUAGCGUGAAUUUGGCGGAUUAGGCAUUUCAGGGUUGGGGGGAAUCGCUGACCGUGUUGUGGAGCUGUAGUGCCUGAUUUAAUGGGGCAUACUAUGGCUGAAUUAUUUGGUUGGAUUAGCUAAGCUCUUGGAUUACUGAGUUUGGAUCAAUACUACAACUGGAAUAUGGUCAUAUUGAUACAAAUAUUUCAUCCUGCUGUUUCUAUUUUGGGGGUAAAAAUUUGUUGAGUGUCUCACAGUGAUUGACUAUCGGCUAUUUGGCUUUUCUCCAGUCAAGUAAUGGACUGUAGCUUGUAGGUUUCAGCGGACAAGCUUUAUGGGAAAGAGGAGCCUUAUGUUGUUUACUCAUUCGCCUUUUGUUGCAUUUGAACAUAUAGUUCUUUAAGUUCACGAACAUGGAUGGCAAAAAUAUACUGAAAUAUUAUUUUGAGUUGAUGUUUCCUUGAAGUGUUCCUCUUACUUGAUUGUCGAAAUAGCUUGCUAGAGACAUAAGAAACUUGCUCUAUUGCUUGUCAUUAAAUGAGUUUUUGACCACAUUUUCAAUGUGAAAUUUUCUCAACUGGUAAAUGCAGAACUCAGAGUGAGGUCCAAGGCUUGUAAAGCUGUUUACAAUCACAUUCUUGCCAUGACAUCGGCGGAGUAUGCAUCUGCUGUAAGUGUUCUUUAUAAGGAUUUUCAUAUUUACCUAGAGCUUGUUGUUGUUAUUACUCUUCAGGUUUCACCAUUUAAAUACAAUAACAUUGUAACUAGAUGCGCAGCUUUUUAUUUUGCAGGUUUAAUGUCAUAUUUGACAGAGCUUGGUAGUUGGACUUGUCCUAGAUGUGAUGGAAAGACCAAGGUAAUUUAAUAUGGUUUGAUAUGACAUUGUUGCUAAGGUUGCCUGAAGAAUGGAUCCUCAGUACAGUAUUAAAUGCCAAUUCUUCUGAUGAGAUUUUGUGGGCAUAUGCUGCCUCCUCUUAUUAGAUUCUGAACUGGUAAUUAAUGCCUUUUGAUAUGAAAGCAGGGGUUUGAAUUCAUUGAAUUGAUAGUGGGCAUUCACCACUGCUUACACGCAGAUUAUUUGGUUGCAGUGGCUUACCAAUCUGCAAUGCUUGCGAUGCCUAUAUGUUUAAAUUGCAUCUAAUAGUUUAUAUCUAUUUCUAAACGUACAUAUAUGUUUCCUGUAGGCAUACGUUGGGGUGGCCAAGGAUCUUAAUGCCGUGAUUAUAGCUUUUAGAGGUGCACAAGAACAUAGGUAUGCAUCUUAACUUUAGCAACUCUUCUCCUUACAAAUGACUUGCAAAGGUUUUGAUGAAAAUUUAAGCUAAGAAGAGCAGCCUCCUGUGAGUGUGUACACGAGACCCAUGGGUCGACUGUCCAUAAGAAGGGAAAAGGGUGAAUCAUUUCCACCAAGAUGCGAAAGUUACCUUUUUGUAAUUUGAGAUUGGUUCAUGAGAAGAUCACAUACUUCACUAAUUUUGUUCUGUGAAAAAUUCUAUCACCUCUCUGUGUCAUUUGAGCUUUUCAGUUAGUGAUUACUUCUUUUUAUGUCUACAGCAUACAGAAUUGGGUUGAAGAUCUCUAUUGGAUAGUGGAAACAGCUUGAUGUACUACCCUGGCAUGCAUGGUGCCCUGGAUAGCUCUAAAGAUGAUUAUGCCUCUUGCAAGCUGUGGAUUUUUCUCGUUUGGAUUGAGUUACAGUCUUACUCUAUUGAUUUCUGCUUGGGUUAAUCAUGGAUUUUACUAUUCUUAUCUUGAUAUGACAAUUCAACCUGGUUUUUUGGAUGCUGUUAUAAGAACCAAGGAUUUAUAAGGGGACAUCAAUUUCAUGGUGACAGAGCAUUCUAUGGGAGGGGCUAUGGCAUCCUUUUGCGGAAUUGAUCUUGUGGUAAGAUAGUUAAAAACUGCUAUGGUCUGGAAUUGUGAAUUUUAUCGUUUUUUUUUCCUAUUGUGUUCUUCCAAUAUUCAGAUGAUAAUCUGUUAAGAGUCAUCUAGAAUUCUCUGCCAAAUCUUUGUUGAAGAGUCUAGGCUCUUUAUGUCGAUCUUGAACUUUCUAUUGCUCUCAUAUUUAUAUUCACAAUUCAUCAUAGACAGCAUCUUGUUUUCUUUCAGUUUUGGUAAGUCAAACCAUAGACAAAACACAAGCAGAAUGGGGUGCAAAUAGCCAUUUAUGCUAACCACCAAUUGUUUAAGUAUCUAGCAAUGUAAAUUGAGUCUUACCCAUAAAGCUAUGGAGCUUCAAGUUGGUCAAAUACCUAAAUAUAGUGGAUAAGGUCACUUCCAACUAAUCAUUACAAGGUUUACUUACUUGCUGGAAAAUUUAUGGAAUUGUCGAUAUGUUUAUGGUCUGGACAUAUAACUUUUUAAAGGACUUGAAGCUCAAGUUAUAUGUCAUGUAAUCUUGAAGUGCUAAUGCAUUUUAAGAUAGAUUAUAUAUCAAUCCUAAAUUUGUGUUUGGUGUACUGUUUCUAUCUAAGUCUCUCUCUAAUCAAAAGAAGCAGCUCCUCUUCAGUAGGACUACAAGGCCAGAUAUGUUGUAGGCUGGAGCCAAUGCUAAGAUGUCUAAAAUAUGCCUUUUUUCUCAGCUUUAUUGGACAGAGUGUUCCAGGGUACAUUUGGAGGCACCUGUUGCUCAACUGGUACCAGAAAUGGUGCCCAAUCCAAAAUCAUGUCCCAUUGAUUCUCUUCUCCAUGAAAAGUGGUGAUUUUUUAGAGUUAAACUUUAUCUUGAAGUCUGAUUACACUCAUGUUCAUGUGGCCUAUGAUAGGAUCAUAGGUUGCAUGGACUUUAGACUAUACCCUUUCUCAAAAUAUUAGUAGCAAGUAUAACAUCUUGUCAUAAAACUUUUAAACGAUUUAAAAUUUUAUUUUUGUUUACUGGUUUCUUGCUGAAAAUUUUGUCGAGCCAAUUGUGACGUCAUGCCCAUUCAUUGCGAUCCUUUUUAAGAUUGACUUUGUCCUUCGCUACUUUUGACAGUAAGUUUUGUAGUUCAAGGGGCAUUUUCACCAUGAACCAAGAAUUUUUUGUUUAUGUUAUUAGCAGGAUGUGACUCACCCCACCAACAUUCAAGUGCUUCUUGUGGAAGCAAUUAAAUGCGCUUCUGUUGUAAAUUCAUGUCCAAUCCCACUAUUCCAUAUUAUUAACACCUUUUUGUGGUGCUGAGGGUGGGUUUGGUUUUGUUGUGUGUGGGGUUUGGUGUUGGGAAACUUAUGGAUGGGAUCUUGACGGAGUUAACGCUAGACCUUCAAUUCUUAUGGAGACAAAGGGCUGUUCUAUUGUUCACCUUUGUAUAUGAAAUGCAAUAUAUGGUUAUUGAUGCAUAGUGUUUUUUUCCCAUCUUGGAAGGGCUAUUGAUGUAUUGACAUUCAAGUUAUUUGGCUGUCUAAUUAUGUGUGCUGAAACUGUCUUUUCCAGACCAGCAUUCGCCUGAUUUACUUAACCGAAACACUUUAUUUCCUGGUUAAUCAUGAAGCACAGAAUAUUCAGGUUUAAACAUUUGGACAACUCUGUAUUGGCAAUGCAGUGUUUGCAUCUUACUACAGUGACUGCAUACCAAAAACAUUACGUAUUCCUCCUGGACAAGAUUUUUUGUCUUAUUUGCCUCCGUACUAUUUUUGGUUCCCACAGAAGACAUACCAUCAAUUCCCUAGAGAGUUUUGGUGUUGAUCUUGACAGAAUAUCAAAUAAAUUAUGGGGAAUUGUUGAUGACUGAAUUUGAGGUUUGCUUUGCAUUUCUUUCAACCUGUCUAACAAGUGAAGUAUCAUAUAUUCCGGCAUUGUAUGUGUCACAAAACUGAUUAGAGAACCCGCAGCAAGUAGAAAGAGAGAAAGAAGGAAGAGAGAAGGAGGAGAAAGAGAACGUAAAAGAAAGAAAGAGAGGGCUGUAGUUUUUCUGUAAUCAGAAACCCUACACCCAUUGUAUUUAUAUUGAAUAUAAAUUGUAUAUAACAAUAAUAUCCUUAUGUAAGUAAAAAAGGAAAUAAAACUCUGAUAAUAAAGGAAACUCAAUUAAAGUAACUUAACACUCCCCCUCAAGCUAGAGCAUAUAGGUCACCCAUGCCUAGCUUGGAACAACCAACAACAAAAGCAGGAUGAAAUAAUGCUUUGGUAAACAUAUCAACAAAUUGAUCUCUAGAGGCAACGUAAGGAGUAGCAACCAUAUUCUGCUUCACAGCAUCACGAACAAAGUGACAGUCAACUUCUAUAUGUUUAGUUCGCUCUUGAAAAACAGGAUUCCCAACAAUAUAAAUGGCUGCUUGAUUAUCACACAUCAUGUCAAUAGGUUGAUUAAUAGAAAAUCCAAGCUGCUGGAGAAGAGAUUUUAACCACAACAAUUCAGCCACAGUAUGUGCCAUAGCACGAUAUUCAACCUCUGCACUAGACUUGGCAAUGGUAGUUUGUUUCUUACUUCUCCAAGUAACCAAAUUACCACCAAUAAAAGUGCAAUACCCAGUUGUAGACCGUCGAUCAUAUGUUGACCCAGCCCAAUCAGCAUCAGAAUAGCCAACCAAAGUGGAAGAACCAUUAGAUUUAUAAAUGAGUCCCUUACCAGGAGAGCUUUUAAGAUAUCGAAGAAUGCGACAUACAACAUCCCAAUGAGCUUUCUUAGGUGACUCCAUAAACCGACUCACCACGCCAACAGCAAAAGAAAUAUCGAGACGUGUAACAGUAAGAUAAAUUAGUUUCCCAACUAGACGCCGAUAUUGAUGCUUGUCUUCAAUUUCUUUUCCAUCAUCAACUCCAAACUUUUGAUUUUGAUCCAUAGGAGUAUCAACUGGCUUGGAAGCUAGUGUACCUGUCUCAGACAAAAGAUCAAGAACAUACUUUCGCUGAGACAAAUUAAUACCUUUUUUACUUCGUAAAACUUCAAUUCCCAGAAAAUAUCUAAGAGUUCCCAAGUCCUUAAUCUGAAAUUGCUGCUGAAGAAAUGAGUUAAUCUCAAAAAUGCCAGUCACAUCACUACCAGAGACAAUUAUAUCAUCCACAUAUAUCACAAGAAUGACUACCCCCGAUUCCUUCUUGCGAACAAAAAUAGAAUGAUCAGAAUAAGAUUGGUGGAAUCCACAUCUGGAAAUCACCGAACUGAAUUUUUCAAACCAUGCUCUUGGAGACUGUUUCAACCCAUAAAUUGCCUUAUGUAGCCGACAUACUUUACUACGAUUCUCCCCCUGAGCAACAUACCCAGGAGGUUGCUCCAUAUAUACUUCUUCAGACAAAUCACCAUAAAGAAAAGCAUUUUUGAUAUCUAAUUGAUAUAAUGGCCAAUCGAAAUUCACAGCAAGAGAAAUAACAACACGAACAGAGUUGAGACGUGCCACAGGGGAAAAAGUCUCAAAAUAAUCCACUCCAUAAGUUUGAGUAAAACCUUUAGCAACGAGUCGAGCUUUAAGACGCUCGAUUGAGCCAUCCGGAUUGUACUUGAUAGUGUACACCCAACGACACUUCACCACAUCUUUCCCAAGGGGAAGAUCAACUAAUGACCACGUUUGGCGAGAGACUAGAGCUUCCAUUUCCACAUCCAUAGCUUUCUUCCAUUCAAGGCGAGACAAAGCCUCAGUGGUAGAAGUAGGGAUUGUGUGAGUUUGUAAUGAUAGAGCAAAGUCAUGUAAUGGAGAAGGAAUAUGUGAGAGAGACACAUAACGCUCAAUAGGGUAAGCCAAAGAGGAUUUUUGUGUGCAAGACCGAGUACCUUUGUGAAGGGCAAUAGGAAGAUCGUCUGGACUAGGAGACAAGGAGGAAGAUUGAUUGGAGGGCAUUGAAGAGCUUGAGACUAGUGGUGCCGUAGACUGCUUUCGCUGCUGAUACACCUACAAUGGAGGAAAUACUAGAGACGGACUAACAGAAUCUAAGGAGAUUUGUUGUGGGAUAGGAGGAUCAGCUACAAUGUCAGUUGAAAACUCUUUACCCUCAGUAGAAUAGUAUGGUGUGCCCUCGAAAAAAGUAACAUCAGCACUAACAUAUUGAGUAUAAGUUGUAGGAUCAUAACACCGAUAUCCCUUCUGUGUAUGUGAAUACCCGAGAAAAAUACAUUUAGUAGCACGAGGAGAUAGUUUAUCAAAACCGGAACGUAGGUUAUGAACAAAACAGACACACCCAAAGACACGCGGGGUAAGAGAGAAUAACGGCUUGUCAGGAAAUGCAACACUGAUUGGUGACUGAUGAUUGAGGACAAUGGAAGGCAUACGAUUUAUGAGGUAACAUGCGGUAAGGACAGCAUCACUCCAAAAUGAUUUUGGCACAUUCAUAUGAAAUAAGAGUGAACGAGCAACUUCUAGAAGGUGACGGUAUUUUCUCUCGGCCACACCAUUCUGCUGAGGGGUAUAAGUACAACUUAUUUGAUGUAUAAUGCCAAGAUUAGAACAAAACAAAGAAAUUGAUUUCUGUGUAUAUUCUAGAGCAUUAUCUGUUCGCAAAAUUUUCAGGGAUGUAUUAAACUGAUUAGUAACCUCACGAUGAAAUAAUUGAAAAACAUGUAAAAAUUCAGAGUGGUCAUGAAGCAUAUAGAGCCAUGUUAAACGAGAAUAAUCAUCCACAAAAAUAACAAAGUACUUAAAACCAUUUCUACUAGCAAUACGGGAAGGUCCCCAGAUGUCCGAAUGAACAAGUUCAAGUAAAGUAGAUGCACGAGAAUCACUACGACUAGGAAAUGAACUACGAUGAUGUUUCCCAAGUUCACAAGCCUCACACUCAAGAGUAGAAAUUGAUUUACACUCGGGAAUUAUUUGUUGUAACUUAAAUAAAGAUAAAUGCCCUAAACGAGAAUGCCAUAAUAGGGGGGUAAUAGAACUAGCAGCUAGACCAUUGGCGUCAGCAGUGGAGAGACCAUUGAGAUAGUAGAGUCCAUCACAUUCAUGUCCUCCACCAAUCAUCUUCUUUGUCUGAAGGUCCUGAAAAAUGCAAUGAGAUGGAUAAAAUGUAACUGAACAACUAAAAGCUUUAGUUAACUGACUAACAGAUAACAAAUUUAAAGGAAGUUGGGGGACAUGUAAAACAGAGGACAAAGAUAAGGAAGAUGUAAGUGAAACAGUCCCUGAUCCAACCACUUGAGUCGAUGAACCAUUAGCUAAAAUAACUUCGGAUGAAGGACUAGAAUUAGUGUGGGAAGAAAAUAGUUCUUGCUUACCCGUCAUAUGACUAGAAGCCCCCGAGUCAAUGACCCAAGAGGCGUUAGGAGACAAAGUAGAGAAAGAGGCCAUGUUACCUGUACGUGCAAGAGUAGCAGUGGAUGAGAAAUUGGAAGCCUCUAGUUGUUUGACACGUUUGAUGAGUUGUGCAACCAUAUCAUCUCGAGUCGUAGACUCAGAAGAACUACCCCCAAGUGGAAGAGAUGGGUUCAUGUCGUUGUAAGACACAUUUCGAGCACUCUCUUCAGACAUAGCAGCAUUUGCAAUAACCUUGGCCCAACAAGUGUCAACAAUAUGACCGAAUUUGCCACAGUGUAUACACUGACGGCUAUCUCGAUCAGAACUUUGUCCACUACGUCCACCACCGCGACUACGAUUUCCCCCGAAACCACGACCUCUAUUGGAAAAUCCACCACGACCACGACCACCACUACUAGCCACAAAUGCUGAAUUGUCUUUAGAUGAAGUAGAAGACGGAGGGAUAAUGCGCUGAAUUCGACAAAAUGCUUCAUUCAUAGAAGGAACUCUCUCUCCAGCAAGAAGCUGACUCUUCACAGGCUGUAAGUCAACAUUCAAGCCAGAUAGAAAUUUGGCCACUUGAAAUUCAGCUCGUUGUGUCUUUAGUCUCUCAAGAUUAGUAGUGAUGGGCUGAUAAAGAUUGAGUUCUUCCCACAUACCUUUCAAAGCACUAUAAUAUUCUCCAAGAGAUUUGUUUCCCUGUUUAAAAUUAAAAAUCUUCUCAUAUAGUUCAUAAACUCUAGACAUAUUUUUGUCUUGUGAGUAACUCUCCAUAAGAUCAUCCCACACUCCUUUAGCAGUUGUGUGGAACAUGACAUUAGCAGCGAUGGAUGGUUCCAUGCUAUUCCAUAACCACACCAGAAGUGUAUCAUUCUCUCUCAUCCAACCAUUAUAGUCUCUAGAAUUUUCAUCAGGAGGGUCUCUGGUAAGAUAAUGAAGUUUCCCUUUGGCAUUAAUAUAGACCUUCACAGCUUGGGCCCAUAACAAGUAAUUGGAGGAUCCAUUUAAUUUAAUAGUGGUAAUUUGAACGUUGACACUAUUUGUAGAAGCCUUAGUAUCACUCAUGAUGAUAAUCUCAAUAUAAGUAUAUCUACCACUAAUCAAGGAGGCUGAAACUUUAGUGCAAGUAACAAAGCAGCAACGCUAAUGUAUAAUCAGAUGUAAUUGGCUUCAUCAAUUAACCAAAGGGAUGCUGAAAACUCAUAAAUAGAGACUGCUGUAUAGAAGAAAAUAUCUGACUAGAAAUCUCGAUUCAAAUAAUUAUAUGUUUGACGGAAAACCAGCAAGACUAGUCAACCAUAAUCAAUAGAAUAUUCUGAUUCUUGAAUCCGCUGAUCAGCAAGUGUUGUAAUCCAUGUUCAUAAACCGAACCUGAUGAAUCCGAUAUCUUCUGAUCUCAUAUGUAUCGAGACUUGAAGAGAAAACAGAUAAAAAUUGCAGCUUUAGGUGGCUACGCACCAGAGAAGAAGUAGAGUUACUAGGGGACUCUCAAACCAGCAAUAUGAUUAAGUAAUCAGAUAGUUAGACCUACUCUGAUACCAUGUCACAAAACUGAUUAGAGAACCCGCAGCAAGUAGAAAGAGAGAAAGAAGGAAGAGAGAAGGAGGAGAAAGAGAACGUAAAAGAAAGAAAGAGAGGGCUGUAGUUUUUCUGUAAUCAGAAACCCUACACCCAUUGUAUUUAUAUUGAAUAUAAAUUGUAUAUAACAAUAAUAUCCUUAUGUAAGUAAAAAAGGAAAUAAAACUCUGAUAAUAAAGGAAACUCAAUUAAAGUAACUUAACAGUAUGUACUCUCUUUUUUCAGCUUAUAAAUUAUGACUGUCUUGUUUGUUUUUCUUCUUAACAAAGCAGGGUAGUAUGUAGGACUCAUCACGUUAUAAUUUACUUCAUGAUGAGUUUUUCAUAUCAAUUCCAAAGUUUAAGGCACAUAAUGAUGUUUAUUAUACUCUCUCUCUCUCUCUCUCUCUCUCUCUCUCACACACACACACACACACACACACACACACACACACACACACACACACACACACACACACACACUAUGUAUGUCUACUAAUGCGUAUAAUUAUUAGUGACUAGCUCAAGGACAGCCACGGUUGAACAUAUUAAUGUGAGAUGAAAAUGAUUUGAUUCCACCUGCUUCUCUAAUGACUAAUCAUACUAUGUAUGUCUACUAAUGCGUAUAAUUAUUAGUGACUAGCUCAAGGACAGCCACGGUUGAACAUAUUAAUGUGAGAUGAAAAUGAUUUGAUUCCACCUGCUUCUCUAAUGACUAAUCAUACUCGUAACAGUUUUCAUGUAAUCGGAAUCUUCCCUUUAUUGUAGGUAUGGCUAUAUAACAUAGGCUUUGGUAGUUAUCAGGUUGAGAAAGUUUGUGAUACCUCAGGAGAAGAUGCAUCAUGCAGCAAGUGAUGAGCUAGUUUCAGUCGAAGCUACUUGUUCAAACAAUUAUUUUGUGGAUUUAUCAUGCAAAAUGCAAUAAGCCGUGAUGGACCAGCUUGUCCUAGAGAAUGUCCUUUGUUACUAGGAAUAUUUGUGGACAACUGAUCAGGGUAUUUUCCUGCAGAUUGGUAACCGGUAACAGCAUUGUGGACCAUUUAGUCUCUCUAUAGUGUGCAAUUAAUGGCUAAAACAUGAGAAUCAUGCAAAAUCGUCACGGACACUAUUGACGAAAUGUGGAGGCGAAGAUGUCAAAGGAAAUCUUAUGCUUUCCAGGAAUCCUUUUGUUUCUGCAUUGAGGCCGCAUUCAGACUCUGAUGCCAAGAGGAAAUUCAGUUGAAAUGCUCCUGGGUCAGUACCUGGAUUCUCAAAGAUCAUCAGGGACCUUUGUGAUGAAGUUUGGUCACAAAAUGCAUUCCAUCGAUCUGUUGUCCAUAUCCAUCACAAGAUACAGAGGAGCUCUACUCUAAUUUACUCUGAAUGUAAAUAGCACAAAGUUGAAGGUAUCAUCCUUGUAAAUACAACUCCAUGGUUUCAAUUGAAUAAAUAUGUUCGCAAGUUUGCCUGUCAAUCUGUUAUUGGGCUUGGGGCUUUGUUACCUGACUUGAUGUGUGGAUGCUGAGCUGAGCUACAUUCAUAGUUGAAUGACGCAGCUAUUUUCCCUUGGUUUAAUGUGUUGAAGAAAUCCUUGAAACUGUAAACAGAAAAGACAAUCGCCAGAGAUGACCAAAAGCUAGUUUGCUAGACAUGGUUAUACUGUUUCGAUAGGAUAUUGCAGCGUAAUUUCACUGUGACAAAGUCAACGAUGCCUGGUGUACACCGUCCAUUCGUUUCCAAUGUACAGCCAAACAGCAGUGUGGUUUUGUGCUCUUCAGUAUCUAAUGCAUAAUGUAAGGUUCAUCAGUGAUUUCGUGGAUGAUUCCGACAAUUUGUUUUCAAUAAUCUAACCGCAGCGAUUGAGAGUCCACUGGGGAAGAAUGGACACAAAACAUCAGAUCCCUAUCCGAAAUUAGGACGGGCACAUGCCCACAUUGUCAGGCAUAUCGGAGAUAAAGAUGUCCACUGUUAAUGAUUGUUCAAAUAAGUUUUAGCACUAGGCUCCAAACUCAUCAUAGAGUACAAUUUAGGAAAAAAAAAGAAUGGCUCCUCAUAUCUAAGCACGAAAAUUGGUUCUUUAUGUGCUGCGACGCUCUCAAAAUUUUCUCUGUCAAGGACUUGCGGACAUCGUGAGACCAUUAGUCUAUAGGAAUUUCAAGCUCAGAAUAAAAUACUGAUACACUGCUAUACAUUUGAUAUGUCAAAACAAAAAAUAAAGCGCCAAUAUUGUGGUCAUUAUUUCAAGUUUAGCUCAACCGCAUUUGAACAAGUAUAUUUGUUCUAAGUCCUUUAAAAUCUAACUCUGCGACUCUAUCAUUAUGAUUUGACAUGUGAUUCAAGGUCCUCUUGUUUUCAACUUCUACUUCUGAUGAGUGUAAAACCACAAGGCGAUAGCAACAAGGGGAGUGAUAUGUAGGAACAACGAUCAUCUCUCCAACCCCAAUGCGCACAUAAAAAAUCCCAUAAAUCACAUCCAGUAGCUCCAACCCUUGAGUCUGUUCUCUGUUUGACAAUUUUUGGUGUCAAGAACCGAACUACAUCACUGUAAUUUUACGUAACUAAGGUAUAAAAGCUGCUUAAGAUUAGUUAUGGGAUUCUCGCGAUGCUGCUUCUUCGAUUCAGUUGCUCUUUGCUACUUCUCCGGUUGCUAAAUGAGCCACAAUUUCCUGCAAAGAAACAUAGUUCCAUUAACUUUGUUAAGAGUUAACCAUCUCAAUCAGAAAACCAGCUCAAAAAGUCCGUCUGAGAUGUUUGUACCUCUUGGUCUCAACGUCAAUGUUUAAUGCGUAGUAAAUGUAUCAAAAUCAAUGGAAAAGAAUGGGUUGUGUAGAUUAGCGUGAAUAUAAUCCACGUCAAGACAUAUGUCUGCGAACCUGUACAUGUGAUCUUAUGAUCCCGAAUACAUGUAUCUAUUAUUCUAACUCAGCAGUUAAAUUCUCGGAAGAGUCAUUCAAGUACAUCAUCAGGAGCAGAGUCAUUUUCCUUCUUCCCCAAUUCCUCUUCCUUUUCCAGUCCAGUUGGAUUCUUCUCUUCCACCACCACUUUAUCUUACUCGCCCUCCUUCACACGUUCAUGCCGAGGCAAGUUGUACUCGGAGGAGAGGCCCUCAGACACGAUCCCUUCCGGCACUUCCUCGUCUCUUCUGGGAGAGAAGUAAUGAUCCGGCGAGUCGUGGGAUGUGAACCUCCCUGGCUCUGCCUCUUCCUCUUCUACUAGCGGUUCUGUCUCCGGCUCUAGCUCCUGCUCCAGCUCAAUCUCCUUUUCUUCCUCUACACGCUUCUCUUCCUCUCUGUCUUCAUCCUCGGCCUUUGUUUCUUCUUCUUCUUCGUUCUCUUCUUCUUGUUCAGACUCGGGAUGUUCAGUUAUGUCCUUAACAUCAGCCGCAUUUUCUGUAUCCUGGCUCACCGCAUUAUUGAUUUCUUGUUGCACGAGUAAUGCCGCACCUCUCCCAAUUGCUUCCAUCUAAAUAACGUUCUGUUCCACUUGUUUGUUCUUCUCGGGAUUGGCGCUCGAAACUCCUACUUUUGACUCCCCGCAACCCAUUGUCAUAAAAAGGAACGUCAAUCGAGAGGAAUUUGAUUGGGGUAUUGAUUCUCUCUGCCUUUGUGCAUCAGAUUGAAAUGAAGUUUCGGCUUUUGUCUUCUUUGCCCGUUGCAGUUUUGAUUUGCUGAAGCGGGUUGUAUCCGUGGUUGACAAAACGACAGAUCGUUUCUUGUUAUCGGUGGGGUUUUCCUUUCUUUGUCUUUUUUUUUUUUUUCAACCCAACCUUAGUUCAAUGAAAAACAUACUUUACAAUUAACAUAUGAUGCAUCCAAGCAAAAUUCAAUAUUGAAAAGACCGAAUUAUUCCCACUCAAAAACUUGUUUAAAUCUCUUGCUCCAUGUUUGAGUGAUUUAAUUUUCAGUUGGUUUUAAGUGCUUUUGAUAGGUAAGAAUUUAGGAUUUGUGAAUUGACAUUUUUCGAGAGAUAAUGACAUUCUUUUAUAAAAAGAAACACAAGGCUAAUAGAUGUAAAAAUGUAGAAAAUGAUAUAUAUAUAUAUAUUUAUAUUUUUUAACAUCAAUCGGCCUCAUGAACCAAAAUUCAUAUGGUCGUCAAACAUGGAAUUGCUUACACUUAAUCACGUUGAAAAUUGAACUUAGCCAAUUUUUCAAAUUCACAUAUAAAUUAUUUUCUGAACCACUAAAUCAAAAUAGACAAAGAGUAAAUAUGUUAGAAAGUGAAAUAUCAUAAAAAGAUGAAUUAUAAUAAUGUUAACAAAUUAACAAUCCAAAUAUUACUAAUUAAUCCCACAAAUGGUUUACUUCACCAAAUGGAAUUUAAAUUUCUCUCGAGUUGCCAUAAUUUAUUUUUUCCUUAGGCUAAAUAAUAAGCAUCUCCAAACAUAUAUCCUCUCUACAUAUAUUACGCCAUCUUCUUCCAUCUUGAGAGUGUCGUUUGCAAAAGUUCUUUUAAUUGUUCCACACCGUAAGUGGCCAUGGACGCCGCCACAGGAGAACAUCAAACUUCAGUAGUUAUCAGUUCGAGCUGUUUCUAGUAAUUACGCUCUUCAUAAUUUUCAAGAAAAAUAAAUCUAAUCAAACUGCAGUUCCAUGGUGUAACUCAUUUUAGGAGAUUGCAGCAAUUAAUUGUCACUGGGAGUACAUGAUUUAAUCAGAACCUAUGUCUGUAAAUCCUUACUUAGGCUAAGAAAUUGAAUUGCAUGGUUCACUUAAUCCGUGAUGAUAGAGACUAAGGGUUGACAAAAUUGUAGGUAAGAAGGCCUUGUGGGAGCAUAAUGUCUAUUGAUUGACCCCUACAAUUGGCUCUGCAAACCAUCUUUUGGUAAUGAUGAAGUGUAUCUAUAUCAGGCAAUUCUUUUUUCCAUUUGUUUUAUUUACACUAUUCUUCUGCUAACUUGGGGUAUUGCAAUGCAGCAAUAUGCUAAAGAGCACAAAGAUGCUAACCUCAUGCAGGAAGUUAUGAAGCUUUUGAAGAAGAAUAACUUGCCAUUGCAACCCACCACGGCCGAUAUUGUUUUCAGGUUCACUUCGGUGCUGUUUCUCCUGAGAAGGAUGUUAUUAUCAUGUAGUAAGCCAUUAUUGCACUUAAUUGUGUGUUAUGUACUGCAUAGUUAUCAAGCAAUUUAUCCAAUUUAUAAGUGUCAUUUAUAUACGAUUUAAUCAACUUGUUUUUAUUUUGAAUUAUUUUGUCUGCACUGCUACUCUCGAUCUAAUAGUUUGCUCAUGUUAUUUGACAUCCUUUCUUUCCAUGGAAAAAUUUUGCAGCAUUUGUGAUGAUACAGACAAUUGGGUGUUGCUCACAAAGUAUUCAAAGAGAUUUGUCAAAAUUGGAGUGAAUUUGCAUAAAGCUGCAUUUGACAUCUGGAUGGAGUUUGCUGCAAAAGUAGGUGAGAAACACUAGCUCUGUCUCCCUUCGCUGCUCUCAAGCCCUUGUCCCUCAACAAUCUUAUUUUCCAUUUCUUCCCACAAAUAGUUUUCUCAUCCACGUCCCGCCACUUACUACAAAAGAUGGGAUGUGCUAGAAUAUUUUCUUCUGUACGGUGAUUUCUUUCUCUCCUUAAACAAAAGGGUAGAAAUAAGAAAUAAAAAGAAUUUUCGCUGCGCCAUGUCUUUCAAUGUCUUUGUUUCUUUAAUUGUUCUGAGAUUAUGCUUCUUUAUCCUAUUUAGUGGUUUGACGAAAAUUACCCUUUUCAGGAGAUUUGAAUCUCUAUGGAAAACUGAGAAGUUAAGAUGUGAGUCCAUGAAGCAGCACACCCUGGGCAGUGGAUUCUCAUGUGCGAAGGUAGUUUACAAAGGCAGACUGUUGAAAUCACAAAUAUCAGACCCUGAAAGCACUAAGUCUUCUUGCAUUAGAAAAUCUGAUAAUGGGAAAAUAUUAAUAUUGCAAUACAGAUCAGUACAAAGUUCUUGGUAAACCAGGUGAGAGGUCUAUGGCCGAAAAAAGCGAGAGUUAAUGAUUGAAUAAACCAAAUUUUGGCUCACAUCCUAGGACAUGAAACACCUAUGGGCAUGAGAAUGCUUAUUGUCACAACACAAAGGAGAUAAUAACUACUUUUUCGGUAUUUGGAAGCAUUUAUUGUGGCUUUUAGCACUCUGGUUUAAUAUUAAAAUUUAACCGACUGUCAUUUGCUUGUUUUGUGGCAAGCUAAAUGGUUUUAUAACCAAUUUUUUGUGCAGGGAUCUUUACUUGAAGGCAAACCUGAGGAGGCUGCGACAGUCAUUCAUGUCUUGAAUCAGGUCCUCCUUGCUUCUCCGAGCAUCUAUAGCUAUUAUUAAUAUGCUCAUCAUCACCAUCUGGCAUGAUUGCAAUCCUAAAUUACCUCAGCCUCUGAAUUAGUCUUCAAUUUUCCAUAUACUGUCAAGGAAUAAAGCAAUUAGUGGAAAAUAUACAGAAUUGUCCCCCAAAAUGUGCUCAGAUAAAAUUACCAUGACAUAUCCUCUCUCGAGGGGGACUGAGUGAUUUGGGUUUCAUAUUUGGUGCAUGCUAUACUAUUAAAAUAACACGGCUUAGUUCCAUGGAUCCUAAUAGAGUUCGAAAGAUCAUCUCAGACUCCUCCUGAAUUGAAUAAAGUUGGAAAUUCACCUAUGUAGGCUCUGUUUGUUCAGAUGUUGCUUCUUAGGUCUCACAAUGUGAAUGCCUUGGAUUGAUGCGAGAGUUUACCUGAUGCUAAGAGGUCCAGCAUUGUGGUUGAACUUCAAAAGCUUGUCAGUGAGUGGGUUUUCGAGGUCAUCAAAUGGAAGAAAGAAGAUGACCGCAAGGUACUUCCUUUGACUAAAUAUCCAUCACUUUGGGUAGAAGUAGAAACGUUGCUUGUUUGCAGUUAUAUAUUGCUCUGGUAAUGUUUUCUCAAUCGUUCCCUUUGCUGGAUGUAUAUAUGCUGCAUUGAACUAUCUCAAAAUUUUUAAAACCUCUCAUUCUUUUCGCUCAUGUAGGCAUUGGCUGCUUCUUUCAAAUCCAAUAUCCCGGCCAUGGUUAGUUUCCCUAUCAAACACGGGCUUGGAGGUGAAAGUGAAUAUGGAACAACUAACCACCAAAGGCGCCCUUUGUUAAAGUAUGACAGAAUUGGAGAUUAAAUGCACUAGCUGCAGAUCUGUCUCCUAUGUGGACCGCUAAGGUUGCCAUUUUAAUUUAAACCGAUUCCGCUGAGAAGCAAGACAAGCGUGGUACUCACGUCUCGAGCAACAAGCAUCUGAAGUUCUCUUGUGAAGGUCCCUGAACCAUGAAAAGAUCUGCUCCUUCUUGAUUUGAAUGUUGUCACUUCUGUACUCUGGAAUAAUGAUUCUUUUCUUUCCCCAAAAAAUCUGAGUGUAUUAGAUACGAUAGGUGCAUCGUCAGCAAUUGAAUUCUGAGAACAACCUCGGAUGACUAGUUUUUGCAGAGAGGAUUCUUUUGGCUCACGCAUUUUAGAUUGGACCAAAUGGGCAGUUAAGAGAGACAAUUGAUAAGGUGGUCCUUUCAAUUUCAAUCUGAUUUGGCAGCCUAUUUUGUUAUAUUUCUGACACAAUUUCGCUGUCCAAAAUUAAGAGUGAAUUUAAUGCCGACUCAUUUGAUGUUGGCAUACAGCGACCGCCAUGGCUUCCUGAUUUAAUCGGAUCGAACCGUCCAAUCGUGGUGCCAAAGUGCAUAACAUAAAUUACAUCCCCUUUUACGUCAUGAAAGAAAACGAAAACCUGAAUUACCAGAAAUGGCUUCGGUACCCACAUGCGUGGGUGGGUGGGUGGGUGGGUGCGUGCAUUUUGUGCAUUUUGUGCAUUUAAGGCGUAAAAGAGGCGACAAAUGCAAUCCUCUAGAAUGAAAACAUGCGCAAAUUUUAACAAUGAAUUGACAUAAUUGUAAUAGAUAUGAGACUUUUUUGGUAAUAUAGGACCAAAUUUGAAUUCAUACAAUAAGCUUACGACUGAAUUUGCGAUUCUCCUAGCUCAACACCUUAAGCAGUAAUUAAGCUCUUCAUAUGUUCACCUGCCAUAACCUAAAAAAAGUCAAGCAUGAUCAUGGUGAAAGAAAAGGUCCAAAGAAUCCUUCCCUUGGAAGCAAACAAUCGAAUCAUUCUUGUUGCCUAAAAGAAUCGAGCAUGAGCUUUGUUUACCCAACUCAACUGCAUAGACACGGAGAAGAGGCUUCAGAUAUAAGAACUUAACAGGGUACAUCACAAGAGCAGGAUCUGAUGAAAUGUAACAUCGUACAUUUUCUUUGAAGAUAUGGAAAUGAAUAUUCAAAGCCCAAGAUUAAUCCUGGGAAAAAUGGAAAAGUAUGGAACAACAAACUUUGAUUUGCAUCACAUGAAGCAAAGAACCACGUGAUAAGUGAAUUCAAGCAUCCUGUGGAAUUCUAUUGACACUGGCAGCUUCUACUGAUUCCUGUUCUGCCACAACUAUAGUCCUGGAAGGCCGCUUGUUAGGAGUCAUUUGGAGGCAUUGUAAAGCAAGCUGUGCUAUUUGGAAUGCAGAAUCUGUAUAUGUAAGGUAUAGGGAUGGUAUAAAUUUGGUUCCCAUUUCCUGCAGGUCGCAACAUUGUGAGCGACCAGCUUCUUCUAAAAUAUCCAGUGUUUCUUUUUCAGUAAUUGGAGCAUCUGCAGAAAAUGAAAAGUUAUGUGGGCAAUACAACUGUACAUUUUAUGCCAAAGGAUUCAAGUAGCUAAAAGGAAAACACACCUUGUAUUUCAUAGAGGGGAUUAUAGUGAACCUCACACCAGAAACACAACCAAAACUCUGCAUCAAUUGAAAGUAAGGUUAACAAAAGGAAAAACUCAAAAAACAUGGAGUUUCAAAAGACCAGUUGCACAUUGAACAAAAGCAACAGUAGAUCAAUUGCAAAUGUUUACACCUAGGUUUAAAAUCAAUCAAAUAUAUAUUGAGCCAUACCCAAGCAGCUGUUCUAAGCAAGCGAAAGAACAAAUAUUUAAGUUCCCCAGAUGAACAACAAGCAAAGCAUCACAAAGGAGGAUCUAUGCGUAUAUGUAUGUGAGCAACACUCUUUUUUCCAAGACAAACGAGAAGUAAAAUAUCAACUUCACAUUCAUCACAUUGCACGGACUGAUCAUUUGACCCAACAAAACAACUAUGAAGAAGACUAGCAAGCAAUACCCUAGGCAGAGGGAACUUAUAAAUCCAAUGGCCCAACAAUAAUCAAGCUAUCAAUAUAAGUAUCAUCAAGAGGUUAUAGACCUCCUUCAGGCUCUCCAACAUCAACCAAAUAAGCAUUGAACAUCAAUGACUCACCGGAACAAAUAACUUCAUCAUUCUUCAAAAUUCUGCAUUCUGACAGCUGCUUGCUGCCAUCAUAGGGCAUUACCUAUCAUAUAUCCGACCAUCAAUCACAGCAUGGACUAAUCUACUCCAAACAAGCUCAAUCACGGAGAGCAUUACAACCAAAAGCACAGAACAGAACAAUAUGUGAUAUAGAAAAAAUGAAACCCUAGGCAGCAUCGAGCUGCUGCCAUUAAGUUCAAUGCUGCUGCCAUUAAGUUCGAUCGAGCAAGCUAAAUGAGGGAAAACUGAUGCAGCCCGCAUUGAAGAACAACUCUCUCGACCAAGAAGAUCGGCCCGCAUUCAAGCUCGACGAAACCGAGAAGCCGUAACAAUAUCUUGAGUCCAUUUUGGAAGCUUGAAAUACACCUUGGGAGCUCGCGUGACGUGCAGAGUGAGAGGCAGCUGUCACAAUAGACCAUGCGUUUCAGCUUUCCAUGCUCUUUACUAUUUCGUGACAUUCCAGCACACGCAGACUCAAGCACGUAACUCAUUUCAUCAAACACCAAAAGUGCACACUGGACAGCCAAACACUGGACAGGCAAAUCUAGAUGGUUCACACUCACACGAAGCAUAAUUCAGCACACUAAUUACAAACACGAUCCAAAAGCAGUUCAGGAUUGAAAAAGAAAACAAGAGCACAACACCGAUCCGCUCCUAGAACUUACAUUGCCGGCUCAAAAUGCAGGCGUUGAGUCUAUCACAGAGCUGAAAGCUCUAACGUAUUCAUCCGUGGGAUUUUGUUGAGUCUGGAUAUUCUGUAUAAGGGCAACAAGGAUGGUGAUGCCAGACUUCUGUCCCUCAAGAUUCCGUUUGAUGCGAUGUUCAUUUUCCUUAAUCAAAACUCCAGAGUUAGAGCUUAAGCUGGCAGACUUGAAAUCCAUAUCCUUGGUGCAAUUUCUCCCUCUUUACCCAACCUUGAUUGAGGAUGAGGACCACAAUACCAAUGUGUGCGCAGAAGCUCUCCCUGAUGCUCAUAGAGUUCAACUUGACUAAAAUUUCUGAGAUUCUACACCCAAAGACAGUCAGCCACUGCUUCAGAUUUUCACUUGGUGAUUUGUCCUGUGCAAAGGUGAAUGAUGUUGAGCUGCGCAUGGCUCUGGCAUCAGCUCCGAAUAUGGAUCCCAAGUUGCUUUCUCAGCUGAAAGUAGCAUGGCGGAUUGGAAAUCUUUUGGAGAUUGUACAUGGGAAGAAUUUGGAAGAUUUUCUCAAAUUGAUGCUUGGCUUGUGCAAAGCUCUUCUUUUAUGAUCACCAGGUUCUACGAAAUUUUUCACGUACAUGGAAGAGCCAACACUACCUGAUGAAAGUUCUUCUGAGGUGGCAAGUAGCAUAUGACAUAUAAUGGACUUUGGUGGCAGUGCCAGUGUUUUCCUGGAAUUGAGUGGGUCUAAUGACAGAAACAAUGCCGAUAUUGCUUCUGAAUGAACAGUUCUAUUUCUGAAGGCGGCCUCCAGGGAAGGUGCUCUCUUUUUCUCAGCGAUCUUUUGUAAGUGAGUGCAAUUCUCGAGUCUCAGCGAGACACCCUCCUUCUCUACUGGUACCAACGAAUGCUGCAUUCUCUCAGUUACAACUGUAGGAGAUGUUUGCUGCACAGAAUGAAAUUAUGAUUGAAGGCAUCGUGGCUGAGAUAAGAUAUUCUGGUGCUGCUGCUUUAGCCAGUGCUGCCACACUGGUAAUCUCGGAAUUGCGGUGGGUCCCUCAUUUAUGACUUCUCCAUAACAUUUACAAUUCCCACUAAGAAGCACACCUUUCCUGAAAUGAAAAAUAAACUUAACUUAAGCAUAGCAAUAGAGUGCCUGUCUACUUCAAAGUCGCAAUAAUGAGUUGAUUGUGCUGUAAAGUCCCAGGAUGAGAACAAUAGUCAUAUGACCUUCCAGCAAACAUUCCAUCUAUUUGUUUACAUCAUAACAAAGUUAUCUCCAAUGCAAAACGAGGUUAUCAAUUUCGAAAUAUAUGAAGAAGGAAAUCGACAAGGAUCUCUAAUAACUUGGUACAUAUCAAAUAAAAACGAUGCAAUCGACAUGCAUAUCUCUAGGAGAAAUCAUCCUAAGAAAAUGUAGCUAAAAAAGUCAAAUCAAACUAGGAAAAGAACACAAAUACUCGUACAUAAUUAAGAGCCCUCUGGCUGUUUAGAGGUAUCAUAAUUUCAAUGCUUCAUUAGAUUUUCAGACAAGAAUCCGCUAAAAGGUCAUUAAAAAGUGCAUGCGAAACUUCUCUGUUUAUAUUUGCGAAAGAAUUUGAUUGCGAAAAAAAGGAAAACGUUGGUACUUACCUCAAUUUGUUUAAAGUUUGAUCACAAGGUUAGAAUUUGUCUUCUUCCACAAAUUCGUUUCUUCAUCGUCUUCUCCCACAAAUUUGAUUGACUUCUCCAAGCAAAGCCGAGAAAUUUCCUCCACCGCUAAUUUCCCACAAAGUCUUAUUGUAACCUCUCGCAGUCCCUUCAAACUUGAUAGAUCAGGCAACUUCUGUAAAGAUUCACAGGAUUCAAUAUCCAAGUAUUCCAAAGAUUGAGGUAGUUCGCCUUGAAUCUCAAUCAGAUUAUGACAAGAUUCUAUUGUAAGAAGUGUUAGUUUGUUCCAAUUGCUUAGAUCAGGGAUUUGCAUCAGUUUAAAGCCACGAAGCAGCAACUCAUGUCCACCUGUACAUUUAAACAUCUGAUUGCGAAUAUGCACAUAAACAUAUGUCUUACCCAUUAAGCUGAACAGAUUGGGGAACUCCCGUAACGAAUUGCAGGAAUCAAUUGUAAGAUAAUCCAAAAACCGCGGUAGUUCGCCUUGAAUCUCAACCAAAUUACCACAACAGGAUACUCGAAUAUACCUUAGCUUGUUUAACUUGCUUAGAUCAGGUAGCAUUGCCAGCCGUCUGACUUUGUCAAUGUGCAAAUGUCGUAAGUUCUCCAAACAACCAAGGCCUUGAAUCUCUGCAACUGCAGAGCACAAAAUCGAGAGAGACGAUAGUUUCCUCAAAUUCGAUAGAUCCAUCGAGCAAAGUGAGUCGCAACCAAAGAGACUUAAGGAGGAUAAAUUUGAGGGAAGCCUCGGGAGGCGACGCGGAUGAGGAGGGAGGCUCAGGUCUGUCGAAGAGUCAAAUGAGUCAAAUGAGUCAAAUGAGUAGAAUGAAUCGAAUGAGUCGAAUAAGCCGUAUAAGUCGGUCUCCCCUAAAAAGAGUAGUUCCAUGGAUUCCAAUUUGCUUAAAUUCCCAAUCCACAGCGGUAUCGGUUCUUCCAGAAGCCUAUAAGAUUUCCCAGCACAAUUAGGUGAGCAAAAGAACAGAUACAAUACCUUUAAGUUAGCGAGAUUUGAGAGAUCCAGAAACGUGUCCACCCUCAACUGCCCCAGUUCUAAUUCGAUGAGACUUUCAGGAAGCCUUGGUAGGGCGUGUAUUCUCACCCCUCUCAAUCUCAAGAUCCUCAAGGAUUUAUUCUCGUAGAUGCAAUCACCAAUUUUCAAGUGUAAACACUUGUUAUGAUAAUCCUUGCAGACGACUUCUAUUUUUUCAAGCUUCUCCAUCAUCCAAAAGGCAUCGUGUAUUUUGCUUAUGACACUUAUCUUCAUCUUCACUACUUUCAAAUUCUUCAACUUUUUGAUGGAAUCGGGUAGUUCUUUGAUGUUCGUGUAACUUAUGUUCAACUCAAUCAGCGAUUCCAAAUUCCCGAUUGUCUCCGGAAGCCUCUUCAAACUCCGGCAUCUUUCUAGAGAUAGGUAUUUGAGGCUUGCAAGAUCUCUACACAGCUCAUCCGGCAGCCUCUGAAGUCUGCUACAAUUGCUUACAUCUAAGAAAACCAAGCGUUUCAACUGACAAAUUAAUCUAUCAAUUUCAAUUAACGAUUUAGAACCCGAUAGGAUCAAACAUUCUAAUUUUGAAUGAGCAGAUAAGUCGGGGGUUAUCUCCAAGAGUAGGCAAUGGGCUAGAUCUAGAACUUUCAAAUUCUUAAUCACCUGUAAAAGAAAAAUCAUGCAAAGCUUAUUUUUGAAUCUAAUAAGGCAAAAGGAUAAGUAUUGUCUAGCAUAUAACAAACCUUCAUGUGACUCCACCCUUUCCAAUCAUGCGUAAUUUUACUCCAAGAUAGAUCAAGAAUAAUCACAUUCUCCAUGGAGAAAUUUGUAAUCGCAAAUGUUGGCUGAAUAUUAUGCCAAGAAAACCAUUGUAAUCGUGGAAGGAGAUUUGAAUUCUUCUGGAAUACAUUAGUUGAAAGAAUAUCUAACGGCCUUGUGUGCCAAAAAUGCUCAACUUCAAGGAACGUUAGAUUGGGUAGGUUCUUGAAGUCCUCAUAGGUAAAAUGAUGCUGAUCGUCAAACUUGAGAUGAAGAGCUUCAACUUUUUUCUUCAUCUGUCAAAGAGAAAAAUUUGAAAAACAAAAGAGUUGAAGAGAAACACAUUUAUCCAAGUUCACUGUUUUAAGGGGUUGAGUUGAGUACUUAUAUUCCUUUAAUCUUAAAAGAGCAAAAAUAUUGGUUGAGUAGGUUGUGACGGUGCUAGAGAACACAAAAAUAAUUCCCUCCUUUUGAAAAGAAAAUGUCCAUAAGUAACUUGGAGAUUUAUUUUUAUAGGGAAAUUUACCUCAUGGCUCUUCAGCAGAUCCAAUCCUUCCUUGGGAUUCCACACACAACGUUGCUUCUCAAUUUUCAUCUUACUUUCUUGACGAACUAUUUCUCUUCCGAGGUCUCUAAGUUGAUCAUGCAUCCACAAUUUAUUCUGUUCAUCAAUUUUUAUCAAAGACAUGUUCUGCAAAACUUCCAAGGUUGCUUCUGGAAAAAGUUUAGAUGCAUCCCAAAAAAUAACUACAAUGUCUUUGCGAUAUCCAAUGAAAUGACAAGCUAUAUCAAGGAAUAUAUGCUUUUGUCGAGAAUCUAAUGCAUCAUAACUUAUUUUCAGCUUAUUUUGAACUUUAUCAUGAGGAACACUUUCUAACAAGUUCAAUGUGGCAUCCCACAUUUCCUUAACUUUGCUGGAUAAAAGUGAACCUAUGACUUCAAGGGCUAAUGGAAGACCUCCAGCAAUGUAUAUCGCUCUGUUGGUAUGGUUGAUGUACUCGUCUAAAGGAGAAUCUCUUCUAAAGGCAUGUUUGCUAAAAAGUUGAAGAGAUUGAUGGGCAUCCAUGCUCGUAAGCUCAUACAUCCAGUCCACUUCCGGAACAUGGAGAACAUCUUUCCUUCUCGUAGUAAUAAUAAGUUUGCUUCCUUCACCAAACCAAUCAUGCUUGCCUACAAGUGCAUCCAUAUGAUCCUUUUCUUCCACAUCAUCAAGAAGAAUGAGGGCUUUGUGAGUAGGGAACCUAUCUUUAAUGGUCUUAAUCCCUGCAUCAAUGUUUCUUAUAUCCACCCAUUUCAUCUUGAGGAUGUCGCAGAUGAGCUGCUGCUGCAAGUACUCAAUGCCCUUGAGCUUUGACGUUUCACGGAUGUUGGAAAGGAAGCAACAAUUGUUGUACUUGUUGGAAAGCUUAUUGAAGAUGAUUUUGGCAAUUGUUGUCUUUCCAAUGCCACCCAUCCCAUGAAUUCCUACAAUCCGCGUUUCACUUAUGUGAGCACCUAUCUCUUCCAUGAUUUUACCCACAUGGUGGUCCAUAUUGAUCAAGUUGUUUGAUACCACCAAAUAAGCCUUUUUCAACUCAUUGAAAACCUCCUGGGUAACUGUUUUCGCGAUCUCACCUUCUUCCCUAAUGUUUGUUGGAGGUCAAAUGGCAAUGAGUAAGAAAAUUGUCUUGAAUCAAACUAUGUUUCAACAAGAACAAAGUGAAAACUGAAGACCUAAGUGAAAUGUAUUAUAUAAGGAUUUACUCCAGUGUAGAUGAAUUAGCAUCGAUACACAUGAUUAUUGAAUGACCUAAACUAGGAAAGAAAAAAAAAAAGGUUGUUUGGUUAUGUGAUUUUUAUAGUAUAAUUUCAAUAGCAUAAAAUUCAAUUUCAACAAAACUAACACGAAUCUAGAAAAUAAACCAAUUGAACCACAUCAAGUUUCAAUGAUACAAGGCACAUCAAAGGAAUGAUAGAGGCAAUCACCUGUUGGGGAUGCUUUGCAAGUCCCAUCCAUCUAGUUCCCCAACUGCAUUGAGAGCAGCCUUCCACUCAUGUAUAGUCGCUUCAUCAUAUCGCUUCUUGUUUUCAUGUGAAAGAAAGGCCUCUUCAUAACACUUAGUUUGGUGUCGAACCUCUGAAGGUUCCACAUCAUAAAAAAUUGGCAUAAUCUUUUGUCCCCUAAUUUUUUGGCACUUGACCAUUUGGACUAGCUCCUUGAGACACCAUGCACUAGAGGCAUAACCCUUUGAAAAUAUAGGUAUUGAGAUCUUUGAUUCACUAAUUACUCGGAGAAGUUCUGGGCCAAAAUUUUCCCCCUUGCGAAGCUCUUUGUCAUCCUUAUAGACGCGUAUUCCUGCAUCUAUCAUACUAGUGUAAAGGAAGCUAGUAAAACCUCUUCGAGUAUCUUUUCCUCUGAAACUCAAGAAUACUUCAUAUUCAUAUCCUGAUGAAUUAACCAUUCCCUGACCUUCUGUCGUAGUGUGAGUAAAAGAAGCGCUCACUGCUAUUCCAUCAUUUUUACAGGUACGUUGUUUUUUUGCACUCCUCUCCAUUGAUUUCACUCGAUCUGAUCUUCAAGAAAUACCAAACAGUAUAUCAGCAAAAGCAGUGGCAGCUAGAGAUGGAAAAUGUUUAGAAGCCUAACUCGUAAAUAUUGAAGAUCUCUGUAGGUCAUUAAACUUAGUAGCCGGGAUAAGCUAAAUAUGCAGAGUGUCAUGGGCUAGUUUGCUACAAUUGUUUAAUAAGAAUAAUUCAUUGUAGCAUCACUCUCACUUGUCAAAGUUGACAAUGCAUGUGAACAUAGGAGUAUUAAAUCUCAAGGGGCGUUUUAACACCUUAAGGAGUUUUAAAUCUCCUGGGGAGAACGUUGACAUAGCACAAUACAAAGUUUUCAUUUUAAAUAAAAUGGCUCGCUCUUCUCAAAUCUUGAGAACAUAAAUUAUUCCCUAGGAGUUCUAAAUCCUAAGGGGAGAACAUGAACAUGCUCUCAUUUGACAUAACACAAUGCAAGGCAUUCUUUUUAAAAAGAAAAUUUCCACACUUCUCGAAUUUCUACAACAUGAAUUGUUUCUUCUUAAUGUCACUUUUGCAAAUAUGACCACCACUCUCUCUAGAAUAAAUCAAAAUAUUAACCAGAGUUAUUCAUGUGGUGGGAUAGUUGUAGUUUGAAAUCUUACACGUUUCCAAAAUUCCAUUAACCAAAAAUGGAGUUUCAUUUCAUGCAUGCUAGAGUUAAAGAACCAAUUAUAAACUUAAAGUAUAACUGGUAAGUACAAAUUGACCAAUAACUUGUGAGUCUGGGCAAUUGUUAGAAAGUCACUAAAAAAAAUAGUUUUUUUCACCCUCAAACCAAAUAGUGGAUUACCAUUUUUUUCUUUUAGAUUUUACAAAUGGGUUAGUAUUUUUUCUUGUAGAAUAUGAAUGCUUACAUAGUUUAUUAAUAGUCUUGAUUGAUGUUCCAACUUACAAACAAACUAACUAUUUUUACCCCUCUAAUAUCCAAGUAUGGUGUUAACAUUGUUUCGAAUUUAUGAGUAGCAAUGUUCAUUUGUAUAUACCAUGUGAACAAAAUAACAGAUUUACCAUGUGGAAAAUACUCUUGUAACUUAUGAGCAAUUGUGUGCCUUUAUAAGUAGGCAAGUAUUUUUGGUAGUAAAUUACGAGUUGAUUGCAUGCUUUGUUAGUAGUUUCGGUUAACAGCCGUAACUUACAAACAAAUAAGUAUUCUACAAGUAUAAAUCCUUACUAUAUUAUUAACCUUGUUUCGAUAUUAUGAGUUGCAAUUUUAUUGUUAGUAACAUGUUGACAAAACAAUUGAUUUACCUACUUGAAAUAUUCUUGCAGGUUACGAAUAGUCGUUUGCUUUUACAAGUGGCUGUGUUCUUCCUCUAGUAGAUUACAAGUUCCUUACAUAUUUUUUCCUAGCGACACCAGUUUAUAUUUGUAACUUCAUAAUAAAAAAACCUAAAUUUUUAGUAGAUUAUUAACAUUGUUUCGACGUGUAUUUCUCAGUAACAUACAAACAUAUUUUAUGCAAUUGUAUGAAUGCCGGAUGAUUGUGUGUAUUUGUUUACUAGUGAUAUUGAUGAUUAUUUGUAUUGAUGAAGCGUUCUACCUGUUUACAUGGUCAACUAUAAGACAUUGAUUAGAAGCUCCGAGAUGACUAAAUAUGCCACACGAGACGACAUGUUGGUACUGUUUUGAAAUGAUGUUGCAACGUGAUUGGAUAUUGACAAAGUUAACGAUAUAUAAUGUUUGGAACUUAUAUAAUAUACAACCAAAUAAUAGUAUGGUUCUGUGUUAUUCAGCAUCUAAUGCAUAAUACAAGGUUCAAUAGCAACUUCGUAGAUGCUUCCGAUAUAAUUAGUUUGUUUGAUAAUCUAAUCGUGGUGGUCAAGAGUUUGCUCUAUCUAGGGAAGAGUGGACAUAGAGUAUUAGCUUCCUUUAUAAUUACUCUAUAAAAUUAGGAGAGGCGCAUGCCAUCAUUGUUAGGCAUCUCAAAAUUAAAGAUGUCCACACUGAAUGAUUCUGGUAUUGGCACUAGGCUCCAACUUAAUAGACUACAAUUAUGAAAAGAAGAAGAAGAAGAUUCUUCUCAUAUCUAAGCUCGAAAAAUUGUUCUGUUUGAUAUUGGUCCUAGAGAUGUGCCCCUCCACUUUCCAAUAUACUAACAGUGUCGAAAUUUUUUCUGCCAUGGACUUGCAGACAUUGUGAGACCGUUAGUCUAUAGGAAUUCCAAGUUGAAAAUAAAAUACCGAUAUACUACUAUUCAUUUGAUGUGUUAAAAUAAAAACUAAAUGCCAAUAUUGCAGCCAUUACUUCAAGUAUAGCUCAACGUUCAAAUUGGAUUGGAACAAGGGUAUGAGUCUAAGUACUUUAAAUCUAGUCUCCAUGGCUCUGCGCCUCUGCCUCUAUGAUUUGAUCAGCUUAUGUGAUUCAAGGGUCCUGUUGCUCUCAACUUCAUCUUAAGAUAAAGUGUAAAACCAAUUGAUGAUAAGAGUUGGCAAUUUACUGACCACAUGGAUAAAAUUUCAAAAGAGUUGGUUAACUACUUCAUUAAUAUAUUGAUAUAUUUUUUAAUAGUGCUGGUAAGUUAAUAUCAAAGGAGUUAGUAAUAUAUUAAUUCAUUAAAAUGUUGUUAAAUUCUCGUAUGUGCCGGCAAUUCAUCUAUGAUUUUGGUAAUAAGAGUUGGUAAUUAACCACUUGACUCGUAUGUCAGUAAAUUCUUGAUAAUGCUGGUAAUUUAUUUAACACGUUUUGAGAGUGGGUAAUUUAAUACUUCCAUGUAGUGUUUGUAAAUUCUUGACUGUGUCGGUAAUCUACUUACCACACUCAUAAAAUUUUGUAGGAGUCGGUAAUUUACUACUUUGUUGGUAUGUUGUUAAAUUUCUAAUGUUGCUGGGACUUUACUUACUAGCACAGACCAAAAUUUUCAAGUGAGUUAAUUUACUAAUGUCGUUAAAAUUUUGAUAAUCUUGUAAUUUACUAAAUUUCUUAAGAAAUGGUAAUUUACGAAUAUUUUGUUAGUCAGCAACCAUAAGGUUUGAAGCUUGAAGUACACUGGCGAAUGGUGGAAUAGCGGAGAUGAGAGCUAGAGCUCAAGAUCAGGAUGGAGUAAUUACAAAAGGCCAAGGUAGUCUCCAAUCAGACUAUUGCUGCAGUACUGUGGAAUAUUUGGAAGUCAGGAAACCAGGCCAUCUUUAGGAAUAAAAAACCAGAACCAAGCAACCUUGUGGAGCCUGCUUUAGCUGGGUUGAAGAGUUUCAACAGAUGGAACCCAAAAUCGAGCGAAUCUAGUAAGACCAGCAAAGGGUCGUCAAGAUUUUGGAACCCACCGCAGGCUGGAACACUAAAGAUAAACAUACACGGUGGCUACGAACCUGAAGCUACUAGAGGCUCGAUCGCUUGCGUCUGUCGUGAUUUCGUGGGGAGGUUGGUGGACGGAGUGGUGCGAGCAGUAGCGGCGCCUUCUGCGUUCGGGGUUGAGGCUCUUGCCCUCUUAUAGAAGCCUCCACUCUCUCUGUAUACUCUAAGAAAAGAAGCCCUUGUUCUUGAGUCUCGCAGCUUAGACUUGGUCAAGGCUGUGGAAAGUUCAGACAGGCUCACGUGCGAAGCUCGUGCUAUUAUUCCGUUGUGCAAAGAUUUAUUAUUAUCCUUUUCAAGUAUCCAGAUCAUGUUCAAAAAAAAAAAAGAAAAGUAUCCAGAUCAGCCAUUGGCUUAGAGAGGCUAACUCAGUUGUGGACUGAGUUGCUAAAACCCACGAGAGAAAGCCCAUUUAUCGAACCUUUCAAUCUUUUUCUGCUUAAUGAAACAAAAAAAAAUAAAAAUAAAAAUUCAGUCUCCAAUCUCAAGGAGCGAACGUGCAAGUGUUCGGUCACGCUUCACAGCGCACGAUGGCCCCCCCGGCGGUAGAAUACCUUUAUUUGAUGGUGAUAACAUUCAACUGCAACUUUAUAAAAGCGUCGGAAAGAAUACUCUCUCGAAAUCGGAAAAGGCCACCGUCCUUCAUCUGACAAUUCCUAAACAAUGUUCACGCUCCACUAGCUUUGAGGAAUGAAAAAGAAAAAAGUAGAAUUAGCAACAUUUCACGUGCUAUGAUGGUCCCCAUGACUAGCCAAGCUCAUACGCUUCGAUAAAAGGUUGUCUCUUCUCACAUCUCGGGAACAAAAAUUGCCCCUCUCUAAGUUUGGCUCUGAAGAUUUGGCCCUCAGCUCCCCUUUUUGAGUUUAUAAUUAAAUUGCCGAUGCACACCUCUACACACUAUUUUAUUUAAUAGUCAAAACAAUGUACAUGUUAUCUAGCACAACAAUUUGAUGGUGAAAUAUAAUAGAAAUUAAUGAGAGAUAAAUUUAUUAUAAGUGUACCAGUUUAAAAUUUUUAAUAAUUAAAAAAAUAAUUAAAAAUAAAUUUAUCGUAAAUAUAUCAAUUUGAGUUUUUCACGAUAACAAUCAUUUUCUAAUUAAUUGGCUUCUGCUUUUCUUUUCUUUUUUGAACAACUAAUUGGCUUCUGCUUCACCAGGCACGAUAUCAUCACUCCCCCAUGCGAACACCAACGGCUGACAGCUUGCUCUUUGUAAUAUUAUGCAAUAAUGUAAUAUUAUGUUAGUGGGCCCCAAAAGAAGAAACUGAAAAAGAAACUGAAAAGUCAGUAAAACAAAAAGGAGAGGGGAGAGGGCUCGGCUAAAUAGAAGCUGAGAGUUCCCUCACCAAAAAAGAAAAGAAAGAAAAGACGAAGAAGAGGAAGGAGAAGAGAAAAAGGGAAAAAAGGAAAGGAAUUUUGGCAUGUGCACGUCUCGGAUGCCUCGCCAAGCUGACUCGACUCCAUAACACAGCACCCGGUAAGAGAUCAAGCCCCUUGUUUGUCCGAUUGAAGUAAUUUUUGGAUUUAGGACUUAAAUUCGAAAAUUUUGGAAAACUGAGCGGCGAAGUCUAAUUUUGGAGUCGUUGAGCCGCGUAUUUUUGCAAGAAUGGUAAUUUAGGGUGUUGUGGAGCCGUGGGAUUUUACGGAUCGUGAUUUGAACUUAUGGUUUGUCCAAAACAGAAUUUCAAAGUUUCCCACGCGCAGUGAACAGUACGCGUCCAGCAGCUUUGGGCCCGUAUUUUGUCAUUUUUCGGCUUGAUUUUGGGAUGGCCAAGUCGGAAUUCUUGUGAUAUGUUUCAAGGGCUCUCUAUUGAAUAUAAGUACGUUCGGAUCGGAGUUCAGAAGAGAAAGUUAAGGCGCAAUCAAGUUUUGCACUUAAAUUUCGUGUUGCGAAUGGCUUGAACAAUCGCUUUGGUUAUGCGAUUUGUUAGCGCGUAGAAGUCCUUUUGUUAGAGUUAAGGCGUAAUUUAGUUGUUUCGAAGUAGAGACAGUGUUUUAUUAGAUUUUAACAUUUUUCUCGGUUAUUUGAUAGGACCUUGAAUUCGACGAUACGAGUAUCGUUCGUCGUUUGGUCAUCGACGACGAGGUGAGUGGUACUAUAUCUUCUUUGGUUUUAUAAAAUCAUGUCUUGAAGUAUAUAUAUGUAUAUAUAUGUAUAAUAUUGAAUUGAGAAGGGCAUUUUUAUUGCAUAAAAGCUAGAUCGAGCAAUUGCUACUCUUUGGUUGAUUGUGAAUCUUUGAAAAGCACAUUAUACAAGGUUUGUGGAGAAACAUAUAUGAAAUUGCUUUGCGACUGAUUUAUAAAAAGGUUUAUGAUGAUUUGAGAAACGGAUAUGAAAUGGAUGAUGGGCUAUGUUGCAAAAUGUUAUUUGUUUGGUUUGAGAUAUUGAUUUUUGGAUUGGAUUUCUGGUAUUGGAGAAUGGUUAUUUAUGCUCAAUAUGACUGUGAAUCCAGUGAUGGGUUUUUGGGGUAUGCAUACCAAGUUUAGGAUAUCCUUCUGGGCCUAGCCACCGGCUUUGUAGGUGGAGACCUUGCCAAGGGGGGAAUCUUGGUCGCCUUGUCACAAGGCGUUGUGUUGUGACCAUGGUUAGUUAUUGAGCAAAAGAUUGAUCAAUGGAUAGACCAUUGAUAUGUGUUUUUGAUGGAGAUUAUUCGAUGGAUUCGACCAUUGAUACUUGACUUUUGAUGGCAAUUCAAAUGAGUUUUUCGUAUUAGUAUAAAUUUUUGAUGAUAAGAAAUAACUUUUAUAUGAUUCGAUAUGUAUUUUAUAUAUUGAAUUGGUGUUAUGAAAUUUGGUAUUGUUUUGUAUACAUGCAUAGUGGUUGUUCGAUCUGCUUAGAAGAUAUGUACUACUCACUGAGCUGUGGUUGCUCAUCCCAUUCCUCCUUUAAUCUUUUCAGGUUCCUCAGCUAGCGGCGAAUAGAGCGAGUGCGUAGUCGGUGGGAACUUUUGGGGAGUUCUAUUUUGUUUUUGGUAUGGUUAAAGGAAGUGGUGCAAAUAAUACUUACUAGUAGUUGGAUCGUUUAAGUUUUAAACGUAUAUCUUAUUCUCUUUUGGUGGAUUAUAGAAACUCUGAUGUUGCAACCAAUUUGUUGGUUCAUCUAAUAUAUAUAUAUAUGGUUUGAGAUAUAUAUAAGUUAAUAUCAGUUUGUUGGUUGUAUUUGAGGCUGCGUCCUGUGAAAAGAAGGACGGCCGUGUCAUUCCCAUUCUUUGUGGUUUUGGGGUGUGACACUCUUCAUCCGAAUUGCGACCCCUGUCCUUGUCCUCUGCUCCUCCAUCCCUCCCCUUUCAUUCUCUGGAAUCUGUAGAUCAUCAAUUACAUGUGUCUUACGCUUUUGCCAAAAUGCCCAAAUGCUCUCAUGGCGAGGAAUUCUUUUGCCUUUUAUGGAUUGAUUUUAAUGAUAAAUAGGGUUGAGGGCCUUUCUCCUGCUAAAAAAAUCGAGCGAGUUAACUAAGUCGAGCCCCUAUGCCGCGGCCAUAUGCAACCAUGGCCGUGCGAGGCCAGCAACCCCUGUCUAUCGCGACUUCCACUGGACAUAGGUUGUGAGCUCCAUGCGGAGAAAAAAAGAGACCAAGGGAUAGCAAACAGGUCAAACUGGUGUGGAGUUAAUGUUGUCGGUGGAUUCACGCGCGAAGGUGAGGGCUUGUGAUGGCAAUGGGUGGGCGACAGUGAGCGGCGAUUCUGUAAAAAUCCUAAGCUAUAUUAAUUACUAAUUAUUCCAAUUUUUUUUUUCAUCAUAAAAAAUCGAAACUUGUCUCAGAAAUCCAAAAGUACUUUCCAUUGGAUGUUUACUUACGCACCGCUUUUCAUUAUUUUGAGUGUAAAUUUCUCUUCUAAAUUAUGUUAGGAUUAGUCUAGACAUUAAAAAAAAAACUACAAAAACAUUUGCAUGGACACUUAGUGGUUUCAUAAAGAUUAUAAUUGGUAAUCAAGAUUGUAUGGCCAUUUAGAUAAACAGCCUUCCAAGUUAGUGGUACCGCAAGGGCGCUAAUAGAAACAUUGGCGUAAACAAGUCCCCGUUCCUAGAAAUCUCUGGUUGCGUAUGAAUCGAGACAACACUCCCGUGUCUUGAUUGGUUUCCAGCCGACCUCAAUAGGCUAGUGGCGACUCCUAGAAUUACAUAAGUUGUUAAUAACUAAAAAACGAAUCCAACAUCGCGCGGGGUAUGGGCUUGGGAGAGCCCGCGCCUAAUCUAGGGCCAUUGGUCCACCUCUUUACGCAAAUACCCCUAAACCUUCUUCUUUUUCCCCGGACGGAAAAUUUGGAGGUCAUGACAGCUUGGCGACUCCACUGGGGACUUGGUUGCAAACCUUAGAAGACUUAGGCCGUAAUAACUUGGUUGGUUGUUCACUAACAUGGUCUUCAUUUGAUAGCGCGUGUCAAAGUCGCGUGGAAAACAAGGUUAGCCCGCUAACAAUGUGUUAAAUGUUUUUGUAGGUUUGGAGUAAUAAGGGGUGGAGUGUUUGUUAACCCAUCUCUUUUGUAGGGAGGCGUAGGAAUGUAUGCCGAUAUGGAUGAAAUUGAAGUGUUGUUUGGAUAUCAAUUGAUGUGCGUGCCUUUAUACUUAUCUUAGUACUACACAUUUACACACACAGCUUGCGAUCUAAAACCCCGAUCGCACUAGGAAGCCCAUAUGAGGUGCCAAAAGAUGGAACCCGUGCGGGGAAUGACCCAUGGUUAUCCACUUUUGGUCCCGCUCAUUUUGAUUAAUGAUAAAGAGAACUGUCCGACGUAAGCGCGGAGUGGGGAAAACUCUUUUGAUCUAAUCAAAAUGGGGACCUUAAGCCUUUAGAACUCCACCUUUAUGUGUCAAACCUCACAAGUUUGCAUCCGCAUGUCUAUGUGACUUAGAAAAAAAAAGGGUCUCUUCACCCACUGUAAGUAUGAUUUCUCCAUCUACUUGCUCACUUCGGAUUGAAAUUUUUAUUUAUUGGAGAUUCGCGGAAAUCAAUGGAAUGCCCUUGAAAAUAUAGGCUUGGCACUCACUUUUGAUAAAUAAGCAUUUCAAAUACCUAUGAUCUACUAAACAUAUGUUUUUGUUAAAUUUUCAAUUAUGAACUUAAAGUCACAUUUUGUAUAGAAAUUCUUCCAAAUCAAGAUUACAUUUUGGGGCAUAGAAUUAAAAUCAAAUUUUCAAUAAAACUCUUUGUUGGUCACAUUUCAAAAUUAAAAUUCAAAUCCCAUGUUGUAUAUUGAUUUUUCAAAAUAAAAAUCACCUCACCUUUGCAUGAGUGAAACCACAAAUUAAUUUUUUAAAAUCAAUGCCCCAUUUGUGUAUGAAACUUUUGGAACAAAGUGGGCAUUCAAUUGAUAGUCACGGAUCUAUCUUUUAAUGAAAUCUCCUCUUACUAAUAAAAUCUUGACGAAAUACCAAACUCUCGUAAGUGGAUACUACGGAGAAGGUAUCGUCGCCUUGAUUUCAUUGUAAGAGGCGGCUUUAUUGAAAGAUCAAUUUUUCAUUCAUAUAUUGACAUUAUCUUCCUUUCGCAGGUCAUGCGUGACAACCAUUCCUUAAAGCUAGGACGAGAAUUGUGCUUAUUAUGCUCCUCUAUGAAAGAGCUUCUUGUACUUUAUCCUUGUCAUUAUUCCUAUUAGGAAACGUGUUUUGCGUUUUGGGUUUUGAUUGUGGACCUAAUCAAAUGCCUCUGUAAAUCAUACAACUCACAUUUUCUAAUAAUGAAAUUAGAGUUCAUAAAAGUUAUACCCUUUAAAACACUUGAAGUGUUUCAAACGAACCCUCUGGGCUGAGUUUUAUGCCUUAGCUUCAAAAUGUGUGAAAAUAAGUUUCAAGAACUUGCGUAAUACUUUAUCUCUUCACUUAAUCGCUUUUGCAGGUUGAUCCGUAGAACGAUGCUUUGAGGGGGUAAGGUUGUAAUCGUUCCAAUAGGGAUUUCUUGCGCAACAACUAACUCAGUCAUCCAUUUUUGUGAAGCAGGCAAGAUGACGGUUUUGUUCAAGAUUGACAAAAGUGCGGGCCUUUCCCUAAUAGAGCGAGUCAUGAGAUGCACCAAUUCAUGCUCAUUUAUGGGCAUAGUUGGUUGAGCCAUGAACUACUUGAAUAUUUUCGCAACAUAUGAAUUCAAACAUUGUAAUUAAGUGUGAAAAGAAUCAUCAAGGCCUCGAAGAUCACAAAUCUACUGGUCUAAUGAAGUUCCACAUGCUGGACGACCUCAUAUUAAUUUGACAUUCUUCGUGGAAGAAGAAAUUUGUAGACAUUCUUUGGCAACAAACUACUUCGUUGGUUGCGAACAAGAAGCAUUUGCAAUCCCUACACUUCCAACGGUUUCUUGGCAUCCAAUCCUGUAUGGAGAUGAUUAUUGGUGGUAUGCAAGACAACACUUCGAGAUGUAGAUGUACACAAGCAAGAAUCGGUCAUCAAAUGUUGCAUUCAAAUAAAAGGUGGUAAUCGUUUCAAGUUAAAUUCGAUUUAUUUUAUGAAUGACUUGUCCUUCAACUUGGCGCAGAUUUUAGUGAGGCAAAUUACUGGCAAGCAACAAGAUUACAUGGGGAGGACAACCUGGUCCAGAAUCACACGAUCUCUAAAAGAAAAGGGUGUGUUCGUUCCAAAAGUCAGAACAACUCAUUCAUAAACUAACAUAGCCACCCAUGCUUACAGAUUGUGAAAUGGGAAAUGCAUUGAUGCAGCAAAAAUGGCGAAAAAUCACCUAGCCUAAAAGGGGUACGCGGGAAACCAAGUAAAGCAUGAAGGAUUCAAAUGAAAUGAAGAUUCAUCAAUCCAACAUAAUGAAGCUGAAAUUUUAAUUGGGGCAGAUGGCCAUAAAAUGGAUCGGGGGCAUGCAAUGCCUGAGUCACCCGACUUCUAAAAGGGGAAAAUUUCAAAUGGAAUAGACAUUUGCCAAGUGAAUCACUGUCAAUCAUGAAAGCAAAUCCCUCUUCAUAGCCAAGGAAACGAGAUGGAACGCAGUCAUCAUAUAUGCCGUAAAAGGGAGUAUACCGUUCCUAAAAUGAAUCAUGUCGAGUAUGAAAAUAACAUAUUCGUCUCUUUUUCCUUGCAGUUGAUGAAUGGGGCAAAUCACUUACAGCAGAGCAAUUUUGACCCAUGAGCAAGAUGAAACAUAGUCAAUUGAUUCAGCACGAAAAGGGAGUAUCGUUUCUAAAUUAGUCCAAUUCAAUUUUGGAAUAUAAGUACCAUGCCCUAUCUCUUGUAGGAAAAGGUGCACAUUGACCGUUGGAGCAACACCUUAUACCAAGAAGGCAUGUUAAGGCCUAACCAUCCAUUUUGAUGGAAUAAAUGGAGUAAAAUAUCCACGGAGCAAUGCCCUCACAUGUCGAAACAAUGAGUACCCCUCUCCUUUCAUCUUUGACGCCCACUUAGAAUGAGUGAAUUCGAUAACAUCUUUGAAAGGAAGACCUUCAAGGAAAUGUUAACACCUGAGGAGCAAAAGCACAUGAAGAGGAAACACAAGAUAUUUAAAGUCAGCUGCAGGAGAAGGGUAAUUCGGUAUUGUUUCCAAAAUGCCCCUCUCUAACUUCAUUAUUUGACGUAGUUCCCUUGUUUGACAGGAAUCGUCGGUAUUCGGGGAACAAGCUCGAGAAAUUGAUUUAAGCAUAAUUCAUAUCAACCAAGCAAGCAUGUGGAGCCAACACAUGACAAAGUCACCUAAGUUGGCUUAAAAUAUGUGUCGUUCUAGAGCCGGUUCAAUUAAAUAAAAAAAGAAGCGCCUUAUGGACACUACCAGCGCUUUGGCCUGGUGGUAUGGGGAAUGAAGUGGGUCUGAGAGGUACGGGGUUCGAUCCCUGGAAACAGCAACAAGGUUGCCAUGUAAAUAAUAAUAAUAAAUAAAUAAAUAAAAACUUUUGCAUCUCUUAUUUUUGCAAAAAGAGGAAAAUGCUUGAACUAAUGAGACCAAAGAUCUGAGAUUCUCUUCAAGCCUUAAAAUAGUACAUUCAUUCCGUUGUUUGCCGCCAAAUGGUGAAACUAACCAAGGGUAAUGUUGUAUCGUUUCCAAUUUUACGAUCCCUGAGGAUUCAUGUACUAACACAUUCCCUUUUGUUCUUCGUAGGGUCGCUUGACUACUAAGGCACAGGUAAGUACCCUUCUUCUCAAAAUCAAAUGGAAAAUAAAUGGGGAAUUUCCAUCACAAAAAAAGAACAUCUACUGUUUUUCUAGAAGCAAGCACAAAAAAAAAAAUGGAAAUUGAAGAAAAAAAAUUUCCACAAAGUUUGCAAAAAUCUUCUUUAUCAUUAAAUUGUUCAUCCACUUGAUGGAUCACUCAUUUCGAAUCAAAAUUCCCUAGGGAGAUUAAUCCAUCCAAAUGUUCUCAACAAAAAUGAAAGGGAUGUUACUCAUGCCAAGCAAGAAACAUUUAGAAUGAGGAAAGACAACCCAUUUCCAAACAUGUCCUUUAAACACUCUGGGAUUCGAGCGAAAAAGAAAACCUGUGUCAUUCAAGGUCAUCGAAUUCAUUCGCAAGCGGUACAUAGACCAAUAUGAUAAGAGGCAUUUCUUUCCUCUAUCAUACACACUACAGGUGACAAUAGUUAGCCCAUUUGAGCCUUUUAAUGUGAAGAAUUUUCUACAAAAUACCCCUGUCAAGAACCACCCCACGAUGGGGCAAUUAUGGAGAUUUGGGUUGACAUUAUUUGGAGAGAAAAGAUGAGAAAGGUUUCUUUACUCUCACUUGCAUAAAUCUUUUCUAUGGUAACUUCAGGUGAAUUCUUAUGGAAGCUUGAAGCAUCCCAAGGUAAAGAAGAGCAUUCUUUUCUCUACCCAAACACCGAUACCCUUUGCUUAAACCAUAUUGAGCCUAACUAUUCAUUUCUAAAACCCGAGUGGUGAUUAUCUCCCCACAUUGGGGCAGGGCACAUGAUUUACCAAUGCAAUUGGUGUUUAUAUGAGAAUAUGAAAAGCAUCUUGAAAGUCCCAAGAGCUCAAAAAGUUUGAAAGAACAAAAGUCAAGUGAAAAUUAAGGGGCAUGAAAAAGCAGUGUGCCUGGUAAAAGCAAGGCCAAUGCCCACAAAAAAGGGAGAGAGAGUGGAAGAAAAACAAUUGCAUCAAGAGGAAUAUCUCUGUGAAAGCAAAAAUGGCAAAAAAAAAUGCAUGCAUUGAAAAGAAAAUCAUUGCAAAUGCAAAAGCCAUUAUGUUAAGAUGAUUAGUCAAAGGACUUUCAAGACAAUUUGAAUUCUAAACAUUGAGUGCUUUAAAAAAUGGAUGAUAUGGUAAUGAUGCCAUGAUAAUCACCAACUCCCAAAUCCCCCUUUGACAAAAAAGUUCUAAGCCUUUUGAGCUAAGCCUUUUGAACCUUUCCCCGAAACAACAUUACAACCCAUUUCCAAAGUCUCUUCAGAUUGGGAUGAUUUGAAGUGGAAAUAAGGACUUCCUAAAGAAGAUGCCGCUCGAAGAAGUGAGAGUAAGGUUGUCUUAUCUCAUCUUAAGGUUUCUUGACUUGUAAACCUGGCGGAGAUGUCGAUCAGUGAUUAAUUCAUUUCAUAGCCAAUGAUGCUUAUCCAUUGCUAAAACCAUGACCAAACCUGCACUACGGUCCUUCUAAAAGACCUCUUUGAUUGGUCAAUGUGUACUUAUUGCGAAUGAUUCAAAGCCUUGCGCACUGGAAGAGUGAGGUUGAGUGAUCAGUUUAUUUCCCACAUGAACAGAUUGGGAUCAAAUAACCAUUUUCUUGAGGAUAUGCGAGAAGCCCUUUCUGACUAGGGAUCCUUGCUUGGCAUACUUAACAAACCUUUCUCAUAAGUCGGGGUCAUUUCGACAAGGACUUUUCUCCCAAGAGAAUUUGACGAUUAAUGGUAUCAUCCGAGCGUGAUGACAGUUUUGCGAGUUUGUCAAGUUGUCGGAAUUAGUUUGAUUUGUUUAUGCAAUCAUUGUCUUCUCAUUACCGAUACACUUUUGAUAUUGUUUCUAAUGACAUAUGUUGAAAUUGACCUCAUCUAGUAUGCUUUCGCUACUAGAACACUUGUUAUAAUGAAUACUAUUUGAUGUGCACCAUUUCAGAAUAUUCUCGAAUGACAGGUUCCUCCAGUGAAACCACACAAUUUCAAAGGGUUCAUGGGUUAGCCUUAAACCAUGCACUUUCAAGAGUUCUUGGUUACCUUUAAACCUUGCAAUUCUAAAGAGUUCAUGGGUUAGCUUUAAACCAUGCAUUUUCAAAGGGUUCUUGGUUAUCCUUAAACCAUGCAAUUUUCAAGGGUUCUUGGAUGAGCCUUAAACCAUGCAUUUUCAAAAGGUUCUUGGUUAUCCUUAAACCUGGCAAUUUCAAAGGGUUUAUGAGUUAUCCUUAAACCAUGCAUUUUCAAAGGGUUCUUGGUUAUCCUUAAACCAUGCAAUUUUCAAGGGUUCUUGGAUUAGCCUUAAACCAUGCAUUUUCAAAAGGUUCUUGGUUAUCCUUAAACCUGGCAAUUUCAAAGGGUUUAUGAGUUAUCCUUAAACCAUGCAUUUUCAAGAGGUUCUUGGUUAUCCUUAAACCAUGCAAUUUUCAAGGGUUCAUGGGUUAGCCUUAAACCAUGCACUUUCAAAAGUUCUUGGUUACCUUUAAACCUUGCAAUUCUAAAGAGUUCAUGGGUUAGCUUUAAACCAUGCAUUUUCAAGAGGUUCUUGGUUAUCCUUAAACCAAGCAAUUCUAAAGGGUUCUUGGAUUAGCCUUAAACCAUGCAUUUUCAAAAGGUUCUUGGUUAUCCUUAAACCUGGCAAUUUCAAAGGGUUUAUGAGUUAUCCUUAAACCAUGCUUUUUCAAGAGGUUCUUGGUUAUCCUUAAACCAUGCAAUUCUAAAGGGUUCUUGGAUUAGCCUUAAACCAUGCAUUUUCAAAAGGUUCUUGGUUAUCCUUAAACCUGGCAAUUUCAAAGGGUUCAUGGGUUAGCCUUAAACCAUGUAUUUUCAAGAGGUUCUUGGUUAUCCUUAAACCAUGCAAUUCUAAAGGGUUCUUGGAUUAGCCUUAAACCAUACAUUUUCAAGAGGUUCUUGGUCAUCCUAAAACCAUAUAACUUACGUGGUUAGUGGGACUGCCUUAAACCACACGGUUAGUGGGACUACCUUAAACCACACGGUUAGUGGGACUACCUUAAACCACACGGUUAGUGGAACUACCUUAAACCACACGGUUAGUGGGUUUACCUUAAACCACACGGUUAGUGGAACUGCCUUAAACCACAAGGUUAGUGGGUUUACCUUAAACCACACGGUUGGUGGGACUACCUUAAACCACACGGUUAGUGGACUGCCUUAAACCACAAGGUUAGUGGGACUGCCUUAAACCACACGGUUCGUGGGAAUGCCUUAAACCACAAGGUUAGUGGGACUGCCUUAAACCACAAGGUUAGUGGAAUUGCCUUAAACCACACGGUUUGUGGGAAUGCCUUAAACCACAAGGUUAGUGGGACUGCCUUAAACCACAAGGUUAGUGGGACUGCCUUAAACCACAUGGUUUGUGGGACUGCAUUAAACCACAAGGUUAGUGGGUUUGCCUUAAACCACACGGUUAGUGGGACUGCCUUAAACCACAAGGUUCGUGGGACUGCCUUAAACCACACGGUUAGUGGAACUGCCUUAAACCACAAGGUUCGUGGGUAUAUCCUUAAACCACACCUUUCAAAUUGUUCACAAGUACAUCCCUAGAUCACACUCUUUACAUUAAGCUUACUUGCAUUUUCAUUUUACUAUUGUAAAAAAAACAAAAAAACUAAAAAAAAAAACUAAAAAAUUAGGUGUCACAUUGUCUUUGAAAGAAAUCUCUUUGAGAUUUCUUCUAAAGAGGGGCAGCUGUUGACACCUAAAUUUUUGCCAAAAAAUAUUUCAUGUUAAAUUCUUGCAUAUAGAUUAUUUAGGCAUUUUAAUAUAGUGUUUUAAAUGGAAUAUGUUUUUACUUUAAAAGAAAAUUGAAAAAAAAAGAUUAAAAAAAAGAAAAGAAAAAAAAGUUGGGGCCAAUGAUCUAAAUGUGACUAGCCAAGCCAAGGAGGUUAGAUUGGAAUUCAAAUGGUAAGUUUGGGCCAAAAUGCAAUUUCCAAAAGUUGAGGGACCAAUUUGCAAAUUUUGCAAAAUUUGCGCCCAAGCCCGUAAAUCAUAAUCUUGGUCACCAAUUAAGUUGAAAUUGAAUUUGGGCCAACUCGAAUCAAUCAAAUUGAGCGAAAAGGACCAAAUUUGCCUUGAGUUGGGUAUUUUCGGAUAAGAAAAUGGCUAAGUUUGAGGGACUUUCUUGCAAAAUUGGGUGAGCUGGGUCAGUGGACAGGCUUGGUAGGUGGACAAAAGGCCGACCAAAAAUUCUCUAAUUGGGGGGGAUAACAUUACGGAAGGGAGGUCUUUCGAGGGAGUGGAGAGAGGAGACGAGAGGGAGAGGAGAGAGCUUGGAAUCGUCCCCCAAAGAGGCCCUCAGAAGCAACUCUAGAAAAGCAAAACCCAGAAAUUCCAGACCGACCUGAAGAGAGAAAAGUGAGAUUUUCACACACCUGUGGCCAAAAUUAGCCAAACCCUUCAACUAGAGAGUGAAAAUUCAUUCAAAGAUCUUUCCAACCAUAGGUCGCAAGUCCCAAAUGGAGAUCGGGAAGGCCUCCUAAAGCCCCCCGAAAACAGUGCCCUCCUGGCAGGCCAAGAAAGUCCGAAAUUUUUCUAAGUGUUGAGCCUGAUUGUUCAUGAGUGAGGAAAAACGAGUGCUUUUGAGAAACUUGAGAGACAAUUGAGGAAAGCCAUGACUUACAAGCCAAACGAUAAUAUAUAUAGUUUUGGUUGAUUUGAACUUCGUCAACAAGGAAGGUUUGGAAAUCUAAUUUUGGAAGUUAACGAAAACCUUCGUUGUCACCUUUUCUUCUGCAGAUCUCACUUUCAGCUCGAAGGAACCAGUUUCCACGUGCUUCCAGAGGACAAUUUCGUGGUUUCCUUGGCCAACAGUCACUUGAAAAAGGAACUAGGAAGCAAGAUUUGCAAAACGGCUCCAACCCGCAUAUUGAAGGCCGUUUUCAGUUUGAUUCUUGCGUGUUCUAGGCUGUAAUUUCUAGUCAAAUACGUUCUUUGCAUGUAGUAGUAUAUCCUUGAUACUUUACAUUCACAUGAGAUUGCUUAUGGGUUGAGAUUGAAGGCCACGAACAUGACCCGAAUAAGCCGUUUUGGAGUGAUUUGAUGCAAGCCAAGUGUUCGACAAAAUGCUCAAACUAAGCUUCGAUCUUGAAACGGUCGAUUUGAGCUUGAUUAUUGUGAUAUUCAUGUGCUGUGUUACUCCAUGUUAGCAUAGAUCGGUUUAAGGAAUUAUUUUUUUUUUUAAAAUAAUUAAAAAAAGAGAAAAAUAUGAAAAUUUCAAAAAUAUCAAAAAAUGUUAGAUAGCAUCAAAUUAGGAUAUAAAUGACAUAUAUGAAAUUUUCCUAAUUUUAAAAUGUCAUUUUCCUAAUUUAAUGCUAUUUUGGUAUUUUAUAACCAUUUUUGUAAAUAAUCCAUUUUGUGUAGAUUAAAACUAUUUAAAGUAAUUUCAUGCAUAUAGAGUAAUUUCAUGCAUAUUUGAACUCUCAUUUUGCUCAUGGGGGUCCUGUCCCGGGGUGUGAUAACAAGGCCAUGUAAUAUUAUUUGCCCGACUUGUAUCGGGUUUACCUUUUCCGCGUUUAUUUUCAAGUCAUUUCAAUUUCUUGGAUGUUUACUUACGCGCCGCUUUUCAUUAUUUUGAGUGUAAAUUUCUCUUCUAAAUUAUGUUAGGAUUAGUCUAGACAUUAAAAAAAAAAACUAAAAAAACAUUUGCAUGGACACUUAGUGGUUUCAUAAAGAUUAUAAUUGGUAAUCAAGAUUGUAUGGCCAUUUAGAUAAACAGCCUUCCAAGUUAGUGGUACCGUAAGGGCGCUAAUAGAAACAUUGGCGUAAACAAGUCCCCGUUCCUAGAAAUCUCUGGUUGCGUAUGAAUCGAGACAACACUCCCGUGUCUUGAUUGAUUUCUAGCCGACCUCAAUAGGCUAGUGGCGACUCCUAGAAUUACAUAAGUUGUUAAUAACUAAAAAACGAAUCCAACGUCGAGUGGGGUAUGGGCUUGGGAGAGCCCGCGCCUAAUCUAGGGCCAUUGGUCCACCUCUUUACGCAAAUACCCCUAAACCUUCUUCUUUUUCCCCGGACGGAAAAUUUGGAGGUCGUGACAUCUUGUUACUAAUACUAUAAGUAAACUUGAAUCAGUGACUCGCAAAUAUUAUGCGUCAUAGUUCCAUCCAAGACGGCCGUUAAAAAUCCAACAUGACCACUUGCUUGGACAUCAAUAGGCAAAUGGAGCCAAUGUAAAUUUGACGUGAUUUUAGUAUGGUCUAAAAUGACUUUAGAGAAACAAAUUGGACAUGCUUUUACCAAUGUGGAGUAUACAUCUUCUUAAUGUCACAAUUUUACGAUGGUUACUGUCAUAGAGGUGAUGCCAUAAGUGCUGAGAUACUUUCAUGCAGAUUGUAACAACUACUUUUUCGUAUACGAAAUAAUGAAGUUAACGUUCUCCUAGGUGAAGAGUGGGCAUCAACCAAUUUCAAACACAGUAAAGACAAAACAGCAAUUUAUAAGGUAUCUCAGAUAAUUCACCACAUAAUAAAUUGACAAAAUAAUGCACUUGGAAUUUAUAUAAUUUGACCUGACCUCACUAGGAAAGUUAAUUAGCAAUUCAAAGCCACUGAAACAUUUAAACCAAACCAAAACAAAACAAAGAAGAUCUGAACAAGGGUACUCGCAGAACUAUAUCACUAGUCAACAUGCAAAGUGCACGUGAGAAGAAGAUUUACAUAAACCUCUUUGUAAUUGAUAUGUAUAACAGAAUAGGAAGUACUUCUUAUCAGAAAAAAAGUACUCAAGAGAGAAGGUGUCCAUUCUUUUUUCUUGUGCAGAAAUUUAUCGAGUUUGAUCUAACAACUCCAUGAUGUGCUGAAUUUCCAAAUCUCCCGUGGUGAAUGCCUACCCGAUCAGACUGAAUUGAGGUCAUACAGCAACCCCUUUUUAAGGCAGGAAGUCCAUAUCAGACUUUCCCUUCCAUCUUGGUAGUUUGUAGAUGUAUUAUCUCUGUAAGAUGGAGAUUCUUGGUGUUUGUCCGUUAAGACUAGCAUGCGAAUCGAACAAAGUCAACCCCAAAAUCAUGCACCGCUUACCAAUUAGUCGGGGGUUCACACCAAUAGCUCUCACAAUACUAACCGAGAUACACUUCUUUCAUCACUUGAUUCGAAUCAUUUCACUGUUCCCGCCGCUCCAUGGCUUAUUGCAGCAUCAUUAUCUGGACUGCCCUUUCCAGUGAUCUAUCUUGUGCUUGUUAGACUCCUCUGGAAGAAAUCUUUGAACGGAACAGCAAAAAUAACGAUGGUAGCAACUGUGACCACACGUAGGGCAACCUCAAGUGCGUCAAUCGUUUUGCGCUUAGCACAAGUGGUCCACCUCGGCAGAAACAACAAUCACUGAGCUGCUACUGCUCCCCCUCCUCCUCGGAAGCUUCGGACGACGCUGCUGGUUCGAGGGCUUGGCCAUGGCAGUGCUAAGAACCUAUUUCGGCGGAGAUCGACCGAUCGAGGUCGUCGCUGCUCGUUCUAGAGAGAGAGAAAGAGAGAGGGGCUGAAUCAGAAUCCGAAGUGACGAUCUGAAAUAAAAAUGGGGGGAGGAGAGAGUCGGAGGGUGAUGGUGGGAUAGUCGGAGGAGAGAGUCGGUGUUGGAAACUGGUGGAAGCAGAGGAGGAUUCUUUGCGUCUUUUCGGAUUUUUGUUUUAAUUAGUUUCUCGCUUUUCCUUUUUAUCUUUUGGGGUUUGGUUUUUUCCUUUCGGUUUUUCUUUUCAUUUGUCGCAACACGCGAGUGGCGCAAAGAUUUGCCGCCAGCAAGAGAGGGAGGCAAAAUUGUAUUUUCGUUUCCCCUGCCGCAGAAUUGAGGACAGCAGCGUCAGCUCCCGCGCGAGAUGAGACUUGCGGCUCUAGGAUUAGAGGUGGUCUGACCUGCCCUUGCUGCCUGACGCAACCGACUCUCGAUGGUCUGCGAUUUUUUCCUCCGUAUAUUAAGAGAGUAGAGAGGGAAAAUUAAACGUAAUUUCCCUCCCUGAAGUUUUCGCUGUUGAAGAUUAAGUUUGAACCAAAACUACUCAAUUUACACGUACGUAUACAGGCCGGUCAUUGCUGUCUUACCGCGUGCUAUAAGCCAGGAAAUAUCUCCGUAUGAGGUAGCAAUAUAUGCAAGAUACAAGCUCGCCAAGGAUUCACUCAUCAUGUGGUUCGAAUUUGUCAACUCGGGAAAAAUAGUAUGACCAGCCUAUUGUUAAGUCAUCGCAUUUGAGGGUGGACUACAAUUUUUUCAUGUUCAUUCUUCUUUCUUUUUCAACUCAUUUCAAGUAAAUGAGUCGUGUAUGAAUUUGAUAAAAGCAUGAGAGGUGUAUAAAUCUGUUUCGUGCUUAUUAGCACGUAUGUUUGAUGAGUGACUGAUUUAUCAACACUAGCUAUAAAUGAAGGGAUUUGGGGAUUGUUCUCUACAAGAAGUUAUUGUUACACCCUUCACGCUCUUGAAUCACUCCUUGUUCUUCACUUCCGCUUGUUGUUUUGUGUACUAAUUGCUUUGUACUUUUUGAAUAACACGAUUUUUUAGAUUAAGCUUGAAUCUGAAAAUAUUUGACUCGAGAAGCUUGCCAUCGUAAUGGAGUACUCAAUUGCAAUUUCAAAUGCCUCCACUAAUAUAAAUAAACAAAUGAAUUAUAUCAAUUUUAAUUUUAGUGCAUAGUAACUAAGUAAUUGAAACGUAGAACACCCAUUUGUCCAAAAGAACAUCUCAUUCUCUUGGGCUAAAAUACAAUUGAAGGCAUCCCUAUGCGGUCUUUUUGAAUGUUUCGAUUUUAGCAAAACUUACUUCAAUGCCCUCACGCACACGACGUAAAUCACUGAAUGUGACAUUAAAAAUGCCCGCCAACAAAAUAAGAUCCCAGGGGCAAAUCAAGAAAGAUCGUGAAGAAUAUGGAGUGGAACAAAUUGCAUUUGAGGGUGAUGGUUGUUCUAACAUGCUUGUGUCACGGGCUUAUCGAUUAGGAUCGUGACCGCGUGGCGACUCGAGCACUUUAGGAUCGGAUGGAUCACCGAAGCACCUAAGCCAAGCCUUGCUCGGUCGAACGCUCACUCGCUCGCCUUACCCGGAUCGUAGAGAGAGAAAGAAUCUAGAUAGAAAAGCUCUAGAAAGAAGCUUUGCUUUAUAUUGCGGAAGUAAUGGAUGCCUACAAAUGAAAGAGGACACCCCUUUUAUAGUUGAGGGCCUCGGAUUACAUCCAUUGAUCUAGAAUUCUAUCAGCGGACGAGAUCGCACCGCCUCAACUACCGACAUAAGUGCCAAUUACCGUCUACCGACAUAAAUAACAGAACAGACUUCUGUAAUAGGACUCAAUGACGGUUUCGCCCGCCCUUGGAGACUUUGGGUAGAAGGUUCGGUGGGAAUCCGAGUGAGAGCAGGAGGUCCACGGGCGAGUUGGGGUCGACUCUGGGGAACCUCUCAGAUCGACUCUCUUUAGGCCCGUGAUAUUCUCCCCCACUCAAUCGAGCGACGUCCUUGUCGCUCUCAGCUUGAUGGGCAGCUUUGCGGGCUUUGACACGAGCUUUGUUGUUCUUGUUUCGCUUCGCUCGGACACUCAUGAACGAAGGGUCACAACCUUCGAUGAUGAAUUUGGAUUUGUCAUGCGGCUCGGUCUUCGAUUUGGACGGAGCAAGUGGCGCGCACUCGACCUCGGGGAAGAGCGCUUGGAUUGGCAUGGCGUGGGUUGGAGUAGGAUCCAACUCGACCUUUGGCUUCACCUCGGACAGCUUGUUGAUGCGCAUCACAGCCUUUAAGCUCUUGUUGAGGCGUCGGAUUGACGCGAUGGUCUUGGUGUUGACCACCCCUUUGAUCAUGGGGAUCAUCGACGGGCACUUUUGGUCGAGGAUCAUCAUGCACUUUGUCCUCAUGUCGAUCAUGGCUCCCACACUUUCGAAGAAUUGCAUGCCAAGAAUGAGAUCAUAAUCGUCAAGAGGGAUUACCUCGAACGUCAUUCUGCCCUUCCACCCGCCAAUUUUGACAUCCACGUCGGGUGUUGCUCCUACGCCAUGGAAGUCGCCCGAAUUGAUGGGCUUGUACGACUUCCCGGAUGGUUCCACGUGAAGUCCCAAGGCUUUUGCAACCUCAGUCAACAUGAACAUGUUGGAUGCGCCGGUGUCGACCAAAGCGUAAAGUGUUCGGCCGCCCACUUCGACCUCCACGAAGAACAUGUCUGUGUUUGGAGUGAUUCCUUUUCCUUUGGUUAGCGAUCGGGCUUGGAUCGAGUUUACCAUCUUCACAGCUCCAAUCCGGAUUUGUCUCCUAUCUUCUUUGGGCACCUCCUUUUCUUCCUCGAUGGCAAGGAGGGUGUUGAUGCGACCCCUCUUCGGGCACUUUUGGGUCCAAUGCAGACCUUUGCAAAUAAAGCAAGGAGAGGGUGGAGGUUGAUCGAACUUACUCGCGUAGUCCGUUUGCGGUCGACCUCUUUGGAAGUACGGCUUGGAAGACCCUUCUCCCCACAUCUUGGCUCGAUCGCCUUGAUCGGGCGCGCCUUGAGGAGUGUUUGUUCCUUCGUAGUCCGGUCGAUCCGACCUCUAAUCUCUUGCUCGGUUGUUUCUCGGCUCAACCUUGGUGAGAUCGACGAGAGACUCGGCCAUGCUAAGCGCUCGUGCAAGACUACUCACGUCCCGCCGUUUCAGCUCAAGUUGUGCCCAAGGCUUUAGUCCAUCCAUAAACGCUCCGAAAGCCUCCUCUUCGCUUAGGUUGCGAAUUUGGGGUUUGAGUUCCGUGAACUCCUUCACGUACUCUCGGAUCGCGCCUCUUUGCUCGAGGCGAUGGAGCAUGCUUCGGGCUUCUUGUUGAGCGAACUCGGGGAAGAAAUAGUCCCGGAACUCCCUCACGAAGUCGUGCCACAUGUUCAUGAGAUUGGCGCCACGUCGAAUCUCAUCGCACCUAUUGCGCCACCACAGCAUUGUCGUAUUAGACAGGAACAUGGAAGCGGUUCGUACCUUGGUUAACUCGUCUCGGAUGUUGACGGCGCCGAAGUAUUGCUCCAUGCUCCACACGAAGUUGUCUACUUCUUGGGCGGAUCGGUUGCCUUUAAACUCCUUUGGCUUCGGCACCUCAAUUUAGGGCACCGCUUGAGUAGGCACUGCACCGUUCGUGAUGCUGAGUUUGCAUAGGGCGAGCUCGGUUUUGAGCUCUUGGAUCUCCGCCUUCAUGGCUUCGACCUCAUCCCUACACGUGCUUACCUCUUCGAUUAUUUAGACGCGAUCGUUCAAACCAUCAAUCGAUGCUUCGAGAACUUCGUCCUUGUCGAACAAUGGAGCCGUGGCUUGGUUGAUGCCAGUCGUGAAGUCUUCGCGGAGCGAGCCCUCAACCUCCAUGAUCCAGUCUCGCACAUCAUCAAGACCUUCCAAGAGCUCGAGCAUAGCACUCCGGACCUUCCCGAUCUUCUCAUCGAACGUGACCGCAACAUCCACCGAGGCAUCUCUCUUCUUUGCUUUGCUGCGCGUGUCCUUGACUGGCACAGCUUCUCCAACUAUAGCCGCUUCUUGGCUUGACAUUCUCUCGAACAGUUGGUGCUCUUCAAUCUCUUGGAAACUGAUCUCUCUUUAGCUCUGAUACCACUUGUCACGGGCCCAUCGAUUAGGAUCGUGACCGCGCGGCGACUCGGGCACUUUAGUAUCGGAUGGAUCGCCGAAGCACCUAAGCCAAGCCUUACUCGGUCGAACGCUCACUCGCUCGCCUUACCCGGAUCGUAAAGAGAGAAAGAAUCUAGAGAGAAGAGCUCUGGAAAGAAGCUUUGCUUUAUAUUGCGAAAGUAGUGGAUGCCUACAAAUGAAAGAGGACACCCUUUUUAUAGUUGAUGGCCUUGGAUUACAUCCAUUGAUUUAGAAUUCUAUCGGCGGACAAGAUCGCACCGCCUCAACUACCGGCAUAAGUGCCAAUUACCGUCUACUGACAUAAAUAACAUAACAGACUUCUGUAAUAGGACUCAAUGACGGUUUCGCCCGCCCUUGGAGACUUCGGGUAGAAGGUUCGGUGGGAAUCCGAGUGAGAGCAAGAGGUCCACGGGAACCUCUCAGAUCGACUCUGGGGAACCUCUCAAAUCGACUCUCUUUAGGCCCAUGACACUUGAUUGCCACAAAUUGAGGCAAUACUCAAUUAUGAGUUUUGAUAGUUUCAAGUUUGAUAGAUCAAUCAAUGUAUGGAAGUCUUAAGACUAAAGCAUAGUUCAUCAAUAUAUUUAGAAACUUUGAUAGGAAUUUUAAAAUUACUUGCCUCAAAUUCACUGUCUGAGUCUGAUUCAGAGUCUGAGUCUGAUUGUGCCAUUAGACAUAGAUUGGCAUAUUCAUUAUCACUUUCUUCACACUCUGUGUCACUCCGGGUUUCGGCUUUGAGAGCUUUUCGAAAUUUUUCAGCUUUUCCUUUCUUCUUCUUCAGAAAAGGACAGUUGGGUCUGAUGUGUCCCUUUUUCUUACAUUCAAAGCAGACUAUGUCUUUGUUUGGUUCCUCAUCAUCAACAGACUUAGUCUGUUGUCUUUGAAAGCUUUGUUUCUUUGAGUUGAACCUUCUUCAUUUUCUAUUCAGUUUUCUGAAUCUUCUUAUCAUGAGAGCAAGCUCCUCAUCGUCCAUAUCUUCUUCAGAAUCUGUAUCAUCAGAAUCAUCAUUUGAUUUUAAUGCAAUGGAUUUCUUACCUUUUGGAUCUUCAUCUUCAUUGAUUCGUUCCAAUUCAUAAGAUUGAAGAGUUCCAAUUAGCUCGUCGACAGAUAGUGGCAUAAUUCUCUGCGUCUCUCUUAUCGAAGUCUUUAUGUGAUUCCAAUCCCUGGAGAGUCCACGCAGUAGCUUGUUUACCUUCAUGGGAUCAAAAGUUGGUUGACCUUGAUUUUCAAGACCAUUCACAAUAUCUGUAAAACGACUAAACAUGUCAGAUAUUGAUUCUCAUGGUUUCAUUCUGAAGGCUUCGUAUUGACCGAGAAGAAUGUUGAUUCUUGUUUCCUUCACUCGAUCUGUUCCUUCAUAAGUGAUAUGCAAUCUGUCCCAAACUUCUUUUGCUGUACCACAAGAAGAUAUUCUAUUAUAUUCAGUUGGUGAUAAAACACAAUAUAAUGAGUAAAUUGCUUUUGCAUCGAGUGUUUGUCUCUUGAUUAUUUCUUCCUGAAACAUUCCGCUGGUUUCUUCAGUUUCUUUUCCUCUUUCAGAGACUGAUGCAGUGGUAGGAGUAAUUCCUUUUUCUACAACGUCCCAUUCUAGAUGAUCCUUUGAUCGUAGGAAAGCUUUCAUCUUGUUCUUCCAGAUGUUGUAAUCCUUUCCAUCAAAGUAGGGUGGUCUGGUAUUGCUUUGCCCUUCCAUCAGCCCUGGUGCUAGCAUACUAGCCAUGGAUCUUUUACUAUGAAGUAAAACACUUCAAAUAAAGUAAGUACAUAGGCUCUGAUACCAAUUGAUAUUGCUAGUAUGAGUACCUAGAGGGGGGUGAAUAGGUGCAUAAACAAUUUAUAGAAAUACAGAAGCGAUUCUUAGCAUAUGAUAGAAAGUAAAUUCUCUCUUAAUUAACAAAAUGAUAUAUGAUCGAGGUAGAGAGAAUGAGGAAGAGAAAAUUGAACACAGGAUUUAUAGUGGUUCGGCUUAUUCCAAGCCUACGUCCACUCUUUCGCACUGACAGCCCACCGGCUGGAUUUCACUAUGAUCAAAAGAGAAGUUACAGCACAGCUUUGCCUUGAUUCCACAGUGUAGAUGUUCUACCACACCUCCUCAAGGUCUCUCACAAAUAUAGACUCUCUUUUGUAUACAAGUAUUCGCUCAAAUGAUUUAUCUAAACAAAUAGGAGCUUCAGACUUUGGAAUUCUUCUAUCGCGCACACCUUGAACAACUAAGACAGUCUUCCUUAUAUACUCCUUUAUGCCAUCAUACCCGUUGGCACUUACCAAAGGAAUUCCUCCAAUCUAUCCAUUGGACGAAAUCAAUUAGGAAGAUUGUUCAAGCUAUUAAAGGAACGUGUUGAUAGCCCAUCAAUCAUGUUCGCCCAUACAAUCAGGAUCUCGGUUUCCAUAAGCAGAACCUUCCAAUAAUACUUAGGCAAUCACCGGAUCUUCAAUUAUCGAGUCAAUCUUAGAUCAAUCAAAGGACUCCGUUAUGUCUUUUCCAGCCACGAGAUCUUCUCCAGUUGAUAAGGUCAAAUCCUUAACGAAAUAUACAGUUCUGGAUAACCUUUCUUCAACGGAUUAGAGACUGUCAAUGAGGAUAGACUUUGAGUCUUGAGUCUGGCUGUCCGGAGGUCUUCAGACUUUAAAUAGCAGAGUCUGCAAACCUUCAGACUAGACUGAUAGAAACGUUUUGUCAACUUCAAAAUACUUUAAGAAGAUUUCUCCAACAGCUACACUGUGAUGUAUUGAAAUACAUGCGUACGUGUCUAGCAAUGCAUCUUUGAAAGUUGUUGUGCUAUAGACAGCUACGAUGACUAAUAUGUUUGAUCGCUGUAGUUAUUAGAAUGAAGAAAAGACCUUUUAAUAUUGUCGCAAAGCUUUUACCAACGUUUAUAUCUGUGUUAUUGGAACUUUUGCUGGAUACCAUUUUCACCAUAUGAUGAUGAUGAUGAUGAUGAUAGUCGAAUCCGGAAUAGACAUUUUGAGAGGACUUCAUUUCCAACUUAAAUACCAAAGCAAUCCAUGUUUAUACAUGAAAUUGCAGAAGAAAAUAUAGGCAGUACGAUGCCGAACCCUUGAAAUGCACAAUCUACUGCAGCCCAAUGAGGCGGCAGCCAUAUGCAUCCAAUUGCAAAGGGCCACAAGAGCGACCGUACAAUCAUACGGGAAAGGAAAUCCCACUUGGAAUUGCUCUCUCCACCUGUCUUCCUCAACUUCAUAUCCUGUUGAACACAGUAGCAAUCUGUCCCCGUGAGCUUAACUGUUCAGAUGUUGAAAGGAUGUAUUCUGCACCAUGCCUUGGAGAUACAGCAAGACUGGCAUGAUGCCAGGUGAUAAGGGUAAAGAUAAAAAGUUCAUACUACUCGCCAUGCAGGUGAUGGGGGUAAAGAUAAGCGCAUCUCUCUCUCUCUCUCUCUCUCUCUCUCUCUCUCUCUCUCUCUCUCUCAAUUGUGCAAGCUUCUCUCCUCUGUUAAUUUACUACUGAUGCUGAGUUCUGCCUGCAAAGUUCUGGCAAGUUUUUUGCCAUUAUCUUCUUUGAAAUAUCAAAAAGAAAAGUGGGGUUCAGAGGUGGAAAGAAGAACAGCUUGAAGAGAAACGGAAAAGCGCAGACUUGCAACAGAAGGCAAGGAAAGCUGUUUGCUUUAAGAUGCAUGACAACCGUGCAGAUGGCCAGUGUGGUCUUCUCCACCCAAAAAACAAUUGCUUCUCGUGGCCUGAAACGGAAUUUUAUAUGAUUUGCAUCCAAAUAGAAGAAUAAUAUCGUAAUCUAAUAUCAUCUACCGCCUGCAAAGUUGCUAUUAUCUUCGUUGAAAAUUCAAAAGAAGGGGAGAGGCAGAAAGAAAAACAACAUAUGAAGAGAAACGGAAAGUGCAAACUCUCCAUAGAAGGCACAGGAAAGCAGUUCGCUUUAAGAUGCUUGAUAAACUACUAAGAAACGAUUUCAUGUGGUCUCUAAUGAAAUGUUAUAAGAUUCUACAUCAAUGAUAAUCGUACUUUGCGCUCCACUACUGCCUGCAAAGUUGCUAUUUUCUUCUUUGAAAACUCAAAAGAAGGGGCAACGUAGAAAGAAAAACCACAUCGAAGAGAAACGAACAUCAUUAACUCUCAACAGAGAGCACGACAAAGCUGCUUGCUUUAAGAUGCAUGAUGAACUACUAAUGAACAAUCAUUUCACGUGGUCUCUGAUGAUAUUUUAUAAGAUUUACAUUCGAAAUACCGGAUUGAUAUCGUACUUUAUGCUCCACUACUGCCUGAAAAGUUGCUGUUAUCCUCUUUGAAAACUUCAAAGAAGGGGGGAGAGUCAGAAAGAAAAACAACAUUGAAGAGAAACGAACAUCACCAACCCUCAACAGAAGGCACAAGAAAGCUGCCUGCUUUAAGAUGCAUGAUAAACUACUAAUAAACAAUCAUUUCACGUGGUCUCUGGUUAAAUUUAUAAGAUUUACAUCCAAAUACAGCAUCAAUAUCGUACUUUAUGCUCCACUAUUCCCUUGAAAGUUGCUAUCAUCUUCUUUGAACGCUCAAAAGAAGGGGAGAGGCAGAAAGGGAAACAACAUUGAAGGGAAACGAACAUCGCAAACUCUCAACAGAAGGCACGAGAAAGCUGUUUGCUUUAAGAUGCGUGACAACCAUGCAUAUGGUCAUUGUUGAAUUCCUACUUAAAACCAAUUAUUUCUCUUAGCCUCUGAUGAGAAUUUACAACCAUUACAGCCAAAUGGAGAAUGAUAUUUUACUUUAUGCUUCAUUACUAUAAUAUAUGUACAUAUCUAUUCAACGCAACCAAAAGAAUCAUGUUUCUCACACAUAAAUAGGACAAGUUUUUGGAGUGUCUGAAAUUUUUACAUUCAAAAUGUUAUUGUUUUGCAUCGAAAUAUUGUGACUCGACGCUGGAGAAUUGAAAUUCAAUUGUAAACCUAUCGUAUGAAUUCAAAUUCAAUCCUGAACAUUUUAAUUCAAACAAUGUUGUUUUAAACCUUUGAGUGAAAAUGUAAUCAAGUCCUCCUAGUCAAGUCUCGCCUAAAUGGCAGUCCAAUCAUUUGUCAUUGUACGUGUCCCGACUAGUGAUUUGACAUGGACAAAUUUACUCGAAACGGUGCCAUUGUUGCUCAACUCCACAAGCCGUCAACCUUGCCUAGAACCGCCCUCUCUCAAGUUGAUUUCUAUCAAUAGUCACAGCUCAGCUAGAGCUGGCACCUCCAAAUGUGGAGGCUCAGCAGUCGGUCACCAUGCCCAUCGGGCUCCUUGGCCCCUCCAUGGAAGAUGAUUGUACAAUCCUGAAAUUUUUAGCGAUGUUUGUUUUCCCUCCCUGACCCUUCCAUGCCAUGCAAGAUGAUUGUAUAACCCUUAAUUUUUUUUUUUUUGUGACGUAGAAUUUUUUGUUUAAUUUUUAAAUAAUUUUUUUCCCUUUUUUUCUUCCUUCUUCCUCCUCUAGAUGGUCAUGGGACCUCGGUGACUAGCCAGAGACGAGUUGACAAGGCCAACCUUGCCCAACCAUCGCAAGGCUCCAUCGAGAUUGGUGAGGCCACCCUUGUCGGCCCUCCUCUCUAGCCGGUCACCAGCUAUCAUCGAGGCUUGACGAGAAGAGGGAGAAUAAGAAAGGAAACGAAAAAAAAAAAAAAUGACCUUCAUUAGAAACUGUUCCUGAGGGCAAAUAAGUAAAUUCUUUCUACUUUCUGUUUUUGUUCUAAAUCUAUUUUCUGACUAUUGAUCUAUUUCGGAAAAGAAAAUUAACUAACAUUAUCAAAUAAUUUUUUUUUUCUGUUUUGGAGAAAGAAAUAACAGAAAAAUAGAGAAAUAAAAUGAUCACCAAAUAGGACCUAACUUUAUAAGUGAAUUUGUAAUUCUUCCCACUCAACCUAUGCCUAUUAUAAGUUUUCUUUUCUUUUAAUAAUUCUUCCUCUCUUCUGUCUCCUCUCUUCAUCGGUAUAAAAUGGGUAAUCAGGGAUGGGUGGCUUGUGUAGUGGAAGAGAAACCUAUUCCCAAUGGUCGACACAGCGAACUUGGGUCCAAAUUCAAAUACACCAGGGGAAGUAAACUGACCUCUUUCACCAUUAAAUCACCACGUUGAGUGUUGAUUUUAACUCCGUAAAAUCCUCUUGUUGAUUUUAACUCCAUAAAAUCCUCUAACACGUCUGCCCCUCGGGACCUUCCAGAUUAUAAAAGCAAGAGCAAAAGUCAUAUCCUAUUAUUUCCAAUCUUUAUCAACACAGAGAAACGGAUUCGUGCAUAGUUAAUAUGAAAAAACAGCUAUCCUAUACAUUGGCAUUUGAUAAAAAAGGUUGAUCAAUUUAUGGAUGACAUGCAGCGACUUGAAUUCCAUCCACACAUAGAUAACAUGCAGCCAAGGCUAUGUCAAAGCCCCAAUACAUGUAUUAGAUACUAUGCCAUCUCAAUCCACCAAGAGAAAAGGUAUGCAUUUUCGACUCCAGCAGAUGAGAUAUCCUUUGGGAUGGUAGUCUCGGAAGAUGAAUCUUGCUUCUGGUCUCCAUAAUUUGGCAGCAAUGAUGGUGAUUCCACUGGACUGGUUAGGACUACUUUUAUCUUCCUCUCCUCUAUGUAUUUACCACUUUCUUUAUCAAAUUUAAAAUUUAAAAGAAAACUUCUCAGGUUACUUGACCCAAAAGAUUAUGGAACACAAAGCAGCAAAAUCUACCAUGUAAGCAGUAAUGUCCUCUUCACCUGUAUCAAAACCUUGUCUCGACGCUGCAAGACAGGUGGAGCUACCUGCUGUGCUUACAUGGUAACGGCAUCAAACAGAAGAUAGGAUGAAGGGCCUACCCUAAUUCUUUCGAAGUAUCAGGACAUAGCUUCUGAGGCCUAUUGUGGUUUUCCUUUGUCUCAAUGUAUAUUAGGCUACUAUGGUAGGCAUUCAAAAUCUUAUUCAAAGAUGAUCCUUACUGCAAUGCGACUGACAUUGCCUUAAGCAGUUCAUGUCCUAGUAAUAAUACAGUCUUACAGACAUGUCGUGGCAAAGAAAUUGCAAAAUAAUCGUUCAGCUGAUUCAAGUACUGUGGGCAUGUCCAUCCUCACAAGUAUGUCAGUGGCUUUUUAGUAAGUAUGUGAACAUGAUGUUUCACUGACUUGAGCAGAACAAUUUCGAAUCAGAUUAUCCAUUUGGUUGAUGAUGCCUACAUUUGACCGCACACAGAAUUUCUUCUGAGACGUAGCCUUAGCCUGGAAUGUUUUGGAUAUCCAAUAUAGAUCUCAUAAUGUUUCUCCACAAUAGAGAGUUCUUAAUGCGCUGAUGUACUACUCUGAAAAUUAAAUUACAUCAAGAGAAUACAAGAUUGAAAGGAUAUUGUCCACCCGCCAUAGCCUAAAAAAUAAAACUUGAUCACGGUGAAAGCAAAGGUCCAAAGAAUAUUCACCUUGAAAGCAACAUACCGAUCAGUCUUAUUGCCUAGCGGAAUGAGCAUGAGCUUUGUUUGCUCAACUCAAUUGCAUAAACACGGAGAAGAGGCUUCAGAUGAAAGAAUUUAAAGAGAAAGGGGGCCCGACAUGAGGACAGGAUGUGAUGAAAUGGACCAUCUUACAUUUUCUUUGAUAUAAUGCAGUAAUGCAAUCUCGUCUUGUUCAUUCAUUUUCUCUACUAAUCAUUCUCUCAGUCAUUUGGUUACAACAACCAUUCACCUACUUAAUCUCCAGAAAGAAAUUUACCGCAGAAGUCAUUCUAAGAGUUUGUGGUGUGAGGGACUACGCAAAAAUGAACAAACCUGACCAAAUAUUUGAAAACGACACAAGGAAAAGAAUUUGAAAACGGGGCGACCAGUGACUGAUUCAUACAUGCCAUUGAAGCUUAUGCCUUAAGAUAUUUCCUUUACCAUUUUAUAUGAUGUUGAACCGCAAAUUCUCAAGCAAAUUAUUGUAGCACAGAGAACUAUCAUCCCCUUCACUUAUUGCCUAAUAAAACAGGUGGCAAGCAAUGCAAAUUUAACGUGGCGCCAAAAAUGAAAAUGAACCAAAUGUGCAGCACUAUAGAUACUCACAAAUUAAACUCAAGUUCAUGAGGCCGGAUCUCCAACAGCUCUUCAGCCAUGAUGACAACUAUAAAACCGAUCCACAUAAAACAACAGGUCACGUGGCAGGGUAACAACAAUCAAGCAAAAAGCUCUGCAUGAAGCUCAAUUUCAAGGUAUAAAUCUGAUCACGCGCUGUCUCUAGCAGAUUCCUCAUUUCAAACACCAAAAUUGCACAUGAUCAACAAACACUAGACAGUCAAAAAUGGCUCAGCACCCAAAUUACGAACACCAUCCAAGAGCAGUUCAGGAUUUACCAAAAAUCAGAGCACUACAUUUGGCAAUGAAAGCUUAACCAUCGGGGGAGUAUCUUACAGGUCAGAAACUUCCUUUGGCAGUGAAAUCUUAAUCUUCAAGGGAGUAUCUUACAGGUCAGAAUCUUCCUUUUGAUGGAUCCCAAUAAUGAGAAAAUCAAACUCCAGUGCAAGUUCACAACAAAGGACAUGACAAUAAUAUCAGCUAAGGGAUAUGCCAUGACUUGCACAACCCGAGAGAAAUCGCAGGAAAGACCCCAAGUCAGCAGGCCUAAAUUAUCUCUAACCACCUCUCCAAGACACAACACUAACAUAGCAUCAGCAGCAGCAGCAGCAGCAGCAGCACCAAACUCUAGUAGUCCCUGAUGACAGUUGGGUUGACUCUGACUUGGCAAUAACAACUUCGUGCCAUUUUACUCAGCAAAUGAACACAUAAUCUUCAAUACAUGUGGCACUACAAAUUCAUAAGAACCAAUGUAGCGGGAGUAGCAUUGAACCAAGAAUCCGAGAGAGCAAACAUGUUUUCCAUUAUUUGAUUUUUCAUACAAUAAAUUUAUGACUGAAUUUGCGAUUCUCUCAACUCACCUACGCUUAUUAUGAGUUUUUUCCCUCCUUCCUUUAAAAUAUAUCUUCCCCUCUUCUGUCUCCUCUCCUCAUCUGUAUAAAAUGGGCAAUCAAGGGUUGCUUGUGUAGUGGAAGGGAAACGGUCCUCCCAAUGAUCUUACUGGUGAAAGUAGACCCAAAUACAAAUCAACCAGGGGAAGAAAACUAACCUCUUUCAACUUUGUAUCACCUCACUGAGUGUUGAUUUUAACUCCUUAAAACCUCUGACACAUACAACCCUUUAGGAUGCUGGCAUCCAAAGACAAUCCUUCUGGAUUAUAAGAGUGAGAACAAAAGUCAUAUUCUAUCCUGAGUCAUAGAAGUGGAUACACGUACAGUUAAUAUGAGAAAAAAGCUAUCCUAUACACUCGCAUUUAGUUGCUAAAGGGGUUGAUCAAAUUAUGGAUGAUGCGUAGCAACUUGAUUUCCAUUUACAUAAAUAACAUGCAGCCCAGCCAAUGCUGUGGCAAAGCCCCAAUCCAUGUAUCAGAUACAAAGCCAUCUCAACCCAGAAAGACAAUAAAGUGACACAUUGAUGUUUUCUGGCAGUCAUACCCUGAGAAAAGGUGAUGCAUUUUCGACUCCAGCAGGUGAGAUAUCCUUUGGGAUGGUAGUCUCGGAAGAGGAAUCUUGCUUCCGGUCUCCAUAAUCUGGCAGCCCUGAAGGUGAUUCCACUGGACUGGUUAGGACUGCUUUUAUCUUCCUCUCAUCUAUGUAUUUACUGCUUUCUUUAUGAAAUUGAAAAUUCAAGAGAAAAUUUCUUGAGUCACUUGACCUGAAAGAUUAUGGAACAUAUAGCAGCAAAACCUACCAUGUCAGCAAUAGUGUCCUCUUCACCUGUAUCAAAAACUUGUCUCUGCACAGCAGGACAGGUGAGCUACCUGCCGUGCUUACAUGGUAACCACAUCAAACAGAAGAUGGGAUGAAAGGCCUACUCUAAUUCUUGUUGCCUAGCGGAAUCAGGCAUGAGCUUUGUUUACUUAACUCAACUGCAUAAACACAGAGAAGAGGCCUCAGAUAAAAGAACUUAACGGGGCACGACAUGAGAGCAGGAUGUGAUGAAAUGGACCAUCAUACAUUUUCUUUGAAGAUAUAAUGCAGCAACAAAAUCUCAUUUUGUGCGUUGGUUUUCUCUACUGAACAUUCUCAGUCAUUUGGUUACAGCACUCACCUACUUUAUCUCUAGAAAGAAAUUCACUCACAUGGCACUAUAAGAGUUUGUGGUGCGAAGAUAGAAACUAUGCAAAAAGAAAGAACCUGACCAAAUAUUCGAAAACAACACAAGGAAAAGAACUUGAAAAACAGGGCGACCAAUGACUGAUUCAUACUCGCCAUUGAAGCUCAUUCUUUAAGAUAUUUCUUUUACUAUUAUUUAUGAUGUUGAACCACAAAUUCUCAAGCAAAUUAUUGUAGAACAGAGGAAUAUCAUCCGCUUCACUUAUUGCCUGUAAAACAGGAGGUAAGCGAUUUGAAUGUAGCUCCAAAAUAAAAAUGAACCAAACGCACAGACUCAGAUAAACUUGCCUUCAUGAGGCUGGAUCUCCAAGAGUACUUCAGCCAUGAUGAUGACCAUAUUGCUGAUCUACAUGAAAUGGUGGAUCAUAUAGCAGGGCAACAACAAUCAAGCAAAAAGGUCUACAUAAAGCUCAAUUUCGAGUACCCAUUCAUAUAGGGUGCGUUUGGUUUGGCUUUUGGAGAAAGCCUUUGGAUAAUGCAAAGGCUCUUAGCCUAAAAACUGUUUGGUAAUUUGCAAUUUUAAAGUGACUUGGUAAGUAACAUUGGGAAAAUACUAUUUGAUAACAUAUAUUUAAAAAGUCAUUUGAUGUAAUCAAUUUUUUUAAAAUUUAUUUAAAAUUUUAAAAAAAAAAACACAACGAUGGAAACUUUUAUAUUUUCACAUUAAGAGUGAUGUAAAAGAGACAUAUUAACAAGUUCAAAAAUAAAAAAUAAAAAAAUUACAUGAGAAGUGUGAAAAAUAAUAGGGCCCUCAGAUAUACAAACAGUAAAGAAAGUAUAAUGACCAAUGGGCUAAGUUACUGAGAAUAUAAAAAUAAAAUUUAGUUGUUUCUGAUGUCAUAUGGAAAGUCUUAUCUAAAACUGGCAUAUGAUAAGAAAUGUCUCUUAUUCAGCAAUAAGACAAUUAGACAUAUCUCAGCUGCAACAUGACAGCACCAAAAGUCAUACCUUGCUCUUUUUGAAUGGACAAGUGAGCAACUCUUUGCCUUAAACGACUCCACCACAUGAACACAUUCGUGAUGGCAACCAAAAUGAGCUUUUGCUCAUGUUCAAAGCCUAAGCAUGCAAGAAAAUUAAAGAGCUCCGACUCUUGAAGAGCAAUGGACUUCUUCUGCAAACCUCAGAUUGCUGACAAAUCGAGGAUUAGCCUUAAAAAACUGUUCCUCUCAUAAACAUAAGUACAAUCACAACAUCUCAAUUCACAAGGCAGUGCAUGUAUUAAUAUACACAUCAUGGAUAUUCCAAAGAACUUACAAGAGAAGAUAACUCCUAGUAACUGCUGGGUACAAUGGAAAUGAACAUUCAAAGCCCAGGAUUAUUCCUGGGAAAAAUGGAAAAGUGGGGAACAACAGACUUUGACAUACAUCACAUGAAGUAAGAAUGAAAUAAUGAGUGAAUUUAACUGUCCCAUAGUAUUCUAUUAGCUAUGGCAGUGUCCACUGAUUCCAGUUCUUCCACGACUUUAGUCCUGGAAGGCUGCUUGUUAGGAGUCAUUCGGAGGCAUUGUAAAGCAAGUUGUGCUAACUGGAAUCCAGAAUCCAUAUAUGUAGGGUAUAGGGACAGUAUAAAUUUGGUUCCCAAUUGUGGCAGGUUGCAAUAUCAUGAGCGACCAGUUUCCUCUAAAAUAACCAGUAUUUCUUUUUUGGUUUCUGAGGAAGGGGAACAUCUGCAGAAAAUGAAAAGUUAUGUAGGCAAUGCAACUGUGGAUUCCAUGCCAAAUGAUUUAAGUAGCUAAAAGGGAAACACACCUUGUGUUUCAUAGAGGGGAUUAUAGUGAACCUCAUAUCCAGAAACUCAACCAAAGCUCUGCAUCAAUUGAAAGUAAGGUUAACAAAAGGAAAAACUUAGAAAGAAAAUGGAGUUUCAAAAGACCAGUUGCUCAUUGAACAAAAGCAAAAGUAGAUCAAUUGCAAAUGUUUACAUCUAGGUUCUAAAUCAAUCAAUAUAUUUAACCCUACCCAAGUAGCUGUUCUAAGCAAGCAAAAGAACAAAUAUUUAAUUUCAGAGACGAAAAACAAGCAAAGCAUCACAAAGGAGGGUCUAUGUGUAUAUGUAUGCAAGCAACGCUCUUUUUUCCAAGACAACCAAGGAGUAAAAUAUACCCAUUUGGAAUUUUAACAAACCAAACCCAAGAACUUCACAUUUAUCACAUUGCACCCACUGACGAUUUGAACCAACAAAACAACUAUGAAGAAGAAGACAAGCAAGCAAUACCCUCGGCAGAGGGAACUUAUAAAUCCAAUUGCCAAACAAUAAUUAGGCUGCGAAUAUAAGUAUCAUCUAGGGGCUUUUGCCCUCCUUCAUGCUCUCCAACAACGACCAAAUAAGCAUUGAACAUCGGUGACUCACUGGAAUAGAUAAAUUCAUCAUUCUUCAAAAUCCUGCAUUCCAACAGCUGCUCACUGCCAUCAUACGGCAUUACCUAUCAUAUAUCCGACCAUUAAUCACGACAUGGACUAAUCUACUCAAAACAGGCUCAAUCACGCAAAGUAUUACAAUCAGAAGCACAGAACAGAACAAUCCGUGAUGAUGGAAAUAAUGAAAUCCCAAGCAGCAUUGAGCUGCUAUCGUUCAGUUCAAUUGAGCAAGCUAAACUUGGGAAAAAAGGGUAAUAAAUCGAUAGCCACUGCAGUUUUGACAUAGAUUAGCUAGUCAAACCGAAUCACGUCCUACCCAAUCAAAGGCAACUAAAUUGCGGAUCGGGUUGAGCUGGACAUCAAUGGUAGAGAUUAGUAGUGAAAGCAAAGGUACCUUGCUGGUGGUGGUGCGGAGAGAGAGGAAGCUGUCGCAAUAGACCGUGCGCUUCAGCUUCUGCUUCAGGUGCUUCUUGAAGGUGACAUUCCAGCAAGCAUGGUCUCAAGCACAUAGCUCAUUUCAUCAAACACCAAAAUUGCACAUGAUCACCAAACACUAGGCAGGCAAAACUUAGAUGGUUCACACUCACACAAAGCAUAAUUCAGCACACUAAUUACAAACACAAUCCGAGAGCAGUUCAGGAUUGAAAAAGAAAACCAGAGCACAACAUCUGUCCAUUCCUAGAACUUGCAUUGCCAGCUCAAAAUGCAAGCAUUGAGUCCAUCACAGAGGAGUCAUACUGGAUUCCUGAAAGCUCUGACGUAUUCAUCUGUGGGAUUCUGCUGAGUCUGGAUGUUCUGUGGAAGGACAACAAGGAUGUCGAUGCCAGAUUUCUGUCUCUCAAUAUUCUGUUUGAUGUGAAGUUCGUUUUCCUAAUCAAAACUCCAGAGUUAAAGCAUAAGCUGGUAGACUUGGGUGCAAUUUCUCCCUCUCUGCCCAGCCUUGAUUGAGGAUGAGGACCCCAAUACCAAUGUGUGUGCAGAAGCUCCUUCGAUGCUCAUAGAGUUCAACUUGACUAAAAUUUCUGAGAUUCUACAACCAAAGACAGUCAGCCACUGCUUCAGAUUCUCACUUGGUGAUCUGUCCUGUGCAAAUGUGAAUGAUGGUGAGCUGCGCGUGGCUCUGGCAUCGGCUCUGGAAAUGGAUCCCAAGUUGCUUUCUCAGCUGAAAGUAGUAUGGCAUAUUGGAAACCUUUUGGAGUUUGUGCAUGAGAAAAAUAUGGAAGAUUUUCUCAAAUUUAUGCUUGGCUUGUGCAAAGCUCUUCUUUUUUUAUCACUAGGUUCUAUGAAAGGUUCCACAGACAUGGAAGAGCCAACACUACUUGAUGAAAGUUCUUCUGAGGCAGUGAGUAACAUAUGAUACAUAACUGACUUUGGUGGCAGUGCCAGUGUUUUCCGAGAAUUGAGUGGUUCUCAUGACAGAAACAGUGCCAAUAUUGCUUCUAAAUGCACAGCUCUAUUACUGAAGGCAGCCCCAAGGGAAGGUGCUCUCUUUUUCUUACCAAUCUCCUGUAAGCCAGUGCGAUUCUCGAGUCUCAGCAAAAGGGAGCUCCUUCUCUACUGGUACCAACGAAUGCUGCAUUCUCUCAGUUACUCCUGUAGGCGAUGUUUACUGCACGGAAUGACUUUUGUCAGUGUGCCUGUCAAAGAUUGCUAUGAUUGAAGGCAUCAUUGCUGAGAUAAAAUAUUCUGGUGCUGCUGCUUUAGCCAGUGCUGCCACAUUGGUAAUCUCAGAAUUGCAGUGGCUCCCUCAUUUAUGACUUCUCCAUAACAUCUGCAAAUCCCACUAAGAAGCACACCUUUCCUGAAAAAUAAACUGAACUUAAGCAUGGCAGUACAGAGUGUCUGUCUACUUCAAAGUCGCAACAAUGAGUUGAUUGUGCUUUCAAGUCCCAGGAUGAGAACCAUAGUUGUAUGACCUUCCAUCACACAUUCCAUCUAUUUGUUUACAGCAUAGCGAAUUUAUCUCCCAUGCAAAGUGAGGUUAUCAAUUUCAAAAUAUGUGUGAAGCAGCAAAUCAACAAUGAUCUCUAAUAAUUUGUUACAUAUCAAAUAAAAAUGAUGCAAUUGACAUGCAUAUAUCUCUAGGAGAAACCAUCCUAAGAAAAUGUAGCUAAAAAAGCGAAACCAAACUAGGAAAAGAACACAAUACUUGUACAUAAUUAAGAGCCCUCUGGCUGUUCGAAGGCAUCACAAUUUAAAUACCUUCAUCAGAUUUUCAGAAAAGAAUCCGCUAAAAGGUCAUUAAAAAGUGCAUGCAAAACUUCUCUGUUCAUAUCUGUGAAAGAAUUUGAUUGCCAAAAAAGGAAAACAUUGGUACUUACCUCAAUUUGUUUAAGGUUUGAACACAAGGGAACAAUUUGUGGUCGCGCAUCAAAAAGCUUCCAAGUGCAAUGUGCACUUAUUCAUCUUCUUCAUCGUCUUCUUCAUCAGAUUCGUCUUCUUCAUUGUCUUCUUCCACAGAUUUGUCUUCUUCAUCAGAUUCGUCUUCUUCAUCGUCUUCUUCCACAGAUUCGUCUUCUUCAUCGUCUUCUCCCACAAAUUUGAUUGACUCCUCCGAGCAAAGCCGAGAAAUUUCCUCCACUGCUAAUUUCCCACAACGUAAUAUUGUAACCUCUCGCACACUCUUCAAGCUUGAUAGAUCAGGCAACUUCUGUAAAGAUCCACAAUCUUUAAUCUUCAAUAUAUUCAAAGAUUGGGGUAGUUUGCCUUGAAUCUCAACCAGAUUAUGACAAUGUACUACUGAAAGAUAUGUUAUUCCGUCCAAAUUGCUAAGAUCAGGGAUCUGCAUCUGUUUAAAGCCAGAAAGCAGCAACCGAUGUCCACCACUAUAUUCAAACUCCCGAUUGCGAAAUUUUAUAAAAACAUUUUCCUUACCCACUAAGCUGAACAGAUCAGGGAACUCCAGAAACGAAUCUAAUUUAUCUAAUUUAUCGCAUCCUCUUAUUGUGAACCCCCCUUGCAGUCUCUUCAAGCUUGACAGCUCAGGCAACUUCUGUAAAGAUCCACAGUCUUCAAUGUCCAAGUGUUCCAAGGAUUGGGGUAGUUCGCCUUGAAUCUCAACCAGAUUAUGACAAGAUUCUACUCUAAGAAGUGUUAUUCCAUCCAUAUUGCUUAGAUCAGGGAUCUGCAUCUGUUUAAUGCCAGAAAGCUGCAACCGAUUUCCACUUAAAUAUUCAAACUCCUGAUUGCCAAUAUGCACAUACACAUAAACAUGUGUCUUACCCAUUAUGCUGAAUGGAUCGGGGAACUCCUGUAACGAAUCACGGGAACCAAUUGUAAGUUCAUCCAAAAACCGUGGUAGUUCGCCUUGAAUCUCAACCAGAUUACAGCACCCUGAUACUCUAAUACGCCUUAGCUUGUUUAACUUGCUUAGAUCAGGUAGCAUCGCCAGCUGUACGACGCCCCGAAGGUUCAAAUAUCGUAGGUUCUCCAAACAACCAAGGCCUUCAAUCUUUGCAACUGCAGAGCAGCAAAUGUCGAGAGACGAUAGUUUCCUCAAAUUCAAUAGAUCCAUCGAGCAAAGUGAGUCGCAACCAGAGAGAAUUAAGGAGGAUAAAUUAGAGGGAAGCCUCGGGAGGAGAGGCGGAUGAGGAGGGAGGCUGAGGUCUGUCGAUGAGGCGGUCCCCCCGAAAAAGCGCAGUUCCAGAGAUUCCAAUUUGCUUAAGUUCCCAAUCCACCGUGGUAUCCGUUUUUCCAGGAGCCCAUAAGAUUUCCCAUCACAGUUAGGUGGGCCAAAGCCCAGACGCAAUACCUUUAAGUUAGCGAGAUUUGAGAGAUUCGGAAACGUGUCCACCCUCAACUCCUCCACUACUAAUUCAAUGAGACUUUCAGGAAACCUUGGUAGGGCGUGUACUCCCGGCCAUCCCAAUAUCUCCUCAAAUGGACCCCCGUGUAAGCAAUAACCACUUAUUGCGUGGGCAUGCCUGACAUGAUUAUAACGGUCGGCGAUUUCCAUUCCCUUGACCUUCCCCAUCUUCUUCUUACAAGCAUCAUUGUUCGUUCUUUUUUCGAAACCAUUCUGCAUCUUCAUUACUUUCAAAUUCUUCAACAUUCCAAUGGAAUCGGGUACUUCUUCAAUGCUCGUGUGACUUAUGUCCAACUUAGUUAGCGAAUCCAAAUUUCCAACCGUCUCCGGAAGCCUAUGAAGAUUCCAACAAUUGCUUACAUCUAAGAAAAUUAAGCGUUUCAACUGACAAAUUGAUCCAUCAAUUUCGAUUAAUGAUUCACAGCCUGAUAGGAUCAAAUGUUCUAAAUUUGAAUGAGCUGAGAAGUUGGGGAUUCUCUUCAAGUGUCGGCAAUGGGCCAGAUUCAGAACUUUCAAAUUCUUCAACUUUCCAAUGGAAUUGGGUACUUCUUUGAUGCUCGUGUGACUUAUGUCCAACUCAGUUAGCAAAUCCCAAUUUCCAACCGUCUCCGGAAGCCUUUGAAGAUUCCAACAAUUGCUUACAUCUAAGAAAAUUAAGCGUUUCAACUGACAAAUUGAUCCAUCAAUUUCGAUUAAUGAUUCACAGCCUGAUAGGAUCAAACGUUCUAAAUUUGAAUGAACUGAGAAGUUGGGGGUUCUGUUCAAGCGUCGGCAAUGGGCUAGAUUCAGAACUUUCAAAUUCUUAAUCACCUGUGAAAGAAAAAUCAUGCAAAGUUUACUUUCGAAUUUAAUGAGAUGGAAGAAUAAGUGUUCUCUAGCAUAUAACAUACCUUCAUGUGGCUCCACCCCUUCCAAUCAUGUGUAAUUUCACUCUCAAAUAGAUCAAGGAUAGUCAAAUUCUCUACGGAGAAAUUUGCAAUCUCAAAUGUUGGGUGAAUAUUAUGCCAAGAAAGCCAGUGUAAUUCUGGAAGGAGAUUUGAAUCCAAAACAUCAGUUGGAAGAACACUUGAUGGCCCUUUGUGCUGAAGAAGCAUCUUUUCUACACAAAAAGUUUGCUCCGAGUCAUCAACUUCAAGGAACCUUAGCCUUGAUAGGCUCUUAAAGUCCUUGUAGGUAAAACGGUGCUGAUGGUCCAAGCGGAGGCGAAGAGCUUCAAUUUUUUUCUUCGUCUGCCCAAAGGAAAAUUUUUAAAAACAAGAGAGUUGAAGGGAAACACAUUUAGCCAAAUUCACUAUUUUAAAGGACUGAGUUGAGUACUACCAUUCCAUUAAUCUUAAAAAAGCAAAAAUGUCCAUAAGUAACUUGGAAAUUAAUGCGCAGGGGAUUUUACCUUAGGGCUCUUCAGCAAAUCCAACGCUUUCUCACGAUCCCACACCCUACUUUGUUUAUUUAUAUUGGUUUCUUGACAAACUAUUUGUCUUCCAAGGUCUCUAAGUUGGUCGUGCAUCCACACUUUAUUAUCCUAUUUAAUCUUUACCAAAGACAUGUUCUCCAAAACAUCCAUGGCAUAUUCCGAAUGGAAUUCAGAUUCCCAAAAAUGAACUACAAUGUCUUUAUCAUAUCCAAUUAAGAGACAAGCUAUAUCAAGGAACUUUUGCUUUUCCUUUUCUUUGUAUUCAUCAUAACUUAUUUUCAAUCUACUAUGGACAUCCUUAUGAGGAUCACUUUCCCACUUACGUAAUUCGAAAUCCCACUUUUUCUUUUCAGUAGUGCAAGAUAAAAGUGAACCCAUGAGCUCAAGAGCUAGUGGAAGACCUCCAGCAAUUUUUAUCGCCCUCUCGGAUUGGUCGAUAUACUCGUCUAAAGGAUGAUCUCUUCUAAAGGCAUGUUUGCUAAAGAGUUGAAGAGAUUGAUCGUGAUCCAUGCCCGAAAGCUCAUAACAGCUGUCCACUUUAAGAACAUCAAGAACUUCUUUGUUUCUAGUAGUAAUAAUAAUUCUGCUCCCUUUACCAAACCAAUCACACUCACCAACAAGUGCAUCGCUAUGAUUCUUUUCAUGUACAUCAUCGAGAAGGAGGGGGGCUCUUUUAUUAGACAACCAGGCUUUGAUGGUAUUAAUCCCAUCAUCAAUGUUUCUUAUAUAUGUGCAUUUGUCUUUGAGAAUGCUGGAGAUGAGCUGAUUCUGCAAGGAUUCAAUGCCCUCGCGUUCUGACAUUUCACGGAUGUUGGACAGAAAGCAACAAUCCUCAAAAUUUUCUAAAAGCUGAUUGUAGAUGAUUUUGGCAGUUGUCGUCUUCCCGAUGCCACCCAUCCCAUAGAUUCCUAUAAUCCGUGUUUCACUUGUGCGAGGACCUAUCAAUUCCAUGAUUGCAUCAACAUGGUUGUCGACAUUGACCAAGCAAUUUGAUACUACCAAAUAAGCCUUUUUCAACUCAUUGAAAACCUUCUGCAUGAUUGUUUUUGCAAACUGACCUUCUUGCCUAUUAUUCGUUGAAAGUCAAAAGGCAAUGAGUUAGAAAAUUGAGUUAAGCCAAACUAUGCUCUAACAAGACCAAAUUGAAAACUACAGACCUAUUCUAAAUGCGUUCCUCAACGAUUUAUACCAUUUUGAUAAACUAGCACUGGAACUUAGGGUAAAUGAAUGACCUGAACUAACGAAAAAUGUUGCUUGUUGGGAAUGAAAUGGGACAAAAAUUGACAUGGUGAUAUUAUUUAGCCUGAUUUUGCUGCAUAAUUUCAAUUGCAUACAAUUUCAACAAGACUAACACAAAUUUAGAAAAGAAACAAAUUUAAAUGCAUCGAGUUUAACGAUACAAGGCACAUGAGAUGGAAUGCUAAAAGUAGUCACCUGUUGGGCAUGCUUUGCAGGUCCCAUCCAUUUAUAUCCACGACUGUAGUGAGAGCAUUCUUCCACUCUGCUAUAGUCUUUUCAUCAUAUCGCUUCUUUCUUUUGUGUGAAACAAAAGCAUUUUUAAAACUCCCGGUUUGGUGUCGAACCUCCGAAGGUGUCACAUCAUAAAAAAUGGGCAUGAUCUUUUGUCCUUCAUUUUUCUGGCACUUGACCAUUUGAACUAGCUCUCUGAGACACCAUACGCUAGAGGCAUAACCUUUUGAAAAGAUAGGUAUUAAGAUCUUCGACUGAUUGAUUGCUUCAGGAAGUUCUGGGGCAAACUCUUCCCCAACACGGAGCGCGUCAUCGUCCCUAAAUGUGCGGAUUCCUGCAUUUAUAAGAUAAUUGUAAAGGAAGUCGGUAAAACCUGAUCGUGUGUCAGGCCCUCUGAAACUCAAGAAUACUUCAUAGUCAUGUCCGGAAGAUGUUGCCGUUUCCUCAACUUGUGGUGUAGUGCAAGUAUGAGUAGCCCUCUCUACGGUACCAUUCUGUGGAGCUGAAUCAUUAUCUGCACUGCCCUCCACAGCGGUCUGACCUGCUCUUUUCUUCAAGAAUCCUUUGAACAGGAUGGCAGAGAGAGCUAUGGUAGCAACCGUCACAAUACAGGGCAACAGCAAGUGCUCAAGCAUUUUGUGAGUUAGCAAAGAGAAGGUUUUUAGUUAGAAAUACAGGGGAAUGGUGGAAUAGCAGAGAUGAGAGGCGGCACUUAAAGAUCAGGAUGGAGUAACGAGGAACGGCGAGCCCGCGACGGCGAGAAAUCGCCAGAGAAAGAGUAGAGACUGAGGCGAGGGCGGCCACUGAUGCUGCGACGGAUCAGCGACGAGGCAGAGGAGGAGAAGGAUCGAGAGGAAGAGGAGAGGAAGGGGGUCGUGCGGCGAGGAGGCGGAGAAGUAUCGAGAGGAGAAGGAGAGGAAGGGGGUCGUGCAGGUGCGGCAAGCGGCGAGCGGCGAGCGGCGAGAGGAGGAGGAGAAGGGCGCGCUAGCUUUUGGGUUUUGGAAACUCAAAAAGAAUAUAAAAAGGAGGCUGAUGAGGGUGAAGUGACAGCCUGUCACGUGGGUGGGGGAGGGGAAAAAGAGUUAAAUAAAUUUGGGUUGGGGGGAAAUGGCCUGACGUGAGGAGAGGAGGGAAAAAAAAUUGAAAUAAAUUUGGGGGGGGAAUAGUCUGACGUGGGGAAGGGAGAGAAAAAAAUUGAAAUAAAUUUGGAGGCGGGGGAAAAUAUAAGAGGGAAAGAAGGGAGUGGGGGUUGGCGGUGGACCCCUCGAUUAGAUUUUUUUUUAAUCGAAAAAAUAAAUAAAUGAAAUAAAAAAAUAAUUUUGAAAAGUAAAAAUACUGAAUUUUAAAUGAUAAUAAAUUUUGAUCAUUAUAAAAGAUUAUGGAUUUAUUUAAAUAAGUUGAUUCUAAUUUCUUGUUAAUAAUCAAUUUUAUCAAUAACUUUUGUUAAAAAUAAAAACAUAUUUCUAAACAUGAAUAUGUAUUAAUUAUGAAUAUAUCUUUCAAAAUUCUAAUGAAUUGAUUUAUUAAUAUUAUUAGUGUAAAUUUAUUAUAGGCUUUUUAAUUAUUUAUUUAUUUAUGAAUUUGAAUUAAAUUAAUUAAAAAUAAAAAUAACCGUUUAAUAUACAACGUGCCUUAUCGUAUUGAAAUUCUCAAUUUUUGAGAAAUGACAUAUCGACAUGUCAUGUCGCGUGUCGAUACUAAUUAGGGAGUAAGCGCAAGAAGCCAAGGCACUUUAAAUCUCAAGGAGCAAAUGGGCAAGUGUUGGGAUUCACACUCUACAUUGUACGGUGCACACUAUUUUUCCCCCUUAUGAAUGCCUUUUGAGGAGAUAACAUUCAACUGCAAUUUCAUAAAAGGUUCUGAAGGAUUAUUCUCUACACAUCAGAAAAGGCCACCAUCUUUCAUCUGGCAUUUCCUAAACAUUGUUCACACUGCGCUAGCUUUGAGGAAGAAAAAAAAAAUAGUAGCAACAACGUUUCACGUGCUAUGAUGCAUAACAAGUUGGUCUCCAAGACCAACCAAGCACAUCCGCUUUGAUGUAAGUUGUCUCUUCUCAUAUCUUAGGAACGAAAAUUGUCCCUUUCUAAGGUUGAUUCUAGAGAUUUGGCCCUCCACUUUCCUUUUUGAGUUCAUAUUUGAUCACAUCCUUUUAUUUGAUGAGCAAAACUAAAAUACGAAUCCUACACUUCGGUGACUGUUUGAAUUCUUGCCCAAGGCUUUCAUAUUACAAAAAAAAAAAAAAUCAAUGUAUUUAAAAAAUACUUCAGCUGUGCUUGCAAACAAGUGUAAGCUGAAGUAUUAAAGUGGUGGAAUGUCAUUGGAAGGUUAAACCAACGAACAGACCAUGGCUAGCAAAGUAUCCUUCCAAAUGUCACUUCUAGAAAUAUAGACAUAGCACAAUGUAGAGUUUUCUUGUUAAAAAAAUUUGGCUCGAAUCUCAUGAACUUAAAUAAUUCCCAAAGGGUCUUACAUCUCAACAAACAACAUGAUUGCAUUUACAUUGGACACAGCACAGUGCAAAGUUUCCGGCCGGCCACCCCGGAGGAGUUGCCCUCCUCCGGGACCUUUCAUUGGAGGUUUACUAGCCUAGUAUGCUAGGAGAAGGCAGUGACCUCCCUCCAGGCAGGAUCCCAGCACUAGAAGUGCUAUGGCCGGAGAGCCCAAUGGGGACUCUAUCCUGUUUUCCUCCCCUCACUUCCCUGUAAAUGGGUUGUGGGAGGAAGCACCCUAGGAUGUCCUAUUCAGGGUGGAGCACUUUAAGGACCUGCUUAGGUCCUCACUUCUAGAAAUAUAGACAUAGCACAAUGCAGAGUUUUCUUGUUAAAAAAAUUUGGCUCGAAUCUCACGAACUUAAAUAAUUCCCAAAGGGUCUUACAUCUCAACAAACAACAUGAUUGCAUUUACAUUGGACACUGCACAGCGCAAAGUUUUUUUUUUUUUUUUUGGUUAGUGCAAAGUUUUUAUUCCCCUUAAAAUAAAAUUAAGAAAAAAGACAAAAAGACAAAAGUUUGAAUCUUUUUGAAUCUCUAUAAUAUAAAUAAUUUCUUCCCAAUGUCACUUCCAGAAAUAUGGACAUCUAGUCUCUCUAGAUUAGAUCAAAACAUUAUCCAACGCAAUUCAUUUGAUGAAUGGUUGUAGUUUGAAAUCUUACAAAGUUCUAAAAUUCCGCUGGCCAAAAAGGAGUUUUGAUAUAUGCGUUGUAAGUUUGAAUAAUCAAAUAAUAAAUUUCAAAUAUAGCUGGUAAGUGAAAAUUACAUAUGACUUUAUAUAUAUAAUAGACCAAGUGACGAUUGCAGCCAUAAGGACGUACUUAAGCUGAACUUGCACCGAGAGCAACCAUGUCUACUGAAGAGAAAAUAGCCGACCCUGAGGCGGCGAAGACGGCUGAAGUGCUGCCGCUGAAAGAGGAGGCCCUGCCUCCACCCACGAGCCCUCCCGACGAGGCAAGCUUGCUCACAGCGGACGUGGCUCUUCAAGGGUUGCUGUUUGCUUCGAUGCUAAUCGCGCUCUUGAGGACCGUUCUAAGUUUGGUUCUGGAGAUUUGGUCCUCUACUAUCCUUUUUGAGUUCAUAUUUAAAUUUUGAUGCACACCAAUACACACGCUUUUACUUGAUGGGCAAAAUUUUAAUAAUUGAGUCGAGCCCCGAUACCGCGGCCACAUCCAACCACGGCCGUGCGAGGCCAGCAACCUCCGUCUGUCGCGACUUCUAUUGGACAUAGGUUGUGAGUUCCGUGCGGAGAAAAAAAGAGACCAAAGGAUAGCAAACAAGUCAAAUCGGUGAGGAGUUAAUGUCGCCGGUGGAUUCACACAUGAAGGUGAGGGCUUGUGAUGGCAAUAUGGGUGGGUGACACGUAAAAUUCCUAAACUAUAUUAACUAUGACACUAAUUAUUCCAACUUUUUUUUUUCAUCAUAAAAAAUCGAAACUUGUAUCAGAAAUCCAAAAAGUACUCUCCAUCCAAGAUGGUCAUUAAAAAUUUAAUGUGCCUGUUUGCGUGGACAACAGUAGACAAAUGAAGCAGACAUGACUCGGGAGAAUUCCACCAAAAAGCCUAAACCUUGCCUGGUGCGACAAUGGAACCCAAUUUUUUUUUACCUGUUACUAAUACUAUAUAUAAACGUGUAUCAGUGACUCGCAAAUAUUAUGCAUCACAGUUCCAUCCAAGACGGCCGUUAAAAAUCCAAUGUGACCACUUGCUUGGACAUCGAUAGGCAAAUGGAGCCAAUGUGGAUUUGAUGUGAUUUUAGUAUGGUCUAAAGUGACUUUAGACCACUUGUCAAAGUUAUAAGUUUUUAAAAAUUAAACCUCCAUUAUAACAAGUUAUCUCUCACAAUUUUUAGGGUCCAGGAAAUGGUAUAAUUUGGAGAUGCAGUUUUUUUGAAUAAUAAAUGGGACGAAUUCAUCUCUAUUUUAACUAAAAGAGCUCCGAGCUUAAUUUGAAACUAAUAUACAAAAUAAACGAGCUUCAACUUAUUCUCCAUUUAUUUCUUAAAAAAUGAAUGAUUUGGAAAACACUUUAUAUUGUUCAUAAAAAUGAAUAAAUUAAAGAUAUUUUCAUAAUCUAUCAAAAUAUUUAGACAUAAAUUAUUAUUGAUAGUUAAAAAAUUCAUUAAUUAAUUGUUUCAAGAAAUAUAAAUGAUGAUUAUUAUUUAUUUUUCGCGAAAUAAACGGAAUGCCAACUUUAACAAAAGUGUAAUGGAAAAUAUUCUUGCUUUGCCUUUUCCUUUUUCUCUAUGUGCUCGAGACCUUACAUUCGUCCACCCUCUUUUUAGCAUUUCACUUAUGUCCUUCUUCUUUUUGGGACUAGAAAGAAUAUGAAGGGAUAUGAUUGUUCACUUUGGAUCUCUUUAUUGGCAUCAAAUAUAUGGUCUAUCGUCAUACCAAUCUGACAUCUAUCAACGACUUUUUUUGGGGUAUGGAUUCAUCAACAACGUUAGCGUGCAAACACUGGUACAAUUUUGUGCCGAAGGGUUAUACUUUUCCUAAAAGAGAAAAAGAAAAAAGAAAAAAACUGGAAUUGCCCCUCACGAUCUUCCUUCUUUGUUUGGUGAAAAAUCAUUUUUGGAAAAUGUCUUUCCUUACUUUCCAGUGUUUGAAUAACGUAAAGCUACUCGAUCCAUAAAAACCUUUACCAUGGGCUAAAAGUAAUAAAUAAGCUUAGAGAAAAAUGACUUGGCAAGAAGAAUUGUUUUCCUUGAUUUUUGUCCUAAUUUAUUUUGUUGUUAUUUUCAUGGAUUAUAGAAUAAACGGUGAUGAUAUUAUAUCCAGUUUGUUAGUCAUCACAUGUUACUUUUAACUGUACAAGCCACCCUUAAUGAAUUCACUUAUACCAAUUAUGAUCAAAUCAAUUUCUUCAACUUGUUUUCAGCACAAUCAAAAUUUUGUGUUUACUUUUUCUGAGAUUGAAUUUCCUAAAACAUUUUCCCGCAACAAAAAAAAUUCUCAGUGAGAUAAACACAACCUAAGAAUUUGUUUUCACAUGAUGUUAUUCGAUUGAAAGAAAUGGUAAGAUGGAAUUAUCAAUGAUAUGAGAAUUGGACAUCGAUUUGUUGUCAUAUGAUUAUUUGGGGUUGAAUGAGAGAAUAAUGAAUCGGUGUAGGAUUUUACAGAAUGAUCUUAGUGAAAUAUUUUUACAAUAAAAUCUCUACGUUUAUGGAAGUUUGAUUGGGAGGCACAGAGUGCCAAAUAAAUGGGUCAUUGGUGUGAUUCCUUCUUGAGCAAGCUGGUUCAUCGUGGACUCUUGCUAGUCCAAGUCUUUGUUGACUUUGACUUUGCCCUUCUAAUCCCAUGACGUUUCUGUCUUGCUUGCACCACUCCUUACGCUGUUCUAUCUUUUUUUUUUUUUUUUUUGCUCUCUUUUUUAGAGUGGUAGCUAAUGCGAUUUUAAAUCUAAUGAUAGUAUUUUGAUGCAAGGCAAAAUUAUAUGUAUACGGCACUUUUGUCAUUCAAUUAAAUUAGAUGUUAUCAACUUUUCUAUUGAUUAAUGAUAGGAUUGGCUAGAUUAUUUAAAGAUAAAAGUUCUUUGAAUAGAUGGUAUUUGUUUUGCAGGUAUUUUUCAAGUUUCUAAAUCAAUUCCGUGGCUACUAAACAUUUUGUGUUUCACAAGAGAAAGUAGCCACUUCGCAACUAAAGUUUCACGAUAUUGACUCGAUAGAAACCAAAAUAGCCAAAGUCAACUUUUUUCAACCAUUCUUUAGCCAACCAAAGUCACUUGUAAAGAGUUGGCCCUUACAAUAUCAUAAGCUUUUCACGAUCUAGAUAAUGAUCAAUUCCAUGAUGAAUAAACAAAGCAUUGCCUCCUCUUCAUUGAUCUCUUUUGAUCUUCUCUCCGAGAAAAAAGGUCAAAUUGUAUAACAGCAAAAUCAGUGCAGCACAUUGUGAAAUCUAAAUCACUUUUAGAAGCCAAAAUUACAAAUGGAGAUAUCCAUGGGUCAUUAAAAGUAGAACACAGGAUUUGUUGACUAUGCUGAGAGCUGGGGGCAGUUCGUAUUCUAAUGAUAUUGUCUUUGUAGAGUUUGCUUUCACCCUGAAACAAAACCGCACGGUGGCCAAUGCGUCUUCCUUUCUUCCAUUGAAUCAUCCGAGAGCACUGUGUCGCCAUAGAUGCCCCCGCCCUUGCCCACAAAUUAACAAGAAUGAUAGGGCACGGGGACCCACUCGUGGCUUUGCUUGAACAUAAUUGUAGUGUCGCUUUCAGGACAGGGGCGUGUCCCAAUCGGGGAAAAAGGAUCAGGUCUAUUUUGAAGAAAACGCCCUGUCUGUUUUUCUUUUUUUUUUUUGGUAAGAGGUAAGAAUAUUAUAGCUAAAGAAACAAGGAGUUACAAGGAGGCAAGACAGACAGGCGACUCCAAUCAUGCACUCAAAAUGACACAGGCGUCAUACUGAGUGGAUGGGAGGCGGGGUGGAUUCCCCAGCACAUUUGGAGUCUUCGGUUACGCGGGUUAUCCGGAACUCUUGAGAAUGUGGAGGCUCUAUCUUUGACAACUUUCCGAAGACGAUCUUUGAGAGCGGGCAGGAAUAGGCUUUGAUUCCGAAAGAUGAUGUUAUUUCGCUCCUUCCAUAUAAGGUAGCACAGGGCAGCAAAUGCAAAGCGAGCAAUGGAAUGGUGGAAGCAUGAGUCCGAGAGAUGGAUGACCAUCCACUGUAGAUUCUCUUUCCAAGGACCAUUUCGCCAACUCAAAUUACAUUUAGAAGCCCAGAAAGAGGCCAAUCUACCCGUAACUGAGCAACCAAAGUAUAAGUGGUCGAUUGAAUCUAGCCUACUUGAGCAGAACGCACAGGAACCAUCCGGGAUCCUCCCAUACGACAGAAGCAAGACCUAGGUUGGCAAUCUAUUCCGAGUGAUCAGCCAUAGAUGGGUCUGAUAACGCGGGGGAAGAGUGGAGCUCCAGACAAAUCGAGACCAGUUAACCAAAGAGCCUCUAGCUCGAAGCAUAGUCCAUGCAGAAGCAGUAGAGAACUGACCUGAAGAGUGGCCAAGCCACACCAGACGGUCAUCCUGAUUGUUGAGGCUGGGGAGAGGAUCAACCCAAGUCUGGAUAGCAACAGCUACAUUAGACGGGAUAGACAGGGCAGCAAUACCUAUAACAACAGAAGCAUUCCGAGGGAUACGAGAGCAAUAUAUGUCACGAUCCGAGAAUAACUUGUUGAAUGGGCCACGAGGGUGCCAGGUAUCAAACCAAAAAGAAGUCGAUAACCCAUUACCAAUGUUCCAGGCAAAAUACCUCUGAAUCAAUUCACGCAGGCCAAAGAGUUUCUUCCAAGACCAAGAACAAACGGUCGGUCUAGGCGCAAUCCAGAAAUUCUUGUGUUUUAAGAAGACUGAAUGUAUCCAUUUGGUCCAGAGUGAUUCCUUAUCAGAGAAAAGCAGCCAUAUAUGCUUAGUCAUGGCAGCAAUGUUACUAACUCGAAGUGAGCGAAUACCUAGUCCUCCUUCCGCUUUAGGAAGGCAGACUUCUUCCCAACAAACUCUAGCACCACCAGAACCAAGGUUCAGGCCACGCCAAAGAAAUUGGCGGAAGAUCUGCUCAAUUCGAUUAAUAACUGAGGAGGGGAGGAUAAAAACCGAAGACCAGUACACCUGAAUGGAAUGGAGAACAGAUCUAAUAAGUUGGAGUCUACCAGCAGUUGAAAGGAAACGGUUAGUCCAUGACUGAACUCUCUUCAUUAUAGCAUCCACCAGAGAUACACACUCUUCCUUGCCUAAUCUUGAGGAAAUUACGGGGAUGCCAAGGUAUCGAAAGGGCAAUGAUCCAAGGUUGAACCCCGAUGCAUUAACCAUUGUGUUGGAGAAAUCUUUCCAGAAGAUUUUGAAGCUGACAAAACAUUUCUAUCAGUCUAGUCUUGAUAUCAUUGGUUUAAAGUCUCAAGACUUUGUAAUCUCAAGACUCAAGACUCAAGACUCAAGACUCAAGAUUAUUCUCACUGACAGUCUUUCUAAUCCAGCUGCGAAGGAUAUCCAAAGCCGAAGUAUAUGGUUGGGGAUUUGAUCCAAUCCUCUGGAAUAGAUCCCUUGGUUGGAUAAUCAUUUCGGAUUCUUUUGAUUCUUAUCUAAGAUCAAUUGAAGAUCUGAUGGUCGACGAAACAUUCUUGGAAUGUUCUAUUCUUGGAAACCAAAAUCCUGAUUGUAUGGGCAAACAGGAUUGAUGGGCUAUCAUCAGAUUCCUUAAAUAGCUCGGAUGAUCUUCUUAAUUGAUUCCGUCCAACGGGUAGAUUGGAGGAAUUCCUUUGGUAAGUGCCAACGGCUAUGAUGGCAUAAAGGAGUAUAAAAGGAAGACGUUCUAGUUGUUUUAAGUGUGUGAUCGAUAGAUAAAUUCCAGAGUCUGAAGAACCUUGAUUGUUAGUCGAGACUGUUCAAGCGAAAUUGUAUACACAGAGAGUAGUUGUACUUGGUGAUACCUUGAGCGAGUGUAGUAGAUCAUCUACAUCGAGAGAUCAAGGAAGAUCAACACUGUAACAUCUCUUUGUUCAUAGUGGAAUCCAGCCAAUCGGCUGUCAGUGCAGAAGAGUGGACGUAGGCUUGAAUCAAGCUGAACCACUAUAAACCUCGUGUUUAAUUCUCUCUUUCUUUUACUCAGUCUUACGAUUGUUUUUUAAUCCUUCAUCUGUUUAAGUAUUGCGCAAACUGCAAGAAAAUUUUCAUAAACCUAUUCACCCCCCUCUAGGUAUUCGUACUAGCAUUAUCAAUUGGUAUCAGAGCUUGUGUUCUUACUUUAUUUGAAGUGUUUUACUUCAGAGUAUUGGGGAUGAGACCAAACCAGGCAGCAAAAGUGUUUACUCCAUCCAUUAGAAGGCUUAGAGACGGCAUGGUUGCUUCCGAGAAGAGCAACACAUCGUCAGCGAAGAAUAGAUGGGAUAACUUGGAGGGUUUACAACGCCAAAAGAACCGAAAUCCGGGUUUGCAGGUGCGGGCAUUAAUACUGCCAGUAAAAACUUCCAUUACAAGAGUAAAGAUAUAUGGGGACAGAGGGUCCCCCUGUCGGAUACCUCUCCCACUAGGGAAAAAACCAUGCAACUCACCGUUUAAAGCUAUAGAGAACUUGGGGGUUCUGAUGCAUGUCAUAAUUCGAUCAAUAAAUGUGGGUGGGAAGCCAAAUGCUUGGAGCGUCGACUCAAUAAAGUUCCAGUCAACUGAGUCAUAAGCUUUGGAGAAAUCAACCUUAAUAAUGUUCUUUGGAAAGUAAGGCUCAUGGUGGAAGUGAGCAAAUAAUUCUUGAGCAAGCAUGAUAUUAUCACUUAUCCUCCUCCCUUUAACAAAAGCGUUCUGGGGGGGACUAAUUAUAGAUGGGAGCAUAUAAGCUAAUUUGUUGGCUAACAGUUUCGUGAUACACUUGUAUAUAGUGUUGCAACAAGCAAUAGGACGGAAGUCAUUUACCGUGGAAGCAUUGGGGGACUUCGGGACCAAGGUUAGAAUAGUGGUGUUGAUCUCACGAAGCAGCUGGCCUGUAGAUAAGAAGUCCCGAAUUGCUAAUAGAACGGAAGGGCCUACAAUAUCCCACGAUUGCUUAAAGAAAUCAACAUUAAAUCCAUCCGAGCCAGGGGCUUUUCCAAUGGCCAAUGAAAACAAAGUAGUUUGGAUUUCUUCUUCAGUGAAUGGCUGAGAGAUGGCUUGGAUCUGAUUAUCAUCGAGCGUAGAAGCCAGAUUCGCACGAAUCUCUUCAACAGACGGAACGGCGGAGGGGGUAGCGUCUGACAGCAGAUUUUGAAAGUGAUCAACAAAGAGUUGCUGCACUUCAACUUCAUCAGUAAUUACAUUACUACCAUCAAAAAUCGAGAGAAUUCUAUUCCGGAGAUGGCCUCGCUUCACCGAAUGGUGGAAGAAACUGGUGUUUAAGUCACCUUCUUUAAGCCAUAUGACCCUUGAUUUUUGUCUGUAGAAAGAUUCUUCCUUGAGGUGAAGGUCAGAAAAGACACGGAGGUGGUCCUUUUCCGCAUCAGCUAGAGCUUGAUUAUGAGGGUCAAACUGAAUAGCGUUUUGAGCUUGCACGAGAAGACGUCUGGCGUCAGAAGUUCUAGCCAAAAUAUCAGAGUAAGCCUCCCUGUUUAAUAAUUUGAGUCUGCAUUUCAGGGACCUAAGCUUACUACAAAGGACAAACAUAGGCGUACCAGAGAUACGCAGCUCCCAGAUUUGCCGAACCAACUCAAAGAAGUUGGGGUGUGACAUCCAGAAAUUGAAGAACUUGAAGGGUUUACGCGAGCUAGGAACAGGGAGAAUCCUGACCACCAUAGGAGAGUGAUCAGACACUCCAGGGGCAAGAAAGUUGGCUUCCGAAUAGGAGAAGGCCGAGAUCCAAGCUGCAUUAGUAAGAACUCUGUCUAUCUUUCUUUGCCUUUGAUUAGGACCAGACGAAGUAGACCAAGUAAACCUGUUACCCACAAAGCGGAGAUCAUCUAGACCAAAUUGGAUGAGGCAAUCUCCAAAGUCUUCAAAGGCUGGGAUCCAGUAAUUGGAUCUAUCUGCUCUAUCAGAAGCAUACCGAAUGACAUUGAAGUCACCAGCAACAAUCCAGGGGAUGUCCAGACAAAUGGAACUAGUGGAGAUCAGAUCAUUCCAAAGCGGUCUUCUCAGGACAAAAGAAUGCUCCGCAUAGACUACCGAAAGAUUAAAAGCAACACCAGAAAUAAAACACUUCAACCGGCCAUGAAUGGCCUGAGCAGAACAAGCUGAGAUGCAAAAAGAAGCGGCCAAGGGGUUCCAACCCACCCAAAUACGACCCCUGAUGGAAUAAGAGUAAUUUGUAGACCAAGACCACCCAGGAAGAAGGGAUGCCGAAACAUGGGAAUGGGCAGCAGGGGAUAUUUUAGUCUCCAAAAUACCAAUACAACAGAGGCAGUUAGUCCUCACAAAAUUCCUAAUCUCAGCUUGUUUGAGGGCUUGUCCAAGACCCCUAAUAUUCCAAACACCAAAAAACAUAGGAAUGAGAUAAUAGGAUUACCUUCUCUUGCCACCUCGUUUCCUUGCCGAGUGUGGCAUAAGCUUCGGGCCAGCAGGAAUACUUGCCUCAGCAGAUUCAGAGCGGAGGAUUCCUUUUUGACGAACAGGGGCCUCCUGAUUAACCUUCGGAGGGGGAAAUUUAUCGCGUUCCUCCGGUAUGGACGAGGGCACCUUACAAGGUGAUACAGAUUCACCAUCAUCGGAACUGAUAUCUUCAUGAUUUUCAUCUGAAGGUGCAGACUUAUUCAAGCCAGGGGAAACCUGUCUUUGCAUCACAGUAGCGGAAUCUGGGUCAAUAGAGGUGGCAGGGAGUAGAUCAAAGGAAGGAUGAUGAUCCUCCUGCCUGGUUAACUCUGGUUGCCUAUGAAGGGCCAUUGAAAUCUGAGGCAUCGGAUCUCCAAUCUGGUUUCCUUCAGAACGGGGGGACUUGGGACGAUUCGGGACCGGAUCAUACAUCAGGCCAUCAUUUGCAGGCGUCGGGGCGUGCUUAUUGCGUUUACCACGCACUUCACGCCAUUCGUUUGGACGAGGGACAGGUGCCUUCGGGACUGAGGGACCAGGUUUAGAAGGACCUGAGGAAUUGGGGGCAGGACAUCUAUGGCCAAAUGAAGAGCAGGUUGGACAAAGUGUCGGGAUCCACUCAUAUUGGACUGUCACUGAUCUAAGCUCACCCUUCAUCAUAAACUCUAUAACUUCAGGGAAAGAGUUAGACGUAUCAACUUCUAUACAAACUCAAGCAAAAGCUACCAUUGCCAUCUGUUCUGUUCGAUUAUCAACAAAUAAGGGCUUACCAAUACCACUUGCCAGAAAACUAAUGCCAGCAGCAGACCAUAGAGCCACAGGGACGUUCCUGAGUCGAAUCCAGAUGGGGACAGUAUUAUGAGUUGAUUUCUUGAGCUCCAACAUAGGGUGCCAUUGUUGCAGGAUCAAGGGGAUUUUGGCUACUGUAAUCGGGCCUCCAUCCAAGACUUUCAUCCUGAAUUCACUAUCCGGAAUGUGAAAGAAGUAAAAACCAAGGUCAGCAGCAAUAACUUCGACCAAGUGAUGGCCCCAGGCAUUCUUGAGGGCGUCCUCUGUGAGGUGGAAGGGUAGGCGCUUCCCAAUGUAGUAACCAACCAGACAUUCCUCCCAUUUCGGGUGAGUAGAUUCGAGAAUCUCCUCCGGCAUCUGCAGAAUCUUAGAGUUCUCAAUUGUGGCCGGAGGAACAAAGGAUAAACCAUAGCCUUUGGUUGCCGAACGGGUCAGCAGCCCAGGAGCGAGCAGGAGGGGGAGUUUCCUUCACAGGGGGAAUAUGUACAUUCAGAAAUGGCUCCUCCGGCGCCUUAUUCGGGGCAUUCGGACGCCCUUUGGCCUCACGACCGUGGAGAACAGGGAUAGAUGCAGUGUCACGGCUGAAGGAGAUCUUCCUAUCCUUUCGAUUUAGACCAGCAGAGGCAUUAUCACACCCAACAGCAUUUAGCCGAGCAGGAAUACCCAGCAGAGGACGAGCCCUACGAGCCCUGCUUCGUCCCCUGCUUCGCGAACGCCCAGAGUGGGCGCGAGGUCCUCUCAGAGCCGAGGAGUAUCGCAUAACAGGGUUGCGAGUGGGUGUGGGGGAGUGAGGGUGCUCAACCGGAGCAACAACAUGGGCUUUACCCCGGUUAUCUUCCACCACCUCAGAGGAGGACACCAUUCGGAGACGGCGAACUCGGAAUUUCAAGCCCUAAAAACUCAGAUCCGAGAUUCCAGCUGAGGAAGACAUACCAGGGAAAUUCGCUCGGUAGAAGACAAGAUCAGAUGUAGAGGAAUGUUGUCUCCAAGCGUGGGCGCAAUCGGCCGGCCAGAACGGCCGGAAAUGGGAGACGCGCAGGCGAUGAACAGUGCUCGCGCAAACCCAGUCGAGAGCUUCAGCUUGAACAGUAACUUCUCCUCGUUUAAUGUUUAACUCACGCCCCAUCUGUUUUUCGUGCUCUCCAAACCUCAAAAAUACAAAGGAAGUUUGGGAAAAUAUGGCAAUUUCAAUGGGGGACGCGUGGGCUAAAAAUCCAUGAUUUCGGGGUUGCGCUGCCAACUGCGGCAUAUGGACUGGAUUACACCUCUCUUCACUUCCUAUUCUUCGAGCAGGUCUUGCCCGCUCGAGCACCGGGGCAUGUGAACCUGACUCAUGCACAUAUGGAUCAUGUGAAUUCUCCAUACGUUCCAUCUCACCCAUUGGUAUGCAUGACCCCAGAUUGAUUUAGCAUAUUCUUCCUAUUAAUUGGCUCCCGCUUCACUGCACCCGAUAUUAUCAGUCCCCUCAUGUGCAUGUGACCAUUGACAUUUGACAGGUCUACGUUCCAUCUACCAUGUGAGUCAUGUGACCACCGACAGUUGACAGGUCUACGUUCCAUCCACCAUGUGAGUCAUGUGACCAUCAAUAGUUGAUAGGUCCAUGUUCCAUCCGCCAUAAUCAUGGCCCCUUGUCCUUUUCCCUUUGCUCCUCUCCUUUCUCCCCUAUCAAUUGCAUUUUGUCUUUUUGAUGCUGCCAAAAUACCCAAAUGCUCUCUUGGCGAGGAAUUUAUUUAUCCUUUUCUUUAUGGUAUUGAUUUUAAUGAUAAAUUGGGAUGAGGGCCUUUCUCUAUUCCUCAAAAAAUCUCUCGAUAUAGAUUUGAGAGUUUAAUAAAUAUACUUUUGGGGAUUCAAUGCUCUCAUGCUUUAUUCAUGUAUAGAUUCUCUGCCCCAGUCUCAAUGAUGAUCGUAGGAGUUUUAGCAUUUCGUUGAAUUACGGAGAUUUGUUCCUCCACACAUUAUAAUUGUGUUUAUCUAACAUAGUAUGGUUGUUUUUGUACGAUGAUGGUAUAGAGGAAGCUGAAUCAAGGCACGCACCAUCAACUAACAACAUCAUAAUUAUUGAAGAAGGAAUUUUUGGCGUGUACUCAUCACUGACACAGACUCGAGAUCUGGUGAUUGGUUACCAAUUUUGUUUGACAUAUAUGUUCAUGUGGAGUGAGUUUGUGCUUAACUUUGCAAUUGCUCCAUCAAUCCUCCUUUUGUUCUGGAUUUGGCUUUGUUUUUCAGUAUUCAUGCUCUAUUUUGAUUUGCUUUGUCAUGAAAAUUAUUUACUUAUGCAUCAUUUUGAGUAAUGAAUACAAUUUUCCUUCGAUCGAGGGAAAAAAAAACUAAGUCAAGCCCCGACACCACAACAUUCAACCAUAGAUUUGUGGCUCUAGCGACCUUUGCCAGUCGCGAGUUCCAUGGACAUAGGUUUAUGAGCUUUGUGCAGAAAGAAAAAGAGAUGAAGGCAUAGAAGACAGACUUGAGCAGGUGAGGCGUUAACUCGCCGAUGGAUUGAUGCAUGAAGUUGAGGGCUAGUAAUGCAAUGGGUGGGCAGCAAAUUCGGCAACGCUGAGUGUGCAAUUUCAUAAAAAAAUCCUAACCUUUAUAUUUACCGUAAUACUAAUUAUCCAAGCUUUAUUUUUAUCAUCAAAAUCCCAAACUUAUAUGGUAACCAAAAAAUAUGUUCCAUCAAAGUUUGGUCCAAGAUAAAUGUCAAAAAUCUAACGUGGUGUCUUGGACGACGAUGAACUUAAAAAUCUGAAUAAAGCUUUUGAAAGAAAACUCGACUUAGCAACUUUUAGGGUCCAAGAAGGGAGAUAAUCCACUUGGCGGUCCUUUUUGUAAAACAAACGAGCUACAAUUUUUACUUCGAAGAAAAAGUGGGAUGGAAUACAAAUUCUAGCUUUGCUUUUUAUCCUUUUCCGCUUUGCGCUUGAGACUCACAUUCGUCCACCUUGAUUUUAGCAUUUCACUUUUGGUCUUACUCCUUAUCGGGAGAAGAAAGCAUAUGAUGGAUCUCUCUUUAUUUGGAUGAAGAGACCAAAAUAUUCAACAUGCCCAGGUUUAGAAUUUUUUUUAUCUUUCCUUUUAUUUAGUUUCUUUUCUAGGUGAACUUCGUCUAAACUCCACGACAACUCCUUCCACAUCGUUCCUUGACCUUUUCGCACGUUUCUUCCUUUGCUUCAAAUCCUUGAUCUUCCCCUCGUUGGCACUGCUCUCUGCUCACACGCCUCCAAAACCCUAACCCGAUGCCCAUGGCCAUGGUCAUUUCCGGUGAUUGACGAACUGACCUCCUCAAAGUUGCCGGGGAGUGCAUGAUCGAUGUGAACGCUCCAACACCAGCAAGACCUUCAGACUUCGAUGGGUACAGAUGUGGACUAAAUGAACCUAUUGGUAUUUGAUAAGGACGACAUGGAGGAAACACGGUGAGGCAGCCAAGGAGGAAAAAUAAAAUCCCGCAAGAUACAAAGGUGUAAAAUUGUUUGGUUCCAGAAUUCAUGGGCUCUUAAGUCUUUUCAUACAUACAUCCGAAUUUGACAAAAGCAAAAUUUAAAAUUGAAGCAAUUAAUCACGAUUGACUCUAUGAGUCAAAAAAGACUCUUGGGAAGUAUAAAAUUCAUCGAUUCGAGACCAAUGGAAGAUCAAAUUGUUUUCUGAUAGCUUUAGCUUUGAUUAAACUCCACUAAACUUUUGUUUUAGUAAAACAAACUCCAAAGGUCUCAUUGCAAUUUUUUUUUUUAAUCGGACUCCUUCCAUUUAAAUUGAAAUUGAGUGUCCUCCAUUAUAGCUCAGAAGCUCCAAGAAGAAGAGAAAAUAGGUGGGUUCCCAUUGCCUUAACUCAUCUCUUUAUAAAGGAAAAUAUAGACUUCGUAUUAGAUGUGGGCCUUAACUAUCAAAGACCUUUACUCCUUCACGAUAGAAAUAUCAAGGAAAUAAAAAGGAAAGAUCUUUUUCAAUGACUUUUGGGUAGAUCAUUGAACUUAGAAGCCAUAGGAUUGGCUGAACAUGCAGAGAGAGUUGUGGGCCAGUUUGCUACAAAAUUUGGUCAAUAAGGAUGAUUCCUUGAAGCAUCAUCCAGCUUGCCAAAGUUGACAAUUAUUUACAUUUCUUAACACAAAAAAAUCACUAGACCAUGUGAUGCAAAAAUUUUAGGAUUAGAAUCAACUUUUGCCCCCCAAAUAAAUGGCAGAUUCAUUCAAAGUCAAGUCAACAAAAGCAGACAUCAAAUUUUGACAAUUGACAAGUGUAUCAAAUUGGGGUUUUAUCCUUUGUUUGUCACAUAUGUAUUGGUUUGUGCUUUUUCCUAGUAUUAAUCAUAUUUAACGGAAACUAAUGGAGGGUAAAUUUGUCACAAUGUGCUAGUUUGGAGUUUUUGGUGAUCAAAAAAUUAAUUUGAGAUUCACGGGUAUAUAAGUUUGAGAUUUUUCGUGGUAUUAACUCUAAAAACAAUAAGAUUUAGAGAAACACAACUUGGCAAGAAGGAAUCAUUACCCUUAUUUUCUUGCUACGCUUUAAAGUGAGAAGAAUAUACUUUAUCAAUGCUCAAUUUUUCUACAUUCCCAAAGCACGAUUAAUCUAAUAUUUCACAAAUAUGAUUUCAUAAUUUCUAUCUUGAUUUCUUUGUAAUCGUUUUUAUUUCAAUGGAUUAUAGAAUUAAUGAAGAAGAUAUCAAUUCUAGUUUAUUAGUCAUUCCAUGUUACUUUUAACGAUACAAGCCGCAUCUAGUGGAUUCACUUAUUACUAAUUACGAUAAAAUCAGUUUUUUCAACUUGUUUUCACCAUAAUCAAUUUUUUCUGAUUCCCUUUCUCUGAAAUUGAAUUUCCUAAAAGCAUUUUCCCGCAGCAAAAAUCAGCGAGAUAAAGACAUCCUCAGAGUUUUUUUUAUUUAUUUGAUUUUCUAAUUUCAUAUGACAUAAUAUGAUGGGAGGAAAUUGUACGAUGAAAUUAUCAACGGAUAUGAGAAUUGGAGGGAAAUUUGUUGCCAUGUAAAUUUUGCAGGUGAUGGGAGAACGAUCAAUCAGUGUUGGAUUUUACAGAGUGAUAUGGUGACCUUUUUUUCUCUUCUUUUUGAUAAAAUCACUACAUUUAUGGAUGUCUGUCCGCAAGGGACAAAGUACCAAAUGAAUGAACCAUUGGUGUGAUUCCUUCUUGAGCAAAGCUGGUUCAUCAUGGACUGUUGGUAGCCUAAGUCUUUGUGGACUUUGACUUUGCCCUUACUGGUAGACUGUUCUUUUAUUUAUCUAUUUUCUUUGGAGAGUGGUAGGUAAUGCAAUCUUUAAUCUAACGAUUUUAUUUCGAUGCAAGACAAAAUUGUAUAUAUACUGCACUUCACAUGAUAACUAAAAAUUCUAUGUUUCACGAUGGAAAAAUAGCCACUUCACAAUUGAAGUUUCACAAUGCUAACUCAACAACAGCCAAGGUAAGUUGCAUAUACCAAAAUCAGCUUAUGUCUGUUGGAGAAAUCCUCAUGAAGAGUUUUGAAGUUGACAAGAUGUUUCUGUCAGUCUAGUCUGAAGGUCUGCAGACUCUGUUAGUUAAAGUCUGAAGACUUCCGGACAGCCAGACUCAAGACUCAAAGUCUAUCCUCAUUAACAGUCUCUGAUCCGUUGAAGAAAGGUUAUCCCGAACUGGAUGUUUUGUUUAGGAUUUAACCUUAUCAUCUGGAGAAGAUCUUGUGGCUGGAGAAGACGUAUCAGAAUCCUUUGAUUGAUCAAGAUUGAUUCAAUGAUUGAAGAUUCGAUGAUUAUCUAAAUAUUAUUGGAAGGUUUUGCUUAUGGAAACCGAGAUCCUGAUUGUAUGGGCGAACGGGAUUGAUGGGCUAUCAACACGUUCCUUUAAUAGCUCGAACGAUCUUCCUAAUUGAUUCCGUCCAACGGGUAGAUUGGAGGAAUUCCUUUGGAAAGUGCCAACGGGUAUGAUGGCAUAAAGGAGUAUAUAAGGAAGACGUUCUUAGUUGUUUAAGAGAGAGUGCGCGAUAGAAAAAUUCCAAAGUCUGAAGCUCCUAUUUGUUUAGAUAAAUCUCUUGAGCGAAUACUUGUAUACAAAAGAGAGUCUAUAUUUGUGAGAGACCUUGAGGAGGUGUGAUAGAAUAUCUACACUGUGGAAUCAAGGCAAAUCUGUGCUGUAACUUCUCUUUUGAUCAUAGUGAAAUCCAGCCGGUGGGCUGUCAGUGCGGAAGAGUGGACGUAGGCUUGGAAUAAGCCGAACCACUAUAAAUCUUGUGUUUGAUUUUCUCUUCCUUACUCUUUCUACCUCGAUCGUAUUUCAAUCUGUUAAGAAUUGCUUCCGUAUUUGAGAAAAAUUGUGUGUGCGCCUAUUCACCCCCCCUCUAGGUGUUUAUACUAGCAAUAUCAAUUGGUAUCAGAGCCUGUGUACUUACUUUAUUUGAAGUGUUUUACUUCAUAGUAAAAGAUCCAUGGCUAGUAUGAUAGCACUAGGGCUGAUGGAAGGGCAAAGCAAUACCAGACCACCUUACUUUGAUGGAAAGGAUUACAACAUCUGGAAGAACAAGAUGAAAGCUUUCCUACGAUCAAAGGAUCCUCUGGAAUGGGACGUUGUAGAAAAAGGAAUUACUCCUACCACUGCAUCAGUCUCUGAAAGAGGAAAAGAAACUGAAGAAUCCAGAGGAAUGUCUCAGGAAGAAAUAACCAAGAGACAGACACUCGAUGCAAAAGCAAUUUAUUCCUUAUAUUGUGCUUUAUCACCAACUGAAGAUAAUAGAAUAUCUUCUUGUGGUACAGCAAAAGAAGUUCGGGACAAAUUGCAUAUCACCUAUGAAGGAACAGAUCGAGUGAAGGAAACAAGAAUCAACAUUCUUCUCGGUCAAUACGAAGCUUUUAGAAUGAAACCAGGAGAAUCAAUAUCUGACAUGUUUAGUCGUUUUACAGAUAUUGUAAAUGGUCUUGAAAAUCAAGGUCAACCAACUUCUGAUCUCAUGAAGGUAAACAAGCUACUGCGUGGACUCUCCAAGGAUUGGAAUCACAUAAAGACUUCGAUAAGAGAGACAUAGAGAAUAAUGCCACUAUCUGUUGAUGAGCUGAUUGGAACUCUUCAGUCCUAUGAAGUGGAAAGGAUCAAUGAAGAUGAAGAUCCAAGAGGUAAGAAAUCCAUUGCAUUAAAAUCAAAUGAUGAUUCUGAUGUUACAGAUUCUGAAGAAGAUAUGGACGAUGAGGAGCUUGCUCUCAUGAUAAGAAGAUUCAGAAAACUAAACAGAAAAGGAAGAAGGUUCAACUCAAAGAAACAAGGCUUUCAAAGACAGCAGAUCAAGUCUGUUGAUGAUGAGGAACCAAACAAAGAUGUAGUCUGCUUUGAAUGCAAGAAAAAGGGACACAUCAGACCCAACUGUCCUCUUUUGAAGAAGAAGAAAGGAAAAGCUGAAAAAUUUCGAAAAGCUCUCAAAGCUGAAACCUGGAGUGAUACUGAGUGUGAAGAAAGUGAUAAUGAAUAUGCCAAUAUAUGUCUGAUGGCACAAUCAGACUCAGACUCUGGAUCAGACUCAGGAUCAGACUCAGACAGUGAAUUUGAGGCAAGUAAUUUUAAAAUUCCUGUCAAAUUUUCUAAAUAUAUUGAGGAACUAUGUUUUAGUCUUAAGACUUCUCUCAAAAGUAUUUCCAAACUAAAAAAGGAAAACUCAGCUCUAAAACAAAAGGAAAAUGUUUUAGCAGAAAGAGUUAAAAGUCUAGACUUGUCUGUUUCCAAUCUUAAAGAAAAUAAAGAAAAUCUUUUAAAAGAAAAUGCUUUUUUAAAAACAGACUUAUCUAAUAUAUCAAAGAAAUUUUCUAUGGGUUCUGAAAAACUUGAGAAAAUUCUUUCAGCACAAAGACCUUACUUCAAUAAGUCUGGUCUAGGUAUGACAGAAGAAACAAUUCCCUUGAUUGAUUUUCCUAAAGUAAAAGAAAGAAUUAAGAAAAGGCUUUCGAGUGAGGUUUACAAAAAUCACUUCAAGAAAGUCUUUGUAAAACCUGUAAGUAGAAAUGCUCUCAGAUGUUCUAAGUGCAACAGUCCGGAUCACUUUGAAAAAGAGUGUCCUAUGGUAUGGAAACCUAUUAAGAAAGUAUGGGCUAAUACUGUUUAUCUUACUAACACCAAAGGACCCAAGAAAAUUUGGGUACCAAAGAAAGCUUGAGACUCUUUGUUAAAUGCAGGUCUCCAUCAAGAAACAGGUAAAGUGGUAUCUUGACAGCGGAUGCUCAAGACACAUGACAGGAGACUCAAAUUGCUUUAUAAAGCUUGCUCAAGUAAAUGGUGGAAAAGUUUCAUUUGGAGGAAACAGCAAAGGAAGUAUUGUGGGAUUUGGAACCGUGAAAAUUGGAACUCUCACAAUAAGUAAUGUUUCCUUAGUUGAAGGACUCAAUUACAAUCUUCUCAGCAUUAGUCAAUUGUGUGAUACUGGUUUCAAGAUCUCCUUUCAAGAAGGAACAUGUUCCGGAAUCAGUAAAGACUCUACUCAAUCUUUUCUGGGUCGAAGACAUGGGAACAUCUAUCUUCUGGAUGUGAAAUCAAAUGAAUCACAAUGUCUGAUCUCAAUUCAAGACGAAGCAAGCUUAUGGCACAAAAAGCUUGGACAUGUCAAUAUGAAGCAAUUAGCCAAAAUCUCAUCAAAGCAGCUUGUUCGAGGUCUACCAAAAUUGCCAUACCAAAAGACUAAUUCAUGCACUCCAUGUAUUCUGGGAAAGCAGGUAAAAAAUUCUUUUAAGCCAAUAAAUCAUGUCUCUACUAAUCAUGUUCUACAGUUGCUGCAUAUGGAUCUCUUCGGACCAACCAGAACUCUAAGUAUUGGGGGUAAGAAGUAUUGCCUAGUAAUUGUUGAUGAUUACUCCCGUUUUACUUGGGUAUAUUUCCUUUUAAGUAAGUCCGAAACCUUUUCGUAUUUUGAAAAUUUUGCUAAAAAGGUUCAAAAUGAAAAAGGUUGUGUUAUCUCUAGUAUAAGAACAGAUCAUGGAGGUGAAUUUGAAAAUCAAGAUUUUACAAAGUUCUGUGAUGAAUCUGGCUGUAAGCAUAUGUUUUCCUCUCCGUAUACUCCUCAACAAAAUGGAGUUGUGGAAAGAAAGAACAGAUCUCUUCAAGAAAUGGCUAAAACUCUUUUAAUUGAAAGUAGAAUUUCUUCUCGAUUUUGGGCAGAAGCUGUUUCAACAGCUUGCUAUAUCAUCAAUAGAGUUUUCUUAAGAUCUAUUCUUCAGAAAACCCCUUAUGAGUUAUUCAAAGAAAAGAAGCCUAUUGUUUCAUACUUUCAUGUAUUUGGUUGCAAAUGUUUUAUAUUGAAAAAUGCAAAAGAUCGAGUUAGUAAGUUUGAAGAAAGAUCAGAUGAAGGUAUCUUCCUUGGAUAUUCUAUAUCAAGCAAAGCUUACAGAGUCUAUAACAAGAAAAGCCAGUCUGUAGAGGAGUCAAUGAAUGUCAAAUUUCAAGACUCAAUGCAAGAUGAAUCAAGUUAGACUCAUCAAGAAGAAUCUGAACCUACUUCAGACCCUCCAAAGUCUACAACUCAAGAAGCAUCUCAGACUCUUGAAAACCAGCAUCAGGUUGUUAAUGAAGAUCCAAAUAAAGAAAGAGAUCAUCAACCAGACAAAUCAACAAGUAACUGGAAGCAUAAGUCCAGUCAUCCCAAAGAUCUUAUAAUCGGCGAAAUAAAUGAAGGAAUUCGCACAAGAUCCAAAAGGCGAGAAGAGUCUAGUGCUGUGGCACUCGUUUCUGAAAUUGAACCAAAGGGCAUAGAAGAAGCUUUAUCUGAUGAAAGCUGGAUUGAAGCUAUGCAAGAAGAACUCAGACAGUUCAGCAUAAAUGAUGUUUGGGAAUUGACAUCCAAACCAAAAGGAAAAACUGUUAUUGGAGCCAAAUGGGUGUUCAGAAACAAAAUGAACGAGAAAGGAAAAGUCGUACGAAAUAAAGCAAGACUUGUGGCCAAAGGAUAUACGCAAGAAGAGGGAAUAGACUAUGAUGAGACUUACGCUCCAGUGGCAAGGUUAGAAGCUAUUCGACUAUUACUUGCGUUUGCUUGUUAUAAGAAUUUCAGGUUAUUCCAAAUGGACGUCAAAAGCGCCUUCCUAAAUGGAUUUAUCCAUGAGGAAGUUUAUGUGGAACAACCGCCAGGGUUUGAAGACCCAAAGAAGCCAGACUCAGUCUUCAGACUGAAAAAGGCUUUGUAUGGUUUAAAGCAAGCACCUCGGGCUUGGUACGACAGGUUAAGUAAUUUCUUAUUACAAAAUAGUUUUGUCAAAGGUAAAAUAGAUACGACUUUAUUUAUCAAGAAGGAAAAUAAAAGUUUCUUACUUGUUCAAAUAUAUGUGGAUGAUAUUAUUUUUGGAUCCUCCAAUGAAAGUCUGUGGUAGAAAUUUUCAAAGUCUAUGCAGGAUGAGUUUGAAAUGAGUAUGAUGGGAGAAUUAACAUUCUUUCUUGGUCUUCAAAUAAAACAAUUGAAGGAAGGAACUUUCAUUUUUCAAGAAAAAUAUGUUAAUGAUCUUGUCAAAAGGUUUGGACUGGAGAAUUGCAAAAAGACCGACAUACCAAUGUCAAGUUCUUUAAAGAUAGACAAAGAUGAAGAAGGGAAGAAAGUUGAUCAAAAGCUGUACAGGAGUAUUAUUGGAUCACUUCUUUAUCUUACUGCCUCUAGACCUGAUAUUUUGUUGAGUGUUUGCAUCUGUGCUAGGUUUCAAUCAGAUCCUAGAGAAUCCCAUCUCAGUGCUGCCAAACGCAUCAUAAAAUACGUUGCUUCAUCAUCAAGCAUCGGUCUUUGGUAUCCUAAGAAGGGAGACUUUAAACUUCUGGGAUAUUCAGACGCAGAUCUAACCGGUUGCAGAGUUGAUAGAAAGAGCACUUCAGGAACUUGCUAGUUGCUUGGAAGCAGAACAGUGUCUUGGUUUUCAAGGAAACAAAGUAUUGUGUCUCUUUCAACAACAGAAGCAGAGUAUGUAGCUCUUGGAAGCUGCUGUUCACAAAUUCUAUGGAUAAAACAACAGCUAAGAGAUUUUGAAAUCGAAGACUCAUGCACAGAGAUUAAUUGCGACAACACCAGCGCUAUCAACCUCACCAAAAAUCCAAUUCUCCACUCAAGAGCGAAGCAUAUAGAAAUUCGACAUCAUUUUAUUAGAGAUCAUGUUCAAAAUGGAGAUGUUUCAAUUCAAUUUGUUGACUCAAAGAAUCAGCUGGCUGAUAUUCUCACGAAGCCUUUGGAGAAAAAUCAAUUUGAGUCUAUACGGACCAGACUCAAUAUUUUGAGGUAUGAGGAUAUCAAAGUCUAAAGACUUUCAAACUCAGGCUUACAAGACUUUAUCAACAGUCUUGUCUCGACCUUCAGACUGUAAGUCUUUCUCUAUCCAAUCUUAUCUUGAAAAGGUACGAUCAUCAGACUGUGUUUAAAUUGUUGCCGUAAAUAUUACAUCGAUUCAUUUUCAAAAGGGAAGUUAUUUUUGAAAUAGCUAUUUUUACGGAUAAAAUCAGUUAUUUUGAAAAGGCAUAUUUUUAUUUCCUUUGUGACGAUUCGUUUUCUCUUCUUUUUAACCGAACGAGCACUAUCGAUUACUCUCUCUCAAAAACCCUAGAAAGCAUCGAUCUUCCAUUCCCGUUUGUCUACUUCUCUAAAUCUUCAAAAAGUUAUCAUCUUUUCUGGGAAAGUCAAGCUAGGAAACUUCCAAACACUGUUAAAGAUGUCUUCUUCACGAAAGUCGUCAAGAAUCGCAAGCAGUGGACCAUAGAGAAUGAGUAAGGGGCCUACGCACUUCGAUCUUACUGAAGAUGAAGUUUCUCCAGAUCAGCAACCGAGCCCACAACAUUCUCAGCAGCGUCAUUCUACAUCAUCUAGUCAUCAAGGCAUUGUUCAUCAGGAAGAAAUCAUCGAGGAAGCAGACCUCGUAAGAGUUCAAAAGCCUGCUUUUAUCUACAAGCUAUAUCGUGCUUUAAAAGGAAUUCGUACUCCCUUAAACUAUGUUGAUAGUUUUGUUAAAGAAAAAGGAUAUAGGAACGAAUAUAUCUUUCUGAAAAGAAUGGAAAGUUUGGGAAUCGCUCGUAAAGGGGUGGCUGAGGAAACCCUUGCGAAUAUCCCAAGUGAUCCUUGUGACUGGGGGCCAAAUCCUGUAGAUGGGAAUGAUGAUGACAAUCUGUUCAGUCUAUUUCAACCGAAAAUGGGUAUUGCGGCUGAAAUUCAAGGAAAAAGGGGAGAUUUGUUCAGAUCAAAGGAACAAAAGGAUCUGUACUCGAAAUUGCUGAAGCGUGGGGUAAUAAACCCUAGGAGUGUGGACUUUGAUUUUAUGGAUGCUGUGAAAGUGAACUUGAGGGAAAAGUUCAGUUAUCUUCAACUUGAAAAGUUUUGUUCUGACUCAACUGAGGCUUAUGCUAAAUUGACUGCUUACUUCUAUUCAAAUCUUAGCUUUUAGAUGCGAAUAGAUUUUCCUUCAGUGUCAAAGAACAAGACUAUGUUGUGGAUAUGGAUAUGCUGGCAGAUGUGUUAGAAGUUGAGAGAGGCAGAUAUCAACCGAUUAAAGUUUCCAUUGCUCGGGCCACACUUGAAUUGGUGAAGGACAGGAGAAUAGAAGAGAAUCACCUACUCAAGGAUGAAUGCAUUCAACAUCUUGCUUCACAAGACUGUGAUUAAUUGCCUUCGGCCGAAAUCAACUUCCAAAACUGAUGUUUCAAGCUCUAAGGCAAAAUUGAUGUAUGCCAUCCUCUGUGGAAAGAAGUUUUCUCUUCCUCAUACUGUCAUGUUUCACAUGUAUAGAGCAGUGAUGAAGGACAGAGGUCAACUCCCUUACCCAAGCCUUGUUACGAAGUUAUUCAGACAUCUGAAUAUUCAGCCUCCGCAAAUCUUUUGUGUUCGAUCAUGCGAUCAUAUGGUGGUAGGACUGAAAAUGGUGACCAAAAUGCGUCUGAAGGAACUGAGCAAGGAAUUGGAGAAAUUCAAGGAGAAGACUCCUGCCAAGUCUCAUCAACUCUCUUCUGCUACUAAGAGAAAAGGGAAGGAGCCCAUGGCUGCUCCCUCAAAGAAAAGAAGAGCUCUCCUCGUUGAGGAUGAAGAUGAUGACGAUGACAUCACCAUCUCUGCAAUGGCUUUGAAGAACUUAAGUCGUUCUGUUCCACAGAAAGAAUCGGAACAAAAGACGAAAGAAGCAGAGGAGAAGGAAGAAGAAGAGAGAGAAGCAAAGGAGAAGGAAGACGAAGAAAGAGAAACAGAGCAAGAAGCAGAGGAAAAAAAGACCCGAAGAAGAAAGAAGAGAAUGAGAACCUGAGGAAAUCUCUUCUCCACCUGUAGGCAUGAAAACAGGGGGAGUUCAGGAGAAAGGAGUGACAUCUUCAUUUCCAGAUGAAAGUGAAGGAGUCAGUCGUUCGCCUGCAGACCCAGAAGAUGUUUAUGCAUCUCAAUUUCCAGAGGAAGGUCAUGAAGCUUCAUCACCCAACCUGCGAGAUUAUGCUGAUCCACCAUCGUCUGCUUUUACUCCAUCAGAACGAGCAGAAGCAAGUACUCAGACUGAUAAUGGAGCAGAUUUUCGCAUAAUCAUGGAUAUUCUCUUGGAGAUGAAAGGUCAGAUUUAUGCAUUGGGAUGCGAAGUUCAAAGCUUGAAGAAUGAAGGUUAAGCUUCUUCCUGUUCAUUAAAUGAAAAGAUGCAAGCCCUCUCUAUUCAAAAUCAGGCAAAUGCCAAGAGUGAGGAGGUUGUACAGCUAAAGGAAGACUUUAAGAGGCUGGAAGGCAUUGUUCAGUCUAUGGAAGAUUUCCAGCUUGUCCGCGUUCCCAAGCAAUCUUGAUUUCAUCUCAUCCUUUUUAAAUGAUGACAAAAAGGGGGAGAGAUGCAUGAUUUGAAAACUUUCAAUCUUUUUAACUGUUUGUUGGAUUGUGUUUAACUGUCUGUUUGUUUUUGACAGACUUUGACUUUGUUUUGUGUCUGGAUAAGAACUGCCUAGACUUAGAUUUGACUGCUUCUAUUUAUCAAUAUUGAUAUCUUAUGAAUGGCUUAAUCAUAUAUUGGACUAACCUAUUUUCUGUGGUUGCAGAUUCUAGUGUUAUUCUAUUAGCCAUUUAUUUCUAUAAGAUAUGCAUAUGUGGUUGAGGAAUGUUUUGCAGGUCAAAGUUAUCCAAAUCUGCAGGAAGGUUUUGUCACCAUCAAAAAGGGGGAGAUUGUUGGAGAAAUCCUCAUGAAGAGUUUUGAAGUUGACAAAAUGUUUCCGUCAGUCUAGUCUGAAGGUCUGCAGACUCUGUUAGUUAAAGUCUGAAGACUUCCGGACAGCCAGACUCAAGACUCAAAGUCUAUCCUCAUUGACAGUCUCUGAUCCGUUGAAGAAAGGUUAUCCCGAACUGGAUGUUUUGUUCAGGAUUUAACCUUAUCAUCUGGAGAAGAUCUCGUGGCUGGAGAAGACGUAUCAGAAUCCUUUGAUUGAUCAAGAUUGAUUCAAUGAUUGAAGAUUCGAUGAUUAUCUAAAUAUUAUUGGAAGGUUUUGCUUAUGGAAACCGAGAUCCUGAUUGUAUGGGCGAACAUGAUUGAUGGGUUAUCAACACGUUCCUUUAAUAGCUCGAACGAUCUUCCUAAUUGAUUCUGUCCAACGGGUAGAUUGGAGGAAUUCCUUUGGAAAGUGCCAACGGGUAUGAUGGCAUAAAGGAGUAUAUAAGGAAGACGUUCUUAGUUGUUUAAGAGAGAGUGCGCGAUAGAAAAAUUCCAAAGUCUGAAGCUCCUAUUUGUUUAGAUAAAUCUCUUGAGCGAAUACUUGUAUACAAAAUAGAGUCUAUAUUUGUGAGAGACCUUGAGGAGGUGUCAAAGCUGGUUCAUCAUGGACUGUUGUCAGUCCAAGUCUUCGUAGACUAACUUUGCCCUUCUAAUGCCAUGAUAUUUCAGUUCUCUCGCAACCCCUCAUAUGCUGUUCUGUCUUAUUUUUUUUUUCUCUCUUUUUGAGAGUGGUAGCCAAUGUUAAUGGCACGGUAAAACGAGGCACAGGGAGCUUAGGUUUUAGAUUGUUGGCAUUCAUAUCAAUAUCACAUCAAACAAUCUCAUACAAUUCAUAAUCUAAUGAUUGUAUUUCAGUGCAACGGUUUUUGCAUGUAUGCAGCACUUUCGUACUUUCCAUUUAGUUAAAUUAGAUGGUAUCAACGUUUUUAUUGAUUGAUGAUAUAAUUAGCUAGACUAUUUAAAAAUCAAAGUAUUUCUAAAUAGAUAGUGUUUGUUUGCAAGUAUUUUUUUCUUUUUAUUUUCUAAAUCAAUUUUGUGGUAAUUAAACAUUCCACAUUUCACAAUAGAAAACAAAAUCUCGCUAGAUCAGAGGUAUAAAGAUGUUCCAUUAUGAAAUUCAUAAGUUCUUAAAUCUUUUCAGGCAUAAAUCCAAGUGUGAAAAAAACCAACAUUUAAGAUUGAAGUUAUUAAUCGCAAUGACUUGAUGAGUCAAAAAACACUUUUGGGAAGUAUCGAAUUCCCAUUUGAGUAGCAUCUAUUUUCACAAAUCUAUUUAUUCACUUGCUAAAUAUUAAAUCAUGAUUUGAUCAUAUCACUCAAUGUAUCGAUUUUAGUAUGCUUAUUUAAAUUUCUUGUAAAUAACUUAGAUUUAUUGGUUAAACUUCAAAUGAUGAAGAGCUCAUGCUUAUUGAGUAGAAGCACACAUAUUUUUAACAACAUUAAAAGAAAAAAAAAUCCACAUCUUGCUAGCAGUUAAAAUUAAAAUGCUAUCUGUUAUGUGAAAUGUUGAAUGCAUGUUAUUUUACAAAAUUCUUAUAGUAAUUAACCCACCGAGGACCUCAAUAGUCAUUCAAGGCAAAACUCCCUUGAAGAAUCCGACGAAAAUUCUUGUUAAAAAGCAAAGUGAAUGAUGAAAAUAAAUAAAGCAAUACAGCAAAGAAAAAGAAGGGGUCAUCCUAAUGUGGAAAAGAAGUCCCGCCAAUGCUUUAGCGUGUGCCUUUGGUAGUCCAAGUCUUCGUAGACUUGGGUCAACAUUGGUGUGAUUCCUUCUUGAGCAAGCUGGUUCAUCAUGGACUGUUGGUAGUCCAAGUCUUCGUAGACUUUGACUUGGGUCAAUCAUUGGUUUCAAUCUUCUUGCACCACCCACACGCUGUUUUGUCUGAUUUUUUUCUCUUUCUGAGAGUGGUAGCUCAUGCUAAUAGCACGUUAAGACGAGGCACAUGGAGCUUAGGUUUUGGAUUGUUGGCGUCCUUAUCAAAAUCACAUCAACCCAUCUCACGCAAUUCUUAAUCUAGUGAAUGUAUUUUGAUGCAACACAUUAUAUGUAUGUGACACAUUCCAUUUCCAUUUAGUUAAAUUAAAUGGUUCCAACUUUUUUAUUGAUUGAUGACAUGAUUGACUAAAUUUUCAAGAGAGAAGUUUUUUUGGACAUAUAGUGUUUCUUUGCAAGUAUUUUUCUAUUUUUUGAAUCGAUUUUGUGAUAACUAAACAUUCCAUAUUUUACGAUAGAAAACAAAAUCUCUCUAGAUCUGGAGGUGUAAAAUUGUUCCAUUUCAUAAUUCAAUGUUCUUAAGUCUUUCUAGGUAUAAAUCCAAGUGUGACCAAAAAAAAAAUUUAAGAUUGAAGUUAUUAAAUCACGAUGACUCAAUGAGUUAAAAAGAAGAAUCUUGGGAAGAAUCAAAUUUCUUGAAUUGAGAGUGAUGGAAAAUUGAAUUUGUUCUCUGAUAGCUUUAGCUUUCAUUGUCACUCCACUAAAAUUUUGUUUUAGUAAAAUGAAAAUCUCGUCCCAUUUUUUUUUUUUGAAAUCAGACACCAUCCAUUUGAAUCAAAAUUGAGUUUCCUCCUUUAGCUCAAAAGCUUGGGAAGAAGAGAAAAUAUGUGGGAUCCUGUUGCCUAAUUCUUACUCAUUUUAAAGGAAAAGAAAGACUUCUCAUACAAAUGUGGACCUUAAUUAUCGAUACAUUUUUUCCUUUACCCUAGAAUAUGCAUAGAAUCAUGGGCCAGUUUUGCUGCAAAAUUGGUCAGUAAGGAUGCUUCCUUGCAGCAUCAUUGCGGCUUGUCAACUGUGAAAAAAUAUUACGUUUCUUAAUGUGGAAAAUCACUAGACUAUGUGGUGCAGAAAUUUUGGGAUGAGAAUCUACUUUUGCCCCAAAAUAAUUCAUUCAAAGUCAAGUCAACAAAAGCAGACACCGAACUUCCAAAACAAGUUCGUUUCCCCCAUCCUAAUUAAGGUGAACUCCGGUCGGUCCAAUUUAAUGGGCUGAUCAGGCCCAGGCCCGGAAUAACUCUGAAGCAUAAAGCCUAGUGGAAUUAUUGGGCUUGAUCUUGUCAAAGCACUCCCCAAUGAUCAAUUGAAUUAAGAAAAGAUUACAUUUUAUUUCGGAGGUGACCCAUCCUUCGCAUUUAACCUGUUGUUAGUGUCAAAAAUUGCUUGUCACAAAACGUUGUAGUUGAACAUUAAAUCCAUGCAUUGUGCUGAUUAUUAUACAAAACAUUACUAAAAUAGAGUCCACAAAACCAAUGUGUAAGCACAGUCUUGUGUCGUAUUAAAACUUUGAGCCACCAACAAGUGUGGUAAAUAAGCUCACGAACAUGAUGUGACCUAUUAGAUCUCAUUUGGAAUUUAACUCAAUUAGCAUUUCCACAUUCACAAUUGAACUUGAAAGCCUCUAUGAUGACUGGGAAAAGUUUAGCGAAGCCUCUCUAAUGACUAUAAUGACUAAAAAAAAAUAUUGACUCCCCCUGAAUUCAAGUAUGAAAGUUUUCUAUUUCAGAUAAUGUUUUUGGAGGUGUGGCUCUUUGCUCUCUCAGUUAAUGCUUGUGGAUUAUCUAUUACAAAAGGGGGAAAAAGAGGCAAAAAUAAAAGAACUUAUGGACAACGCGAGAUUAUUCCAUGUUAAAAUUUGAGAAUUGGAAAAAAAAAAAUUCGCCACACUUCUAUUAAUUUGAAAUUAAACGAUUUGGGUUGCUAUUUCAGAUUUACCUCGACAUUAGAUGAUGAUGUCAAACCAAGUCCAUUUGCAGCUAGAAACAUUUUUUAGUAUAAUUAAGCUUGAAUCUGAAAAUAUUUGACUGGAGAAGUUUGCCAUCAUAAUGAAGUAAUUGCAAUUUCAUAUACCUCCACUAAUAUAAAUAAACAAAUGAAUUAUAUCAAUUUUAAUUUGAGUGUAUAGUAACCAACUAAUUGAACGGUAGAGCACCCAUUUGUCCAACAGAAUGUCUCAUUCUCUUUGGCUAAAAUACAACAGAAGGCGUCCCCACGCAAUCUUUCUAAAUGUUCCGAUUUUAGCAAAACUUACUUCACGACGUAAAUCACCGAAUGUGACAUUGAAAAUGCCCACCGACAAAAUAAGAUCCCAAGGGCAAAUUAGGAAAGAUCAUAAAGAAUCUGGAACGAAAUAGAUCGCGUUUGAGGCUGAUGGUUGUUCUGACAUGCUUGAUUGCUGCAAAGUGAGGCGAUACUCAAGCUUUUCAAGUUCAAGAGAUUGGAAAUGCUAUCAUCAGCUCGUCGCUCGGUAUGAAUAUGUAGACAAAGAAGAAUUUCUAGGAGUCUUGGCACUUGGGGUAUCUCAACACAUGUCGGUUUCAAAAUCUUCCAAGGUGAACAUCUCCAGAUAUCAUAGGAAUUUCUGAUUAGCAAAUUUUCACUAAGCUCUGCAUCUAUUCUUCUAGCUAUUCCUGAUUCCAUACUGCACUAGUUAUUGUUCUCAUGAUAGAGAACCUCAUCUUCAAUACUUUCAAAUACUUCAUGUUCCCGACCAACCAGGCAGCUUCUCUAUGUCCAUGUUCAAUUUAUCGAACUUAGCAAAUGAUUCCAAAUUCCAGAUUGAGUCUAGUAGUGUCUUUAUUGACUUGCAGUUCCUAGAAGACUAGUGUUCGAGGCUUACAAGGGAUCCACUUGAGUUGGGAAGCUCCACGAUCCUAGCUCCUCACAGAGAAAGCCUCGAUAGGGAAGUUAGGUGACAGAUUGAAAGUUUUAUAGUCAAUGAGGAACAAUGGGAAGCACAGAGGACCUGCAAGCUCUUCAAUUCUUGACAGUCAGGCAUAUGCUUUAUUGAUGUUAUACAGCAAUCCCUUUUUAAGGCAGUUAAGUCCAUGUCAGACUUUCCCCUUCCGUCUUGGUAAUUCCUAGAUGUAUAUUCCCUUUUAAGAUAGAGAUUAUCGAUGUUUGUCCGUUAAAACCAGCAUGCGAAAUUGCGAAUUGAACAAAGUCAACAUCUAGCAAGCUAGUCGCAUAUCUUUCUCCCAAAUAUCAUGUACUUUUAUUCGUGUGAAGUCCACCAUCAGGUUAGUACCGAGUUAUCCAGAGUUAGAUUCAUCUACUAGUAAGAAUACUUUGAGAGACCUUGUUUAGCUUUCUUAUACUUGUUUCAUCGUUUGAUUCCAUCAUUUCUCGGUUCACGCUGCUCCAUGGUUUAUAGCAGCAUCAUUAUUUGGUUUGCCCUCUCCAGUAAUCUUACUUGCUGCUCUUAAUCUUCUCUGCUCCAAUGGUCUAUAGUCGCAACUGUCGCCACACACAAUGCAACCUCAAGUGGUGAAACAACAAUUGUUGAGCUGCACAGAAAUUGGGGGUGGUCUGACUUGGCCUCGCCUCCCGAGUCGCAAUGGGUCCGAAUUUUAUUUUAUUUUGAUAAAUUAAAAAGUGUGGGAAGAGAUGACCAAUACGGUUAUCCAUUCUUGUUGUUACAUAAAGUGUUGUGCAUGUUACAAAAUAUCUCCAUUGAGCCAUAACCACUCGAUCCACCGACAAGUGUGCUAGUCUAUCACCAUAACUAAUAUGCCAAAAGCUUGACAAUAUAUCCACAUAACGUUGUAAAUACCUAAAAUACUAACCGGUGAAAAGUUCACUCAUGACAUGAUUCGAACUCAUGAAUUAAUAGAAGAUGGCAUGAUCCCUUCAUCAUUGGGUUAUCAUGCUUGGGGUUGGAUUGUGAUUCCGACUUUAUAUAUAUAUAUAUAUAUUCACUUUCAAGGUGAAUGAGUGGCGCAUGAGCCUAAUCCAAAAAGGAAUGAUCUAUAAAUCUGUUCUGUGCUUAAAAAAUUUGACUUAAGUCAAAUGAGGUGUUUAUGUGUUUAUGUUACCAAUAAAAGAAGAGGUUUGGUGACUGGUUUCUAUAAAAUUGAUUAAUUUACUCUUCAUAAUUUUCUAUAAAAUUGAUUAAUUUACUCUUCAUAAUUUUCUCUUGGAAAUUUUGUCCAGGAGCACGCCUCAUUUUAGCAAAACUUCCUUCAUCGCCCUCACGGAAACGACGAAAUCACCGGACGUGACACCGAAUAUGCCCGCCGACCGAGCAAGAGCCCGAGGUCGAAUCAGGAAAAUUCGCAAAUCCGUCGUCCUCUCCUUCCCUUCCCCCCCACCCAAAAACAAAAGCUCGCUGUAGCUUUCGAUCGCCAUCCGCCGCGAAAAUCGCUACGGAGUCCACGAACGCUGCGAAGACCAGGAUUCGAGGGUUGAAUUCGAGCAAUACGGAUGAAGACCGCAAUCGAUCUCUCCACCUCGCCGGGCGAUCGCGCCAUUUUGAUUGCGUGAGAUUGGAAUGAUGUCGUCGCUCGGCAGAAUGGGGAGUUGAGGGUGAUGGUUGUUCUGAAGUGCUUCAUUGCCGCGGGUGGGGGGCGAGAGGUAAUUGCAAUUUGUGUUCAUGUCAUCAAUUACUGCUCUGAUCCUCCCACUUGAUUGAGAUUGGGAGUCUAGUAUCGAGCAUGUCGGUUUUGAGGUUGGACAGUGAGGUUUGUAGUGUGAAUUUGGCGGAUUAUACUAUUGCAGAAAUUAUUUGGUUGGAUUAGCUAAGCUCUUGGAUUACCGAAUUUGGAUCAAUGCUACAACUGGAAUAUGGUCAGAUUGAUCGAAUUUCCUUAUAUUUGUUGGAUACAAAUAUUUCUUCCCGCUGUUUCUACUUUGGGGGUAAAAUUUGUUGAGUGUCUCACAGUGAUUGACUAUCGGCUAUUUGGCCUUUCUCCAGUCGAGUAAUGGACUGUAGCUUGUAGGUUUCAGUGGACUAGCUUUAUGGGAAAGAGGAGCCUUAUGCUUUUCACUUAUUCGCCUUUCGUUGCAUUUGAACAUAUAGUUCUUUAAGUUCACGAACGAGGAUGGCAGAAAUAUACUGAAAUAUUAUUUUGAGUUGACGUUUCCUUGAAGUGUUCCUCUUACUUGAUUGUUGAUAUACCUUGCUAGAGACAUAAGAAACUUGCUCCAUUGCUUGUAAUUAAAUGAGCUUUUGACCACAUUUUCAAAGUGAAAUUUUCUCAACUGGUAAAUGCAGAACUCAGACUAAGGUCCAAGGCUUGUAAAGCUGCUUACAAUCGCACUCUUGCCAUGACAUUUAUGGAGUAUUCAUCUGCUGUGAGUGUUCUUUAUAAAGAUUUUCACAUUUACCUAGAGCUUGUUGUUGUUAUUACUCUUCAGGUUUCACCAUUUAAAUACAAUAACUUUUGCAGGUUUGAUGCCAGAUUUGACAAAACUUAGUAGUUGGACUUGUCCUAGAUGUGAUGGAAAGACCCAGGUAAUUUAAUAUGGUUUAAUAUGACAUUGUUGCUGAGGUUGCCUGAAGAAUGGAUCCUCAGUACAGUAUUAAAUGGCCAAUUCUUCUAAUGAGAUUUUGUGGGCAUAUGCUGCCUCCUCUUAUUAGAUUCUGAACUGGUAGUUAAUGCCUUUUGAUAUGAAAGCAGGGGUUUGAAUUCAUUGAAUUGAUAGUGGGCAUUCAACACUGCUUACGCGCAGAUUAUUUGGUUGCAGUGGCUUACCAAUCUGCAAUGCUUGCGAUGCCUAUAUGUUUAAAUUGCAUCUAAUUGUUUAUAUCUAUUUCUAAACGUACAUAUAUGUUACCUGUAGGCAUACGUUGGGGUGGCCAAGGAUCUUAAUGCUGUGAUUAUAGCUUUUAGAGGUGCACAAGAACAUAGGUAUGCAUGUUAACUUUAGCAACUCUUCUCCUUACAAAUGACUUGCAAAAGGUUUUGAUGAAAAUUUAAGCUAAGAAGAGCAGCCUCCUGUGAGUGCAUACGCAAGACCCAUGGGUCGACUGUCCGUAAGAAGGGAAAAGGGUGAAUCAUUUCCACCAAGAUGCGAAAGUUACCUUCUUGUAAUUUUAGAUUGGUUCAUGAGAAGAUCACAUACUUCACUAAUUUUGUUCUGUGAAAAAUUCUAUCACCUCUCUUUGUCAUUUGAGCUUUUCAGUUAGUGAUUACUUCUUUUUAUGUCUAUAGCAUACAUAAUUGGGUUGAAGAUCUCUAGUGGAUAGUGGAAACAGCUUGACGUACUACCUUGGCAUGCAUGGUGCCCUGGAUAGCUCUAAAGAUGAUUAUGCCUCUUGCAAGCUGUGGAUUCUUCUUGUUUGGAUUGAGUUACAGUCUUACUCUAUUUGUGACAUCCCGAUUUUUCCAAAUCCUAUUUUCAAUAAAUUGAGACGGGCAUUUCGUUGGCACGCAUAUAGUUCUUUUCCUUGAGUCGGCCACUCAUGUGAAAACUAGUCUAUCGGGUGAAACUGUUAAGAAUUUCUAAUGCAUCAGACUCGAGAAUUUGACCAGGAAGCAACCUUUCGACCGAGCUAGUCUGCAAGGGUCAUUACGGCACAAUUAAAAUCGAUUAAAGAUCGGAGAUAGGUCGACUCGACAGAGGCAUGUGAUCAGGUGUGGGUGAUUCUACUAGAUCGCACAAUUCAUGUCGAUCGGCACUGGACCGACUUUUCUAUCGAUUGGGUACCCUGUGUUCGUAUUUGAAACCUUGAGAUUACCCCGACAAUCGAAAGUCGCAAAUGUUUCAAAGAUGUACAUUGUGGCUUGAGAUGAUCAACCACAGGUCAAAUGCAUGAAAGUUUCUAAAGGCUACCCGGUAGGUUGGGCCGCGCUAGUAUCGUGCCAAAGUGAAAUUAACCGUGCAAUUGAGAUCGAAUUCAGAAAUUGGAAGUCUGGGUGUGUCACAAAUCAUUUCAAGAUCAUUGAAUCAUCUUUGGAAGAUUUUUCAUGUAAGCCGAGUUUUUCAGCAAUUAAAUCAGAAAAUGGUUAAUUUGACCCGAGAAAUCAAUAGGCCCGCAUUUGGUAUUGCUAUUAGGACUUAAGUUGGUUCUAUGGACAAGUGAAGAUGUAAAUUGAAGUGUGGUGACAUUGGAUUAAUUUUAUGAACUUCAAUUGGAAGAGAAUUGAAUGGAAUUGGAGAAAUUAGUGUACAAGAAUUGGACCCCGGCGGAAAAUGAAAUUUGCAACCAUUGGAAAAGGUUGUGGGGGAUUGGGUGAGUGGAGUGUGAUGUCACCCAUGAGGUCAUGUGGUGGGCCAAUUUGUUGGAUUAAAGAAAAGGGAAAAAGGAAAAGAAAUUGGCCUCCCUUCUUCUCUCUCCUCCCUCUCCUUGCCGUGGGAGCGUUUCCUCCUCUCUCCAUCUUCAUCUUCUUCUUCGAAAACCCAACAGACCAGCGAACCAGAGCAGCUCCGCCCGUCGCCGUUCGUCCUAGCCGGAGGCCGUUGCUCGUCCAGCCGCACGCAGCUCCGCCUCUCUCUCCCCCUUCUGCUGGUGUCGGCUUCUUCUCCUUCUUCCUUGUGUUUUUCGAAACCCAGCAUAUCUGGGAAGACAACAGAGCAGCCAUCUAGCUACUGGAUCGUCGUUUCGCGCCUCCGCCCUCCGCCGUUCGCCGCCGGAUCAGCUGAUUCGCCCGUCGUGCUCAGUGGCCAGCCCCGCGAGCUUCCUGCUCGUCUCGCGCCCGUCUUGAGUUCAGCAACGUCUCGAGCUUCCCUGGCCGCUGUUCCUAGUCGUCCUCCAGUCGUGAGCUGUCGUCUCGCCGCCGUGCAGCAGCCGGAACCAUCGCCUGGACCGCCGAAGCCCGCUUUGCCCGUUUCCAGCAAGCGGAGUCGCUGGUUCUUCUUCUCUGUUCCAGCGGCCAUUUCAGAUCUGGUGGAGCUCCGCCGGAGCCGUCCAGCCCACCUCCGGCCACCGUGAAGCCCCGCCUAGGUCCGAUUUGGUCUCCUCUGUCCAUCUUGGCCCUUGUGCGCCUCAAUCGGUGUCGGAUCCGCCCUCAACCAGCAACGAGCAGAAGGUUGCAGAAAUGGGUGUGGCAGCCCAUGUUUGGCCCGUUUUGGCCGCCUUCCCAAGCCCGGAUGCUCGGCCCGCUUUGAGGAAAGUCGAUCCUCGCGUCGUCCCUGUUGUUUUGGUUCGCUCGGCUCACUAAUCCGGUGAGUUUAGCUCACUAAACCUCGCUUAGAGGGUUAAUUAUGCUUUAGGUGUGCUUAGCGUAAGUUGAUUAAGCUUAGGUGGUUAAUUUAGUUGAUUUAAUUAUGAUUUAGAUUAAGAUGUUUGUUUAAUCUAAAGUAUGUUUAAUUAAAUGCUAAGAGAGUUUAUUUAAAGUUAAGUGGGUGUUUAUAUCAAUAUAAACAUUGAUGUGACAUAAAGGAAUUUACCUUUGAUUUAUUUAAAUAUCUCGAAAUUAUUUAAUAAUUUAAUAAUAUAUUAUUAUUCGAAAUUAUUAAAAUAUUAUUAUUUAAUUAUUUUCGGAAUAAAUUUAAUUAUUUAUUAAAUUCCGAAAAUUUUCAUUGGGACCUUAUUUGCUCAGAAUUUCGUGCCGAUCAUUGCUGUGCUAGUAGAAUUUGAAAUUGAUGAUUGGUUGUGAUGAAUUGAGUGUGAUUGUGAUUUAUAGGGAUUCUUUAUGAAAUCCCAAGUGUAGAAAUUGAUGGGAGAUUGGCUGUGAAAUACCACCUAUUAGAGGUCGUGCCCAGUGAGGCCGUGAAAUACCACCUUGGAAAGGUCGUGCCCAAUGAGGCCGUGAAAAACCACCUACAAGAGGUCAUGCCGAUGAGGCCGUGAAAUACCACCUAUUAGAGGUCGUGCCCAGAGAGGCCGUGAUAAACCACCUAUGAAAGGUCGUGCCCAGAGAGGCCGUGAUAAACCACCUAUGAAAGGUCGUGCCCAGAGAGGCCGUGAUAAACCACCUCUGAGAGGUCGUGCCCAGAGAGGCCGUGAUAAACCACCUAUGAAAGGUCGUGCCUAGAGAGGCCGUGAUGAACCACCUUGGAAAGGUCGUGCCCGAUGAGGCCGUGAAAAACCACCUACAAGAGGUCGUGCCCAGUGGGGCCGUGAAUUGCCACCUGUUAAAGGUCGCGCCGAGUGGGGCCGUGAUGCCACUGAUUUAAAUUUGCCGAGUAGGGCCGUAGUUGAGAGCAAUGAUUGAUUUGCUAGAAUGACAUGAAAUCGGCCGAGUCGAUUGAUCGCUGAGACGAUCCAAGUGGUUGAAUGGUUUGAUGAUGUGAUUGUGACAUGGUUGUUUGGUUAUCAUAAUUGUACGUGGUUGGAUUAUAUAAAUUGUGCUAACCUGUAGAUGAAGGCUGAGGCGAGGUAAGUCCUCUGUGUGAUGUGGCUAGGCCACCCGGGGCGUAUUUUCUUUCUAAUAGGGAUUUAGGGGGUUGAACUUGCUGAGACAUCGUCUCAUCCCGGUUGUGGGAUUAAAAUUUCAGGUCCCUGGUGGACGGAGCGGCCAGAUCGCUUUGGUUGGCCUUGAGAAGUUGCAGAGGUGAAGUCAUAAGGGUUGGAGAGCGUGUCCUGCUAGUUGGUUGUAGGAUAGUCCCCCUUUUGUCGAGCUGGUCUAUUUUGUAGAAAGUCCAGUGUUGUAUUUAAACCCCCCUUUGUGUUUGUAAAUGAGUGUUUGGUAUUGUGAUUGAUUGCCUGCUUUUCUAUCCCAAGUUAAAUGUUGUCAGGGGAUUUGUUUCGCUUCCGCAUGCGUAAAGAAAUGAAUGGGUCGGCGACAUAUCCUGGGAUGUCACAUUUUUUAUCGACCGCAGUGGGAUGUGCGCGCGCUCGGGGUUCGGGGCGUGACACUAUUGAUUUCUGCUUGGGUUAAUCAUGGAUUUUACUAUUCUUAUUGAUAUGACAAUUCAACCUGGUAUUUUGGAUCUUGUUAUAAGAACCAAGGAUUUAUAAGGGGACAUCAAUGUCAUGGUGACAGAGCAUUCUAUGGGAGGGGCUAUGGCAUCCUUUUGCGGAAUUGAUCUUGUGGUAAGAUAGUUAAAAACUGCUAUGGUCUGGAAUUGUGAAUUUUAUUGUUUUUUUUUUCCUAUUGCGUUCUUCCAAUAUUCAUAUGGUAAUAUGUUAAGAGUCAACUGGAAUUCUCUGCCAAAUCUGUGCUGAAGAGUCUAGGCUAUUUAUACGGAUCUUGAACUUUCUAUUGCUCUCAUAUUUAUAUUCACAAUUCGUCACAGACAGCAUCUUGUUUUCUUUCGGUUUUGGUAAGUCAAACCAUAGACAAAACACAAGCAGAAUGGGGUGCAAAUAGCCAUUUAUGCUAACCACCGAUUGUUUAAGUAUCUGGCAAUGUAAAUUGAGUCUUACCCAUAAAGCUAUGGAGCUUCAAGUUGGUCGAAUACCUAAAUAUAGUGGAUAAGGUCACUUCCAACUAAUCAUUACAAGGUUUACUUACUUGCUGGAAAAUUUAUGGAAUUGUCGAUAUGUUUAUGGUAUGGACAUAUAACUUUUUAAAGCACUUGAAGCUCAAGUUUUAUGUCAUGUAAUCUUGAAGUGCUAAUGCAUUUUAAGAUAGAUUAUAUAUCAAUCCUAAAUUUGUGUUUGGUGUACUGUUUCUAUCUAAGCCUCUCUCUAAUCAAAAGAAGCAGCUCCUCUUCAGUAGGACUACAAGGCCAGAUAUGUUGUAGGCUGGAGCCAAUGCUAAGAUGUCUAAAUUAUGCCUUUUCUCUCAGCUUUAUUGGACAGAGUGUUCCAGGGUACAUUUGGAGGCACCUGUUGCUCAACUGCUACCAGAAAUGGUGCCCAAUCCAAAAUCAUGUCCCAUUGAUUCUCUUCUCCAUGGCAAGUGGUGAUUUUUUAGAGUUAAACUUUAUCUUGAAGUCUGAUUACACUCAUGUUCAUGUGGCCUAUGAUAGGAUCAUAGGUUGCAUGGACUUUAGACUAUACCCUUUCUCAAAAUAUUAGUAGCAAGUAUAACACUUGUCCUAAAACUUUUAAAUGAUUUAAAGUUUUAUUUUUGUUUACUGGUUUCUUGCUGAAAAUUUUGUCGAGCCAAUUGUGACGUCAUGCCCAUUCGUUGCAAUCCUUUUUAAGAUUGAGUUUCUCCUUCGCUACUUGUGUCAGUAAAUUUUGUAGUUCAAGGGGCCUUUUCAUCAGGAACCGGGAAUUUUUUGUUUAUGUCAUUAGCAGGAUGUGACUAACCCCACCAACAUCCAAGUGCUUCUUGUGGAAGCAAUUAAAUGCGCUUCAGUUGUAAGUUUGCGCCCAAUCCCACUAUUCCAUAUCAUUAACACCUUUUUGUGGUGCUGACUGCUGAGGGUGGGUUUGGUUUUGUUGUGUGUGGGGUUUGGUGUUGGGAAACUUAUGGAUGGGAUCUUGACAGAGUUAACGCUAGACCUUCAACCCUUAUGGAGACAAAGGGCUGUUCUAUUGUUCACCUUUGUAUAUGAAAUGCAAUAUAUGGUUAUUGAUGCAUAGUGUUUUUUUUCCCAUCUUGGAAGGGCUAUUGAUGUAUUGACAUUAAAUUUAUUUGGCUGUCUAAUUAUGUGUGCUGAAACUGUCUUUUCCAGACCAGCAUUUGCCUUAUUUACUAAACAGAAGCACUUUAUUUCCUGGUUAAUCAUGAAGUACAGAAUAUUCAGGUUUAAACAUUUGGACAACUCUGUAUUGGCAAUGCAGUGUUUGCAUCUUACUACAGUGACUGCAUACCAAAAACAUUACGUAUUCCUCCUGGACAAGAUUUUGUCUUAUUUGCCUCCGUACUAUUUUUGGUUCCCACAGAAGACGUACCAUCAAUUCCCUAGAGAGGUAUGAUGUUGAUCAUGACAGAAUAUCAAAUAAAUUAUGGGGAAUUGUUGAUGACUGAAUUUGAGGUUUGCUUUGCAUCUCAUUUGACCUGUCUAACAAGUGAAGUAUCAUAUAUUCCGGCAUUGUAUGUACUCUCUUUUUUCAGCUUAUAAAUUAUGACUGUCUUGUUUGUUUUUCUUCUUAACAAAGCAGGGUAGUUUGUAGGACUCAUUACGUUUUAAACUUUUUUUGAGUAACUCUCAUUCUUGCAAAAGCCAUCAUGAGUUUUUCAUAUCGAUUCCAAAGUUUAGGACACAUAAUAAUGUUUAUUAUACUCUCUCUCUCUCUCUCUCUCUCUCUCUCUCUCUCUCUCUCUCUCUCUCUCUCACUCACACACAAACGCACGCGCGCGCGUGCACGCACACACGCACUAUGUCUACUAAUGCGUAUAAUUAUUAGCGACUAGCUCAAAGACAGCCACGGUUGAACAUUUUAAUGUGAGAUGAAAAUGAUUUGAUUCCACCUGCUUCUCUAAUACCUAAUCAUACUCAUAACAGUUUUCAUGUAAUCGGAAUCUUCCCUUUAUUGUAGGUAUGGCUAUAUAACAUAUGAUUUGGUAGUUAUCAGGUUGAGAAAGUUUGUGAUACCUCAGGAGAAGAUGCAUUAUGCAGCAAGUGAUGAGCUAGUUUCAGUCGAAGCUACUUGUUCAAACAAUUAUUUUGUGGAUUUAUCAUGCAAGAUGCAAUAAGUUGUGAUGGACCAGCUUGUUCUAGAGAAUCUCUGUCCUUUGUUACUAGGAAUAUUUGUGGACAACCGAUCAGGGUAUUUUCCUGCAGAUUGGUACCGGGUAACAGCAUUGUGGACCAUUUAGUCUUUCUAUAGUGUGCAAUUAAUGGCUAAGACAUGAGAAUCGUGCAAAAUCGUCACGGACAUUAUUGACGGAAUGUGGAGGCGAAGAUGUCAAAGGAAAUCUUAUGCUUUCCAGGAAUCCUUUUGUUUCUGCAUCGAGGCCGCAUUCAGACUCUGAUGCCAAGAGGAAAUUCAGUUGAAAUGCUCCUUGGUCAGUACCUGGAUUCUCAAAGAUCAUCAGGGACCUUUGUGAUGAAGUUUGGUCACAAAAUGCAUUCCAUCGAUCUGUUGUCCAUAUCCAUCACAAGAUACAGAGGAGCUCUACUCUAAUUUACUCUGAAUGUAAAUAGCACAAAGUUGAAGGUAUCAUCCUUGUAAAUACAACUCCGUGGUUUCAAUUGAAUGAAUAUGUUCGCAAGUUUGCCUGUCAAUCUAUUAUUGGGCUUGGGUCUUUGUUACCUGACUUGAUGCGUGGAGGCUGAGCUGAGCUAUAUUCAUAGUUGAAUGACGCAGCUAUUCCCUUUUUAUAAGGUGAAACAAAGACUACGUUCACAGACCACUUCUCAAUCUAUGACACCUUACCUUCUCCUACAGGCACAUUGGCACAUAAGAUUUCUUGGCAGAACUAAGUACUUCAACUAUUUCCUCGUAGGGAAUUGUGCAGAUGAACUGUUAAAUCAAACCAUCUCGGAGACAGAUGAUGACUUUGUCUUACAUCAUUUCCAGUGGCAACCUUUGCAAAUUUUUUACUUUAGGAGGUAAACAAUUUAUAUCAUCUUGCCUUUGAUAUGUAACAAUGAUCAUAUGAGCAUUUGGAACAAGGGUUGUAAGCUUUUACCUUCUUUUUUUAAUAUGUGGGAAUUAACAUUAGUGGAAACCUGAAGAACUAAAAUGCCUUCGUCAUUUCAAAGCAUAUAUUGCCAAUUAUGACCAUUUGAAGCAGAUAUAAGUCCUUGACACUGUAUGAUAAGCUAGAGUUUGUACAUUACAGUAAAAGCUAGAGUACAACACCAAAACAUUGGGAAAGGUAUAUUGUUCUGUCGUCUUAACCCUCGCCAUUGUGAUUUAGGCACUUCUGCAAUCGCAAAUUGCCAGCUCCAGAGGCGGACAUGGCAAUCUGCUCUUGCUAAAAACUGAGAGGGCCCAAAGUAGAUAGAGCAAUUGGGAGUUUCUAUCAUUAAGAAGAUAGAGCAAUUGGGAGUUUCUGUCAUUAUUCUAAUAAAAUAGGGCACGAUAACUCUUGAAACAAGAUGCGACUAGUACAUCAGAAACUAAAUUCGGAGUUCCACGACCAAUGGGCAGCGAGAUAUGCAUAAAUUAAGACGAGCUCACGAGGAACUACAUCUUCCUCACUUCUUCUCAAUUAGCUUUUCGAUCAUGUCCGCAGCUUCCUGGACAUUUGUGAUACUUUGAGCACUUUCUUCCUCCACACCAAUCCCGAAUUCCUCCUCAAGUCCCAUCACAAUCUCCACCUAAAUUGCAAAAGAGCAAUGGUCUCAUCACAAUCCCAAUUUAUUGAAUGGAGUAAGCUGGUAAGCGUCGGAAUCAGAUAAGCAGAAAAAACAAUUCCAACAUCGCAGAAGUACCGUCCUGCACCGCUUCAUAAUGAAUGGAUCAAGUGAAAGCUCAUUAAAGUCUGCAGAAAAGGAAAGAAACAUGUGGAUGAACGGCUUAGGGCCCGUUUGGUUCGGCUUUUGGGGGAUGCAUUUGCCAAAAUGCAAAUACCUUUGGGUGAAUGGGGUUUUCCGAAAUGCAAAUAUCGUUUGGUAAAAUUUGCAUUGAGAUGCAACUUUGGCCAAAAUGCCGUUUGGUAAAAUUUACAUUUGCAAAGGACUUUUAUUAAAUUAAAAAAACAAAAAAACAUUUUUCUUUUAUUUUUUUGAAAUCCGGCCACCGGACCGCCGGAUCCGGCGGCCGGACAGCCGGAUCCGGCGGCCGGACAGCCGGAUCCGACGGCCAGACAGCCGGAUCCGGCGCCGGAUGGCCGGAUCUGGCCGCCUGGGUCGCGCGACCUCAGGCGUCGCCUGAGGUCCGGCGACGGUCGCUGGGGUCGGGGGACCCUUGGCCGGCGGUCGCCGGCGCAUUGCCGGCGCGCGCGACCCCUUGGCCGGCGGUCGUCGUCCUCCGAUUGGCUUCUCUCCGGUGAAGAUGAACAGUAGAAGUUGCAUUCCGAAAGCAACUUCCCAAUGGACCUCUCCUCCUCCAUUCCUCUAAAGUCCCUUCAAGCCCUUUGAAGAUGCAAUUGCAUCUCCCCAAAGUCCCCAAAAUAUUGAACCAAACACCACUCACUUUUGCCCAAACCCCUUUAGAGGCCGAAAGCCCCUUCUAAAUGCCGAACCAAACGGGGCCUUACAAUGUACAGAGAAUCGGCUUCCAUGUUAGCAAAUUUUGACUCUCCAGUCACCGUAGCAUCAUCUGGUAAAGCCAGCUGCUUCCUUACUAUUUGGCACACUUUAUCCACUGUCUCCUUUUUAGCCUGCUCACAUCUCAAGUGGAUUAUUUACAAGUUCUAAAACCUACUUAUGGAUGGUCUUCACACUGAGUGGUUAGAAGAUUGGCAAGACCAAUCCAAGCAUUCCUCCAGAGCAAGCAAAAUUAUAUGUUGGAACACGGUAUGAAAAAUAUUCUGGGCAUCCACUUUCCCAGAAGAAGCAUGUUUCAAAUGACAUGAUUAUAAUCACACAGCAAGAUCGUUCAACAUGAGACGAAAAUAAUGGCCCAGACUUCAGAUACAUAAGAACUUGUAGUCACUUUGCUUUGCUUUAGUUUUGCUGUUAUAGUUGGCUUGACAUAGUAAUACAGACCGCACCCGAAACCUGGAAGCGGCGUGCCUUGAGAGAAGGGAAACUUCUGCCACUGAUAGGAAGGGAAACAGAAAAGAAAUUAGAUGUCUUGCUGACAGGUACCUUUUAAAAACGUCAAAAGUGAGCAUUACCAAGGUGCUAAGUAAGCUCAUGGUGCUACACAAGUCAGGUCUAAAGUACGAUGCCAAAUGUUUACUAAUGUUUCAAAGAUCCAAUCUAGUUCAAAGGCAAAACCUCAACCAGGUCAGCCAAGCCACAUCCCAAAUUGCACAGAAAAUUCGGGCGAAUUACACUUUGCCGCCAAGUUUUUGGCAUAAUGGCAAGCUACCCAUGAUGUUUCAAGUUUUGCAUCCUAGACUCUUUGAAAUUGGACACCACUUGCAGCAAAAUGUUCUCGUAAAUCUGACCACGUGACCGCACGUGAUUAGUUAUGACAGGAAAAUUGGACAUAUAUCAUAUUUAUAUGUGGAAAAAAAAAACGGGGACUACCCAAAAACAUAUUUUAAAACUAUCUAUUGAUAUACAUUUGGCAUUGAUCCAGUCAAAUCCUCGUCGGAAUUGUAGUCUCAUGCUCUCAAGUGCAAUAUAUUUUUUUAUAAUUAUUCUUCUACUUACUAUAUGUAUGUGCUAAUAUGACAAAUUUCCUCCGUACUCAGUCACGUUGCUGGAGCUCCAAGUGGAAAUCGAUCGAAGUCAAUCCAGGGAACGCAUUGCAAUCUAUUUCUAAAAUUCAUGGGCAAAUUGCAAAAAUUGAAACAUCACUGGCCAAUAGACGACAACUGUGAAAGCUUGGGGGGCAAUAUGUAAUUUGCCCCAGAAAAUUUACAUAGUUUUCAGACCAGUAGAUUACUAGCAAUUAUUAGACCAACAUCAAACCUCAAGAGCCUUCGGAAGCUAAUGGAGAUGCUACUAUCAGCAUCACCAAUAACCACAAAAAUGAGACAGAAAAAACAAACUGAAAUAAGUUGGAAAAAAAAAAUCGCAUAAACAUGCAAAAGCUGCUAACUGAGAGCAACUCAACAACACAUCGAAAAAAAGCGAACUCGAUUAGGCAUCCAUCUAAUUAAUUCCGGAAUACAAAAGCGGUAGGAAACCAAAAUCAAGUAUAGCUGGCCUGAACUCAUUAUUAACCCCAGACAGCUCAUCUAGUCAAGCUAGACAUUUGAAAUCCUUAUUCGGCGGUGCUGUAGCUUUCCAAUGUGCUCACAAAUGCAUGCUUUAGCGAUGCUUACGCAGUUCGUCCAUUCCUAUAUCUACCCAGACUAAUGCCGCAAACGUGACCGUUUUUUAACUUUAAAACCGCUAGAACAUGUACUCAUCUCUCAAUCAAAUCCUUAACAUAGCCAAUAAUUCGCUCUGUUCGAUCAAUCAUCACACAUAUUUUCCAACACAAACAUUCCGAACCAGCAUCUCCGGUCCCAUCCGGCAGAAUUCAUAAAUCCAGGCACUAAACAAAUUGAAAGUAGACCAAUUUCUUCCCUUUUUUUUUCCCUAUCAAGAAGAAUGGAAAUCCACUCCUCGAUCAAUCCACGGAAAAAAGCUGAACAUUUACCACAACCCAAUGGACAGAAAAACACCUCCAGCACCAAAAACAUGAACACGUUCAUCCCAGUCUGGUAAAAAGCUAACGUCCAAGCUGACAAUACGCUUCGAAAAUACCGCCAGCGAUCAAGCGCCAAUCAAACAAAACUAAAUAACGCAGAAUCGACACUCCCCAUCGUUAAAAAACGCAUCAAAGCCUCGUUAGUGGCUUAAAGAACAGUAAUAUAUCUUCCUUUGAUUUGUGAGUGGGGCAAUGGGGUGCAUAUCCUGAAAAAAUGCAGCUCAACCAAAUGAGUGAUGCCGCUUAGCAUAUGAAAGCCUUUUAUUGAUCAAGAUCCCACGAGAAAUUUUACCAGCCCAAGUUCUACUUCCAAGAACAACUUCAAUUCGGCAUUCGGAACCUUAUUUGACACUUCUCUCAACUAUCCUACCUACGGUUCAUCAAAAAGAAAAACAAAUAUGGUGGGAAAGAAAGUAGAGACCCAAUCAAAAGGCAUUGGAACAGUGGAUAAGCACGACGAAAUGAACAUAAGCAGUACGGAAAAGUUAAAAAGACAAACGAAAGAACAAAAGGGAAAAAUCGAAAAGAGGAAGCAUCUCUGCCAAUAAAAUGCAUAAUCAAAAGAUAUCCUCCCCAUGCAAGUAAGAGAAUAUUAGACCUAUCACUCUGAAGAACAAUUAACUCCUACAAGAAUAAGCUGAACAAGCUUCUUCCCCAUUAUUUUCCACUCGUACACAAAAAUAAUCAACUAAGUGAUAAGAAAAACUCAAGUACCAGAUAAUAGAAGGCAGGUAGUGCAGCACAUUAACACAACAUUACGUAGACUUAAAAGGCUAAAUGAUUACCCAGCUGAAGCUAAACAGAAACUAAACCAAAAAUAAAAAAAUGCGCAUGAAAAACAGUUCUGAGAAAUGUGCACCGGAACGCCGAAUUCUUUAGCAACCUCCUCCUGAAAAAAUACAGCAGUUUUUGUAUUCACUUGGUUUAAUAUGUGUUGAAGAAAUCCUUGAAACUGUAAACAGAAAAGACAAUCGCCAGAGAUGACCAAAAGCUAGUUUGCUAGACAUGGUUAUACUGUUUCGAUAGGAUAUUGCAGCGUAAUUUCACUGUGACAAAGUCAACGAUGCCUGGUGUACACCGUCCAUUCGUUUCCAAUGUACAGCCAAACAGCAGUGUGGUUUUGUGCUCUUCAGUAUCUAAUGCAUAAUGUAAGGUUCAUCAGCGAUUUCGUGGAUGAUUCCGACAAUUUGUUUUCAAUAAUCUAACCGCAACGAUUGAGAGUCCACUGGGGAAGAAUGGACACAAAACAUCAGAUCCCUAUCCUAUAUUAGGACGGGCACAUGCCCACAUUGUCAGGCAUAUCAGAGAUGAAGAUGUCCACUGUUAAUGAUUGUUCAAUAAGUUUUAUCACUAGGCUCCAAGCUCAUCAUAGACCGCAAUUUAGGAAAAAAAGAAAAGAAAAAAGAAUGGCUCCUCUCAUAUCUAAGCACGAAAAUUGGUUCUUGAUGUGCUGCAACAGUCUCAAAAUUCUCUCUGUCAAGGACUUGCGGACAUCGUGAGACCAUUAGUCUAUAGGAAUUUCAAGUUCAGAAUAAAAUACUGAUACACUGCCAUUCAUUUGAUAUGUCAAAACAAAAAAUAAAGCGCCAGUAUUCUGGUCAUUAUUUCAAGUUUAGCUCAACUGCACUUGAACAAGUAUAUUUGUUAUAAGUCCUUUAAAAUCUAACUCCGCGACUCUAUCAUUAUGAUUUGACAUGUGAUUCAAGGUCCUCUUGUUUUCAACUUCGUCUUCUGAUGAGUGUAAAACCACAAGGCGAUAGCAAUAGGGGGAGUGAUAUGUAGGAACAACGAUCAUCUCUCCAACCCCAAUGCGCACAUAGAAAUCCCAUAAAUCACAUCCAGUUGCUCCAACCCUUGAGUCUGUUCUCUGUUUGACAAUUUUUGGUGUCGAGAACCGAACCACAUCACUGUAAUUUUACGUAACUAAGGUAUAAAAGCUGCUUAAGAUUAGUUAUGGAUUCUCGCGAUGCUGCUUAUUCGAUUCAGUUGCUCUUUGCUACUUCUCCAGUUGCUAAAUGAGCCACAACUUCCUGCAAAGAAACAUAGUACCAUUAACUUUGUUAAGAGUUAACCAUCUAAAUCAGAAAACCAACUCAAACAGUCCGUCUGAGAUGUUUGUACCUCUUGGUCUUCACGUCAAUGUUUAAUGCGCAGUAAAUGUAUCAAAAUCAAUGGAAAAGCAUGGGAUGCGUAGAUUAGCGUGAACAUAAUCUGCGUCAAGACAUAUGUCUGCGAACCUGUACGUGUGAUCUUAUGACCCCGAACACGUCUCUAUUAUUCAAACUCAGCAGUUAAAUUCUCGGAAGAUUCAUUCAGGUACAUCAUCAGGAGCAGGGUCAUUUUCCUUCUUCCCCAAUUCCUCUUCCUUUUCCAGUCCAGUUGGAUUCUUCUCUUCCACCACCACUUUAUCAUACUCGCCCUCCUUCACCUGUUCAUGCCGAGGCAAGUUGUACUCGGAGGAGAGACCCUCAGACACAAUCCCUUCUGGCACUUCCUCGUCUCUUCUGGGAGAGAAGUAAUGAUCUGGCGAGUCGUGGGAUGUGAACCUCCCUGGCUCUGCCUCUUCCUCUUCUACUAGCGGUUCUGUCUCCGGCUCUAGCUCCUGCCUCCAGCUCAAUCUCCUUUUUCUUCCUCUACACGCUUCUCUUCCUCUCUGUCUUCAUCCACGGCCUUUGUUUCUUCUACUUCUUUGUUCUCUUCUUCUUGUUCAGGCUCGGGAUGUUCAGUUAUGUCCUUAACAUCAGCCGCAGUUCCUGUACCCUGGCUCACCGCAUUAUUGAUUUCUUGUUGCACGAGUAAUGCCGCGCCAUUCCCAAUUGCUUCCAUCUGAGGAAACGUUCUGUUCCACUUGUUUGUUCUUCUCGGGAUUGGUGCUCGAAACUCCUGCUUUCAGUAAUGGUGUUUCCGGUGGCACCAGCAUGCUUCGACUCCGCGCAACGCAUUUUCGUAAAAGGAAACGUCAAUCGAAAGGAAUUAGAUUUGGGUAUUGAUUCUCUCUCCCUUUGUGCGUCAGAUUGAAAUGAAGUUUCGGCUUUCGUUUUCUUUGGCUGUUGCAGUUUUGAUUUGCUGAGGCGGGUUGUAUCCGUGGUUGACAAAAGGAAGGAGUUUUUUCUGUUGUGGAUUGAGGGUGGAGAGGAGACAGUUGCAGCUUAAGUUAAAAAGGGGAGUUUCUCCCUCCAAUCUAGAAAACGACAAUUCGUUUCUUAUUAUCGGUGGGGUUUUCCUUUCAUUUUUUCCAACCCAACCUUAGUUCAAUGAAAAAACAUACUUUAGAAUUAACAAAAUUCAAUAUUUAAAAGACCGAAUUAGUCCUACUCAAAAACUUAUUUAAGUUUCUCGCCCCAUGUUUGAGCAAUUUAAUUUUCAGUUGAUUUUGAGUACUUUUGAUGGUAAGACUUUAGGACUUGUGGAUGGACUUUUUUGAGAGAAAAUGACAAUUCUUUUAUGCAAAGAAACACAAGGUUAAUCGACAUAGAAAUACGAAAAGUGAGGUAUGUUUUUGAUAUUUUAUAAUGUCAAUCGACCUCAUAAAUCAAAAUUCAUAUGGUCGUGAAACAUGAGAUUGUUUGCACUUAAUCUGAUCGAAAAUUGAACUUACCUAAUUUUCCAAAUUCACAAAUAAAUCCUUUCAUGAACCAUUAAAAUAAAAUUGAUCAAGAGUAGGUAUGUAAAAAGUGAAAUAUCACAUAAAGAAAAAUUAUAAUAAUGUUAGCAAACGAAUAAUCAAAAUAUUACCAAAAGAUGAAUUAUGAUUGUUCCGCACCGUAAGUGGCGAUGGACGCCGCCACAGGGGAACAUUACCGUAUUCCCUUCUUCCUCCUCGUCGGAGCCGUGCACGCCGCCGCCACCGCCGCCGCGAGAGCUCGCAGGGUCCGCCGCAUUCUCAAGCCUCCGGUUCAUGUCGGCUCGGCUGGAUUCGUCCCUCCGGAUGACCACCGAGUCGCUGAAUGCGCUCGGAUUCGUGCGCAAGCAAGUCGAGAUCACAGCUCCUCCUCCUCCGCUGCUCAGUCCCUCGGUUUUCGCAGGUAGCGUGCUUGUUGUCGUCUGUUAGGCUUUUCUUUUUUCGCUGCUGAGGAAUCUCGACGUGGAUUGUAGAUGCCAGACUGAUGGGUUCUUGGUCAGUAGGGGGCCUUCUUUAGGUUGAGUUUGAUGUCUAGAUAUGGGGCGGCGGUUGGAGAAUUUUAUGAUUGAUGAGGAAGUCUGAAUAACUUAUUCAAGGGAUGUGUACCCGGUGGAGCGGUCGAGUUGAAGUGGAGGGAUGAUUAUGCUGUCGGGAUCGUGCUUGUUGAUCGAGACGCCGUAUUUUUUUAUUGUGUUCAUCGUGUUUGCUUCGUAUAUUUGAUAUUGGAGACAUGAUUCUGUAAUAGAAUGAAUCGCAUCGAAUUGUUUCUUCUAGUCUAGCGCUUCAUGUUCUUCAAUGUCGGUUCUGGGUUGAAUUAGUUUGUUGAUACAAAACGGAGCUGCGUUUCUCUUGGCAGUAUAUAUAAGGUUUUGAUGUGAUUGUCAUUGGAAUUCACAGGGCCGGCUCGUGGAAAUAGAUUGCCUGCUUCCCCUUGGUCGAUAAUUUCUAGUUUACCAUAUUCUUCUGAAGCAAGUGCUGAAAUGGAGGAACCCACAAGAUUUUUUGCUUUUUUCUAUCUAAUGUGUGUCUUUACACAUUGUGGAGUUCUUUUUCCGAUAUUUGGUUCUUGUAAUAUUAUGCAGAGACCGUGAAGGAGAUGUAUCAUAAAAUUCUUGAAUCUGCUAAUAUGAAAAGAACAAUGGCUCCAAACGCAUGGACGUGGUCGAUGAUUGAAAAUUGCAAGAACAGAGAGGAUAUCAGAGCUUCUCUUUGAUGUCUUGCAGAACCUACGCAGAUUUGUCAGUUGACUUCUUGCUCCAUUUGAGAAAUAAAGUUUUGAUUUGUGACUAGUUGAUAAAUCAAUUUGUUUUUUUCUUUCGUCGCAGAGAUUGUCAAAUCUUCGAAUUCAUGACUGCAACCUUUGUCAGGAAGUCACAAAAGCAUCUGUGCAUGCAAGGGCUCUUCAUUUUGGUGAGCUCUAUCUACACAAGUUGUGUGCCAAGUUCAAAAAUUUUGUAUCUUGCUAAUAUAUUUACCUGAUACUUCUUCUGCAUUCGAUUGUUGCUACUUACCCUAUCAUUAGCACAAUCAUUUUGUUGUGUGUUGUUGAUCUUUUUACCUCAAGCCUGUCAUGCUUGGAGAACAUAUUCAGUUGCUUAAGAAAACUUUUGACCACCUCGCUGGUACUGGUAGCUAGUUAUGCUUUUGUGUUUCUUUUUCCCCCCUUGAUGCGUCCAUUAUGUAAACCAGAAUUUUGUCCUACACAGAUGCUACAUGUCUAUUAAGCAUGGGUAUGGAAAUAACAUGACACAUAUAACAUAUUCAAGAAAUAGUUUUUCAUGUUUGAAUGUGUAAAGGCACAUUCAAUUUAAAGCACUUAGGACAUUGUUAAAUGUGUAUUAACUUGUCUUUUGUGAGUAACAUGUUAACCUGCUCGACACGCUGCAAUGUGUUUAAGUAGUUAAAGGGGUCAAUUUAUUUUACAUGUACAAACUUGUUAACUCGUUGAUGACUCAGACAAUUUUAAGCUCAAUCCAACUUAAUAUGUGUCAAAUGCUUAUUCUGUAAAUAGGUCUUUUUGCACAUUGCUGGCUCUGUAAGACUGAUUUCUUGAAUGACACCUCCACUUCAAGUUAUUGAGUUCAUUAUCCAAGCUUAGCAAAGAGCAUUCACUUUUUGCAGACGUGUUUUUAUGAACAUUAAGCUUCAGUAGUUAUCAGUUCGAGCUGUUUCUAGUAAUUAAGCUCUUCAUAAUUUUCAAGAAAAAUAAAUCAAAUCAAACUGCAGUUCCAUGGUGUAACUCAUUUUAGGAGAUUGCAGCAAUUAAUUGUCACUGGGCGUACAUGAUUUAAUCAGAACCUACAUCUGUAAAUCCUUAUUUAGGCUAAGAAAUUAAAUUGCAUGGUGCACUUAAUCCGUGAUGAUAGAAACUAAGGGUUGACAAAAUUGUAGGUAAGAAGGCCUUGUGGGAGCAUAAUGUCUAUGGAUUCACCCCUACAAUUGGCUCGGCAAACCAUCUUUUGGUAAUGAUGAAGUGUAUCUAUAUCAAGCAAUUCUUUUUUCCAUUUGUUUUAUUUACACAAUUCUUCUGCUAACUUGGGGUAUUGCAAUGCAGCAAUAUGCUAAAGAGCACAAAGACGCUACCCUCAUGCAGGAAGUUAUGAAGCUUUUGAAGAAGAAUAACUCACCAUUGCAACCCACCACGGCCGAUAUUGUUUUCAGGUUCACUUCCGUGCUGUUUCUCCUGAGAAGGAUGUUAUUAUCGUGUAGUAAGCCAUUAUUGCACUUAAUUGUGUGUUAUGUACUGCAUAGUUAUCAAGCAAUUUAUCCAAUUUAUAAGUGUCAUUUAUAUGCGAUUUAAUCAACUUGUUUUUAUUUUGAAUCAUUUUGUCUGCACUACUACUCUCGAUCUAAUAGUUUGCUCAUGUUAUUUGACAUCCUUUCUUUCAUGGAAAAAUUUUGCAGCAUUUGUGAUGAUACAGACAAUUGGGGGUUGCUCACAAAGUAUUCAAAGAGAUUUGUCAGAAAUGGAGUGAAUUUGCAUAAAGCUGCAUUUGACAUCUGGAUGGAGUUUGCUGCAAAAGUAGGUGAGAAACACUUGCUCUGUCUUCCUUCGCUGCUCUCAAGCCCUUGUCCCUCAACAAUCUAAUUUUCCAUUUCUUCCCACAAAUAGUUCUCUCAUCCAGGUCCUACCUCUUACUACAAAAGAUGGGAUGUGCUAGAAUAUUUUCUUCUGUACAAUGAUUUCUUUCUCUCCUUAAACAAAAGGGUAGAAAUAAGAAAUGAAAAGAAUUUUCGCUGCGCCGUGUCUUUCAAUGUCUUUGUUUCUUUAAUUGUUCUGAGAUUAUGCUUCUUUAUCUUAUUUAGUGGUUUGACGAAAAUUACCCUUUUCAGGAGACAUUGAAUCUCUAUGGAAAAUUGAGAAGUCAAGAUGUGAGUCCAUGAAGCAGAACACUGUGGGCAGUGGGUUCUCGUGUGUGAAGGUAAUUUACAAACACAAACUGUUGAAAUCACAAAUAUCAGACCCUGAAAGCACUAGGUCUUCUUGCAUUAGAAAAUCUGAUAAUGGGAACACAUUAAUAUUGCAAUACAGAUCAGUACAAAGUUCUUGGUAAACCAGGUGAGAGGUCUAUGGCCCUGUUUGGUUGGACUUUCCCAAGGGGCUUUCGGGCCCGAAAGCCCCUUGGGGAAAAAAAUUUGUGUUUGGCAAUCAUUUUCAAAUGCUACUUGGCCAAAUACCAGCAUCCCAAAUGCUGAAAGCCCAAUGCUGGGUAGGACCAGCUUUGGGCAUUUCAGAAAUGCCGGUUCACUGUUCAUAAUCCACUGUUCAUCUUCUUCCCCCUUUCUUCUUCGUUCGUCUUCGUCUUCCUCGCCGGCUGAGAGUGCGGCUUCUCCGGCAGCCACCACCGCCGCGUGGGGGUCCCGCGUCCCCGGUGACCACCGCCCGGGGUGGCGAGACCCGCGGGGUGGCCUGAGGUCGCGCGGACCUCGGCCGGCGUCGCCUGGUCUCGCGCGAGCCAGGCGACCAGGCGAGGCCAGAUCUGGCUGUUCGGCGGCCAGAUCUGGCGGUCUGGCCGUUCGGCGGCCAGAUCUGGCGGUCUGGCAACCAGGCGACGCCGCCUGAGGUCGCGCGGACCUUAGCCGGCGUCGCCUGGUCUCGCGCGACCAGGCGACGCCGGCUGAGGACGCCGGACGGCCAGACGGGGCGGCGGGGAUCUCGAGAGGCCAGAUCUGGGGCGCGGGCGACGCGCGANNNNNNNNNNNNNNNNNNNNNNNNNNNNNNNNNNNNNNNNNNNNNNNNNNNNNNNNNNNNNNNNNNNNNNNNNNNNNNNNNNNNNNNNNNNNNNNNNNNNCGGAUGACAUGGUCUCAUGCACCAGAGAUCUGCUGCUGAGGUUACGUCGACGUUAGCAGCCCUGCCCAGGUAUCGCGCGACCAGGUGACGCCGCUUGAGGUCGCCCGACCUCGGCCGGCGUCUCCUGGUCUCGCGCGAGCCAGGCGACCAGGCGAGGCCAGAUCUGGACGCCGGACGGCCAGAUCUGGCCUCCGCGACCUCCGGCGGCCAGAUCUGGUGGUCCGGCGACGGCCAGAUCUGGCCGUCCGGCGGUGGCCGGCGGUUGGCCGGCCACCGGAAUUUGAUUUCAAAAUUUAAAGAAAAUAAAAAAUACCAAAAGCUAAUUACAAAUGCAAAGUUUACCAAACGGUAUUUAUGCUAAGUUGCAUUUCAAUUCUAAAAUUUACCAAACGGUCUAACAUUUUCGAAAGUUCAUUUCUCUAUAUUUGCAUUCUCCAAAUGGCAUUUUUUAAAAGCCGAACCAAACGGGCCCUAUGGCCAGAAAAGGCGAGAGUUAAUGCUUGAAUAAACCAAAUUUUGGCUUACCCCCUAGGACAUGAAACAGCUAUGGGCAUGAGAAUGCUCUGUCAUCACAUGAAGGAGAUAUAACUACUUUUUCCAUAUUUGGAAGCAUUUAUUGUGGCUUUUAGCACUCCAGUUUAGGAUUAAAAUUUAACUGUCAUUUACUUGUUUUGUGGUGAACUAAAUGGUUUUAAAACCUAUUUUUUGUGCAGGGAUAUUUACUUGAAGGCAAACCUGAGGAGGCUGCUACAGUCACGUCUUGAAUCAGGCGCUCCUCACUUCUCAGAGCAUCUGUAGCUAUUAUUAAUAUGCUCAUCAUCACCGUCUGGCAUGAUUGCAAUCCUGAAUUACCUCAGCCUCUGAACUAGUCCUUCAAUUUUCCAUAUACUGUCAAGGAAUAAAGCAAUUAGUGGAAGAUGUACAGAAUUGUCCCCCAAAAUGUGCUCAGAUAAAAUUACCGUGACAUAUCCUCUCUCGAGGGGGAUUGGGUGAUUUGGGUUUCGUAUUUGGUGCAUGCUAUACUAUUAAAAUAACAUGAGUUAGUUCCAUGGAUCCUAAUAGAGUUCGAAAGUUCAUCUCAGACUCCUCCUGAAUGGAAUAAAGUUGGAAAUACACCUAUGUAGGCUCUGUUUGUUCAGAUGUCGCUUCUUAGGUCCCACAAUGUGAAUGCCUUGGAUUGAUGCCAGAGUUUACCUGAUGCUAAGAGGUCCAGCAUCAUGGUUGAACUUCAAAAGCUUGUCAGUGAGUGGCUUUUCAAGGUUAUCAAACGGAAGAAAGAAGAUGACCGCAUGGUACUUCCUUUGACUAAAUAUCCAUCACUUUGGGUAGAAGUAGAAAUAUUGCUUGUUUGCAGUUAUAUAUUGCUCUGGUAAUGUUUUCUCAAUCGUUCCUGUUGCUGGAUGUAUAUAUGCUGCAUUGAACUAUCUCAAAAUAUUUAAAACCUCUCAUUCUUUUCACUCAUGUAGGCAUUGGCUGCUUCUCUCAAAUCCGAUAUCCCGGCCAUGGUUAGUUCCUUAUUAAACAUGGGCUUGGAGGUGAAUAUGGAACAACUAACCACCGAAGGCACCCUUUGUUAAAGUAUGACGGAAUUGGAGAUUGAAUGCACUAGCUGCAGAUCUGUCUCCUAUGUGGACCGCUAAGGUUGCCAUGUUAGUUUCAACCGAUUCCUCUGAGAAGCAAGACAAGCGUGGUACUCAUGUCUCGAGCAACAAGCAUCUGAAGUUCUCUUGUGAAGGUCCCUGAACCAUGAAAAGAUAUGCUCCUUCUUGAUUUGAAAGUUGUCACUUCUGUACUUUCGGAGAAUGAUUCUUUUCUUUCCCCAAAAAAUCUGAGUGCGUUGGAGACGAUAGAUGCAUCAUCAGCAAUUGAAUUCUGAGAACAACCUCGGAUGACUAGUUUUUGCAGAGAGGAUUCUUUUGGCUCACGCACUUUAGAUUGGACCAAAUGGGCAGGUAAGAGAGACAAUUGAUAAAGUGGUCCUUUCAAUUUCAAUCUCGUUUGGCAGCCUAUUUUGUUAAAUUUCUGACAGAAUUUCGCUGUCCAAAAUUAAGUGAGUGCAUUUAAUGCCGACUCAUUCGAUGUUGGCAUACAGUGACCGCCAUCGCUUCCUGAUAUAAUCGGAUUGAACUGUCAAAUUGUGGUGCCAAAGUGCAUAACAUACAUUACAUCCCUUUUUACAUCAUCAAAGUUAAUGAAAAACCUGAAUUACCAGAAAUGGCUUUGGUACCCACAUGCGUGGGUGGGUGCAUGCGUGCUUGCAUGCAUUUUGUACAUAUAAGGCAUACAAGAGGUAACAAACGCAAUCCUCUAGAAUUAAAAUAAUGUGCAUUAAUUAUAUGCAAGUUUUAGUAGGGAAUUGACAUAAUUGUAAUAAGUGUGGGACUUUUUUAGUAAUUUUCCCGUAUUUUCACUCAAAAGUUUAGGAUUACUAUAGGACUAAAUUUGAAUUAAUACAAUAAGCUUACAACCGAAUUUGCAAUUCUCCCAACUCAACACCUAUGCUUUAAGUUUUUUUCUUCUUUUAAUAAUUCUCCCCCUCUUCUAUCUCCUCUCCUCAUAUGUAUAAAAUGGGCAAUGAGGGGUGGCUUGGGUAGUGGAAGGGAAACCGUCCCCAAUGAUCUUAUUGGUGAAAGUUGACACAACUUCAAAUUAAAGGGCAAGAAAACUAACCUCUACUCACUUUAAAUCACCACGCUGAGUGUUGAUUUUAACUCCUUAAAAUCCUUAACACAUCCAACCCCUCAAGAUCCUGGCAUCAAAAGACAAUCCUUAUGGAUAAUAAGAGCGAGAGUAGAAGUCAUAUCCUAUGAUUUCCAAUCUUUCAUGAGACAUACCAAUGGAUUUGCAUAUGGUUAAUAUGAGAAAAGAGCUAUCCUAUACACUUGCAUUUAGUUGAUAAAAAGGUUGAUCAAUUUAUAGAUGACAUGAGUGACUUGAUUUCCAUUCACAUAUAAAUAACAUGCAGCCCAUCCUAGGUUGUGUCAAAGCCCCAAUACAUGCAUUAGACACCAUGCCAUCUCAAUCCCAAAAAGCAGAAGGGAAAUAUUGAUGUUUUCCGGUCAUCACACCCUGAGAAAAGACUAGGCAUUUUUUAUUCCAGCAAGAGAGACAUCCCUCCGACGGAAAUCUCGAAAGAUGAAUCUUGCUUAUGGUCUCCAUAAUCUAGCAAGAACGAUGGUGAUUCCAUUGGACUGGUAAGAACUACUUUUAUCUUCCUCUCCUCUAUGUAUUUACCACUUCCUUUAUCAAACUAGAAAUCUAAAAGAAAUUUCGCAAGUUACUUUACCAAAAGAUUAUGGAACAUAUAUUAGUAAAACUUGCCAUGCCAGCAAUAAUGUCCUCUUCACCUAUAUCGCGAACUUGUCUCUGCACCACAGGUGGAGCUACCUGUUGUGCUUACAUAGUAACUGCAUCAAAUAGAAGAUAGGAUGAAAGGCUACUCCAAUUCUUUCAAAAUAUCAAGACAGCUUCUGAGGCCUAUCAUGGUUUCCCUUUAUCUCAAGGUAUAUUAGGCUACUAUGGCCAGCAUUCAAAAUCUUAUUCAAAGAUGAUCUUGCUACAAUGCGAAUGACUCCACCUUUAGCUAUUCGUACCCUAUCAAUAAUAUAGUCCAGUUGACAUGUCACGGCAAAGAAAUUGCAUAAGAAUCUUUCAGCUGAUUCAAGUACUGUGGGCAUCUCUCCUCACAAGUAUGAUAGGGGCUUUAAUAUGUAUAUGAACAUGAUACUCCUUGGACUUGAGCUGCACGAUUUUGAAUCAGAUGCUCCAUUUGGCUUGAUAAUACCUGCAUUUGGCCACACAGUAUUUCUUCAGAGAUGUAGACUUAACCUAGAAUGCUCUGGAUCUCCAAUAUAGAGUUCAUAAUGUCUCCCCAAUACAGAGCUUUAAAUGCACUAGUGUCCUCUGAAAAUUAAAUUACAUCAAGAGAUACAAGAUCGAAGGAAAUUAUUCACCCACCAUAACCUAAAAAAAGUAAAGCAUGAUCAUGGUGAAAGAAAAGGUCCAAAAAAUCCUCCCCUUGAAAGCAACAUAUCGAUCAGUCUUGUCGCCUAACGGAAUCGAGCAUGAGCUUUGUUUACCCAACUCAACUGCAUAGACACGGAGAAGAGGCUUUAGAUAUAAGAACUUAACAGGGUACAUCACGAGAGCAGGAUGUGAUGAAAUGUACCAUCGUACAUUUUCUUUGAAGAUAUAAUGCAGUAAUGCAAUCUCGAUGGAUAUUCCAAAGAACUUACAAUAAAAACUCCUAGUAACUACGGGGUACAAUGGAAAUGAACAUUCAAAGCCCAAGAUUAAUUCUGGGAAAAAUGGAAAAGUGUGGAACAACAAACUUUGAUUUACAUCACAUGAAGUAAGAACGACGUGAUAAGUGAAUUCAAGCAUCCCAUGGAAUUCUAUUAGCACUGGCAGCUUCUACUGAUUCCAGUUCUGCCACAACUUUAGUCCUGGAAGGCUGCUCGUUAGGAGUCAUUUGGAGGCAUUGUAAAGCAAGCUGUGCCAUUUGGAAUGCAGAAUCUACAUAUGUAAGGUAUAGGGAUGGUAUAAAUUUGGUUCCCAUUUCCUGCAGGUCGCAACAUCGUGAGCGACCAGCUUCUUCUAAAAUAUCCAGUGUUUCUUUUUUGGUAAUUGGAGCAUCUGCAGAAAAUGAAAAGUUAUGUAGGCAGUACAACUGUAGAUUCCAUGCCAAAGGAUUUAAGUAGCUAAAAGCAAAACACACCUGGUAUUUCAUAGAGAGGAUUAUAGUGAACCUCACACCAGAAACUCAACCAAAACUCUGCAUCAAUUGAAAGUAAGGUUAACAAAAGGAAAAACUCAAAAUAAAGAGUUUCAAAAGACCAGUUGCACAUUGAACAAAAGCAACAGUAGAUCAAUUGCAAAUGUUUACACCUAAAUUUAAAAUCAAUCAAAUAUAUAUUGAGCUGUACCCAAGCAGCUGUUCUAAGCAAGCAAAAGAACAAAUAUUUAAUUUCCCAGAUGAACAACAAGCAAAGCAUCACAAAGGAGGGUCUAUGCGUAUAUGUAUGCGAGCAACGCUCUUUUUUCCAAGACAAACGAGAAGUAAAAUAUCAACUUCACAUUCAUCACAUUGCACCGACUGAUCAUUUGACCCAACAAAACAACUAUGAAGAAGACUAGCAAGCAAUACCCUAGGCAGAGGGAACUUAUAAAUCCAAUGGCCCAACAAUAAUCAAGCUAUCAAUAUAAGUAUCAUCAAGAGGUUUUAGCCCUCCUUCAGGCUCUCCAACAUCUACCAAAUAAGCAUUGAACAUCAAUGACUCACCGGAACAAAUAACUUCAUUCUUCAAAAUUCUGCAUCUCGACAGCUGCUCGCUGCCAUCAUGGCAUUACCUAUCAUAUAUCCAACCAUCAAUCACAGCAUGGACUAAUCUACUCCAAACAAGCUCAAUCACGGAGAGUAUUACAACCAAAAGCACAAAACAGAGCAAUCCAUGAUGAUAGAAAGAAUGAAACCCUAAGCAGCAUCGAGCUGCUGCCAUUAAGUUCGAUCAAGCAAGCUAAAUUUGGGGGAAAACGGUGAUAAAUCGAUAGCCACUGCAGUUUUGACACAGAUUAGCCAAUCAAACCAAAUUAUGUCCAAGCCCAAUCAAAGGCAACUAAAUUGCUGACCGGGUUGAGCUGGACAUCACUGGCAGAGAUUAGUAGUGAAAGCAAAGGUACCUUGCCGGUGGACGUGCAAAGUGAGAGGAAGCCGUCACAAUAGACCUUGCGCUUCAACUUCUGCUUCAGGUGCUUCUUGAAGGUGACAUUCCAGCAUACACAAACUCAAGCACAUAACUCAUUUCAUCAAACACCAAAAUUGCACAUGAUCACCAAACACUGGACAGGCAAAUCUAGAUGGUUCACACUCACACAAAGCAUAAUUUAGCACACUAAUUACAAACACGAUCCAAGAGCAGUUUAGGAUUGAAGAAGAAAACCAGAGCACAACACCAAUCUGCUCCUAGAACCUGCAUUGCCGGCUCAAAAUGCAGGCGUUGAGUCCAUCACAGAGCUGAAAGCUCUGAGGUAUUCAUCCGUGGGAUUCUGCUGAGUCUGGAUGUUCUGUAUAAGGUCAACAAGGAUGGUGAUGCCAGGUUUUUGUCCCUCAAGAUUCCAUUUGAUGCGAUGUUCAUUUUCCUAAUCAAAACUCCAGAGUUAGAGCUUAAGCUGGCAGACUUGAAAUCCAUAUCCUAGGUGCAAUUUCUCCCUCUUUACCCAACCUAGAUUGAGGAUGAGGACCAUGAUACCAAUGUGUGCGCAGAAGCUCUCCCUGAUGCUCAUAGAGUUCAACUUGACUAAAAUUUCUGAGAUUCUACACCCAAAGACAGUCAGCCACUGCUUCAGAUUUUCACUUGGCGAUCUGUCCUGUGCAAAUGUGAAUGAUGUUGAGCUGCGCAUGGCUCUGGCAUCGGCUCCAGAUAUGGAUCCUGAGUUGCUUUCUCAGCUAUAAGUAGCACGGCGGAUUGGAAAUCUUUUGGAGUUUGUACAUGGGAAGAAUUUGGAAGAUUUUUUCAAAUUGAUGCUUGGCUUGUGCAAAUCUCUUCUUUUAUGAUCACCAGGUUCUACGAAAGUUUUCACGUACAUGGAAGAGCCAACACUACCUGAUGAAAGUUCUUCUGAGGUGGCAAGUAGCAUAUGACACAUAACUGACUUUGGUGGUAGUGCCAGUGUUUUCCUAGAAUUGAGUGGGUCUCAUGACAGAAAAUGGCAAUACUGCUUCUGAAUGCACAGUUCUAUUACUGAAGGCAGCCUCGAGGGAAGGUGCUCUCUUUUUCUUAACAAUCCUUUGUAAGUGAGUGCAAUUCUCGAGUCUUGGCAAGACGGCCUCCUUCUCUACUGGUACAACAAAUGCUGCAUUCUCUCAGUUACAACUGCAGGUGAUGUUUGCUGCACAGAAUGAUUUUUGUCGGUGUGCCCCUCAAAGAUUGCUAUGAUUGAAGGCAUCCUUGCUGAGGUAAGAUAUUCUGGUGCUGCUGCUUUAGCCAGUGCUGCCACACUGGUAAUCUCAGAAUUUCGGUGGCUCCCUCAUUUAUGACUUCUCCAUAACAUUUGCAAAUCCCACAAAGAAGCACACCUUUCCUGAAAAAUAAACUGAACUUAAGCAUAGCAAUAGAGUGUCUGCCUACUUCAAAGUCGCAAUAAUGAGUUGAUUGUGCUGUAAAAUCCCAGGAUGAGAACCAUAGUCAUAUGACCUUCCAGCACACAUUCCAUCUAUUUGUUUACAGCAUAGCAAAGUUAUCUCCAAUGCGAAGCGAGGUUAUCAAUUUCAAAAUAUAUGAAGCAGCAAAUCGACAAGGAUCUCUAAUAAUUUGGUACAUAUCAAAUAAAAAUGAUGCAAUUGACAUGCAUAUCUCUAGGAGAAAUCAUCCUAAGAAAAUGUAGAUAAAAAAGUCCAGCCAAACUAGGAAAAUAACACAAAUACUUGUACAUAAUUAAGAGCCCUCUGGCCGUUCAGAGGUAUCAUAAUUUCAAUGCUUCAUCAGAUUUUCAGACAAGAAUCCGCUAAAAGGUCAUUAAAAAGUGCAUGCGAAACUACUCUGUUCAUAUUUGCGAAAGAAUUUGACUGCAAAAAAAAGGAAAACAUUGGUACUUACCUCAAUUUGUUUAAGGUUUGAAUACAAGGGAACAAUUUGUGGUUGUGCAUCAAGAAGCUUACACGUACAACAAGAAAUCACCAUGGUCUUCUUCAUCGUCUUAUUCCACAAAUUUGAUCGACUUCUCCAAGCAAAGCCGAGAAAUUUCCUCCACAUCUAAUUUCUCGCAACAUUUUAUUACAACCAUUCGCAGUCCCUUCAAGCUUGACAGAUCAGGCAACUUCUGUAAAGAUCCACAGUAUUCAAUGUUUAAUUUGUCCAAAGAUUGGGAUAGUUCACCUUGAAUCUCAACCAGAUUACCGCACCCCUUUACUAGAAUACUCCUUAGCUUGUUUAACUUGCUUAGAUCAUGUAGCACCGCCAUCUGUCCGACGCACGUAAGGUCCAAAUCUCGUAGGUUCUCCAAACAACCAAGGCCUUCAAUCUCUGCAACUGCAGAGUACAAAAUCGAGAGAGACGAUAGUUUCCUCAAAUUCGAUAGAUCCAUCGAGCAAAGUGAGUGGAAACCUUCCACAUAUAAGGAGGAUAAAUUUGAGGGAAGCCUCGGGAGGCGACGCGGAUGAGGAGGGAGGCUAAGGUCUGUUGAUGAGGCGCUCCCCCCAGAAUAGCAGAGUUCCAGAGACUCCAUUUUGCUUAAGUUCCCAAUCCACCAUGGUAUCGGUUCUUCCAGAAGCCCAUAAGAUUUCCCAUCGAAAUUAGGUGGGCCAAAGCCCAAACACAAUACCCUUAAAUUAGUGAGAUUUGAGAGAUCCGGAAACGUGUCCACCCUCAACUGCUCCAGUUCUAAUUUGGUGAGACUUUCAGGAAGCCUUGGUAGGGCAUGUAUUCUCGCCCCUCCCAAUCUCAAGAUCCUCAAGGAUUUAUUCUCAUAGAUGCAAUCACUAAUUUCCUCGUUAUGAUAAACCUUGCAGUUGAUUUUUAUUUUUUCAAGCUUCUCCAUCGUCCAAAAAGCAUCGUGUAUUUUGCUUAUGUCACUAUACUGCAUCUUCACUACUUUCAAAUUCUUCAACUUUUCGAUGGAAUCAGGUAGUUCUUUGAUGUUUGUGUAACUUAUGUUCAACUCAAUCAGCGAUUCCAAAUUCCCGAUUGUCUUCGGAAGCCUCUUCAAACUCUGGCAGUUUCUUAGAGAUAGGUAUUCGAGGCUUGCAAGAUCUCUACCCAACUCAUCUGGCAGCCUCUGAAGAUUCAAACAAUCGCUUAUAUCUAAGAAAACUAAGCAUUUCAACUGAUAAAUUGAUUUAUCAAUUUCAAUUAAUGAUUCACAGCCUAAUAAGAUCAAACGUUGUAAAUUUGAAUGAGUAGAGAAGUUGGGGGUUCUCUUCAAGCAUUGGCAAUUGGCUAGAUCUAAAACUUUCAAAUUCUUCAUUGCCUGUAAAAGAAAAAUCUUGCAAAGUUUACUUUUGAAUCUAAUAAAACAGAAGAAUAUGCGUUGUCUAGCAUAUAACAUACCUUCAUGUGGUUCCACCCCUUCCAAUCAUGUGUAAUUUCACUCCUAGAGAGAUCAAGGAUAAUCAAAUUCUCCAUGGAGAAAUUUGCAAUCUUAAAUGUUGGGCAAAUAUUAUGCCAAGAAAGCCAUCGUAGUUGUGGAACAAGAUCAGAAUUCUUCUGGAAAACGUUAGUUGGAAUAACAUUUGAUGGCCAUUUGUGCCGAGAAGCAUCUUUUUUGCAUGAAAAUUUUCCAAGUCAUCGACUUCAAGGAAUUUUAGAUUUGGCAGGCUCUUAAAGUCCUUAUAGGUAAAAUGGUGCUGAUCGUCAAACUUGAGAUGAAGAGCUUCAACUUCUUUUUUUUCCUACCCAAAGGAAAAUUUUUAAACAAAAAAGUUGAAAGGAAACACAUUUACUCAAGUUCACUAUUUUAAGGGGUUGAGUUGAGUACUAUCAUUCCUUUCAAUUUAAAAGAGCAAAAAUAUUAGUUGAGUAGGUCGUGAUGGUGCUAGAGAACGGGAAAAGUAACUGCCCUUUUUUUUAAAAGAAAAUGUCCAUAAGUAAGUUGUGUUGCACGAGGCAUUUUACCUCAUGUCUCCUCAGCAAAUCCAAUCCUUCCUUGGGAUUCCACACCCAACGUUGCUUCUCUAUUUUCAUCUCACUUUCUUGACGAAUUAUUUCUCUUCCCAGGUCUCUAAGUUGAUCAUGCAUCCACAAUAUUAAAUGUUUUCCAAUCUUUAUCAAAGACAUGUUUUGCAAAACUUCCAAGGCUACUUCCGAAAAAAGUUCGGAUGCAUCCCAAAAAUUAACUACAAUGUCUUUGUGAUAUCCAAUGAAUUGACAAGCUAUAUCAAGGAAUAUAUGCUGCUGCCGAUUAUCUAAUGCAUCAUAACUUAUUUUCAGCUUACUCUGAACUUUAUCAUGAGGAACACUUUCUAGCUUCUUCAAUGUGGCAUCCCACAUUUUCUUAUUUUUGCCGGAUAAAAGUGAACCUAUGACCUCAAGGGCUAAUGGAAGACCUCCGGCAAUGUGUACCGCCCUCUUGGAUUGGUCGAUAUACUCGUCUAUAGGAGAAUCUCUUCUGAAGGCAUGUUUGCUAAAAAGUUGAAGAGAUAGAUCCGGAUCCAAGCUCGUAAGCUCAUACCUCCAAUCCACUUCCGGGACAUGGAUAAUAUCUUUCCUUCUCGUAGUAAUAAUAAGUUUGCUCCCUUUACCAAACCAAUCACGCUUACCUACAAGUGCAUCCAUAUGAUCCUUUUCUUCCACAUCAUCAAGAAGAAGCAGGACUUUUUUAUCAGACAAUCUUUUUUUAAUGAUCUCAAUCCCUUCAUCAAUGUUUUUUAUAUCUGUCCAUUUCAUCUUAAGGAUGUCAGAGAUGAGCUGUUGCUGCAAGUAAUAAAUGCCCUUGAGCUUUGACAUUUCACAAAUGUUGGAAAGGAAGCAACAAUUGUUGUACUUGUUGGAAAGCUCAUUGUAGAUUAAUUUUGCAAUCGUUGUCUUUCCAACGCCACCCAUCCCAUGAAUGCCCACAAUCCGCGUUUCACUUGUGUGAGCACCUAUCUUUUCCAUGAUUUUAUCCACAUGGUGGUCCACACUAACCAAAUUUUUCGAUACCACCAAAUAAGCCUUCUUCAACUCAUUGAAAAUCUUAUGGGUAACUGUUUUUGCAAUCUCACCUUCUUCCCUAGUGUUUGUUGGAGGUCAAAUGGCAAGGAGUUAGAAAAUUGUAUUAAACUAAAUUAUGUUCUCACAAGACCAAAGUGAAAACUAAAGACCUAUUUGAAAUGCUUUCUACAAGGAUUUACUCCAUUGUAAAUGAGUUAGUGUUGGCACAUAUGGUUGAAUAACCUUAACUGAAAAAAAAAAAAAGUUAUUUGGAAUGAUAAAGGACAAAAUUGGGAUUGUACCACUAUUUCGUGUGAUUUCUGCAGUAUAAUUUCAAUAGCAUAAAAUUCAAUUUCAACAAGGCUAACACAAAUCUAGAAAAGAAACCAAUUGAACCACAUUAAAAGUUUUAAUGGUACAAGGUACAUCAAAUGGAAUGAUAGAGGUAGUCACCUGUUGGUCAUGUCGUGCAGAUCCCACCCGUUUACUGCCCCAACUGCACUUAGAGCAGCCUUCCAUUGACGCAUAGUCUCUUCGUCAUAUCGAUUCUUCUUUUCAUGUGAAAGAAAGGCCUCUCCAUAACCCCUAGUUUGGUGUCGAACCUCUGAAGGUGCCACAUCAUAAAAAAUGGGCAUGAUCUUUUGUCCCCUAGUAUUGUGGCACUUAACCAUCUGGACUAGCUCAUUGAGACACCAUACGCUAGAGGCAUAACCUUUCGAAAAUAUAGGUAUUGAGAUCUCCGAUUGAUUAAUUGCUUGGAGAAGUUCCGGGCCAAAUUCUUCCCCCUCGUAGAGCUCUUUGUCAUCCUUAUAAACGCGGAUUCCCGCAUCUAUCAUACUAGUGUAAAGGAAGCUGGUAAAACCUUUUCGAGUAUCCUCUCCUCUAAAGCUCAAGAAUACUUCAUAUGCAUAUCCUGAUGAAUUAACCAUUCCCUGACCUUCUGUCACAGUGUGAGUAAAAGAAGCGCUCCCUGCUAUUCCAUCAUUUUUAUAGGUAUGUCGUGUUUCUACGGUCCCCUCCAUUGAUUUACUCGAUCAGAUUUUCAAGAAAUACCGAACAUAUCAGCAAAAGUAAAUGUGUAGAAGCCUAAUUGACAAAUAAUGGAGAUCUCUGUAGGUCAUUAAACGUAGUAUUCGGGAUUAGCUAAAUAUGCAGAGAGUCAUGGGCCAGUGUGCUAUAAUUGUUCAAUAAGAAUGAUUCAUUGCAGCAUCACUCUAGCCUAUUAAAGUUGACAAUGCACGUGAAUAUAUGAGUAUUAAAUCUUGAGGGGCGUUUUAACACCUUAAGGAGAUUAAAUCUCCUAGGGAGAACGUUAACAUAGCACAGAGCAAAGUUUUCAUUUAAAAAAAAAAAAAACAGCUCUCUUCCCAAAUCUUGAGAACAUAAAUUAAUUCCUAGGAGUUUUAAAUCUCAAAGGGAAAGCAUGAACAUGUUCUCAUUUGACAUAACACGAUGCAAAGCAUCCUUUUUAAAAAAGAAAAGUUCCACACUUCUUGAAUUUCUACAACAUAAAUUGUUUUUCUUUAAUGUCAUUUCCACAAAAAUGACCACCACUCUCUCUAGAAUGGAUCAAAAAAUCAACCAAAGCUAUUCAUGUGAUGGGAUAGUUGUAGUUUGUAAUCUUACACAUUUCUAAAAUUCCGUAAACCAAAAAUGGAGUUUUGUUUCAUGCGUGAUAGUUUAAAGAACCAAAUAUAAACUUGAAGAAUCACUGGUAAGUAAAAAUUAAUCGAUAAUUUGUGAAUCUGGGCAAUUGUUAGAAAGCUAUCAAAAAAAUAGUUUUUUCAUCCUCAAACCAAAUAAUGGAUUACCAUUUUUUUCUUUUAGAUUUUACAAAUGGGUUUGUAUUUUCGCUUAUAGAAUAUGAAUGCUUACAUACUUUAUUAAUAGUCUCGAUUGAUGUUCCAACUUACAAACAAGAUACCUAUUUUACCCCCUCUAAAUUCAAAUAUGGCAUUAACAAUGUUUCGAAUUUAUGAGUAGCAAUGUUCAUUUGUAAUUACCACGUGAACAAAAUAAUCGAUUUACCAUAUGGAAAAUACUCUUGUAACUUACAAGCAAUUGUUUGCUUUUAUAAGAGGGCAAGUAUUUUUGGUAGUAAACUACAAGUUGUUUGCAUGCUUUGUUACUAGUCUUGGUUAAGGGUAGUAACUUACAAAUAAAUGAGUAUUUUACAAGUAUAAAUCUCUACUAUAUUAUUAACCUUGCUUUGAUAUUAUGAGUUGCAAUUUAAUUGUUAGCAUGCUAACGAAACAACUGAUUUACCUGCUUCAAAUAUUCUUGCAGAUCACAAAUAGUCGUUUGCUUUUACAAGUGGGUGUGUUUUUCCUCUAGUAGAUUACGAGUUCCCUAAAUAUUUUUUACUAGCAAGUCAUAAAAAAAAUAACCAUUUCAUUACCCUAAAUUUUUAGUAGAUUGUUAACACUGUUUCGAAAUCUAUUUGUCAGUAACAUUACUAACAUUUUUUAUGCAACUGUAUGUACUCCGGACAAUUGUGUGUACUUCUUUACUAGUGAUAUUGAUGAUUAUUUGUAUUUAUGAAGCAUUCUACUUGUUUAUAUAGUCAAUUGUAAGACACCAAUUAAAAGCUAUGAGAUGACUAAAUAUGCCACAACGAGAUGACACGGUGGUAUUUUUUCAAAAUGAAGUUGCAACGUGAUCGGACAUUGACAAAGUUAACGAUAUAUAAGGUUUGGAACUUAUAUAAUUUACAACCAAAUAAUAGCGUGGUUCUAUGUUAUUCAACAUCUAAUGCCCAAUACAAGAUUCAAUAGCAAUUUCGUGGAUGCUUCCAAUGUAAUUUGUUUGUUUGAUAAUCUAAUCUUGGUGGUUGAGAGUUUGCUCUAUCUAGGGAAGAAUGGACAUAAGAGUAUUAGCUUCCUCUAUAAUUACUCUAUAGAAUUAGGAGAGGCACAUGCCAUCAUUGUCAGGCAUCUCAAAAUUAAAGAUGUCCACACUGAAUGAUUAUUGUAUUAGCACUGCCUCCAACUUCAUAGAUUACUAUUAUGAAAAAGAAGAAGAAGAAGAUCCCUCUCAUAUCUAAGCUCGAAAAAUUGGUUCUGUUUUAUAUUUGUCCAAGAGACGUGCCCCUCCACUUUCCAAUAUACUAAUAGUGUCAAAAAAAUUUCUGCCAAGGACUUGCAGACAUGGUGAGACCGUUAGUCUAUAGGAAUUCCAAGUUGAAGAUAAAAUACCGAUACACUGCUAUUCAUUUGAUGUGUUAAAAUAAAAAUUAAGUGCCAAUAUUGUAGCCAUUACUUCAAGUAUAGCUCAACAUUCAAAUUGGAUUUGAACUAGGGUAUGAGUUUAAGUAGUUUAAAUCUAGCCUCCAUGACUCUGCCUUUAUGAUUUGAUCACCUUAUGUGAUUCAAGGAUCCUGUCACUUUCAACUUCAUCUUAAGAUAAAGUGUAAAACCAAUUGAUGAUAAGAGUUGGCAAUCUACUGACCACGUGGAUAAAAUUUCAUAGGAGUUGGUUAACUCCUUCAUUAAUAUAUUGGUGUAUAUAUAUAUUUUUAUAGUGCUAAUAAGUAAAUUUCAGAGGAGCUGGUAAUAUAUUAAUUCAUUAAAAUGUUGUUAAAUUCGUGUAUGUGCCAGUAAUUUAUUUAUGAUUCUGGUAAUAAGAGUUGGUAAUUAACCACUUAACUCGUAUGUCAAUGAAUUCUUGAUAUUGCUGAUAAUUGAUUUAACACGUGGGUAAUUUAAUACUUUGAUGUAAUGUUUGUAAAUUACUGUGUCGGUGAUAUACUUACCACACUCGAAAAUUUUUGUAGGAGUCAGUAAUUUACUACUUUAUCGGCAUGUUGGUAAAUUUCUAAAGAUGUCGGUAUUUUACUUACAGCAAUGAUGAAAACUUUCAAGUGAGUUAAUUUACUACUUCAUUGGAAUGUGGUAAAAUUUAGAUAGUCUUGGUAAUUUACUAAUCACACUGAUAAAAUUUCAUAAGAAAUGGUAAUUUACGAAUAUUUUGUCAGUCAACAACCAGAAGGUUUCAAGCUUGAAAUACACUGAUGAAUGGAAGAAUAGCAGAGAUGAGAGCUAGAGAGCCCAAGAUCAGGAUGCAAGAAGCCAAGUCUCCAAUCAGACGAUUACUACAGUACUGUGAAAUAUUUGGAAGUCAAGAAACCAGGCCAUCUUCAAGAAUAGAAAACCAGAACCAAGCAACCUGUGUAGUCUGCUUUAGCGGGGUUAAAGAGUUUCAACAGAUGGAACCCAAAAUCGAGCGAAUCUAGUAAGACCAGGGACGGAUCGUCACGAUUUUGGAACCCACCGCAGGCUGGAACACUAAAGACAAACAUAGACGGUGGCUACGAACCUGGAGCUACUGGAGGCUCGAUCGCUUGCGUCUGUCGUGAUUCCGCCGGGAGGUUGGUGGACGGAGUGGUACGAGCAGUAGCGAAGCCUUCCGCGUUCGGGGUUGAGGCUCUUGCCCUCUUUUUGAAGUCUCACAGCUUAGAGUUGGUCAAAGCAGUGGAAAGUUCAGACAGGUUCACGUGGGAAGCUCAUACUAUUAGUAUUAUCCCGAAGUGCGAAGAUUUAUUAGUCUUUUUCAAAUAGUCAGGUCAGCCAUGGGGUUAGAGAGGCCAAGUCGCGGACUGGGUAAAGCCCAUGAGAGAAAGCCCAUUUAUCAGACCUUUCGAUCUUUUCUGCUUAGAGAAGUACUUCACUUUAUGACAAAAAAAGAGGAGGUAGUCUCCAAUCUCAAGGAGCGAACGUGCGAGUGUUCGGGGUUGACACUUCAUAAUGCACGAUGCACACUUUGUUUUUUCCCCAGAAUGCCUGUAUUUGAUAGUGAUAACAUUCAAUUGCAACCUUAUAAAAGCGUCUAAAAGAAUACUCUCCAAGAUUUCACUUUUAUUUGUUUUUUCUUUGAAGAGUGGUAGCUAAUUCAACUUUUUGUCUAAUGAUUGUAUUUCAAUGCAACCAAAAACCACAUGUAUGCGACACUUUUGUACUUUCCAUUUAAUUCAAUUGGACGGCAUCAACUUUUCUAUUGAUUGAUGACACGAUUGGCUAGACUAUUUAAAGAUCAAAGUAUUUAUGAACAAAUGAUGUUUGUUUGCAAGUAAUUUUUUUUAAUAUUCUAAAUCAAUUUUGUGGUAAUUAAACAUUUCAUGUUUCACGAUAGAAAACAAAUCUUGCUAGAUCCAGAGGUGUGAAAAUGUUCCAUUCCAAAAUUCGUACGUCCUUAAGUCUUCUUAGGCAUAAAUCCAAUUGUGACCUAAAAAUAAAUUGAAGAUUGAAGUUAUAACUCAUGUUGACUCGAUGAGGCAAAAAAAAAAAAAAAAACUCUUGGGAAUUAUGAAUGGAAGAUCAAAUUUGUUCUUUAGUAGCUUUAGCUUUGAUUAUACUCCACUAAACUUUUGUUUCAGUAAUCAAAAGUCCAAAAGUCCCGUCGCAAUUUUCCAAAUUACACUCCUUCCAUUCAAACCGAAAUUGAGCUUUCUCUAUUAGCUUAAAAGCUUGGGGAAGAAGAGAAUAUAGGUAGGAUCCCACUGCUUGACUCCUGCUCUUUUGAAUGGAACUCUUUUGAAUGGAAAAAAGAAAAAAAAAAGACUUUUUAUAUAGAUGUAGUAGGCCUUAACUAUCUGGAGCUUUGCUCCUUCCUGCAGAAAAAUUAAGGAACUAAAAAGGAAGGUCAUUGAACUUAGAAGCCAGGAGGGAUUGGAUGAAUAUGCAGAGAAAGUUGUGGGCCAAUUUGCUACAAAAUUUGGUCAAUAAGGAUGGUUCCUCAUAGCAUCACUCUGGCUAUCAAAUUAUUGUAUUCCUUAUGCGGAAAAUCAACGGGAUAUAUGGUGUAGAAAUUUUAGGAUUACAAUCAACUUUUGCCCCCAAAUCAGUGGGCGGAUUCAUUCAAAGUCAAGUCAACAAAAGCACACAUCAAACUUCCAAAAAAGUUUGUUUCCCUCCAUCCUGGUGAACUCUGAACGGUCCAAUUUAAUGGGCUGAUCGGGCCAGGCCUGAAUUAACUCCGAAGCAUAAAGCCUGGUGGAAUUAUCGAGCUUGAUCUUCGUCAAAGCACUCCCCUAGCGAUCAAUCGAAUUGAGAAAAGAAUGCACUUUAUUUCGAGGGUGAACCAUCCUUCUUUAACCUGUUGUUAGUGUCAAUAAAUUGCUUGUCACAAAGCAUUGUAGUUGGACAUUAAAUCCAUGCAUUGUGCUGAUAAUUAUACAAAACACUACUAAAAUAGAGUACAUGAAACCAAUGUGUAGGAAGAGUCUUGUGUUGUAUUAAAACUUUGAGCCACUAACAAGUGCAGUAAAUAAGCUCACGAACAUGAUGUGACCUAUCAGAUCCCAUUUGAAUUUAACUCAUUUAGCAUUUUCAAAUUCCCAAUCGAAUUUGGAAGCCUCUCCAAAGACUAGUAAAAGUUCAGUGAAGCCUCUCCAAUGACUAUAAUGAUUACUAAUUAGAAAAAUAUAUAUUGACUCCCCCCAAUCUCAAGUAUGAAAGUUCUCUAUUCAGAUAAUGAUUUUUAGAAGUGUGGCUCUUCAUUCUCUCGGUUAAUGCUUGUGGAUUAUCUAUUAUGAAAGAAAAGAAAGAGGUGAAAAUAUAAGAACUUGUGGACAACAUGAGAUUCUUCCAUGUUAAAUUUUGAGAAUUGACCAAAAAAAAUAAAAAUUGCCACACCUCUAUUCAUUUGAAAUUAAACGAUUUGGGUCAUUAUUUUAGAUUUACCUCAACAUUGGAUAAUGUCAAACCAAGUCCAUUUGCAAUUGGAAACAUUUUUAAAUAUAAUUAAAAAUCAUUACACCUCCUCUUCAACUUCUGUGAAUCCAACUUAAGAGUCAUGCUUUACUCGGAAAACAAAUUGGACAUGCGUUUACCGAUGUGGAGUAUACAUCUUCAUGUCACAAUUUUACGUUGGUUACUGUUGUAGAGGUGAUGCCAUAAGUGCUGAGAUACUUUCAUGCACAUUGUAACAGCUACUUUGAUGUAUACGAUAUAAUGAGGUUAACGUUCUCCUAUGUGAAGAGUGGGCAUCAACCAAUUUCAAACAUAGUAAGACAAAACAGCAAUUUAUAAGGUAUCUCAAUUCACCUGACAAAAUAAUGCACUUGGAAUUUAUAUAAUUUGACUUGACCUCACUCGGUAAGUUAAUUAGCAAUUCAAAGCCAUUGAAACGUCUAAACCAAACCAAAACAAAACAAAGAAGAUCUGGACAAGGGUACUUGCAGAACUAUAUCACUAGUCAACAUACAAAGUGCACAUGAGAAGAAGAUUUACCUAAACCUCUUUGUAAUUGAUAUGUAUAACAGAAUGGGAAGCACUUCUUAUCAGAAAAAAAGUACUCGAGAGAGUAGGUGUCCAUUCUUUUUUCUCGUGCAGAAAUUUGCCAAGUUUGAUCAAACAACUCCAUGACGUGCUGAGUUUCCAAAUCUCCCGUGGUGAAUGCCUACCCGAUCAGACUGAAUUGAGGUCAUACAGCAAUCCCUUUUUAAGGCAGGAAGUCCAUGUCAGACUUUCCCUUCCAUCUUGGUAGUUUGUAGAUGUAUUAUCUCUGUAAGAUGGAGAUUCUUGGUGUUUGUCCGUUAAGACUAGCAUGCGAAUCGAACAAAGUCAACCCCAAAAUCAUGCGCCGCUUACCAAUUAGUUGGGGGUUCACACCAAUAGCUCUUACAAUACUUUCUCUUCAUGUGAAGUCCUCGGAGAUGUACUGACCGAGAUAUACUCCUGUCAUCACUUUAUUCAAAUCAUUUCACUGUUCCCGCUACUCCAUGGUUUAUUGCGGCGUCAUUAUUUGGACUGCCCUUUCCAGUGAUCCAUCUUGUGCUUGUUAGACUCCUCUGGAAGAAAUCUUUGAACGGAACAGCAGAAACAACGAUGGUAGCAACUGUGACCACACGUAGGGCAACCUCAAGUGUGUCAGUCGUUUUGUGCUAAGCACAAGUGGUCCACCUCGGCAGAAACAACAGUCAUUGAGCCGCUGCUGCUCCCCCUCCUCCUCGGACGCAUCGGACGAUGCCUACUGGUUCGAGGGCUUGGCCAUGGCAGUGCUAAGAACCUAUUUCGGCAGAGAUCGACCGAUCGAGUUCGUCGCUGCUUGUUCUAGAGAGAGAGAAAGAGAGGGGCUGAAUCAGAAUCCGAAGUGACGAUCUGAAAUAAAAAUGGGAGGAGGAGAGAGUCGGAGGGGGAUGGUGGGAUAUUCGAAGUCGUAUCAGAGUCGGUGUUGGAAACUGGUGGAAGCAGAGGAGGGUUCUUUGCGUCUCUUCGUAUUUUUGUUUUAAUUAGUUUCUCGCUUUUCCUUUUUAUCUUUCGGGGUUUGGGUUUUUCCUUUCGGUUGUUCUUUUCUUUUUUCGCAACACGCGAGUAGCGCGAAGAUUUCCCGCCAGCAAGAGACGGGGGCAAAAUUGUAUUUUCGUUUCCCCUGCCGCAGAAUUGAGGGCAGCAGCGUCCGCUCCCGCGCGAGAUGAGACUUGCGGCUCGAGAAAUAGAGGUGGUCCGACCGACCUGCCCUUGCUGCCUGACGCAACUGAGUCUUGAUGGUCUGGGAUUUUUUCCUCCGUAUAUUAAGAGGGUAGAGAGGGAAAAUAAAACGUAAUUUCCCCCUCUGACGUUUUCGCUGUGGAAGAUUAAGUUUAAACCAAAACUACUCAAUUUACACGUACGUAUACAGGCCUUGUAGAAAAUUAUUCAUAUGAAUAAUUAAUCAAUCGUGAAACAAAUGGAUCCAUACAUGAUUGUAAAACACCGAGAUCAAUAAAUACAGCGGAAUUAAAGCGUACAUGUUUGAGCCAUUGCUUUACUUAAAGAAAACUAGAUCACUCUGAUAAUCAGGGAUCUCCAACCAGAUCUUCCUCUCUAUGACCUAUUUCGAUAUAGCAGCUUUCAAUGGGAUUAAAGCAACUGAUAGGACCUACCCUUUUAUAGGUUAGAGAGGGGACCUAGCAAAUCCUAAUCAACAGCGUGUCAACUGGACCCUUCCCAUUACGGGCUUCAGUCAAACACAAUUGCCUACACUUUGCUGCUCAACUAGGCCCGUUAUCAAUAGAUGCCAAUACCCAAUUCAAUCAGAUCACUUUAGGGUUCAACAAAUAUUGGAAUAUCCAUUAACCCGAUUAUUUAAAAUAGAAAAUCAAUUAAUUAAUGUAAGCCCAUAUUAUAGGAAUUUCCAACAUUCUCCCACUUGGGCUACAUUAAUUAACUUAUUUUAUUUCAAAAAAGAUUUUAUAUUUGAAAACGACACUAUCGGGUUAAUAACUGAAAAUUUUGUUUUAUGUGACCACAACUUUUUAAAAGUAAUAUUCCAAUAAUGGCAUCUCAAUACCAAUCCAAUCCUAUAUAACCUCAGUAUAGGACUAUGGAGAUCAAUGUGUUAAGAAAAUACCACAACACAUCACCUUCCAUAAUCACAUAUAAUAAGUAUUAUAUUUUCAUGGAUCAUGGACCUAAUAGUGUAGUAAGAAAUAGUGCCAACAUGUGAUCAAAAUUUACAUUAUUUCUUAUCGGUCCUCAAUGCAAUUUCUCAACAACAUGAAAUUGCCUCAGUGCAAUUUCUAAACAACAUGAAAUUGCACAAUUAUGUCACAAUCCAACAUGAGAUCUCAUAAUUAGUGACAUCUAGUCAUCUUUAAACUAAAAAUUUGUUUAAAGAUAUUGUUUUAUACUUCCAUUUCUCAGUCAACAGGAGAAAUGAUAACAAUAGAAUCAAUAACAACAAUCAUUGAAAAUAAAUGCUUUAAUAAACAUUAUAAAAGCAUUAUCAAUCUGCAUAUAACUAUAAUAUCUAGAAAUACAAAUUAUAUAACUCCCACUAACAAAAGAAAUCAAAAGAAUCUAAGACACCCAUAUUCUUUACAUGUUCUUUAAAUAAAAUGGGUCAUAAACCUUUUGUUAGAGGAUCAGCCAAUAUGGACUCAGUUCUAAUAUUCUCAAUCACAAUGUCUCCCCCCUUUUUUUUUUUAUCAAGUCCUUAACAGUAUAAUAUUUGAUCCAAUUAACAUUUCAAUCAUGGCUUUGUUGUUUAUAGAGAUAAAUGUUUGUCACACAUAAUGCAAUUAGAUCAAUUAUGGGCAAUAAGUAAUUCAACAAAAAUAAUUAGUACAUUAUAAACUCCCCUUCAGGCAAAGUGUAUAAUGCACAAUUAUUUUUCAUAGCAUGAAGUUUAUAAAGCAACAACAAGGAGAAUUACAUAUAAUUGUCAAUGAUCCAUCCCCUUUGGGCAGACAAAUCAUUUAAAUUAUACAUCUCUAUGAUAUCAAUAUAUAGAGACAACAAAUGAGAAUUACAUAUAAUCUUCAAAGAUCAAUCCCCUUUGGGCAGAUAAAUCCUUUAAAUUAUACAUCUCCAUUAUCUCAACAUAGAGGGGAAUUACUCAUAACUCUAAAAAAAUUAUCCCAUUUGGGCAGAUAAACCUUUUUGAGUCACACAUCCCCAUCAUUCAUCUCUAAUAUAUCAAUAUAGAGGGAAAUUACAUAUAACUUUAAAAAAUUUAUCCCCUUUGGGCAGAUAAAUCUUUUUGAGUCAUACAUCCCCAUCUUUUAAUUUUGGAAUUUAUCUUCAUGCAAUUUUCAAAUUAAUAUACACAAUAACCCCCUUUGGGCAGGUAAUUGUAUAUACUAAUUUUUAUCAAUAGGAAACUCCAAAAAAUAUAUGCCCAAAAUUCAUCUAACAAUAUGAAGCACUUUACGACAUGUACUUCCCAAGAUCAUAUUGCAUUUAUCAAGUAACAAUUUUUGCCACAAUUUUUUUAAUUAUUAUUUUAAUAUUUCGAACUCAUGGCAAAACAUGAAUGAAUACGAAUGGUUACUAGAAUUAAAGGGAGCCAAAAAUUUCGUAGCUAUUAGUAACCAUUACAUCAAAAAGUCAUGAGGACAAUCUUUAUCUCACACUUCCUCACCGUCAACCCUUGGUUGGCAUGUUUAAAUUUGGCAUCUCUUAAAUUUGGGAAAUUACGUAGUCAUGCAAUAACUCAAUCUCCACCUAUUUGACACAAUCAUAUCAUCUGAAUUUAAAAGUAUCCUUCAUGCAUGUUAGCAUGAAACCCACAAGAGAUCAAGCAAAAUCUCUAUAAAAAGAACUUCUAAACCUCAAUCAUGUUAAGCCAGUCCACUCUGAUGACUCGUGGUAAAACCACACAAGAAGACAUGAAGGGUCCGUUUGGUUUGCCAGAAUUUUCAGUAAUAUUGAUUAAUUCGUAUUUUGACGCUAUAGUCUUCCGUUAGUCACCAGUCCAAAUCUGAAAAAAGACUGUAACCUCGAACAAAGCCAACAUUCAAAUUUUCUAUGGUCCUUUUGCUCUUCUACUUAAUAAAAAUUCUCUAAAAGUGUUACGAGAUUCACCAACCCUAUUAAUCAAACCGCAUCUCCUUUUUUUUUCUUUAGUGUAAAUCACUUCUCUGCUUAAUUGUACCCAUCAAGUUAAAAGGAAGACAAAACUUCGAAAUUCCUGAAAUUAUUAUUAAAAGGAUAGCAUCUAUUUGAAAACCCAAAAAUUUCAUAGCCUCCAACUGACAAUUCACAACUUGUCCUGUGGGAUUAUGGGCUAGCGGACAAGCAGAAAAAGAGGUAUAACCAGUAUGUCGCAAAUCCAGCGACAUGACAAAAAACAAGCUCAUCUCUCAAAGAUGCUAAAGAGUUUCCAAAGAUCAAACCGUUUCAAUACCAUGUUAUCAAUUUCCAAAGCACUCCACAUUCAAAAAUCCCGAAAAUCAAAUCUUUUAGGAAGGAAAUUCUCAAAAAACCGAAGCGCACAUACAAUCAGCAACAUCAAGAUCACAAGGUCAUGACAUGACAAGGAUCAAGCAUUUUGAAUUUAAGUUUAAAUUACUCGUGCACCAAAUACCAAACAAAGACAUCCAGGUAGGAACUACAAUCUUUACAAGAAAAAGAAUGGCACCCAAGCUGCAUACUCGACCUCAACUAAAAUAAAAUGAAGAACACUCUAAGCAAGCACUGUAACCAAUUACAUCAUACAGGGAAAACAACCCACCAUUUUGUCACCUUUAGUCAAUAGGUUCUCAUGUUUAAAUCAAUAAAUAAAAGUCCCACUAGCAAUCUUAAACUUACUUUCCCUUUUCUUCUACACAAUGGUCGUUCACAUAAAACACUAUCACAGACCAUUGCUUAUAGAGACAUAAUUGAAUGAGAAGUUCAUCAUCCAUCAAAGAAAACCAAGUUCAUCAAUCCAUAAGCAGUACCCACGAUUACCAUCAAUGGAAUUCAUAUAAAUUUCAUUAAAAAAAAUGAUCUUGAAUCCACCACAAACAAGGAUAUGAAAACACACAUCAAUCAGUACAUUAGCCACCAGAUUCCAACAUAUGUGAAUCAUUAAACGCGAACCUACACGAGAAACCGAAGACGUUCAAGCCACUCAGCCCUCGAACCCGAAUUGUUCAUGCACCCUCCAGUCAAAGCAAAAGAUACUGCACAAUAAGGCUCAAUCCCAUGAAUCUAGCCCAAAUCACACCAACACCAUUUAUGUUUCGCAGAUCUAGUCCAGCAGAAGCAAAACAGAGAGCCACGAUUUGCCAACGGAAACCCAUGACGGGUCCCACAUCAAGCACUCUUUUUUCCGUCAGAUCCAAAUGUAAACUUUCCAAAAAUAUUUAAGGUCCAGAUGAUUGUUUCCUCAAGCUGGACCACUUUUGCUAGGUUAAUAGCACCAACCCAUGAUGGGAGAGAACUUCUCCCACAAGCUAAAACAUAAGCACUUAACUGAGUACCUCCACAUGUUAAUUGGAACGGCAGCACUCUUUGUUUUAUUGUAUCUCAUCAAUUAGUCCUCCACCAGUCAGUGUAGUCCAUUAACCCUUUCUCGAAUUUGUGUAGGAAAGAUGAAGCAUCCAUGUACGCAAAAACAUUAUCUGUCCCAGCAAACAAACUUGGCUACUUUAACUAGGAGUAGACGUCCUAGACUAGCCAUGGUGGAGCACUCAUGUCUGCUAGGACAUUUGCAUGCUCGAGUUCACAAUUUUCCAUGCUAAUUAGUGGAAUAACAAACCUUUCAUGUACGAGGAUUCCUAGAAAAUAAUGGGAACUCUCUUCCUUGCACUUGCUUUUCUAAUUACAAAAGCUAUCAACACUCUAUCUUUACCAAUUAGUUUACAAUUACUUACCACACUUUGGAGCCGAACAUAACCGACGAAUCAUCUGUCUCUUGCUUGUGAGAACUAACAACAAUUUUAUACUAUUAAUUAAUCACAACUUUCUCAAGCAAGCAUGUUGCAAGACCCCAAUCAUUAUUCCAAUUAAAACACUCAAAGCUUGAUCAGCUAGAUAACUAUACAUAAAGAUCAGCAUCAACCUGUAACAUUGAAUGUGAGCCCCACACGUUCAACGUGGAAUAAAAUCGUGAAAUCCUAUGAUUGCACCAUAUAACGCAAUCUACCAAAAUUUAUUGUAAAAAAAAAAAAAAACAGCAUCAAGCAAGCACGUUCACACUCCUUGUCAUGAAAAAUUAGCUAAAAAGAGGGCAAGCCUCGAGUCCAAUCCAAAGAAAUUUUCGGUGGUUGCACGUGACAAUCAGGAUGAAGCUAUAACCCAUUAAAGUAUGAGGGCGACUAGAAGAAAAUAAAGACUAAUAGUAUGAUAAUCGAAAGAAACACACUCUUCCAGCAUUAACAGAAUAAUCUAAAAGCACCAAACAAAAUAGAUGUGGACACCUGACAAUAAGAUAAAAGCGCAGAUGCCAUGGAAUAUUAGGAUUCAAAACUAAGUCUCCUUCAAAGAGCAUUGGCCAAAGAGAGUGUACACGUAAAAGACUUUCGCACAUCAACUGCGAUUUCUAGCGACUGCCACCGCACACAUGUCGCAUUAUGCAUUGGCACCCUAAAAAUCUUACAUGCAUAGUUGGUAGAAUACUGUCCCUUGAUCCUAUUUGAUAUGCAGGUAUCUACCCUUAGCCUUCACCAAUAUAUAUUUAAAAUUGGCCACUUUUCUAAAUAUUUUCUUACGAAAAAACUAUUAGCCAUCAUCUAACAUAGGCCCACACAAAUGGAUCCUUCGCCGACCCAUCACCGCAACACGAUCGUGGUGAACGAAUUUCAUAGUCGCCUACCACCAUAAAAAUACAAAUCUUCACAAACCCUCCAUCCUCCUCGUCGCAAACAAAUUCGGCAUUGACUAGCGACUGUGGGCGAACUCGCCACGGCAACCGAACAAAACCGCCGAGAGGAGCAAGUCGAUUCCGAAAUCAAAGAACGUCAAGUAAAAGAGCGCGCGUUGACCAACAGUUCAUAAUUCAAACGACAUGGCACAACGCAAAGAAAAGCAUCGAGUGGAGAAGAAAAACGAAGGUAACACUAGAAUGUAACUUAAAAUUCUAGAACUUUUUCAUGUAUAAACCCUAGAAUUUAAAAUUUAAAAUUCUCUCUUAAUUCUCAACGAAAUUAUGCAAAUUAUAUAUGGUUGGAAAGAUCUCAACAUGUAGAACGAAAGCCCUAUGGUUUCAGGAUCAUUCGAGCAAAAAAAAAAAAAUCCAUAUGAAAGAAUAAUGCCCAUAUUCGGCUCAAAGAGGAAACUUUCGAAUUUGUCCAUAAAAAGAUAAAAUUUGGGUUCUACAAUCAUAUAUGACUAGAUCUGAUACCACAUGUAGAAAAUUAUUCACAUGAAUAAUUAAUCAAUUAUGAAACAAACGGAUCCAUACAUGAUUGUAAAACACCGAGAUCAAUAAAUACAACAGAAUUAAAGCGUACAUGUUUGAGCCAUUGCUUUACUUAAAAAAAACUAGAUCACUCUGAUAAUCAGGGAUCUAUUGGAAUACUAGAUCUUCCUCUCUAUGACCUAUUUCGAUAUAUCAGCUUUCAAUGGGAUUAAAGCAACUGAUAGGUAUAACCUACCCUUUUAUAGGUUAGAGAGGGGACUUAGCAAACCCUAAUCAACAGCGUGUCAACUGGGCCAUUCCCAUUACGGGCUUCAGUCAAACACAAUUGCCUACACUUUGCUGCUCAACUAGGCCCGUUAUCAAUAGAUGCCAAUACCCAAUUCAAUCAGAUCACUUUAGGGUUCAACAAAUAUUGGAAUAUCCAUUAACCCGAUUAUUUAAAAUAGAAAAUCAAUUAAUUAAUGUAAGCCCAUAUUAUAGGAAAUUUCCAACAGGCCUGUCAUUGCUGCCUUACCGCGUGCUAAAAGCCAGGAAAUAUCUCCGUAUGAGGUAGCAAUAUAUGCAAGAUACAAGCUCGCCAAGGAUUCACUCACAAUGUGGCUCGAAUUUGUCAACUCAGAAAAAAUAGUAUGACCAGCCUAUCGUUAAGUCAUCGCGUUUUAGGGUGGGCUACAAUUUUUUCACGUUCAUUAUUCUUUCUUUUUCAACUCGUUUCAAGUGAAUGAGUCAUGUAUGAAUUUGAUAAAAGCAUGAGAGGUGUAUAAAUAUGUUUGGUAAUUAAUAGCACCUAAGUUUGAUGAGUGAUUGAUUUAUCAAUGCUAGCUAUAAAUGAAGAGAUUUGGGGAUUGUUCUCUACAAAAAGUUAUUGUUACACCGUUCACGCUCUUGAAUCACACCUUGUUCUUCACUUCCGCUUGUUGUUUUGUGUACUAAUUUCUUUGUACUUUUUCAAUAACACGAAUUUUUAGAUUAAGCUUGAAUCUGAAAAUAUUUGACUUGAGAAGCUUGCCAUUGUAAUGGAGUAAUUGCAAUUUCAUAUACCUCCACUAAUAUAAAAAAAAUGAAUGAAUUAUAUCAAAUUUAAUUUUAGUGUAUAGUAACUAACUAAUUGAACUGUAGAACACCCAUUUGUCCAAAAGAACAUCUCAUUCUCUCGGGCUAAAAUAUAAUGGAAGGCAUCCCCACGCGGUCUUUUUAAAUGUUUCGAUUUUAGCAAAACUUACUUCAGUGCUCUCAUGCACACAACGUAAAUCACCAAAUGUAACAUUAAAAAUGCCUGCCAACAAAAUAAGAUCCCAAGGGCAAAUCAAGAAUGAUCUGAAGAAUAUGGAGUGGAACAAAUUGCAUUUGAGGGUGAUGGUUGUUCUGACAUGCUUGAUUGCCGCAAAGUGAGGCAAUACUCAAUUAUGAGUUCUAAUAGUUUCAAGUGAGGGAAGCGUUGGGAGGCACCGCAAACAUCUAUUAGAGAGUUCAAGUCUUUUGAGAUGAGAAAGUUGUGCAGUAUAUGGUGAUGUGGUGGUCGUUGUCGAAGAGGACAACUAUAAAGACUCCAGUUUGUUUAACCUAUUGAUCCACCGGGGGAUAGCAUCUUCUGCAAGCUUAGACGGGUCAACAGGGCGAGGAGACUUUUGGCAUCCCAAAGACAAAUCUCUUAGGCUUUUCAAGUUCGAAAGAUUGGAAAUGCCAUCAUCAGCCCAAUACGAAUAUGUAGAUACAGAAGAAUUUUUAGGAGCCUCAAUGCUUGGGGUAUUUCAGCACAUGUCAAUUUUUAAAAUGUUCCGAGAUGAAUAUCUCCAAAUAUCAUUGGAAUUUUUUAUUAGCAAAAUUUCACUAAGCUUUGCAUCUAUUUUUCUAGCUUUUCCUGCUUCCAUAAUACACUAGUUAUUCUUCUUAUGACAGAGAACCUCAUUUUCAAUACUUUCAAAUACUUCAUGUUCCCGACCAACCAGGCAGCUUCUCUAUGUCCAUGUUCAAUUUAUCGAACUCAGCAAGUGAUUCCAAAUUCCAGAUUGAGUCCAGUAGUGUCUUUAUUGACUUGCAGUUCCUAGAAGACUAGUGUUCGAGGCUUACGAGGGAUCCACUUGAGUUGGGAAGCUCCACGAUCCCAGCUCCUCACAGAGAAAGCCUCGAUAGGGAAGUUAGGUGAUAGAUUGAAGGUUUUAUAGUCAAUGAGGAACGAUGGGAAGCACAAAGGACCUGCAAGCUCUUCAAUUCUUGACAUUCAGGCAUAUGCUUUAUUGAGGUUAUACAGCAAUCCCUUUUUAAGGCAGUUAAGUCCAUGUCAAACUUUCCCCUUCCAUCUCGGUAAUUCGUAGAUGUAUAUUCCCUUUUAAGAUAGAGAUUACCGAUGUUUGUCCAUUAAAACCAACAUGCGAAAUUGCGAAUCAAACAAAGUCAACGUCUAGCAAGCUAGUCGCAUAUCUUUCUCCCAAAUAUCAUGUACUUUUAUUAGUGUGAAGUCCACCAUUAGGUACUAACCGAGUUAUCCAGAGUUAGAUUCAUCUACUAGUAAGAAUACUUUGAGGGACCUUGUUUAGCUUUAUUAUACUUGUUUCAUCGUUUGAUUCCAUCAUUUCUUGGUUCACACUGUUCCAUGGUUUAUAGCAGCAUCGUUAUUUGGUUUGUCCUCUCUAGUGAUCUUGCUGCUCUUAAUCUUCCCUGCUCCAUGGUCUAUAGGAGCAACUGUCGCCACACACAAUGAAACCUCAAGUGGUGAAUCGUUUUGCACCAGUACAAGCGGUCCACCUCAGCAGAAACAACAAUUGUUGAGCUGCACGAGGAUUGGGGGUCGUCUGACUUGGCCUCCCCGCCCGAGUCGCAAUGGGUUAGGAUUUUUUUUUUUUUCCUUUGAUAAAUUAUAAAGUGUGGGAAGAGAUGACCAAUACAGUUAUCCAUUCUUGUUGUUACAUAAAGCGUUAUGUACGUUACAAAAUAUCUCCAUUAAGCCAUAACCACUCGAUUCAUCGACAAGUGUGCGAAUCUAUCACCAUAACUAAUAUGCCAAAAGCCUAAAAAUCUUUCUACAUAAUGUUGUGAAUAUCUAAAAUACUGAGUGGUGAAAAGUCCACUCAUAACAUGAUUCGAACUCAUGAAUUAAUAGAAGAUGGCGUGAUCCCUUCAUCAUUGGGCUACUUUUUUUUUUUUUUUCACUUUCAAAGUGAACUUGAUCCAAAAAUGAGUGAUCUAUAAGGUUGCGGAUGACAAAAUUUCUGAAACAGAAAUCAAUUUCUCAAUUUCUAUUCCCCGGACAAAUUUCUAAGCAAAGAAACCCGUUUGAUAACAACUCAAAAUUUCUAUUUCUGAAACAGAAAUCCAUUUGAUGACAGAAUAAAAUUUUUAUUUCUAGGAAUAAAAAUUGAUUAGAUAACAACAUAAGAAAUCCUCAAAUACAAAAUUAUAGUCGAAAUAAUACUAAAACAAUAUAGAAAAUCCUCAAAUACAAAAUUAUAGUCGAAAUAAUACUAAUACAUUAUAAAAGUUGAAAAUACAAUUUCAUGGAAUUUUUGGCAUAUUAUUAUCCAUUGUCAUUUUAUUGGCAAUGGUUUUCCUAAGCGUAUUUAUUCGGUUUCCCUUCUCGGUCAAUGUAUCGUUUGCAAGCUCAUCCUGCGUAGAUUCAGACAAGUAUUGCAGAAGCAUGAAUAUGGGUACCAUCAAUGGCGCCUAUACAGCCCUAUUAUUUUAUCAAAGACUAGUAUUAUAUAAGAUUAUCAACAAAAUAAAAUUGAUGGUGUAAAGGAAUAUAUGAGAAUUUUACCUUGAAGUAACGUUUAUGGUUAGGAACUAAUCGGGGGAAGGUCGGUUUAUUUUGAUUCUCGAAUUGAAUCAAUCCAGUUGCUCAUCUCUAAUUUCUUUAUUGUUGUUCAAUGAACCUUUAAUGGCUCUUGCAUAGCAAAGAGAGAGAUUCUAUUGAAUCUCUUGCCUUCGAAUUAAAAUUCAAGAUUGUGUAACAAUCUAAUUAUUUUGAUUUUACAAGAAUUUUGAAUCCGUAAAGAAACAAGGUUAAAUUUCUAGGCAUUUUUUUAAUCAUCUAUUACGUAAGAACUUUUUCUUCAACUAACCAUGCACGUGUCCUUUCUAGGAGGAAAGAGCCCAUUGUUUUUAAGUAAGCAUUUAAGAACUUUGAUCGUUUUUUAAAAUUGGGGACCCAUUCGUUUGCCUUUCAUCCUAAAGAGGAAGUUAUCAAAAAAAAAUUGAAAAAAAAACACGAGAAAAAUAAGAAAAAGAAAAUUAGCAAUAAUUUGUGAAGUUGUGGUUAUGAGUGAAUUAAGUUAGCAAGAAAGCGCACGGUUAUUUUAUAUUGUUUGAUUUCAGCUUCUGAUUUCUAUUUCAAAAAUGGAGAAGUUAAAAAUUUCAGCUUCUGAUUUCUUCAAUUUCUCUAUUUCUGGAAUAUAAAUCUGUUUCAGAAAUAGAGAAAUCAAAUUGUGUUACCAAAUGGAUUUCUAUUCCAAACCUGUUCCGGGGAACAGAGAAACAGAGAAAUCGAGAAAUAGAAAUUUUGUCAUGCGUGCCCUAAAUCUAUUUUGUACUUAUAAAAUUUGAUUUAAGUCGAAUGAGGUGUUGAUGUGUUAAGGUUACCAAUAAAAGAAGAGGUUUGAUGACUGGUUUCUAUAAAAUUGAUUGAUUUACUCUUCAUAGUUUUCUCGAGUUUCACUUAUUAUUUAACUUCCAUCUUUUUGUUUUGUGUACUAACUUUUCUGUGCUUUUUAUAAACAUUUGACUGUGAAUAUAAAUCCAUGAGAGCCACCAAACAUCACGCAUGCCAUGCAGCAGGGUUCUUAUAUUAUUUUGUUUGCGUGAGCUAAUUGCGAUUUAAGGGAAAAAAAAUCUUCCACGUUCUUUGAUAAUUUGAAAAUGACAUUUUGUGACUUUUGUUGUAUAAGGUUACAGACUAUUUUUACUUCGAACACAAGCGAUGAAAAAGUCCAAUGACUUUUGUUCUCAAAGAUUAUGGACCUUUUUACUUGUUUAAAGCUUUUACAUGUAAAGUAUCAACUCAUGCAUCCAAUAAGCAAUUAUGAAAUGACGAUGGCAUCCUUCUAUAAGAUAGUGAUCAGUCCGAUCAUAUUCGCACUAAAUAUUUUGUAAAUUCUAAAUAAAACAUAUACAUUCAUCUACAAAUAAAAACUAUCGAAUCCACUUCCAUAUAAAUUUUAAAGAAUAGAAUCGAUUUGUCAUGGUAAGUCAUGUUUUCGAAUUCUCUCUCAACCCGAGAAAUAUGGGCUCCACAAAUAAGCUUAAUUCACUUGUCUCACAUGUCGAAUGAUAUUCUUUUCAAGUUUGAAUAUUAUUGGCAAAGAAAAAGUUUGAAUAAUUCGAGUUAUUGGAUUGAUUCGAGCUUGGAAUCGGAAAAAUUCUACUCAAGAAGCUUGUGAUCAAAGGAAGCGCCAAAAGAGGAAGAGACAGAGAGAAUGGAAAUUUGUCCAGGAGCACGCCUCAUUUGAGCCAAACUUCCUUCAUUGCCCUCACGGAAACGACGAAAUCACCGGACGUGACACCAAAUAUGCCCGCCGACAGAGCAAGAGCCCGAGGUCGAAUCGGGAAAAUUCGCAAAUCCGUCGUCCUCUCCUUCCCUUCCCCCCCCCCCCCCCCCCUCACCCAAAAACAAAAGCUCGCCGUAGCUUUCGAUCGCCAUCCGCCGCGAAAACCGCUACGGAGUCCACGAACGCUGCGAAGACCAGGAUUCGAGGGUUGAAUUCGAGCAAUGCGGACGAAGACCGCAAUCGAUCUCUCCACCUCGCCGGGCGAUCGCGCCAUUUUGAUUGCGUGAGAUUGGAAUGAUGUUGUUGCUCGGCAGAAUGUGGAGUUGAGGGUGAUGGUUGUUCUGAAGUGCUUCAUUGCCACGGGUGGGGCCCAGAGGUAAUUGCAAUUCGUGUUCAUGUGAUCAGUUACUGCUCUGAUCCUCCCACUUGAUUGGGAUUGGGAGUCUAGCAUCGAGCAUGUCGGUUUUGAGGUUGGACAGUGAGGUUUGUAGUGUGAAUUUGGCAAAUUAGGCACUUCAGGGAUGGGGUGGAUCGUCGACCGUGUUGUGGAGCUGUAGUGCCUGAUUUAAUGGGGCAUACUAUUGCUGAAUUAUUUGGUUGGAUUAGCUAAGCUCUUGGAUUACCGAGUUUGGAUCAAUACUACAACUGGAAUAUGGUCAGAUUGAUCGAAUUUCCAUAUGUUUGUUCGAUACAAAUAUUUCAUCCCGCUGUUUCUACUUUGGGGGUAAAAUUUGUUGAGUGUCUCACAGUGAUUGACUAUUGGCUAUUUGGCCUUUCUCCAGUCGAGUAAUGGACUGUAGCUUGUAGGUUUCAGCAGACUAGCUUGAUGGGAAAGAGGAGCCUUAUGUUGUUCACUUGUUCGCCUUUCAUUGCAUUUGAACAUAUAGUUCUUUAAGUUCACGAGCAAGGAUGGCAGAAAUAUACUUAAAUAUUAUUUUGAGUUGAUGUUUCCUUGUGAAGUGUUCCAAGGCUUGUAAAGCUGUUUACAAUCACAUUCUUGCCAUGACAUCAGCGGAGUAUGCAUCUGCUGUAAGUGCUCUUUAUAAAGAUUUUCACAUUUACCUAGAGCUUGUUGUUGUUAUUACUCUUCAGGUUUCACCAUUUAAAUACAAUAACAUUGUAACUAGUUGCACAGCUUUUUAUUUUGCAUGUUUAAUGUCAGAUUUGACAAAACAUAGUAGUUGGACUUGUCCUAGAUGUGAUGGAAAGACCAAGGUAAUUUAAUAUGGUUUAAUACGACAUUGUUGCUAAGGUUGCCUGAAGAAUGGAUCCUCAGUACAGUAUUAAAUGGCCAAUUCUUCUGAUGAGAUUUUGUGGGCAUAUGCUGCCUCCUCUUAUUAGAUUCUAAACUGGUAAUUAAUUUUUUUUACAUGAAAGCAGGGGUUUGAAUUCAUUGAAUUGAUAGUGGGCAUUCAACACUGCUUACGCGCAGAUUAUUUCGUUGCAGUGGCUUACCAAUCUGCAAUGCUUACGAUGCCUAUACGUUUAAAUUGCAUCUAAUUGUUUAUAUCUAUUUCUAAACGUACAUAUAUGUUACCUGUAGGCAUACAUUGGGGUGGCCAAGGAUCUUAAUGCUGUGAUUAUAGCUUUUAGAGGUGCACAAGAACAUAAGUAUGCAUGUUAACUUUAGCAACUCUUCCUCUUACAUAUGACUUGCAAAGGAUUUGAUGAAAAUUUAUGCUAAGAAGAGUUGCCUCCCGUGAGUGCAUAAACAAGACCCAUGGGUCAGCUGUCCAUAAGAAUGGAAAAGGGUGAAUCAUUUCCACCAAGAUGCGAAAGUUACCUUCUUGUAAUUUUAGAUUGUUUCAUGAGAAGAUCACAUACUUAACUAAUUUUGAUCUGUGAAAAAUUCUGUCACCUCUCUGUCAUUUGAGCUUUUCAGUUAGUGAUUACUUAUAUUUAUGUCUACAGCAUACAGAAUUGGGUUGAAGAUCUCUACUGGAUAGUGGAAACAGCUUGAUGUACUACCCCGGUAUGCAUGGUGCCCUGGAUAGUUCUAGAGAUGAUAUGCCUCUUGCAAGCUGUGGAUUCUUCUCAUUUGGAUUGAGUUACAGUCUUACUCUAUUGAUUGUUGCUUGGGUUCAUCAUGGAUUUUACUAUACUUAUCACAAUAUUACAAUUCAACCUAGAAUUUUGGAUGCUGUUAUAAGAACCAAGGAUUUAUAAGGUGACAUCAAUGUCACGGUGACAGAGCAUUCUAUGGGAGGAGCUAUGGCAUCCUUUUGCGGACUUGGUCUUGUGGUAAGAUAGUUAGAAACUGUUCUGGAUAGUUAAAAACUAUUAUGGUCUGGACUUGUGAAUUUUAUUGCUUUUUUUUUUUUUUCCUUCUUCUAUCGCAUUCUUCCAAUAUUCAUAUGGUAAUCUAUUAAGAGGUAAUCUGUUAAGAGUCAACUGGAAUUCUCUGCCAAAUCUGUGCUGAAGAGUCUAGGCUAUUUAUACGGAUCUAGAACUUUCUAUUGCUCUCAUGUUUAUAUUCACAAUUCGUCAUAGACAGCAUCUUGUUUUCUUUCAGUUUUGGUAAGUCAAAUCCUAGACAAAACACAAGCAGAAUGGGGUGCAAACAGCCAUUUAUGCUAACCACCAAUUGUUUAAGUGUAUGGCAGUGUGAAUUGAGUCCUACCCAUUAAGCUACGGAGCUUCAAGUUGGUUGAAUAUUUAAUUAUAGUGGACAAGGUCACUUCAGACUAAUCAUUACAAAGUUUACUUGCUUAUGGAAUUGGAAUUGUUGAUAUGUUUAUGGUCUGGACAUAUAACUUUUUCAAAGCACUUGAAGCUCAAGUUUUAUGUCAUGUAAUCUUGAGGUGCUAAUGCAUUUUAAGAUAGAUUACAUAUCGAUCCUAAAUUUGUGUUUUGUGUACUGUUUCUGUCUAAGUCUCUCUCUAAUCAAAAGAAGCAGCUCCUUUUCAGUAGGACUACAAGGCCAGAUAUGUUGUUGGUUGAAGCCAAUGCUAAGAUGUCUAAAUUAUGCCUUUUCUCUCAGUUUUAUUGGACAGAGUGUUCUAGGGUACUUUUGUAGGCACCUGUUGCACAACUAGUACCGGAAAUGGUGCCCGAUCCAAAUUCAUGUUCCAUUGAUUCUCUUCUCAUUGACAAGAGGUGAUUUUUUAGAGUUAAAUUUUAUCUUGAAGUCUGAUUACACUAAUGUUCAUGUGGUCUAUGAUAGGAUCAUAGGUUGCAUGGACUUUAGACUAUGCCCUUUCUCAAAGUAUUAGUAGCAAUUAUAACAUCUUGUCCUAAAACAUUUAAAUGAUUUAAAAUUUUAUUUUUGUUUUCUGGUUUCUUGCCGAAAAAAUUUUCAAGCCAAUUGUGACGUCAUGCCCAUCCGUUGCAGCCCUUUUUAAGAUUGAGUUUCUCCUUUGUCCACGGUAACAUCAAAGUUCUCCUCAAUUGCCAUCACAAUCUCCACCUAAAAUGAGGAAGAACAGCGUUCUCAUCACAAUCCCAUUUUAUCCAACAAAGGAAAUAAGGUGGUAAACGUCGGAACCAGAUUUAAAAAAAGAAAAAAAAAAAGAAGCAAAUCAAUUCCCCUAUUGCAGAAGUACCGUCCUGCACCACUUAAGAACACAUGUGUUGACACCUAAAUUUUUGCCUAAUCAUUUAGUAAUUAGUUACAUGAAAAAAAAAUAAAAAAUAAAUAAAAAAUAGUAAAAUUGCAUUUCAUGUAGUCGCAUUUGCAUCAGUACUAAAAGGGCAACAAGACGCAUCGGCUCGUGGUUGAUAAUAUUCACAAAAAGAUGGUCUCUCUCUCCACUGAUCUGAACGCGCAUUAGAGAAAGCAAAAGGAUGGUCUCUCUCUCCACUGAUCUGAACGCGCAUUAGAGAAAGCAAAGAAAAAAUUCUCCACUGCACACGCGAGAAUUCCGGAGAAAGUUUGCAAGAAGAUGGGAUCACAAUUUUAUAAAAUUUUAUAGUGAGUUGUUGCAAGGAAUUCUCUCCUUCCUGGAGAGCAAAUCGGCUAGAGAAGAAAGAAGUUCCUACACGUCCAUUGUCUCUCUCUCAUUAUAAUGCAUGCAUUAAUUCCGCGGACGUGGUAGGGCCCUCGAUCAAUAAGGGUGCGAAUGGUAACGUUUCUGUUCUUUUUUUGUUCUAGGGAACAGAAACAAAAAAAAGUGUUUCUGUUCCGGGGAACAAUUUUUGAACAAAAGAACGCGUUUGGUAACGUUUGGUCCGGGAAUAAAAAAUGAACAGAAACACGUUUGGUAAAUUUUAUUCUUUUUUUGUUUCUUUUAAUUUUUUAAACAUUUUUAUUUUAUUUUUUAUUUUUUCCUUUCUUUUUAUUUUUUCUUUUUUAUCGGUCGGUCACCGGCCUCCGACGACCGGCCGACGUGGCCGGCAGCCUCGCCCAGCCACAGCAAGGCUUGGCGUCGCCGGAUCUGGGUGAGGCCGAGCCGGCGACGCCGAGCCUCACCGGGGGCCGGCGACGCUCGGCCUCGUCGGAUCUGGGCAAGGCCGAGCCUCGACGGCCAUGGCCGAGGCCGAGCCUCGACGGCCAUGGCCGAGGCCGAGCCUCGACGGCCAUGGCCGAGGCCGAGCCUCGACGGCCAUGGCCGAGGCCGGCGACCGGCGAAAGAAAAAAGAAGAAAAAAAAGAAGAAAAGAAGAAGAGAAGAAGAAGAGAAGAAGAGAAGAAAUGUUUCUUCAAGAAAUGUUCCUGAGCAAGAAACAACAAAUUGUUGUUUCUUUUUUUUGUUCUUAUUUCAUUCCAGAAACAAAAAAACAAAAAAAGAAUAGAAACGCAACCAAACGCGUUUCUGUUCCUUUUUUGUUCCCGGGAACACUUUCCGUAAAGAAGUGUUCCGGAAACGUUUCUAAGAAACGUUUCCAUGCACGCCCUAAGAUGCGCGAAAGGUGGUCUCUCUCUUGCUGGUAUGAAAACACACAAUAAAAGUCAAAAAAAUAGAAGAAAUAAGAGUGCUUCACGUCCAUUGUCUCUCCCUCAUUAAUGCCUGCACAUGCACGCAUUAAAUGGGGGACGUGAAAAUUCUACAGACGCCUGCAAGAAGAUGGACUAAUAUUUUUUAAUAUUAUCCUUGCUGAAGAGCAGAUGGGUAGCCACCAUAUUUGACAAAAAGAACCGAACGUGAGCACCAAGGAAAAGUUACGGCUGCCUCCUGUUCACCUGUGCACGCUAAAGUCGAUUGUUGCCUAUAAAUAAGCAAGGAUCCUCGGCUUAAAAAGGGGGGCAGAGGGAAAAAGCAAUGAAACAUACGAGACAUUCACUGGAGAGGUUUGUGAGAGAAAAAACUAUUAAAAAGAGCCCUUAGAGAGAUAGACGAGUGGAGAGAUUAAGGGCGUGCAUGGAAACGCUCCAAAGAAGGGUUUCCGGAACACUUCUGUACGGAUUUUGUUCUCGGGAACAAAAAAAGAACUUCUUUUUUUGUUUUUUUGUUUCUGGAACGAAAUAAGAACAAAAAAAAGAAACAACAAUUUGUUGUUUCUUGCUCCAUAAACAAAAACGAAGGAAACGUCUCUCUUCUUCUUCUUUUCUUCUUUUCUUCUUCUUUUUUUUCUUCUUUUUUCCUUCGCCGGUCGCCGGCCUCGGCCAUGGCCGGCGACCAGCCGUCGAGGCUCGGCCUCGCCUUGGUUGGGCGAGCUCGGGCUCGCCCAGAUCCGGCGAGGCUCGGCGUCCCCGGGGGGCCGGCGACGCUCGGCCUCGCCGGAUCUGGGCGAGGCCGAGCCUCGCCGAGGGCCGACGAGCCUCGCCGAGGGCCGACGAGCCUCGCCAUGGCUGGGCGAGGCUGCUGGCCGAAAAAAUAAAAAAUAAAGGAAAAAAUGAAAAAUAAAAUAAAAAUGUUUAAAAAAUUAAAAGAAACCAAAAAAGAAUAAAAUUUACCAAACGUGUUUCUGUUCAUUUUUUAUUCCCGGACCGAACGUUACCAAACGCGUUCUUUUGUUCAAAAAUUGAUCCCGGAACAAAAACACAUUUUUUUGUUUCUGUUCCCUGGAACAAAAAAAGAACAGAAACGUUACCAUUCGCACUGUCCACCUGCAUCUCGUCCUCUGCCCGCUGGACACCGCCGACUCCAUCCUUCCGACGAUUUGAGGACGUAGAUGUUGCAGCAACCCUCUGCUGCCUUCCUGCUCCCGGCGAGUUCCGAACGCCGCUGGCCGCUGUAGUCCCGUUCCUCCGCUCCCGCCUCUUGCUCCUCUUCCCGCCCGUUGACGCCAGCAACCUGACGCCACGAGCACCCGCCUCUACGCCUGCAGCUUGCGCCUUCGUUGCCGCGCCACCGUCCCUGCCGUCGCCGCUCAUCCCUUUGCUCGCCCGUCGCCGCGCCCUGCCCAUCGCCGCGCCCAUCGCUGCACCUCUACCCGGCGUCAGCAUCUCCUUCCAGCGAGAUCCGAGCGCGCCACCGUCUUCGCCCGAACACCAGCAGCAUCGUCCCGGACACCUGCACUCGCAACUGCGCCUCUGCACGCUCGCGACUCGGUCACGACGCCGCUCCUGCUGUCCCUCAUCCCGUCCGUCCGUGAAGCCGCCGCUGCCCGACGCCAUUGCUCUCCACCGCCACUCAGUCCCUUGCCACACCGGCGCCUGCACCACCUGGUAGCCGUCUAAAGCUCCGCUGCCGUGACCGUCCCCCGCGUCCAUCAUCGUCGCUGCACCACCGGAGUUGCCCCUCGCCGCGGCACAACUACUGCUCGCUGCUGCUGACCUGCGACGACUUGCUCGACUCCAGACGCUGCUGACAUCUUCCCCCUGCUCGCCUGAGUCGGUCUUGCACCAGCAAACCACACGCGACUCCUACUGUGGUCUUGCCGGAGCUCCUCACCGGCGUCUUCCCCCUGUCGGAGCUCUGACCGGUGUUGCCUCUCUCAUUGAUUGAGCUGCCAAGCCGUGCGUGGGAGGAAAACAAAAAGGCAAAAAAGGAAAAGCAAAUUAGGUAGUUUUGUUUAUCUACUUUAUUUUUUUUAAUUAUUAUUUUAUGUUACUUUACUUUUUAGUAGAAUUAUUCCUUAAUAUAAGAUUGAGAAUGUUCGACAUUAAAUAGCCUGUGAAAUUUGUGAUUGACAGUCCGAUUUUCGCGCCCAAAAUCCGACUUGCAAUUGCUUGAAAAAUCGCCAAUUCGAUCUCACGCUCGAGAUUCGAUUUGCAAUUUAUUUAAAAUUGGCCAAUCCGAUCUCAUGCGCGAGAUAUGGUUCGUCAAUUUGGAUGUCAAUCUUGCUCUGAUUUGCUGUCGUGCCGUUUAAGUUAAUUUCGCUUUCAUAAAAUAAAAUAAAAAAUCCAAAAAAUGUAGGCUAGAAUUAGGUUUAUUUCCUGUUUUAGGGAUUGCAUAUUUAGAAUGGGAAUUUUAUUUCGAAUUAAAAAAAAAAUCAAAUCAAUCAAUUUAGGUUGCUAGUUUUUUUUAACUUAGGUUUCAUGUUUAAUUACUUGACAAUUUUUAAUUUCGAAAUUAAUACAAAAACAUUAAAAAAAAAUAGAAUUAGGGCAUUCCUUGCAUGUCAUUGCAUUUUAGGGUAAAAUUUCAUAUAAUUUAAUUAUAGAUAAUAGUUUUUAUUAUUUAUUAUAAGUUUAGAUAAUUUUUUUUAGAUAGAUUGCAUUUUGGUUAGGGAUUUCUAAGUUAGGAUAACAUUCUAGUUUAAAUUAGGAUUUGGCUUAACCCAUUCCUAAUACAAAUUAGAUGAUAUUUUAAUUUAGAUAGAUAAUGUUCUUUUUUUUUUAUUUCGAAUUUCAUGAAAAAUACAAAAAAAAUGUCUUAGAAUAAAUUAGUUUUAUUUUCUAGGAUAAAUUGCAUUUUUUAAGAAAAAAAGAAAAAAUGUCAUGUGCAUGUCAUAUAUAAUUAGAUUCAUGAAAAGCAUGUCAUUUAGUGAUUGUUAUUAGGUUCAUUUAAUUAGAAAUUGCUCGUCAUUAGAAUUAAGUCAUUAGGUUAAUUUAGGUUGCACAUUUAAUUAUUACAUUUCUAAAAAAAAUUAUUAUUUUGCUCAUGUCAUAUAGUUUAGGAUAUACUACCAUGACAUAUCAUGUUAAAUUAAUAGCACGCAUUGCAUAAAGCAUGAUUCUCAUUAAAUAAGUGAAAACCAAAAAAAGGAAAUUGCGUGUUAAUUAGAAAUCAUAUUUAGGUCUGUUGAUGUGAAUUCCGAUCUAAUAAUGUAGAUGCUUUCGUAGCUAUGAGGUAAGUCCUGCAAUUUAUUCAUCGCUUUCUUGGGUGUUAAAUUGGUGGUUUGCAUACCCACAUAAUCACCUCACAUGUUAGGAAGAUAAAUUAAAAUCAAUUCAAGUUACUUGCAAAAACAUUUUUGAAAAUAAAAGGAUGGUACCGAAAGGGUAUUAGAGAAAUUUAGUGUAACCAAGUCCCCGAACUCACUAUCUCUGGUUCGUAAGAGUGAAGUAAUUCUCCAAUUGCUUUACUUGGUUUCUAAUCGACCCACCAAAAAUAGAUUAGUGACGACUCCAUGAUAAACAUCAUUUGCAUAUUAAGAACUUAAAUCAUAAGUUGCGAAUUGGUAUGAGCUUGGGAGAGCUCUAUCUAAGUCUAGGCUUAGCAAUUCAUUAGCCGAACCCUUACGUGAUCUAGGGGUGUCAACAGUUCGGUUCAGUUCGGUUUUUCGGUUUUUCGGUUUUUAGCUUUUGGUUUUCGGUUUUUUUUUUUUUUUUUUUUUUUGGGUGGGGACGGCUUACCUUCUGUAUAUGCUCCUUAAAAAAUUAUUAGAUUAAACAAGCAUCUCCUGGCAAAGCUAGCUGCUUCCUUAUUAUUUCACACACUUUAUCCUCCGUCUCCUUUUUAGCCUGUUCAUAUGUCAUUCAAAAGUUUAAAACCUACCUAUGGGCUUCGCUCUGAGUUGCAACAAAAUUGGCAAGACCAUUGGCAAGACCAAUUCAAGCAUGCCCCCAUGAACAGGACAAUGAUAGGCUUGAACCUGGUAUAAGCAAACUCCUGCUCAUCCCCUUUCCCCAGAAGCGGCAUGUUUCGAGCAACACAAUUAUAAUCACACAGCAAGAUCGUUUGACACAGGACAAACAUAAUGACCCAGACUUCAGAUAUAUGUAAGUUACUUGCAGUCACUUUGCUACGCUUGUUGUUAUAGUUGACAUGACAUGGUGGACUACUUACCGCACAUGAAACCUGGAAACGGCAUGCUUUCAGAGAUGGGAAACUUCUGCCGCCGACAGGGAGGGAGACGGACCUGACAUUCGAUAUCUU